CGAGGCAAAAAUGACAAUCAAGAACGAAUCAAGCGGCUGUAAAUAGAGCAACACUGAAUGCGACUCAACUGGAAAAGAAAAUCGGCUUCAAAUCGUAACUGUGUCUUACAACGAGCAGAAGAACGUCGACUUGAUAGGGGACACGUAAUUUAGGAAGAGAUCGGCUUGGAUCCGUGUAUGACUUCACGAGAUGUAUGCGUCGACGGCUUCACGGAGGUGAAGACAGACGCGGUCGGAGAGUCGCGCGGCAGUGCAGAAAACGGAGGAGAAAGGAACGGGCGGCGGCUGGGCUUGGCUUCGACGGAGACAGAGAUUGCGCAGCAGGUCUUCACGAACGGAGAGGAAAGGAAUGGGCACGGCGACGCAGAUCUGGACGACUGCUGCAAGGUGACGCGUACGGCUUGCUUCACGAACCGACCGACGAUUGCAGCGACGGAUCUGGGUUAUGGCGAACUGCAAGGGUGAAGCACAUGCGGCGGCGAGGACCUGGACGGCUCGGCGAUGCAGAUCUGGACGACGAUUUGCUUUCCGAGGGAGGCACGACGGUUGUGAGCGAGAGGCACGGCGGUUGUGAGCGGCACGGCGGUUGUGAGCGAAUGGGCGCGGCGGUUUCGAUCCGAAGGAGAAAAGGAAGACGACCGGAAAGAAGAAGAAGAAACGACCGGCAGCUUGUGUGGCCGACUGGGUGAACGGAGAAGAGAGGGAUGUGCGGCUGCUAGGGUACGGGAAGGAGAAAGGGAUGGAGGACGCACGGGAGGAAGAAGGAAGGAAAAAUUUCUUUUUUCUUUUCUUUUAUUUAAAUAAUAAAAAUAAAACUAAAAUAUAAAUAAAUAUAUAUAUAAUAAAAUUUCUUUUUCUUUUCUUUUAUUUAAACUAAAUAAUAAAACUAAAAAUAUAAAUAAAUAUAUAUAUAAUUAUAUUAUCACAUUUUCAAAUCUUCUUUCCCCCCUUCAACAUAUUUUCUUCAAAACAAUAAAUCUUGUACAAAUCGAAAAAAUCUCUUAAAAUAAAAUACCUUCGAGUUUGGGGCGUUACACCAACUCACACAUCAAGAGGUAAAAUGUCACAAAUGCCCUCGUUAUUGAUGUACAUUUGAUACACCUUAUACACGUCUGAUACACCUAAUACCUCUUGAUACAUUAAGUCCAUUUAUGAGUUAGUUUGAUUAGAUUAUGUCACAUAUACAUGUAUUACAAUUAAGGGACACUUGCGAAAAUGGCAAAAUAAGUUAUAAUAAUUAAGUCCAUAGAACACAUACUUUAUUAUUUGAGAAAAUGACAAAAACAAAGACCAACUCACACAUCAAGAGGUAAAAUGUCACAAAUGCCCUCGUUAUUGAUGUACAUUUGAUACACCUUAUACACGUCUGAUACACCUAAUACCCCUUGAUACACUUGAUACUUCUUACUGAUACACUUGAUACAUUUGAUAGAUACAAUUCAUGCACUCGGUACUCAUUGAUACACUCGAUACUUUUUGAUACACACCUGAAACAUCUUCAUACACAUAAUACUUCUCGUUCCACAUAAUACUUCUCGUUACACUUGAUUCUUCUUGAUACACUUGAUACCCCUGAGACCUUGAUACACUUGAUUAGUUUGAUACACUUAAAGACUUCACUUAUAAGUUUGAUACACUUGAUACACCACUAAUAAACUUGUUAUACUUCAUUGGUACACUUAACAAAUUCGAUAUGUUUGAUGUACAUGCACUACAAGAAAUUUACCCUUUGUCGAUGACAAAUAUCGUCAGUAAAUCUUCAAAAACUAAUCAACUUUUCUUUUGCCAACGAAAUUAAGCUGUCAACACACACCGUCAGGUAGGUCUGUCGGAAGAUCCUCUAUCGAUGGCAAAAAAUAAACUGUCAGCAAAAAUAGGAACUAUCGAUGAAAUUGAACCAUCAGUGGGCGUGUGUGUGUGCGCUCGUGUGUGCGCAUGUCCACGUGUGCUUGGGUGUGUGUAUGCGCACAUACAUGUGUACGUGAGUAGGUGUUUGCGUGUUUCCGUGUGCAUUUGUGUGCGUGCGGUUUGGUGUGCGUGUGCAUGUGUGUGUUUGUGUGUGUGUGCCUAUGUUCGUUUGUGUGUGUGCGUGUAUGGGUGCACGCGCGUGCAAGUGUAUGUAUGUGUGUGCGCGUGUGAUUGUGUGUGAAUAAGUUGAUAUUUUUUAAUGUUGAGUUUCUCCCAAUUUUAAAACAAUAAUUUAAUUAUCUUGAUAUUCAAGCCAUUAAUAUUAUUGUGAGAUAAAGAUAGUGAAUAAGUUGAUAUUUUUUAAUUUUGAAAUUCAGUUAAAGUUAUUUUGAUACAAAAUCUAUUGCUGAGAUUAUCAUAUUCUGAAAAAUAAUAAUUUUGUUAUUUUGAAAUUCAAUUUGGUUAUUUUGAAAUUCAAAUUCAAUUAGGUUAUUUUGAAAUUAGUAAGAUUAAAUAAAGUUGAAGUCUUGAAUCCAUUAGUUGAGUCCCGAGAUAUUAAGAAAAAAGUAUGAUAUGAGUUUAUGUAUCUUUUUCAGGUAAAAAAUAAUUAAAAGCUGAUAAAUGCAUAAUAUAAAUUAAUUACAAUAUAGAAACAAGAUAAUUUUAGUUGGAGAAUGUGAAUAUUUUGGUAUUUUAUAAAAUAUUAUGCACGUGCAAAAAAUGUUAUUUGCUAAAAUUAACAAAAAAAUAGUUUUGCCAUUUUUCAAAAUGACCCAUAAAAAUGUUGCUAUAUCUCUUAUGACAGAGUGUAUAUCUACUGGUUCAUAUUCGACAUGUUUGUUGCUAAUAGAAUUGGAUAAAAUCGCAUUAUAUUGAAAUAAUUACACGAAUGACACUUUUAAGCCAAUAUUGGUAGAAAUUAUAGUUUAAUUAAUGUUAUUAAGUCAAAUGAACAUGGUUUAAAAGUCCUUCUAAACACAAUUAAUGUAGUUGUUUUUUAAUUUUAACUCAUUUAUACAUCUUUAUGCAUAUGUGCGUGUGUACGUGUGCGCGUGUAGGUAGGUGUGCGUAUGUGUAUGUGCGUGUGUUCGUGCGAGUGUCCGUGUGCAUGUGUGUGUGGGUGUGUGCAUGUUUGUAUGUGUUUGUGCAUGCGUGUGUGUGCACGGGCUAUUGCGUGUGUGCUUGGGUGUGUGGGUGUGCUCGCGCGUGCGUGUUUGUGCGCGUGUGUGUAUGUGUUUACGUGUGUGCUUUUGUGCGUACGCGUGUGUGCGUUUGUGCAUGUGUGUGUGCUUGUGCGCGUGUGGAUAGGUGUGUGUGUGUGCAUGCGUGCGCGUGUGCAUGUGUGUGUGCGUGCGUUCGUGCGUCUGUGGGUGUCUAUGUGUAGGUGUGCGUGUGCACGCGUGUGUGUAAGUGUGCAUGUGUACGUGUGUGCGCAGUGCUUCUAUGCUUGUGUGCGAACAAGUUAAUAUUUUUUAAUGUUGAGUUUCUUCCAAUUUUAAAAUAAUAAUUUAAUUAUCAUGAUAUUCAAGGCAUUAAUGUUAUUUUGAGAUAAAGAUAGUGAACAGGUUGAUAUUUUUUAAUUUUGAAAUUCAAUUAAGGUUAUUUUAAUACAAAAUCUAUCGUUGAGACUCUCAAAUUUCGAAAAAUAAUAAUUUUGUUAUUUUGAAAUUCAAAUUCAAUUAGGUUAUUUUGAAAUUAGUAUGAUUGAAUAAAGUUAUUAAUAUGUUGAAUUAAUUAGUUGAGUCUCGAGAUAUUAAGAAAAAUAUUAUGAUAUGAGUUAAUAUAUCUAUUUCAAGUAAAAGAUAAUUAAAAGCUGAUAAAUGCAUAACAUAAAUUAAUUACAAUGUAGAAACGAAAUAAUUACAGUUGAAGAAUGUUGAUAUUUUGGUAUUUUAUAAAAUACCAUGCACGUGCAAAAAAUGCUAGUUGCUAAAAUUCAAAGGAAAAAGUAGUUUUGUCAUUUUUCAAAAUGACCCCUAAAAACGUUGUUAUGUCUCUUAUGACAAAGAGUGUAGAUCUACUGAUCCAUAUUCGAUUUGUUUUUUGUUGGUAAAAUUGGAUAAGACCGCAUUAUAUUGAAAUAAUUACACGAAUGACAGUUUUAAGCCAAUAUUGAUAGAAAUUAUAAUUAAUCAAUGUUAUUAAGUCAAAUGAACAUGGUUUAAAACUCUUUCUACACAUAAUUAAUGUAUUUGUUUUUUAACUUUAAUUAAUUUACACAUCCUUGUGCGUGUGUGCAUAUGUGCGCGUGCGUGUGCGUGUGUGGAUGGGUGUGUGUGCGUGCGUGUGCGUGUGUUGUGCACGUGUGCGCGUGUGCUUGUGUGCGAACAAGUUGAUAUUUGUUAAUGUAAAAUUUCUCCCAAUUUUAAAAUAAUAAUUCAAUUAUCUUGAUAUUCAAGUCAUUAAUGUUAUUUUGAGAUAAAAAUAGUGUACAAGUUGAUAUUUUUUAAUUUUGAAAUUCAAUUAAAGUUAUUUUGAUACAAAAUCUAUCGUUGAGAUUCUCAAAUUUCAAAAAAUAAUAAUUUUGUUAUUUUGAAAUUGAAAUUUAAUUAGGUUAUUUUGAAAUUAGUAAGAUUGAAUAAAAUUAAAAUCUUGAAUCAAUUAGUUGAGUCCCGAGAUAUUAAGAAAAAAGGAUGUAUCUUUUUCAGGUAAAAAAUAAUUAAAAGCUAAUAAAUGCAUAACAUAAAUUAAUUACAACGUAGAAACGAAAUAAUUACUGUUUGAGAAGGUGAAUAUUUUGGUAUUUUAUAAAAUAUCAUGCACACGUGCAAAAAAUUCUAUUUGCUAAAAUUUAAAAGAAAAAGUAGUUUUGCCAUUUUUCAAAAUGACCCAUAAAAACGUUGCUAUAUCUCUUAUGACAAAGAGUGUGCAUCUACUGGUACAUAUUCGACUUGUUUUUUGUUCGUAAAAUUGGAGAAAUUGAGGACACAACUCCAAUUCCUAGCAUGGUUUCUCCCUAAGACUAUGCUGGUCCUAGUCGGGGAGUGGCAUUUACAUCCCAGAAAGACACACAUGUAUCACCUCGUGUUGGCACUUCCAUUGCAAUGCACAACUCUGACAUAUAUAGUGCCGACAUUUCCUUCCUUAAGCUUGAAAAAAAGGUGAUUUGAUGUCCAUAAAAAAUUAACUGAGCAGUUAGAUAUUUUCUAAUAUGUAUCUCACGUAAUUUGAUGCUCAUUGAUACUGCAGUACUGUGUCAGGAACGUGUUGAUGUAAAAUCUUUCAGUUUUGAUGGAUCUUAUUACAAGCUUUCAACUCUUCUUAGCACGACUUCUGACAGAACAAAGGUUUGAUAUAUCUUUACACGAUCGCAUAUCACAUAUGAACGAUCGCAUAUCCCAUCUGAAAUAUCGAUCACCCUUGGUAAAACAACCGUUUAGAUAUUCUACACGAUUGUUUGCUUAAGGAUACACGAUCAUUUUGUAACUAUUUUUUUUAUUAUCCUUUUUUCUUUCUAUACUAGAACCAGAAUCAAUUGUUUGAUGAUAUUAACAACAUGUAUGAUGAUCUUCGUGAUGAUUCUAGUCAUCACAAUCUGGACAAGAAUGAUGACCAUCAAAAUAACAAACAUGUGAUCAUCCAUGAGAAUCCAUUUGUUCAAGAGUCACAUCUUCAAGAAUCUACUGUAGAAACUCAACAGUUAGUGUUUAAUUCAUUAGUUACCGCUUUAUAUUGUUUAAAAUUGCUUAGAUUAUAAAUAAACAACAAUAAUUUUUUUUCUUUUCUGUGUAGGGAACAAAAAUGAACAACGCCUCAACAUCAAGAGUAGUCAGGCAGUGAUAUUAGCAUAUAUGGAAGAGAUGCACAUUUGAUAUUAACUAUAAGUAAUAUAGCAGAAAAUAUGGAAGGUCAUACUCAAACAGAAAAGGGAUUGCUAGAAAUGAUUGAAAAUCUUCCGUUGGUAAGCCAACCACUUCCACUUUGUGAGAUGCUACCAUUAACUACUGUCAAAGGUCUUGCAUUAGUUUAAUUGGUAUGUGUGCCCUAAAGGGAUAAAAGCUCUUGGCAGUGAAAGAUUUUACAAAACCAUUCAUCAAUUUUAAUUUGAAAAUUCCAAAAUACCAGUACAUUGACAAUAUUUAGAAUCAAAGUUCUAAAUAAAGAACUAAAUAUGCUUUUAAAUUAAAAGAUACAUAGAAUUGACUCUUGUUGACGUCUCUGAAUCUAGAAUCCACAGAAUUUGGGACACCACCCGUUGGAGACCUUCCUAUCUUCGAAGAUGAGAUUGGUUUGUGGAAAACAAUUGGAAUGAAAAAAAAAUUUAGAGAGAAACUAUGUAACACCCCCAAUAUCAAGGUAUUUCUCUCAAGCUAAAUUUUUAAAAUUUUAUUAAGAUUUUAAGGAAUUUGGUUGUGGUGUGGAUUUAGCAGGAAGUGAAGGGGGCUUUUAUGAAAAAAUAUACUAAUACUAAAGGUUAAAUAAUAAUAAUAGAAUUAAUGUUAUUAUUAAUUUAAAAUAUCAAUUCUUUAUUGAUUCACGUGCAACCCCAUCUCUUUCUCCUUCACUCUUCCUCUUCCCCGUGCCCACCGCCACCUGCCUCCCUUAGCCAUUUUAUAUUACUCUUGGACGUCAGCCGGCCACGCCGUCAUCGAUCCCUUCGUCUCCGUUGAAGCCGAAGCACCGUUCGUCGUGAGUUCGAACUCUCGGCAUCGCGUCUCACCUCUGUUUUCCAGCCAAGCUGUGAUUCAUUCGCGCGUAGCUCCUUCGACGUUCGCGCCACCACAUUCUGCUCCAGGUGACGAGGAGCGUCAACGAUUGACCUAUCAUCUCACCGGCAUUGUUACUUAGUUGAAGCAGCCGUCGACCAGACCUGAGCCCGUCACGUCUGUUGAAGUGCUGUCGCGCGGCUCUUCACCUUUCAGCCAUGGGUUGUAAGCUGAAGUUUGUUUUUUGUUUCUUGAUUAGAUCUGAUCUAUUACACGCGACGAUUCCAGUUAUUCGAAGUUGUUGCCCCCAUUUUACUCUAAUUUUUGGGAUUUUUGUGGUAAGUUGUAUUGGUGAGUGUGGUGGUUUUACAUUGUAAUUAUCCUUGGGUUGUAGUUUUGGAUAAUUAGUUAAAUUGUUAAUUGAUUCUUGAAGUUAGCGUUUGAGUUCUUUGGAUUCACAACUAAAUUGUAGAUUUGUUGGAGUUCGAUUCGCCAAUACUUUGAUAAAGCUAGAAUUUACAUUGAGGAAAUUAAAUGAAAGAAAGUAUUGUGAAAGUAAUUGAGUUCCAUAUUCUUAGUAUUAGGUUUCCUUCGUUCGAGAAAUUUAAGUAACAUUAAAGUAAGGGGUUUCUAUUACUGGACUCUUUGAAAGUUUUGAAAUGUGUUGACUGUUUGGAUCUCUGGACUUAGUAUGGUUUACCAAAUAUGUAGAAGUAGAUAUGAUGACAAAUGUAUAUUAUGCCAGACUAGUAUAGAAGUAGAUACGAUGGAUAAUGUAUUUGUAAACUGAGAAAGGUGUUAUGUAUAUAUAUAUAUCUUGACUGUCUGGUGUGUUGUUAUAGUAUCAACUGAUUUUGUGAUAGAUUGAAUAGAUUGAACGUAAGUGUGUUAAGUUGGAUUGAUGAUAUGAUUGUAACGACCCAACUUUUCUAAGUAAGUCGAGGUCGUUAAUUUUUUUUACAAAUAAAAGACUUUGGUUAAUAUAAAACAAAACAUAAGCUAAUUUAAAAACAUCUUUAAGUCAGGCCUGAAUUUCAAACAUUUAAGAAAACAUAAAAACAAUACUAUUUACAAUAAACGUUUGUAAGCAAACUUUCAAUUCAUCUUAAACCUCACAAAAACCCAUAAGCGGAAGCAAACAACAUAUUUCCUAUGGCAGUCACGCUUCCUUCCUGCCCUCGCCGGUUUGCCGCUUUUAUUACCUUUGCCUGAAAAUUAAACAUAAGAAGGGUGAGUAUUUAAAUACUCAGUAAGAGACCCUCUACUGUCUCGUCAGGGGAAAAUAAAUUGUUAACGUUCUAUUGGGACACCCUGUACAGUCGCAGUCUUGUGAUCCCGUAGGAUACACAUCUCAGUCUAACGCCCCGAGGGACGUACAUAUCAGUCUAGUGUUCUGCAGAAACACAUAUCAGUCUAAUGCUCCCGAAGGUGCACAAUAAAUUGGUGAUCCCGUGGGACACCUACAAGGUACACAUCCCAAUACAAUCUAACAAUUUUCCCCUCAUUCCAUUCAAUCCAUCUUUCAAUUACUUCAAAACACAAAGUUCUUUCUUUCAACGUCCUAACAGUCAACUUAUUUUACUUCAGUCAUAUGUCUGUCAAUAAUAUGCUAAUACAUCAGUCAAUCAAACUAUACAGUCAACACACCCCUCAGUUCAUCAGCACACAGUCAUACUUUAACGUAACGUACACCCAAUCUAAAUGAAAAUCACAAGUUCACAUCUGCAUCUCAUACAAACACAAUCUACAAUCUUCGUCUUGUCCACAUACACACACUUAUAUAUAUAUUCCAUGACAAUCACGAUAUACAUUCGAUGUCAAGUCUACUUCAAUUCAUAGGGAAAUGUCCUUCAAAUUGCUUAUACUUUAUAUUUUUUUUAUUUUGGUUUUCUUUAGUAAUUGAGACUGUUUUGGGUUUCAUGAUUGAACGACUUUUAUGUUCUUGAACUUUCUUUAUUAUCGAUACUUUUACACUUUCAAAAUUUUAUUUGAAAUAGAGACCGAAUAAAAACUCUUUAAUGUUGUUAAAAAAUAUUUUUUUAAAUUACAAAGUUUUAUGGUUAAAGGACGAAUCUAGUCUUAAAGUAAUAACUUCAGCUUAAUUCGAAAAAUUAGGUCGUUACAAUCUAUUUUGCAUAAAAGAAAAUCAUCGAUUUUAUUUUGGUUAAGAAAAGCUGUUUUUCUUCUACAUAUUUAUAACUCUCUUUCUUUCAUUGAGUAGGAGACGGGGUAGGAGAAAAUCAUAGGAUUCUAUUAACUUAAAAAAUAUUAAAUUAAUAGAAGUUUCAAAUCAAUUAGUUAAUAAUUAAUUAAAUUAUAUUUAAUUAAUUUUUCAUUUAAAUCUUAUUGAAUGAAUAUCUCUAAUUGAACUAAGCAUGGUAGCUACAGGUAGUUCUCUAAGAUCUUUAAAAACUAAAUUUACACUGUCUACACAAUUUGAUGUCAUCAUUCUAUAUAUGAAACUCAUUAUACCUGAGAUAGAUUCAACCAAUUUAUCAAAGAACCUUGGAAUCAACAUGUAUGAUUUAACUGUGUCACCUUUUAAUAUCUUUACUAUGUGUUCUUUUGCCCUCCAAGCUUUCUGCUAACUUAUAUUAACUCCAAGAUUUGUACAUGCCUUAUGCACAAUUGCUUUCAGAAUGAAACGAUCAAUAGACAUGAACCUGAACUCAUCUAUCAAGCAACUGUCAAUUACUGUUGAAGAAGCUUGCAUAUGACAACUAGUAUUCAAUGAACGGUCAUGUUCAUAAUUCUACUUAUCCAUCCAAUUGAAUCUGUUCACAUAUUAAAUCAACUAGAGAAUUAAAGCUGACUCGGACAUCUACCAAAAUUUCAGCAACUAAGUAAUUCUCAUAAAUAUUACAUCCAUUCCAUUGACCUCCAUAAAAAACAACAAUAGGAAAAGACAUUAUAAUCUGUAAAAAAAAAAAAAAAAUUAAGUAUUUAAUUGGGAUAGAAAGAAAUAGAUAGACAUAGAUAUACAUUUAUUACUGAAUAAAAGAAUAAAAUGUACAAAAUGAUAAUACUAAACACAAUGCAAGAAUAAGUAAACGAUCGUGCAAUGAAAUAAUAUACAUUAAACGAUCCUAUUAACCGUGAUAAACGACCAUUUAACAACGGUAAAUGAUAAUAUUGAUUAAAAUAAAUUAUCGUGUUGACAUGGGUACACGAUCAUAUGAUAUUGGUGAUCGUAUUGAAUAGUGUAAACAAUCGUCUUGUUAUCGGUACACGAUCGUGUUAAUAUUUGUAAGUGAUUCUAUUGAUAGUGGUAACUGAUCGUGUAAUUCGAUGUAAAUUAUCGUAAAAAACUUUAAACUAUCGAUCUUUAUAAUGAAGUACAUAAUUCUUACAUUAAUACUUAAAAUUUGUUGUAACGAUCCAACUUUUCUAACUAAGUUGAAGUCAUUAAUUUGGACAAAGAGACCUUGAUUGACACAAAUUAUAGUAAAAUUCACUUGAAAUCAUACGAUCAAAGAAAACAAACUUAAGUUCGGGCCCUAUUUCAAAUAACCAAAACUUUAAAAGUACUAUUUACAAAACAACAGUUCGUAAACUCAGUUCCAUCACAAAAUUUUUAAACAACCUCAUGUACAAAGGAAAAACAAGAAACAUAAAGCGAAAGCAUUUGAAGAACAUUCCCUUAUGGCAAUCACGUCUCCUUCUUGUCCCUCGUCGGUCUACCUCCUUUGUUACCUUUGCCUGAAAUAGUUAAACAUGAAAGGAUGAGUAUAAACAUACCCAAUAAGAGACCCGCUAUUGGUCCCAUUAGGGGAAAAAGAAACUGUUAACUUCCUAUUGGGGUACCCUGCACAGUCACAGUCUUGUGAUCCUGUAGGAUACACAUAAUCAGUCUAAUGCCUCAAAGGACGCAUAAAUCAGUCUAGUGUUCCGCAGAAACACAUAUCAGUAUAAUGCUCCCGAAGGAUGCACAUAUCAGUCUAGUGCUAUCGAAGGAUGCACAUAUCAGGUGGUGAUCCCGUAGGACACCUACAAGGUAACUACCCAAUAGAAAUCUAAUAAUUUUCCCCUCAAUCCAUUCUAAACAUCUUAACACUCAUUCAUAGUACAGUCCAACUACUUCAACAUAUAAUCCUUUCACUUAACACCCUAAUAGUCAACCUAUCUCACUUGAGCCCAAUGUCAGCCAGUAACAUAUUAAUACAUCAGUCAAUCAAACUAUAUAGUUAUAACACCCCUCAAUUCACCAGUACAUAGCCCUACUUUAGUAUAACCUACACCAAAUCUAAACGACAAUCACAAGUUCACAUCCACAUUCCAUACAAACACAAUCUACAAUUGUCGUCCUGUCUACAUCCAUACAUAUAUAUAUAUUCCCAGACAAUCACAAUAUGCAUUCAACAUCAAGUCUACAUCAAUCCAUGUAUAUAUAUAUUUUUUUUCAGUCAUUCACAGUAUACAUUCAACACCAAGUCUACAUCCAUAUGUAUAUAUAUCGUUUUGACAUCUUUACUCAAUCAGAGGUAACUAUACAGACAUCACAAUUCAAAACUAUAGGUGAGUCCAGUAGUAGAGAAUCCCUUACCUUAUAACCUUACUUAAGCUUCUUUUUCAAACUAAAGUGCAACGAACCGACCUAAACAUAAUUGAAGAGAAAUCAAUCACUUCCACAAACAAUUUAAUCCAUUCAAUUCACUCUAUAUGUAAAUUCCAUAACUUACCCAAAUUGUGGAGAAUCAAAUUCUAACGGAGACGGAUCGGUGCAACAAAUAACCAAACAAUUCAGAUCUAAACAUACAUGGCGUGACAGAACUGGAGUGACUCGGGCUAACGGUUAUGCGACGAUAGGAAAAAAUUUGCUUGACGUUCUGUGUAGGUGGAAGACGGUGGUGAAGUUGAUUGGAGAAGGAAAAGAGAAUGAAGAAAAGAGAGAUUAUGCAUACACUGUGAGAAGCACACAAAAAAAUUGAAAAUAAAUUGAAAAGAAGAGAGAGAUAAGUCUGAGGGAGAAAUAUUCAUUUCCUUUUCAAAGUGAAUUGCAAAGAAAUUUUCUCAAAUUGAAAAGAAAGGAGAAAUAUACAAAGUCAGCCACCGCUUCUUCUCCCUUCAGUUUGCAGUUUUCGUCUCCCUCUCUUCUAUUAUUAAAAUAAAUAAAUAAAAUAUCACAACCCGACUUAACACAAACUAUUUACUCCAACUUUUUAAACUACAAAUUUAAUUUCUCAACUUUUAAACUAUUUUAAACUUACAAAUCUACUUUAUUCAUUUCUUCAUAUUUAUAUCUAACAAAUAAAAAAAAAAUCAAAAUUUAUAGACACUUAAAACAUAAAAUUGAAAGACCUAUUAAACAAUUGAAAGGUUUAAGAGGUAACUAGACAAACUUUAAAAGUUCUAAGGGAAAGAAUCUUUUGUUUAACUAUUACAGUAAUUAAUUUUGAAAAUAUGUUAUUUUAGAAAAACUACAAGUGUUUGACAACUCUUUGAAAGCUAUUGAAAUACUCUCAAAUUGUAUUUUAAGCAAUUUUAAUAAAAAGAAAGUCUACAUAAAAAAAUUACCCUUUUUAAAGGAACAUUUUUUCUCUAAUCACUCCAAUGGAACUCAAACACGUACUUCAAGUUAAUUCUGGUAUCCAAGAAUCAGUCUCAUCCAACAUAAACAAGAACAUUCAACUUGAUAGAACUUCAUUACCUCAUUUUUACAAUUCCCAAAGUUACUAUAUGAAGGACCAUUCCUAAAACAUACUUACAUCCAACUUUCUCCAUGAAUAAACUUAUCGUCUUUUAUGUACUGAUGAAUAUAGAGAUGGAGCGAUCAGAGUUUGUUUAUGUACAAAAUUAGAGUGAGUUGAGAAAAGAGUGGAUUUACACAAGGACGAAAUGGCUGGCUGCUGCUUGUUCAAAACUGAAAGUUAGGGUGACCUUGUUUCUCAUAGGGACUCAGCAAAUUGAGGGGCCUCCAGGUCUACUUCUGGUCUCAUUAUACAUGCCAUUAGCCAUUCAACGUUGAAAGUCCAUAUCCCUUUUUCUACGGCCACCAAGGCUUCCUCCACGUCUUCCUCACAAGCCACAAAGAUCGUCUUCCAUACGUUGUUUACUUUAUCUAGCUCAUGAAUCACCUAAAUUUUCAAGCAUAAUGAAUUUGCCAAAUGAGAGAAAAAAUUAUGUAUAUACUACAAGGAAAUUGCAAGAAUUCACCCUAUCAAAAAAUAUUAAACAAAUUCUUGUUCUAGUCCCUAAAAUUUUCCAUCUUUUCCCAACUUUCAAAAUGAUUCCUAUGAGAUAUAUUCCAAUCACAUAUAGCAGAAAUGACCGAUGAGUAUUGGAUAAAUGAAUAUUAGUUGAUAAAAUAAUUUACAAAAUACUAAAAUCGUUAGUUGGCUACGUUUUGGAAGCUCGAUGAUUAAAAUGGAUGUUUUGAAAGUUCUAAGGCUAAAAUGGAAUUUAAAUCAACAUAAUAGUAAGUUCAAGAUCAAAGACAAGCUAAACAAUAAAAUGUUGCAAGCAGAAAACAAUCUAAUCAUAAUUAGAAACAUGAAUGUAUGUAUUUGUAAACCAAAUCACAAAAAAUAACUCCAAAUUUCGAUCUAGAGACAAUUAAAAACUUGAACAAAUUUGAUAAAUAAAGAAACACGGAGAUGGCCAUAUGACCCCUUGUGCAUAGACUUUUUACAUUACAUGCUCAAUUCCUAGGAUCAAAACAAACAUAAAUAUUAAAGACUUAAGCACAUACACUCUAGAUUGGCUAGUGUAUCAAUAAACAAUAUGUAUGGAACACUCGGAGAACACGUGUUGAACACUAGUUAGUACAGUAGAUGUGUUAGACAACAAGUACUUAUUGACUUUGAAUUUCUAUAUAAAUAUGAGACAUACUUUUUAAAUUAUAUAUAUUAAAACUGUGUUCUAGCACUAUCCUAUAUUUUUUAGAAAAAAAUGACACGUCACCAUGUCUAUAAUUUAUUGACCCAUGUCUAGAAUUCGUAUACGUGCUUGUUUGUUGAGAACUUCACGUCUUCAUUAGAUGGGAGGAUAGCCAUAUUAUAGUGGUCUAUAUGUAAUAUAGAGAACCAAACCUAGUACUCGAGAUUUGUACAAUAACAGAGAACUUACAUUUCCACCGGUUGACUUGACUAUCAAGGAUAGAGUUUCAGGUGGUGGUUGAGCGUGAGCUGAUAUGCAAACAUCAUACCCUUCAAAUAAAGCUCAAGAACAUGCUUUUGCCCUGAGAACUGCAGCUUUUAGGCUGGCUCGAUACUUCGAUAUGUAGUCAUCAUCAUUUAGUAUGUAAGGAAACUCGUCUGCAUAUCAAUAAGGAAUUAAUCAAUCACAAAAAUUAGGUAGGAUGAAAAACAUAAGUGGAAGAAAAUACAUUACGCUUUGAUACUAGCAAGCCAUUCGAACUUACCAACAAAUCUGCCUUCCCGUUAGGUUUCCUUUAACCAACUGGAGGAGAAAAUCCAAGCUCUGAGUAAUUUGCAAUUAACUUGCAAUUUUAGUAACAAGAUAUAGUAAAAAUUAUGAGCAAGAGCAUACUGACACACUUGAAGCCACAUGGUAAUGCAUAUGCUCGAUAAUCAUUGAGAACAUUAACAGGAGAAAAUAAAGUUAAGAAAAGUAGCUUGAAGAACAAAAAACAUUCUACAACAUAAAAUCUUCAAAAACACAUUGCUUAAAAUCAAGUUUACUAAUAUAAAAGGUAAGAUAUUACGUUCCACUCUCCACACUACUGAAGUUCAACAUUUCACAUGAAAGAAAUGAAAUACUACUCUCAAAUAUAACUGAAAAAAGCAUAAAUGGGUAAUGAAAAAGCAUAGAGAAAUGCAAAAGAAUCCUUGGCUUUGAUAUAUUGAAAGGUAAAGAAUAUCAACCAUAGAUGCCCGGGAGAAGAACUCCUACAAAUACACACUUAACGCAGAUUAUCAUUCGCUAACAUGAGACCUUCUAGACGAAUUCUGUUAGGAUACUUCCAAACAAGAACAAAAUCUUAAUUUAUUAUAAUGAACUAUAAGAAAAUACAAGAUAAAACCAAGUAUAAGGCACUUGGAACCUCUCUCUUGAGUACUCUCACCCAAGCCCUAGAUCACUCCCCAGAAUUCUCCCCUCACUUACCCUCCCUCCAUUUAUAAUAAGAUGUAACCACACUUACAUAAUAACUACUAGUAACUUUCUAAAUGAAAGAGGUGGGCGGCUGCUAGGGUGAACGGAGAAGAAGAAAGAGAUGGAGGACGCACGGGAGGAAGAAGGAAGGGAAAAAUUCUUUUUCUUUUCUUUUAUUUAUUUUAAAUAAUAAAAACUAAAAUAUAAAUAAAUAUAUAUAUAAUUAUAUUAUCACAUUUUCAAAUCUUCUUUCUCCCCCUUCAACAUAUUUUCUUAAAAAAAUAAAUCUUGUACAAAUCGAAAAAUUUUCUUAAAAUAAAUUACCUUCGAGUUUGGGGCGUUACACAAGGACUUGAACAUAGGACCUUUUGGACCACCUGCUCUGAUACCAUAUUAAACCCCAAAUUCACCCAAAAGCUUAAGCUAGUGGUUGAAGGUAAAUUUAAUUAUAUAUUACCAAAGUAUGAGGUUUCAUCACAAUACCAAUUGGCAAUGAGAGGAGUAGCUCAUCUAUUUUAUAAGGAGUCUAAGUUUCCUUGGUUUUUCAAUUGUGGGAACAUGCCCCUUCAAGAUGGUGCCUCUUUGGUUUCACCUAUCUUGAACCAAAUAUCCGUUUAGGCUUAAUGAGCUCUAAUACCAUAUUGAAAGCAAUAUAUACGAAACCAAAGCUUACGUGAAAACGCAAGAAUCGAAAGAAAAGCAUUGUGUUUGUAGAGGCACAAUUGGUUGUUUAAUAUAUAUCACUAACACUAUUGCUGCAAUGAUCGAUCAUCUCGAUGGAUUACCCAUUUAAGAGUUGUUGACAAGAGUUGACACUCUAGAAUCAAAAGUUGUAAGAACUAGAUGUUGUAAUUUAUGUCCUAAAACUCGUUGUAAUCAUAAUCUAUUCAAUUAAGUCGUUAUUGAUACUAUAAUCUUAAAGCCAAUAAACUAAGGACCCGAGGUUAUUAUUAAGUAAACUUGAACUUUAUGUAGAGACAUAAAAGUUGAUCAAGUUUAAGUAUAGAGCCUAAAUAGUAUAGAUUGUACGAAUACAGUUAGGCACCUUAUUCCAGGACACAAUGAAUGCAGUCUGCUUUGUAUUUAGUAUAACGAUGUGAUCCUAAAUCCUAGAGACAUGAAAGUAUGGACAUCCUAUGUAAAGAGUUUACAAAAGAAUAGAACCAUGAAAUAGUCACUUUUAAGUUAUAACACCGUUAACUUUGAAAAACUUACUAUUUCAUUGAUAGAUAUCAAAUAUAACUUAAUCUUAAUACUGGGCUAACUAUAAGCUUUUGUUCUCACCAGCAUGCUUGUUUAAGGCGUUGUUUAUCUAUGGCCACAUGCCCAAAUACCCCCAAAUCACCUUUUCUUUAUGUCUUGUAUUUAGUUUAGUCUAUUGCUUUCCUUUUUAUGUCAUAGACCUAGGGUGUGAGGUGUCACACAUUUUCAUUUGCAAACCUGUCAAAGCUCAAAAAGUCUAAACUAUACUAUAGGAGAGACCCAAUAGUUGAAUCCCCAACCAUUUCUUAUCGUAUUCUUUAUAAUUAAAUUUUUAUUUGCAAUUGAAAGUCUUCAACGCAUUCUUUAAUGAUGUUUUUAAUGAUACUCUCUCUCACAUUUUAUAAAACAAUUUUUUCAAGAACGAGAAGGGAGGUUAUAUCAUAUCGUGAGUUUGUUUGUGAUUUUCGGAUUUUACAUGCCUGACUUAUUGACUGAGCAAAACAAGUGUUCUACAAUUGUCCGUUCCAUGUUUGAAAGAUUGCGAUUGUGGUACGCAGAGUGUCACAAGUGUGCUUGUCCAAGGCAUUAUUUGCCUAUGGUCGUAUGCUCGUAUAUCCUCAAACCACUUUAUCUUUAUGCUUUGUACUUAGUUUAGUCAACUGCUUUCCUUUUGUUGUCACCGACCUAAGGUGCGUCGUUUCGCAAUUUUCAUAUGCAAUGUUGUCAAUGCUAAAAAAGUUUAAGAUGUAUUGUAGGGGAGGCAUGGUAGUUGAAUCCCCAACUAAGCCCUAUUGUGAUUUUUGCAAAUCUAAGCUUUCUUUGUAAUUGACAAUAUUCAAUUUUUUCUUUAAGGAUGUUAUCAAUGUUUUUCUUUAUCUCUCACGUUUUAUAAAACCAAUUUCUCUCAAAAGAUGAAGCGAGGCUACAUCGUACCACAAGUUUGUCCGCAACUUUCAAAUUUCACAAGGUUGCCUUGUUCAUCAAUUUAGAACAAGUGUUGCACAAUCGCCCGUCCCGUAUUUGAAAAGUUGCAUUUUGUGACAAGUGGUAUUAAAGCUUUGUUAGCUCCUUGGCUAAGCGAGAUGCAAUUAUGUCAACAAUGAAACAACUAUCAAAGUUGCAACCGGAGCGACUGACUGAGAUUGAAGAGGAAUUCUUGGAUAUGAAAGAAUUGCCAAACGAAGUAAGAUUUCUCUAGACCCAACUUGAGAUGUUUAAAGAAAAAGUCAGAGAAAUAGACGCAUUGAAUGCCUAAAUAGACAAACUACCCAUAAAUGAAUUGGUGCUGAGGGUUGAUUCGUUAGAACAUAAAACCACCAAAGUAGGUAGUUUUGAACGUGGAAGUAGCUCUUCAAGUUCUAUUGCACAAAUGGAAGAGCGUGUCGAAGAUUUUGACUUUUGACAAGCUCCAACAUAAUCAGUUAUAUUUCAAGAAAGAGAAAAGUGUUUUUGCUAAAUAGCGUAUCAAUUUUCUAGGUCACAUCAUCGAAUGUAGAAAGAUUUGAAUGGACGAACAUAAGUUGUAAGCUAUUAAGGAGUGGAGAGCCCCCACUUCCGUGAAAGAGUUACGUUUCAUCCUUCAAUAUAUUCUAAAAUAGGGUUCACCUACUAUCCUCUAGACUCAGUACCGGGAGAAAGAAAUAGAUGGAAAAAGAAAUGGGCUUGGUAAUUUUUUUCUAUGUAAAUAAGAAAAAGAAAUCCAAUUUGGUACAAGAGCCCAAAUUCAAUAGCCAGCCCAUCAAAUGAGGUCAACGACCCUAUUUAUAAGGAUUUUCCAUGCAAAAUUGCAUGUCCAUGGAAUACUAAAGCCCAACAACUCAAAGCUCUAUUUCUAAUAUGAAAUUCGAUGGCUAUAACACAUAUACUUGUCAGUUUCUCUCUCUUCUCCCAAUUCGAACAAUUCGACUUAUUCCAUCACACUGUUUUAAGUUUAUUCCAUAUGAGCUAGCAAGGGAACCUAAUGGACCUAUAUAUCAUGGACUCCAAUGAUUCAAGAUUAAUUGACAAAAUUCUUAUAGACUGAGUUAAUCAACAUUCGUUAACUAACGGGUCAUUCAUGUAUGUACUGGAACGAUUCAGAAUCACCUCGUUUGUACUAACUACAAAGCGGGCGGCAUCCACAAUUUCUCUGAAAAAAUCUGGGUUACUACAACGUCACCACGAUGUACAAUUUUCCUGAUAAGAUGGUACUUACGUUCGAUAUGUUUUCCCCGUUUACGGCUUUUAGGUUCUCUUGAAUUUGCAACUGCACCACUGUUGUGACAGUAUAAAGUGAUUGAUAGAUGCAUAUUUGGAACGACUUUCAGAUCUGUCAAGAAUUUUCUUAGCCAUAAUGCUUCUGUUGUUGCUUCAAAAGUUGCUACGUAUUCUCCCUCCAUUGUGGAAUCAACUAUACAAGUUUGUUUUAUGCUUCUCCAAACUACUACUCUUCUAUUUAGAGUGAAUACUAAUCCUGAUGUAGACUUUCUAGCAUCUUUAUCAGUUUGAAAAUCAUAAUGAGUGUAUCCAGUAAGGAUCAAAUCUUUUGUACCAUACACGAGAAUGUAGUGUUUUGUUCUUCAAAGAUAUUUUAGAACAUUCUUAACGGUUGUCUAGUGAUCACGUCCAAGAUUGGACUGAUACCUACUGACCAUCCCUACUAAGUAGCAAAUGUCAGAUCUAGUACACAACAUUGCAUAUAUCAAACUUCCAACAGCGGAAGCAUAGGAAAUUUUUCUCAUAUCCUCAAUUUCUUGAGGUGUCUUAGGACAUUGUUCCUUUGACAAAUGAAUUCCGUAGAUGUAUAAUAGCAUACCCUUUUUGGAAUUCUACAUUUUAUAUCUAGACAACAUUUUGUCUAUAUAAGAUGCUUGAGACAUGGCUAGUGUUUUGUUCUUGCAGUUCUGUACAAUUUGGAUCUUAAGAACGUAUUGUGCAUUUCCCAGAACUUUCAUUUGAAAUUGCAUAGCUAGCCAUUUCUUGAUAUUAGUAUGAAAUCCUAUGUCCUUUUCCAAUAAGUAGAAUAUCAUCUACAUACAAGACUAAGAAUACUACAAUGGAAUUGACGACCUUUUUUGUAAACAUAAGGUUCGUCAACCUUUUGUAUCAAAGCCAUAAGAUUUGAUCAUAGUAUCAAAUCUUAUAUUCCAGGAUCUAGAUGUUUGUUUUAAUCCAUAAAUGGAUUUUUGAAUCUUACAAACCUUUUGUUCUUGAUCUUGAUCUAUAAACCCCUAUAAUUGAGUAAUAUAGAUACUCUCUUCAAGAUUGUCAUUCAAAAAAAGUUGUCUUGACAUCCAUCUGCCAAAUUUCAUAAUCAUAAAACGUGGCGAUGCAUAAGACUAUUCUAAUUGACUUUAGCAUGGCAACGAUAGAGAAAGUUUCUUCAUAGUCUAUGUUAGAAAGAGACAUGCGCAGUGGAAAAAUGGAAUACAAAAUUCCCCUAAUUGCACCUAUUUAACUUGCAACCCUAAAUUAAAAGAAUUAGGGUUUAGGAAAUAUUAUACCUUUGUAUCUAUUCGAAUAUGAAGUCUAUACCUCUCACAAAAUUCCAAAAGUUUUUGAAACCAAAAUGUAACACCUUAAACUUAGGAUUUGGAAUUCGUAUCUCCAGCAUUCUCUGCAUCCCCUGCCACCUGGCAGCAUCAUCCUUACUAUUCUUAAAAACUUAUUAGAAUGAAAUUCCUCUUCACAAAACAACACGAAAUCUUUCAGCAUGCUUUUCCUCACUCACAUGCAUCCUAGGAAAAUUUCCAAGAGGUCACCCAACAUAGAAUUUCUUCAAGCUAAGCACGCUUAACUUUGAAGUCCCUAUAAUCGAGCCACCGAAAAAAAAAGGUUCACAUUGUUGGUAUAGGUAUUAAGUUUUAAUUCUUUUCAGUCUUUCUUAACAUGACUUUCAUGUCCUCAAGGUGCACCUUGUCGGUAUACUUGUCGAUUUCUCUCUCUUCUCUCAAUUCGGACAAUUCGACUUAUUCCAUCACAGUGUUCUAAGUUUAUUCCAUAUGAACUAGCAGGGAAACCUAAUGGACUUAUAUAUCAUGGGCUCCAACGAUUCAAGAUUAACCAUGAUCAAUAAGUUAAUCCUUCACAUGUUAUUCGUAACCUCGAAUGGAUCAAAUUACUGUUUUAUCCUUGAGACUACAUCUUAUUUCUUAAGUCUCAUUGAUCCACUAUUGAACAAUUGGUUUAAGGUCCAACCUAUAAACUUAAUCCCUCUCGGGCUAAUGUGAGGGUGGGGCCCCUUGUUCAAGACAUGGAUUUAGUGCUUAAGAGAACAACCUAUCUACUAACCCUAAAACAGGUAGAAGUGAAUUUUUUCUUGCAUCCUAUGUUCCCAGCCAUUCAUCUGAUCUUACCCUUGAAAUAGGAGGCUUAUUGGGAGAACGUUGAUGAGAUACCCUCACCUAUGCAGAUGUAACCCUAAAACAAGUAGAAGUGAAUUCAGUCUUAUGUAAGUACUUUAUAGUGUUUAAGAGAACAACCUAUCUACUAACCCUAAAACAGGUAGAAGUGAAUUAUGUCUUGCAUCCUAUGUUCCCAGCCAUUCAUCCGAUCUUACCCUUGAAAUGAGAGGCUUAUUGGGAGAACGUUGAUGAGAUACCCUCACCUAUGCAAAUGUAAGGAUAAUCUCAUGUGAACAGGAGUUCAUAGUUAGCUUAGGAUUAAGAUUAAGCUACCUAAGUCAUCAAUAAACGAAAUAGUCAGUUCUAAACAGUAAACGGUGUUUAACGUAAAAGUGACUAUUUCAUGGAUCAGUCUUAUGUAAGUACUUUACAUAGGAUGCCCCCACUUUCAUGUCUCUACAUGAACAAUUUAGGAUCACCUCGUUUGUACUAAUUACAAAGCGGGUCACAUCUGUAGUUUCUCUAAAUAAGGCACUAUAGACUAUUGAGGCUAUAUACUCGAACUUGAUCCACAUUUAUGUCUCGACAUAAAGUUCAAAUGUAUUAAAAAAUAGCAUCAAGACUUAGUUUAUUGGAUUUAAGAUUAUAAUUUUUAAUUUUUCAAUAAUGAUUUUAUUGAACUGAAUAUGAUAACAAACUACGAGUUUUAGGACAUAAAAUCCCAACAUAUGUAUUUUUGCCUCUAAUAAUAAUGUUGAAAGAUGUUUAUUGAUGUUGUCUCUUUGAUUUGGAGUCGCCAUGUAGGAGUUUCUCUGAUUGUGAGUUUCGUAAGAAAUUUACAUAACCACAAGCCUACCCUCCAUAUACAGUUUGGUAAGCACAUUCAGAGCCUAAGUGAGGAGGUUCGUAUUGCUAAAGAGUCCAUGGAUAAAGCUCAGAGAAAGGUUGGGCAAAAUCCUAUGUCUGAUGUUUUGAGUCGCCAAGCAGGUCUUGCCAUUGAGGCCUUUUGGACGGCUGUUAAAUUGGAGGAAGCCUUCAUGUGUUAGAAGUCCAAGAGGUUUGUGAGUUUCCUUAGAACUUGUGUUACCUCCUCGAUGUUCUCCAUUAUGAUUAAUGGCUCUUUCAAGGGUUUUUUAAUGGGAAGAAAGGUUUGCGGUAGGGUGAUCCUUUAUCUCCUUUCCUUUUUAUCAUGGUGAUGGAGGUCCUCUCUCGUAUGUUAAAUCGGCCUCCUCCGAGCUAUCAGUUUCACAGGCAUUGUGAGAAGGUUAGCUUAACUCAUCUGACCUUUGCUAAUGAUCUUAUGAUUUUUUGUGCUGCUGAUGAUUCCUCUUUGAGUUUUAUUAACGAGACUAUUCGAAAGUUUGGUGAUCUCUCGGGGCUAUUUACUAAUCUUAGUAAAAUUUCUAUGUUUGUUGUAGGGGUUAAUAGUGAUGAUGUUUAUCGUUUGACUACCAGUUUGGGUUUUGUCCUCAGGCAUCUCCCUGUUCGUUAUCUUGGGCUUCCUUUACUUUCUGGAAGGUUACGACCUACUGAUUGUGCUCUCUUAUUCAACGUAUUACUAGUCAGAUUCAUUCUUGGUUUGCUAGAGUUUUAUCAUUUGCAGGUAGAUUGCAACUGGUUCAAUAUGUGCUUGAUAAUCUUCAGGUUUACUAGGCUAACGUGUUUGUGCUGCCUGUGAGUGUGCAUCAUGAGGUUGAUAAAAUCUUGAGGUCUUAUCUUUGGAGGGGUAAGGAGGAAGGUAGAGGAGGUGUUAAGGUGGCGUGGGCUGAGGUGUGUUCCUUUUGAGGAGGGUGGUCUUGCUAUUCUUGAUGGGUCUUCUUAGAAUGUUGUGAGUACUAUGAAGAAUCUUUGGUUGUUGCUGACUAGUUCGAGUUUUCUAUGGGUUCCUUGGGUGGAGGCUUAUAUUCAUAAAGGAAGGUCAUUGUGGGAGGUCGAUUCUUGUGUUGGUCGGUCUUGGUGUCUUUGCGUUAUCAUGUGGAAACGAGAUAGUCUAAAAGAGCAUGUUCAGAUGGAGGUUGGGGAUGGUAGGCAUUGUAAACUGUGCCUGGAUCCGUGGUUGCAGGGUGGUCCUAUCCUUCAACAAGUUGGUGAGAGAGCGCUUUAUAAUGUAACGAGUAGAUAGGAGGCUAGGCUCUCUAAGUUUAUUGGUUCGAAAGGGGAGUGGAGGUGGUCGAGGGUGUCUUUGGAUUUGAUUAAUUUAUGGGAUAGGGUUCAAGUUGUAAGUUCGUGUCCUAAUGUUGGUGAUAGGUGGGUUUGGGUUCUUGGUCGUCAUAGUGGUUUUUUGAUUGCUAGUGCAUGGGAUACUAUUCAUCCUCGUAGUGUUAAGGUUCGUUGGACAGGUUUCUUGUGGGGUGGGGAUUGAGAGUCUCGUUAUCAUUUGUUUUUUCAUGUCCUUUUGGGUGUGAUAUUUAGUCUCGGGUCCUUCAGGUUAUGGCUUCCUCUCACAGGAUUGGGUAUUGGAGGGUUGAGUUGUUUGGGGUUUGUCAUUAGAGUAUUGGUAAGGGUGUGAGAAGGAAGUUGUGGUAUGUUCUCUGGUGUGCUACGAUUUAUUUUAUGUGAAAGGAGCAUAAUCAUUGUCUCCAUGGUGGUCAAGCUCGUGAGCUCAUUGUUCUGUUUCAGCUUAUUCCAUCUUGUAUCAGUGCUCGUGUUGUUUAUUUGCGUGAGGAUGCUCAUGGUAUUAUUUAGCUUGUUUUCUUUUGAUUUUUGUUUUAUCUGCUUGUUCUCGGGCUGUGGGGUUGUUUGGACUUUUUAUGUUUUUGUUGCUCUUAAUUUUGUUGGGUUUAUUAUUGUUCUUUCUUUUGAUACUUUGGAUUCUUCCUAUUUUUGUGAGCAUUGUCCGCUCUUGUGAGGUCAUCCUUGUUGUAUUAUGAUAUUAACUUUUCAAAAAAAAAAAGAAAGAUAAUGCAAUUCAACUUUAGAUAAAAACAUGAUUCGAAUUUUCAUUUCAAGAAAAUACAAGGGGACAGAACUUUUCUUUCACUAUUUCAAUUACUAGAAUCUAAAUUUCAAUUCUCACUUUUUUGUAUUUUGAAUUUACAAGCCUCUUUUUUCUUUCUUUGGUAUGAAAGGUGGCAACUAGGCCUUGCUAGAACGAGUGGGGUAACCUUUCUAUGGUUCUACACUUAGUUUCGAAGUUCGAAGUUUUCCUCCUACAGUGGAUCAUCGCUAUUGAUUUUUCUACUGUUAAUUCGACCUCCCACGAAUUCUCUUCUUCUAAGGAUUCACUUUUCUUUAAGGCUCUGCACUCUACUAAAAAGCCUUGAUCUUCUUCCCCCCAAUGUUUUCAUAAACUUCUUAAGACAGACCCUGACCUUGGUUAGGCUCGGAUCUCCUUGGAUUAUCACCUUCUUCCCCUAAUAUAUCAAUGUUAACAUCAUAUUCUUCCAAUCCACUCCAGUCGUUCCCAAGGAAUACAAUCACUGCAUUCCAAGUAUGGCAACUACCCCUCCCAACUUCAAGGGUAAAAACUCAUUCACUACCUUCUAGUCUCCCAGCAUUAACUCAACAUCUUCACAAAUUACCUUCCCUUUGACUACAGUGCCCGAGCCCAAAAUGACUCCAUAAUUCGACGUUUCUCUUGUACUCAGUUGCAACUCUUUCACUAUUUUUUUUAAAUGAAAUUGCGUGUGACUCCACAAUCAAUUAGUACUAUAGCCACCUUCCCUUGUAUCAUCUCUUUUACCUUCAUUUUCCCUAGGUUGGAUAAUCCCACCACAUAAUUAAUGGAUAAUUCCACCAUCACUUGACUCUCCUCUACGAUCUCAGGGGCAUUCAAUUCUUUCUGAUCAAUUCCUCCUUCUUCAAUAAUUUCAUACUCCUCGCCUUCUUCCUUGACAACAAUCAUUCGCAAUUCCCUUUGCUCUUUCAUCUUGCAUUUGUGGUCAUGAGAAUAUUUCUCAUUACAACGAAAGCACAAUCCCUUCUUUCUAGAUUGAAAUUCAGCAUCAAAUAAGCGCUUCGUCUGUCCCUUUUUCCGUACUUCCUCUUUUGUUGUUCCUCGUAGAGUAAUAGUUCUCAUCGGCCAAUUCAUUCCUCCUUUACUUUCUUCUGUAUUCGCAAUGGUAUUAGCCUUGGUGCUAUUAUGGGAGUUUAUCACCUUUUCUCCAGAAUAUCCAGAAAGAUUUGCUUCCUGACGUAUAUCUUCCUUGUUCUCUACCUUUUGCGCGAUUCGUAUCAUUUGUGCUAAUCCCUUCGACUCACAUAAAUCCAUCUCCGCGUAGAUCCAUAGUUUCAAUCCCGACAUAAAUGUCUCUUUUACCACCUUCUCUAAUAGGUCCGACAAAGGAGCUACCCACUUAUCGAAUAAAUUUUGAUAUUCCUCUAUCGUUGUCUUUUGUUGAAUUUGCAAGAACCUUACAUACAGCGAUUCCUCCCUAACGGAUCGAAAUCGCACCAAUAAUCUUUCCUUCAUAUUCACCCAAUCUACAAAGUUCUCUCGUUCUUCUUGAGAACGGUAAAAGUUCAAUGCUAGUCCCUUAAAACUAAUAGUGGAUACAGUCAUUUUCUCAAAUUCAGUAAGUUUAUGAAUGUGCAAAUACCUCUCUACGCGAAACAGCCAAGAAUCAGGAUCAUCUCCAUUGAAUAUCGACAUCUCCACCUUCUUAAACUUAUUGCAGUCACUAUUACUUUCAUCAUCUAUUUUCUUUCCUUCCUUCCUUGUUUCGUUCUCCCAUCUUGGUCACCCUUCGCCUUCGUCCACAUUCUUCGUCGAGGAAUUGUGCAUUGUUGUCGAUUCCAUAAUUCGUAACAUCAUCUGAUUCUACCUCUCCAUAUUUUUGGAUAUUUUGGCUAACGUCUUUUCGAUCACCAGUAUCUUACUAAUCUCUUUCUUAAUGUCCUGUAUUUCCUGGUCAAACGUCUCCAUCUCUUCGAUCCGAGUCUGAACCAUUUGCAUUCUUCUUGCCCAAGAUCAAUGCUCUAAUACCAAUUUGAUGGAAACCAGUCUUGGAAUAAAAUUGCUACUAUAUUAUUAAUGAUAGAAUAGGAAUGAAAUCCUAAUUACAAUAUGAAAUCCCUCUCCUGUUAUCCUCUCUCUCAAGGAAGAAUAGAAAUUCACUUUCUCAAACAAAACCUAACUUUCCCGCCCACGAUUACUUUUUAUUUAUACUAACAAUAAGGUAACUAACCCUUCCCUUUACUAACCCUCACAUGCUAUUCAUGUGCACGUGAUAUUUUUUUUUUAAUUUCUUUAUCCCUCUUCUGCUGUACAGAUGUAAUAUAGGGGGUCUAUCAGAUUCCUCCUCUUUUCAAAGCCUCCAAUCAAACUCAAUGCUAAGUUUGACUGCUCCCUUCAGAGUGACGACCCUCAUUUUCCCCCUUCCGUGGUUUGGGGAGGAUUCCUCCUCUUUUUAAAGCCCUCAAUCAAACUUGAUGCUAUGUUUAGAACGCUAAGAAUAGGUGGUUUAGUUUUGGUUAGGCCAAAAGUGAAAUUUUCCCCCACAAGCACUAAUAGUUAGGGAACUCAACACAUUCUACUUGACUUAAUCGACUUGACUCUCUAAUUUUUAUGAGCUUUUUUCAAUGCAUAUUGCAUAUGCUUUUUUUAUAGUUGUUGAUUGUCUCACAUUUUUAUGGUUUGCAUUUACAAGCCCCUUUUUUCUUUCUUUGGUAUGAAAUAUGGUAAUAGGCCUUGCUAGAACCGGUGGUGUAAUCUCUCUAUGGUUCUACACUUAGUUUCAAAGUUUGAUUACUCCCUUCGAAGUGACAACAAGCCUCGUUUUCCCCUAUUGUGGAUCAGAGAGGAUUCCUGCUCUUUUCAAAGCCCACAAUCAAACUCAAUUAGAGUAAAAAGGAAAAAUUUUCAUCUCGGGCGCGUGUACCUCACACGCAUCUCUCUAGGAUUUCCAAGUUCUCUCACUCGGCUGGUGAAGGAGGCGAACGGUUGGUGAGUGCUGCGGCCAGCAAGGGAUCAAAUUCGAAGGUAAUUCGUUCAAUUUUGGCAGAUUGAAUGUGAAAACUAAUGUCAUUUGGUAUCCAUUUCGAAAUUGAUUACAAUUGAUCAAUUGAACCAUUACGAAUGAUAUUCGUUUUGAUUCGGGAGAAUUAACGUCUGUCCAGAAAUUGUUUAAAUCGGUUUCCAAGCUGAAUUGAUUUGAACUAUCUUGAAAGUAUUGCGUGUGGUACAAAAUCGAUUUAUUGGCUAUCAGUUCUGGGUUUGGAGACUGUGAUUUAAUUCACUCGCUGGAGGGAUCUCGCAUGAAUCUCCUCGGUUGAAUUUCAAUUCUUUUUUAGUUCAUUCAUGUUCCCAAAUUGGGCCGAAAAGAUCAUCACGGGUGUUGGGUUGAUGUCUUAAGCAUGAAACAAUGAAGAAAUUAUCCAGUGACAUUGAGGAGGUGAAGAAACGCGUACAUGAUAUGGCGGCGAACGACCGAAGGGCGGCGACUGCAAAGGCUGACCUAAUUUCUGUGAGGAAGAAAUGGUCGGACAUGAGUGGACCCGAACCGGUUUACGUGAACCAUGAAACAUAUAGAAAUCGAAAUACAGGAAAUGGACCGAGCGGAGAUGGUCCCAUGAAGAUUGUUGGCCCAAAGGCGUGUGGACCGAUUGUUUCGAAUGAAAACUUGAUGAAGCCCAGUGAGCCGGUAAAGGGGUGAAGCCGAAUGGUGUGUUCACAUUUACGAAUGGAAUUGGUCAUGGAUCUCUGGUUGAUGGGCCAUCGUUGAAUGAUGGGCCGUCCAUCUCACACGAAAUUGGGAUCUCACAGAAGGAGUGCUUACCUGCUGGUGCUUCAUGUGUUCAGCAUGUUGGGCAAAUUGCAGCGGCCGAAGGAUAUGGACCUCGACUGGAUGCUAUUGCAAGUGCCCCAAAGAUUGGGCCGGUUGAUGGGCAUUUGAAUGAUGGGCCAGCCAUUAGAGAACCGUUUGGUACUAAUUCCAAUGGUAGGCCGCCUGUUUCGAUUCGUGGGCAUGAGGUGCAGAAAUCUAAUAAUUCUAGAGGUGCAGGCAAAAAUUCAUGGGCUUCCUUAUUUGGCUCAACAAGAGGUUUCUCUAUGACCUAUACACCUCUGACUACCGUGGGAGAGAAAAUUGUGGUGACCCCGUUUGAAGAAGUUAUUAGUUAAGGAGUUAGAGUGUGGGAGAACUCCCUCGUCAGCCAAUUAAUUGAUGCAAAAUUGUUGUAUCUAGUCAUCUAUCGUCUUAUAGAGAAGAUUUGGGGUAGAAUUGAAAUGCCAACAAUUACUCUGAUGGAGAAUGGGCUCAUCUGCUUUCAAUUCAAACAUCUGAAGUCAAUACAGUGGAUCUUAUCCCGUGGCCCAUGGCACCUUGGAGGCAAACCUAUGCUCCUCCGCAAAUGGACUCCAGGUAUAGUUCCUGAAUCCUUCGUCUUUGAUUCAGUUCCUGUUUGGAUAAAGUUAGGGAGGAUUCCGUUGGAGCUAUGGACGGAUGCUGGUUUGGCUGUGGUAGCGAGUGCAAUAGGAAAACCUCUUUUAGUUGAUCUUGCUACUAAAGAGAGGCGUCGUCUUUCUUAUGCCCGUAUAUGUGUGGAAUUGAAUGUGGACAAUAUUAUGCCUGCCGAAGUAACAGUCAACCUUAGAGGAGAGGAAUUUAUUGUAACUGUCACUUAUGAGUGGAAACCGAAAAAAUGUAACUUGUGUAGAUCUUUUGGACACUUGCAGAACACCUGCCCUAAGAAAAGAGGCAAUGAAGAUAGUAAAAAGGAAGCUGCAAGUAAAGAGGUUCCUGUUAAAGAGGUUGUUCCUACUAAAGAGGUGGUUCCAGAUUGUGGGGAGUAUGGAGAUGUUGUGUUGGAAUCCUUCCAACACAUGGAAGAAGGAGAAAUUAUUACCCAUAAACUUCCUGAAAAGGUGGAGGUGAAUCGGGAGGAAUUUACCCCAGUUGACAGGAAAAAUAGGGGAAUGAUCUCUAUUCGGGACAGAGGGAAAAGGGCAGAAGUGAGUAUCACUAACUCCUUUAAGAACCUCAUGGAGGUGGAUAAAGGAGAUAAAUGGCUUUUAUCUAUAGUGGAUGGCUCCCCUCCUCCCUUACGAGUAGAUGACUCUUCUAUGGUCCUUUUGAGUACUACAGGUGAUGUAAUUCCUAUGGGAGAGGCGGCUCCCAUAUGACCUCAUGGUUAGUUGGUGUACGUGGAACGUGCGGGGCCUUAAGAGCCCUGUAAAGUGUAGAGCGGUGAAGGACCGGGUAUGGUCUUGGGUGAUUUUAACACCAUCAGACUCCACUCUGAAGCCUUUGGGGGUGCUCCGAACGUGGUGGAUAUGGAGGAGUUUGACAUGGCUAUUAAAGAGGCGAACCUUGUUGAACCCGCGGUCCAGGGGAACUGGUUUACUUGGACUAGUAAGAUACAUGGGUCGGGUUUGAUGAAGAGACUUGAUCGUAUCCUAGUGAAUGAUGAGGGGCUUAGUACAUGGCCUAACAUGAGGGUUAACGUCCUCCCGUGGGGUAUUUUUGAUCAUUCUCCCAUACUUGUCGAUCCCAGUAAUCAGCGAAGCCAACAAGUGGUCUCUUUUCGUUUCUUUAACCAUUGGGUUGAAGAAGCGUCCUUUAUGGAUGUUGUGUCCUCUACUUGGACCAAAGAUACUAGAGUUUCUCCAAUUGUGAAUAUUGUGAGGAACUUAAGAAAUCUCAAGUCGAUUCUUCGCAGACAUUUUGGUAGGCAUAUCCGGACCAUCAGUGAGGAUGUUCGUCUUGCCAAUGAUACCAUGGACCGAGCUCAAAGAGAGAUGGAGACGAACUCUCUGUCGGAGGAGGCGAGUAAUCACGCGAGCUUAGCCACGGUAAACUUUUGGAAAGCGGUUAGAGUGGAGGAAGCCGCUAUGCGCCAGAAGUCGCAAAUCAGAUGGUUGAAGCUAGAUGACCAGAAUACUGCCUUUUUUCAUCGAUCUGUUCGAUCAAGGCAGAGCAGCAAUGCUUUGAGAUCAGUUAUUGACCCAGAUGGAAAUCGGUUGACUAACUAUGAUUAGGUGACUCGGGUGGUAGUGAAUUAUUUCAAAGAUAUAUGGGUUCUCAGAAUAUUAGCUAUAGAGAGCUCUCUACUAGUAUUGAGGAGAUUGUUCAGUUUAGAUGGACUGAGAAGUGUUGUCAGGCCCUCCAGUCGCCUAUUGGUAGGGAGGAAGUGAGACUUGUUCUGUUCUCCAUGGAUGGUGGAAAGGCUCCAGGCCCCGAUGGGUAUUCAGUUGGCUUCUUCAAAGGAGCUUGGACGGUGGUUGAAGAAGGUUUCUGUGAUGUCGUCUUACACUUCUUUGAGACCAAUUACUUCCCUCAAGGGGUGAAUACGACUGCUAUUACACUUAUUCCUAAAAGGAAUGGUGCUGAUCGAUUGGAGGAUUUCAGCCCUAUAUCUUGUUGCAGCGUUAUUUAUAAGUGCAUUUCAAGAAUAUUGGCAGAUAGGCUUCGUGUGUGGCUUCCUUCUUUUGUUAGUGGAAAUCAGCCAGCUUUCAUCCCUGGGAGGAGUAUUAUUGACAAUAUUCUUCUUUGUCAGGAGCUUGUAGGGGCAUACCAUUUGUACAGAGGUAAACCUCGGUGCACUAUGAAGGUUGACCUCCACAAAGCUUAUGAUUCUGUUAAUUGGGAUUUCCUCUUUGGCCUGCUGAUUGCCAUAGGUACGCCUUUAAGAUUUGUGAGUUGGGUUCGAGCGUGUGUGACCUCUCCGAUGUUCUCCAUUAUGAUUAAUGGAUCGUUGGAAGGUUUUUUCCAUGGGAGGAAAGGACUUAGACAAGGUGACCCUUUAUCCCCGUUCUUAUUUGUGAUGGUCAUGGAGGUGCUUUCUCGCAUGUUGAACAACCCACCUCAGAAUUUUCAAUUCCACCAGUUUUGUGAGAAGGUCAGAUUAACUCAUCUUACUUUUGUAGAUGACCUGAUGAUCUUUUGUACUGCUGAUAAUCAUUCUAUGAGUUUCAGAAAAGAGACUAUUAAGAGGUUUGGUGAGCUUUCGGGACUGUUUGCUAAUCUUCCUAAAAGCUCAAUUUUUCUUGUCGGGGUUAAUAGUUCGAAAGCUUCUCGGCUUGCUGCUAACAUGGGUUUUUCCAUUGGUCAUCUCCUUGUUCGUUAUCUUGGGCUUCCUCUCCUCUCUGGAAGAUUGCGGAGCUCUGAUUGUGAUCCCCUUAUUCAGCGUAUUACCAGUCGUAUUCGGUCUUGGUCUGCUAGAGUGUUAUCUUUUGUAGGUAGACUUCAGCUUGUUCGCUCAGUCCUUAGGAGCCUUUAGGUUUAUUGGGCUAGUGUGUUCAUGCUUCCUAUGAAAGUCCACAGAGACGUUGAUAAGAUCUUGAGGGCUUAUCUGUGGAGAGGUAAGAAGGAGGGAAGAGGUGUUGCUAAAGUUGCCUGGGAUGAGGUUUGUCUUCCUUUUGAUGAAGGAGGUCUUGAUAUUCGCGAUGGAUCUUCUUGGAAUAUAGCAAGCACGUUGAAGAUAUUAUGGUUGCUACUUGUUAAAUCUGGUAGUUUGUGGGUUGCUUGGGUGGAAUCUUAUAUCCUUAAAGGGAGAUCGCUGUGGGAGAUCGAUGCUGGGGUGGGUCGAUCUUGGUGCUUUAGGGAAAUCUUGCGUAAGCAGGAUAUCCUUAAAGCUCAUGUUAAGAUGGAGGUGGGCAAUGGAAGGAAGUAUAGAGUGUGGUUGGUUUCAUGGAUUCAGGGUGGGCCGAUUAUCCAGCAGUUUGGGGAGAGGGUGAUCUAUGAUGCGGGUAGUCGGUGGGAUGCGAGGCUGGUGGAUUUCAUGGGUCGGGAUGGUGAUUGGAGGUGGCCACUUGUUUAUUUGGAUUUGAUGGACAUUUGGGAUAGGGUUCAGGGAGUGAGGCCGAGUCCGAGUGUUGAGGAUAGGUGGGUUUGGGUGCCGGGGAGUCAUGAUAGUUUUUCGAUCACCAGUGCGUGGGAGACUAUUCGUCCUCAUAGUAGUAGGGUUGGCUGGUCGGGUUUACUAUGGGUUGGGGGAAAUAUUCCUAAGCACUCCUUUUGUGCUUGGUUGGCCAUCAGGGAUAGGUUGGGUACUAGAGGUAGGUUAAGUCGGUGGGAUAGGUCGAUUCCUUUAUCGUGUUUGCUUUGUGGAGGGAACUAUGAGUCUCGUGAUCAUUUGUUUUUUUCUUGUCAUUUUGGGUGGGAGAUUUGAUCGAGGAUCCUUUUGCUUAUGUCAUCUUCUCAUAGAACCGGUUAUUGGGGGGUUGAGUUAUCUUGGAUUUAUAAUCAGGGUAUUGGGAAGAGUGUGAGGAGAAAACUGUGGCGCCUCUCUCUAGUGCUACAAUUUAUUUCAUUUGGCAGGAGCGAAAUCAUCGUCUUCAUGGAGGUGCUAUUCGGGAGCCUCUGGUUGUAUUCCAGCUCAUUCGGUCGUGUAUUAAAGCGCGUGCUGCUUCUUGGUCGGAUGGUGUUCAUGGUCUUAUUUAAUGUUCUUUUCGUUUGCUUGUCCCCGGGCUGUGGGGUUUCUCUUCUCUUUAUUAACUUUGUUGUCUUUCUCUCUUCUUCUUGUCCUUUUAAUGUUUGGAACACUAGUUGGUUUCUUUUGGUUUUAGUUAUUGUUCCCGAGAUGUGGGGUUGUUUUGGGUACUUAUGGGUUGUUUUGUCUAACUACUUGUUCUGUGAGUGUUGUUCGCUCUUUUGUCUUGACCUCAGGCUGUGAGGUCCACAUUGUUGUUGUAUAAUAUUAUCAUUACCUUUUAAAAAAAAAAAAUCAAACUCAAUGCUAAGUUUGACUGCUCCCUUCGAAGUGACAACAAGCCUCGUUUUCGCCCUAUUGUGGAUCGUGGAGGAUUCCUCCUCUUUUCAAAGCCCUCAAUCAAACUUGACGUUAUGUUUAAAACACUAAAAAUAGAUGGUCUAGUUUUGGUUAGGCCAAAAGCGAUGUUUUCCCCCAAAAGCUCUAAUAGCUAGGGAACUCAACAUUCUACUUGACCUAACCGACUUGACUCUGCAUUUGUUAUGAGCUUUUUUUAAUGCAUAUUGCAUAUAUUUUUUUUAUAAUUGUUGAUUGUCUCACUUUUGUAUGGUAUGCAUUUACGAGCCUCUUUUCUUUCUUUGUUAUGAACUGCGGUGACUAGGCAUUGCUAUAACCGAUGGGGUAACAUUUCUAUGGUUCUACACUUAGUUUCUAAGUGUGAUUGCUCACCUCUAAUUUUCAAAAUACUUAAUUUCUAAGCACAUACAAUGUUCACCUAGAAAAAAUUGAAAAUUGUUGUAGUUAAGAUCAAAACUAAAUAGUUAUGAAAUAAGACAUAAGAGAUAUGAUUUUAACAACCUUCCCGUUGUACUUGGGAUCCACUCUGGCUUUGUGCUGGAAAAUUGGUUUGGAGCUGAUCGUAAGCUUUCGGUUGCUCUUCUAUAACCUUUAGAUACCCUUCAAAGCUAUAAGCUUUGCUUCCUGACGAAGAAUCUUCUACUAUUACAAUACAUAAGAAAAUUCUAUUUCAUAAACCCUGUAUCAUAAUUGAGGCUGAUAGAAUGAUUAUUCUAUAACCCUACCGAUAGUUUCAUUCUUAACAUUCAUAGACACGAUGCAUGGCAGCUAUCCAAUUCUAUUUCAUGUUCUCGAGAAUGGCUCGGUUUAACAAUAAUGUUAAUUUUUGUUUUCAAUUUUAAAAUAAUAACGCUGCUUACUAAUCUUUUUUUUUUUUCAUUUGGCAUUCUACUUUUUCUACUUAGCUUUCUUUCCCUAGUGAUAACAAAUAACACGGGUGAUAAAAAACUUAAUCACUCACUUGUUUUAGCAACCGAAAGCCCUUCUGUUCAUUGAACUCUCAAUUUCAUCGAGACUAAUUUCUCACUCAAACAUGGUCUUGCAUUCUCUAGAAACGUCCUACAAACAAAAAUGAAGAACAAAAAACUACAAUAAGGUCUAUGAAAAAGUUACAAAGGAAAAUCUCAAAAACUGAUAUGUAAGUCAUAACAACCUUAAGUCCUCUUAUCGUGGGUUAAAAUGCACGUAAGGUUUUUCCAAGAGUCCGAGCAACUAGCAUGUAAAUAAGUUAAGUCAACUAAAUUUGCUAUAAAUUUACUCGUAUUAACAUUAUCAUUGUUAUAGACUUGACAACUUCAAAUUUAUCAAUAUAAAAUAUGCUUUAACAAAACGUACCUUGAGGUUCCUCCAACCUCAUUAAAAAAGCAAAUAAUCCAAAAAAAGAUAACUAAUAUAUAUAUAUAUAUAUACAUACAACAGUAUUUAGUUAAAUUACAAAAAAAAAUUCUUUUGAAUUUUGUAGUUUGUGUAAAAAAAUAACCUUAAACUUUGAAAUGUUAAAAAAAAUUGUUUUGAACUUUUAAAAAUUAUUCAUAAAUACAUCUACAUACGUAGGAUGAAGGUAUUGGCAUGCUUCUCUAAAAAAACUUUCCAAAAAGAUGUUGUGUGACUUUUGAAAAGAAAAAUUACAAAUGGGGUCGUUUUUAAACAAAUUAGAUAUAUCGAGUUAUAUUUCUUUAAUUUUUUCCUUUUUUCACAUAUUAUCAAUCACAUCUUACUUUUUUCUUUUUUCUUUGGAACCCUGUAAAAGUAACAAAAACAUUUAUAAUCACAUGACUCAUGUCACUACAUUUUCUAAAUUUUAAAAGUAGUAAAUUUAAAAGUUGAUAACCCUAUGAUUAUCGUUUGAUAGUCAUCUAAUAUCACUAAUUUUGUCAUAUUCUUAAUAUCCAAAUAAGGUUUCUUGGUGAGUCUAGAGUCGAACGUGAGGACUUAUACUAAAAAUAUAUUUUUAUUUUGAAAUUAUCUUAAGGUGAUUAAUAACAUACGCCUAAGAACAAUAGCGGUAUCAUCCACUUGUAAGGGGGGAGGGGAGUCAUCCACUAUAGAUAAGGUCCACUUGUCUCCCUCACCCAACUUCAUAAGGCUGCCAAAAGAGUUAGGCAUAAUCACAUCCACACGUUUACCCUUCUCUCGAACAUAAACCAACUCUCUUUUCUUCCUAAUAACGAGUAAUUUCAUCUCGAUUACCUACCUCCUUUUCCUUAAUAUGCCUAAUGGUGGAGCUAUUAGUCUUACUUUCCUCCAACUAUUUAAAGUCUAACACCACAUCAACAAGACACAAUUGUCCGUUCCUCCUCUUUGUUUGAAACCACCUUGCUCACAUCCUCCUCUCGAUGAACUUUGUUUUCCACAUUCUUAGGACACUUACCACUAGAAUGCCCAAAAGACUGGCACAAAUUACACCUUCGAGGCUUCCACUCAUAAUUCACAGCCAUAACGAAAUCCUCUCCCCUAAGGUGAAUUGUAAAUUCAGCAGGCAUAGGAGAGUCCACAUUUGAUUCAACAAAUACUCAAGCAUGUGACAACCUUCGUCUUUCCUUAGUAGCUAGAUCUAAAGAUAGAGGUUUUCUUAUAGCACUAGCCACAACAGUCAAUCUGACAUCUGUCCAUAACUCCAUUGGAAUCCUACCUAGUUUAAUCCAUAUAGGAACAUAAUAAAAAACAAAGGAUUUAGGGACAAUACCUGGAGUCCAUUUACGGAGGAGCAUACUUUUGCCAGCAAGAUGUCGCGAUCAACGAGAUAGGAUCCAUUCAACAAGUUUUGGGCAUCUGAAUUGGAAACAGAUGAGUCUGUUCUCAAGAAUUGUAAUCGUUGGCAUUUUAAUUUUAUCAACAAUAACAACGAGCUAAACAAAAUCCUCUAUCCAGGACGCACUAAUGAAAACUAAAAUGUAAAAUAAGUACGAAGUAAUUAAUUAAAACAAAAUACAAAAGAAACCCACAGUAAGUUGACAAAAUGCCCAUAAUAAGCUUCAAGAUGAGUGAGAGGGAACACCAAGAGAAACAUGAAUAGCCUUGCUAACUUUUCACUACUAGCCAACUACAUAUUUUUUACAAUACGUGUUAGGGAAAUCUUUCCCUUUGCAAAACAGACCAAUAUAUAAUCAAUCAUUGGCUCCUUAUGGGAAAAUACAGAAGCCCUAUACAUGUAUGUUUCAAGCCUGUGUUGAACAACUUUUAAUUCCCUAAGAUAAGGAGAUUUAUCUGAAGGUUCGAGAAUAAUGACAUGUCCUAAACUAACCCACCAUUUCGCAACAGUGAACCAGUUUGAUCGUUAGGGGACAACUUUUGAUAAUAAGUGCACAACCAUACCCUAAUUCCAAUGUUGCCCAAAAGUAAAGGCCUUUCUUCACAAGGCUCCAUAAAAAAAAGUUCGACUUUCACAUAAAGAUCUUAUUUCUUUUUUAUUGCUCCAAGAGAUCUAAUAGAUCUAUUUUCACCACGCAAAUCCCUUUUGUUAUCAUGGGAAAUGUGUUGGUUGUGCUCAAACCAAAUCUCUGCUAGCAACACUUUUAUCAAAUUAACCCAUAUUGUUUUUUUUUAAAAAAAAGGAUAUGAGUCUCACUAUUAUUAAUAUUGAAAAAUGAAGAGACAAAGUUCAAUGUCAUGAGGAUUAUACAAAGAGCAAUAGGAUGGAGGAUCAACAGACGCACCUGGACAUCUCAACUAGGUUGACACCCCCUUAGCGCCCUCAUCACAUCCAAAAAGCGACAACACAAGAUCAAAACCAAAAGCCACAAAUAGAAGGCUUUUUUUGUGUUUGUUUUGCCUUUGGACAUUACUCCUUUGUUAUGGGUUUUAGCUUGGUUGGAUAUGAUGAGGGUGCUAUGGGGGUGUCAACCUAGUUGAGAUGCCAAGGUGCACCCCCUGAUCCAUGGUUACAUGUUCCUUGUAUAACUCUCUUGUACUAUGAGCUUUUGUCUAAUUAUUAUUAUUAUUUUAAUAUUAAUAAAGAGGUUGUCUCCUUUUCAAAAAAAAAAAAAAACAAAACAAAACAAAACAAAAGCCACAAAUAUAAAACCAAACAAAAUGAUAAAAUAAUAUGUCCAAAACAAAUCAUAAAUCAUAGGUAGCAGGUUUAGAACAAAGAAGAAUAAGCCUUGAUUGAGCAAAAAAUCCCAACAAAUAUUGAAUGUUUAGAGAAGACGGAACCAACAUUUCGAUACAAAGACAUAGUCAAUUAAAAGGUGCUAAAUAUUUUUCAUGUUAUCAACACAAAUGGGGCAGACAUGAGGUGAGAGGACAUGGGAGGGAAGUUUUCUUUGAAGUACUAAAGCACAGUUUAAUUUUCCAAACAACGUAAUCCAUAUGGGGAUAUUUAUCCAAAGAGUGAGCUAAAUAGCCCAAUAUGUGAUUGUUUUAUAAAACAUCGUUUUGAAAUAACAAGUAUUUAACAAUUAACUCUUAACAUAAAUGAAAUCAAACUCAAACAACUUAUCUCAAACUUUCCCUUUCAGUUGCUAUACCUAGAAUCGUCGAGACGAAAAACAAUAAACUAGGCAUAGAAGCCCUAUCCCGUGAUACGAUACUUACGAGAUGAAACUCUAGGCAUCAAUUGUGCCCUAUCUCGUUAUAACUACAAUGGGAUGGAAAACUAGGCAUUCGUACAGGCUCUCGUCCCUUGAGAUGGGAAACUAAGCAUCUUUAGAAGUCUUCAUCUCUUAUCUAAUACCAAUGAUGGAAAGCUAGGUAUUUACUGAAUAUCCAAAUCAAAUGACCUCUAUGCACAAGAAAAUCUCUCCCGAAAGGUUGCUAUAUAUCUUAGAAUAUUUUAGGUAUAGACUAAAACAUGCUAAUAUUAUUUUCAAGCUUAAACAUUUUGAAAACUUAGCACAAUCAUGAUUGCUUAUAAUUUUCAUUAGUAAAUUCAUCAAUAAAAACAUGUUUACCAAAAUGUUUCUAAAUUCAUGCUUUGGAAAUACAUUAUAAGUCAGUAUCCUCAAAUAUUCAAACAUCAAAGCAUGCUUGAAACAUUUGAUAGUAAAUUCAUGUUUAGAAAUCAACUUUAAACUCAUUUUUGUCACUUAUCGAGAGUAGCUUGGACCCUUGGCUUAUAAACUUGUUCUAUCUCCUUCAGAUCUAAAAUAUCAAAACUUUGCUUAAAAUUUCCAAAAACCACAAAAACAGCCCAAAGACAUUAGCUUGCGUACAAAAUAUUGUGGCAGAAGUUGGCAGGCGCGCGUAGGGCUUGCCUUGCCAUGUCUCAUUCUAACCUCAUGUGCAGCGUGUCACAAUCACAACUUUUCAAACACGGAACAGACAAUUGUGCGGCACUUGUUGUAACUCGAUGAACACGUCAGUUGUAUGAAAUUUGAUACGAUGUAGCCUCCCUACAGGUUUUAAGAGAAAUUGGUUUUAUUAAACAUGAGAGAGAAAGGAAAGCAUUGGAAACAUCGUUAAAAAAACUUUGAAGAUUGUCCAUUGCAAAGAGAGCUUAAAUUGCAAAGAGUACCUCUGUGAUGAGAUUGGUUUGUGGAACCAAUUGGGAUGGGAAAAAGUUUAGAGAUAUUUGAGAGAAACUCUUUUCUUUUUGCAAAGAGCAAUAGCGUUAGCCUUAUUUUUUUCUUUUUUUAUUAAUUCAUUUUUUUAAGAAAAUUGUUUUCUUCUAAAUAUUAUAACUCUCUUUCCUUCUAGGAAUAGAAAAUGAAGUAGAAGAGAACCAUGAGAUUCUAUUAAUUUACAAAUAAUUAAAUUAAUAUAUAUAUUUCAAAUCUACUGAUUAAUUAAACAUUAAUUCAAUUAGUUUAAUGAAAUCGAAUUUAAUUAAAUAAUAUUAAACUAAACUAUUAAUUAAUUCUCCAAUUAACUAAUAACACUAAAUUAUUUAUCUUAUAUUUAACUUAAAUUAAAUUUGAAUCAUAUUCAAAUAUAAGUUUCUCUCAAUAAUUUUAAUAUGAAUCCAAUUCACAUUAAAUUAAUAUUUGAACUCAUUCAAAUAUUUUAUCUCUCAUAAAUUAAUUUUGAAUCAUCCCCAAAGUUAAAUUUAUAUAGUAAAGUUUGAUAAACUUUAUAUUAUAAUGUAUCACUAUACAUUAUACUAAUUCCCAAGUUAAAUUUAAACAUUUUAAAUUACAACCAAUAUAAAUAAAUCUCAUUACCCUUUACGAGCUAGGAAAGGGACCUAAUGGAUCUACAGAUCAAAAGCUACAACGAUCUAAGAUUAAUUGGCUAAACUCAUUAACCACAUUAAUCAAUAUUCGUUAGCUGUGUGUACACUCCAUUAAAGACUCACAACUGAACUCUUCUCACUAAAAAUAUAUGUCUGUGUCCACGGAUAUAGACCAAUAAUAGUAAGUUAGUCCUUCACGAGUGUUUGUAACACCAGUUGGAUCAAUUUACCACUUUACCCCUAUGUUACCUCUAAUCCUUAAAAACCAGUGCUCCUCUAAUGAACAACUUGUUUAUGGUCCUACUAAUAAACAAAAACCCCCUCUCAUGUCAUAGAGAGGGUACGAACCCUUUGUCCAAGUUUUGGAGCCACCAUUUAAGCUAAAAUUCAUCUACUUACCCUAAAGUAGGAAAUGAGUGAAUUCUAUUUUGUUUAAUUAUAAUCCCAACUCCCCACUCAGUCUUGUCCCCAAAAUCACUACUACAAAAAUAGGCUCUCUUGACGGUUGUAGUUUUCCUUUCUUGACGUUUUUAAAUAAAAAAACGUCAAGAAUUUUUAUGAAAGGCCAAUUUUCAACUUUCUUGACGUUUAUUAAACGUCAAGUAAGAUGUAUUUUUUCUUGACGUUUAAAAAACGUCAAGAAUGUUUAUGAAUUCAACAUUCUUGACGUUUUUUAAACGUCAAUAAUAUAUAGUUUUCCUCGACGUUUUAAAAACGUCAAGAAAUUUAUAAAAAAUUCUUAACGUUUUUAAAAUGUUGAGAUAAUUCUAAAAAGUUCUUGACAUUUUUAAAAACAUCAAGAAAUUUAUAAAAAAUUCUUGACGUUUUUAAAACGUCAAGAUAAUUCUAAAAAAUCAUUGAUGUUUUUAAAAACUUCAAGAAAUUUUAAUUUGUUUUUGAGUCUUUAAAAACAUCAAGAAAUUUCUAAAAAAUUAUUGUGUGAAUAUUCUUUUACAAAACGCAACGUUUCAAUUAGAUCACUUCCCCUUUUCUUAAUUAAACCUAAUUCGCCGCGACUUUGUCCCUUCUCCACCCGAAAUCAAAAGCGUCGUUCACCUAACCUUCCCUUCGCGUUCAUCUGUGCAUUCAUCUGCGUUCAUCGCCGAAAAAGACUUCCCUUUGCGUUCAUCAGCGUUCACCUUCAUUCAUUUGCGUUCAUCGUCCGUCACCGUUCGUCUGCUUUGCGUUCCCUUCACCUUCGUUGAUUUGCGUCUGUCUGUUCACCGUUCGAAAUGUGUAAACACAUUCUCUGUUUGAAAACGAGUAAACACGUUCACCGUCCUUCUGUCGCAUUCCACUUUCGCUAAACCUCUAUUCGUUUCCAAAUCCUUCAUGGUUACUCAUUCAUUUUCUUCCCUUUCUAAAGGUAAUAAUUUUCCUUUUUUCCUUUGUGAUUAAAAUUUGUAAUUUGUUAUUUAAAAUUGGAAUGCAAAAUUAAAGAAGAGGAAAUGUGCCUUAGAGAAUGGAAGAAAGGUUUUGCAUUUUAGGCUUGAAAAGGGGGGAUACAAGUUAUUAUAAUUGUAAUAUAUAAUAUUUUGAACAAGGCUACCAAGCGUGCAAAUAUGAUUCAUUGGUUAGUUUAGGGAUUGGAAAAAGAAGGAUUGUGGAGUUUGUGAUAAUAUUUUGGUACACUGGAGCUGGAAACAGAGAAUAUUAAAAAACACAUACUGUUAUACACAGUAUUAUAAUAAUACGAAUCACUAGCUUUUCUUCUUCGUUUUCUUUUUCUUCUCCUUGAAUUUUUGUUAUGGGUAUUGUAUUCCAUUUUGUGUUUUAGAUUGUGAAGUAUGGGGUAGCUAAACUCUUAAUCCUAGGGAUAGAUGUAGACAAAGUUUAUGAAUUAUUCUUUGUAAUGCAUCUGAUUAUUUGCUCUUCAUCUUUUCAUGUUUUUAUGUGAAUAACGUUCAUAAUAUCUUAAUCACAGAUUAAUUGUUGAUUGGCCAUGAACCUUAAUCUUUGCAUGACUAGAGUGGUUAUGAACUUGGAAAGAGAUAAUUAAGGAUCCUUGAGGAGGUUGUUGAAAGAAGUGGACCUAAAAACUUUUGUUUGUUAAUAAAAAGAAAAAUGAACAGAGAUUCAUCUUCGUCAUGGGUCUUGAUGUUUAAUUUAAUUUAAAUUGUGUAUGAAUUUUUAAUUACGAGAAUUUUAAUAUGUUGCAAGAGCACUAUAGCCAAGGUAUAGAGUGAGGGAGAUAAGGUUUAUAUGUCUUAGAGAAUGGAAAGAUGGAAUUUGUGCUAAAAUCAUUAGUGUUCCAAAUACAAUUAUGAAUUGGGUAUAGUUGCAUUCCCCCUUCUGGAUUGCAUAGCACAUAAAUAUACUCUCAUGGAUUGCAUAGCACAUAAAUAUACUGUCAAAAACAAUAACAUAAAACACAAACUUGAUUUAGUUUCAUUCACACUUGUACACCAACAUGUUUCAAGUAAUGAUCAUAUAUUAAAAAUGUCAUUUUCAAAUUUGGUAAUAUAAAAUGGAAGAAGUGAGACCUUGAGGUUUUGACCACCAAUACUAUCUAACUGAUGAGUUUAUGAUUUUUGUUUCUAUUGUGUUCUUUCCUUAAGCUUUAACUUGUUUUAGGGGCAAGAUGGUGAAGGUCUAGUCCACAACCUUUCCCAAGAAUUUAAUGAUGUUUGGGUUGACCCAAUUAUUGUUAUUGGACACCGUUUUAUGGUAAUUGGUUGUUAUGGUUUUUAAGUGUGUUUUGAUAUCUUGUGUUAAAAAAUAAUUGCAAAAAGUCGGAAAAGUUUGUUAAAGAUUAGGUGUUUUUAAGUUUGUCAUUCCACUUUAAUUCUCACCAGUACUUGCUGAAUGGAAGCCUCUUGUCUAAGACAAUUCGAGUGGAAUAACUCUUGUGACUACCACAACAUUUGGGAACUCACCAAAUGUAAGACUAUUCCUUUAUCCUAGCAUUUGAUCUCUCUCUAUAAUUUGGUUUGCUAUCGUAAGUUUCAUUAAAAUAAAUGCUGAUAAUUCAACUCCAAUGUUCUUAUUUUCUUAACUCCCAUUCAGUCAGUUAGAAUCAGAACUCAUUUAUUUAUCUUGUCUCCAUAAUUUGGAUUCAAAGAUUCAUCACAAUAAUCUUCUCAACAACAUUCUUGAAAAGGUAUUGAAUUUUCAACUGUGUGACCUUUAUACACAAAUUUCUUCAAAGAAAUUUACAUUCUUUAGAGUUUAGAGCUUUGAAUUCUAGUACAACUUAUAAAGCUUUUGAUACUUGUUAGAAUUUUUUGCUUGGUGCGGAUAAAACCUUAUUUACAUUCUUUCUUUCCUGCAUGUUCUCUUUUGAUAUUUGUUAGACUUUUUUGCUUGGUUGUCCUUAGUGUUUUCCUCUUUAGCUGAAAUUUUUCUAUCUUGAAAAAAAUAGAGCUUUAAAAUUCAACUUUAACUUUAUUUGAUACUAUCUUAGUCCAUACUUAUUUUGGUAUUUCUUUCCUUUCUCACAAACAAAUCUAAGAGGUUGCCUUCACAAUAUGGCCACAUUAACAAUAUGGCAACCUUUUUCAUUGCAAAACAUAUUAGAGGUUGGUUACUUAGUUAGCCUUAUUGGGUAAAUAAUUGACAUUUAGGUACUUUUUAGUUUGUAUAUUUAUAGAUGCCAAAUCGAUAUGUGAAUUUUAAUUGUUGCUUAUUUGAAACAUUGCAACCAUUUGAUAAAAUGUUGCUAUGUGAAUCCAUCUUAACUUGAUAUAUUAUUUUAUUUUGGUUUAGGUUGUGGAAUCCAAGUUUGUAUUUGAAGUCAAAUUCAUCCAAGAUCAUUGAGUUUCAAAGCUUCUUUAAUUAAGAUUUUGUUUCUUGAACUAGAAUUGUAGUCUUGUGAUUUUUGGAAUAGCAUAGUUGGAUUGGUUUUGUAAUUUUGGUUUUGUAGAUUCAUCCAAGAUCACUGAAGUAGUGUUUUGUAUAUGACAAUAUCGAACAAACAUGUAAAGUUUUCGAAAUGUUCAUACAUAUAUGAUUAAAUGUUAAUAUAUGUUAAAGUUUUGGAAUUGUACUCGUGCAUAUUUAUGAGAUUGUUGGGCCACACUACAGGAAUUAUAGAGACAAUACAGGAACAAAAAUAUAAAUAAAUUAUAAUUUAGAAAAAAAAUGAAACAAGCUUGACGUUUUUUAAAUGUCAUAAACAAAUACAUUCUUGACGGUUUUUCAAUGUCAUUAACAAGUAAAUUCUUGAUGUUUUUUAAACGUCAUAAACAAUUGUGUUCUUGACCGUUUUUAAAUGUCAUAAAUUACAUUCUUGAUAGUUUUUAAAUGUCAUGAAUACUCAUUCACUUGACGAUUUUUAACUGUCAUGAAUAUUUGUAUACUUGACGUUUAUAAACUAUUAAGAAUCGCUAUUCUUGACGUUUUAUUAACCGUCAAGAACUUUGACUUUCUUGACGCUGGCUUCAACGACGGUUUUAAAACCGUCAAGAAUAGUGAUUCUUGACAGUUUAAAAACGUCAAGAGAAUCUGUUUUUGUAGUAGUGAAUGAUAAGCUUAUUGAGUCGGCGAUCUAGCCACUCUCACUCGUACAAAUCAAAGGACAAUCUCUCGUGAACAAGAGUUCAUAAUACACUCAAGAUUAAGACUAAGUUAUCUAGGUCAUCCUAGUGAAAUAGAAACCUAACUAGUUAAUGUAGUAACACCAAGUGGUUACUAUUUCACGAUCUGGUCUAUUGCAAUCUCAUUGCAUAGGAUACCUUCACUCGCAUGUCAACUACAUGAACACAUUGGAUCAUUGUAUUUGUAUCAAAUACAAAGUGAGUCGUAUUCAUAAUGUUACCAUGAUAAAGGUACCCAGUCUUAUCCCUAUACUAUAGACCCUUUAAGCUGAUCUCGAACAUUGAUCCCUGUAUGUCUCUACAUACUAUUCAAUACUUAUUAAACAGUUUAGGAUGUUAGUUUAUUGGAUUUGAGUUAUUAAGACAAAACUAAUAAUAUAAUCAAUAACAAAUAUUACAAUAAUAACACUUUAUUAACAAUGGUCAAUGGAUUAUAUUUACAAUCUACGAGUUUUAGGACAUAAAUUCCAACAAACUCCCACUUGGACUAAAACUCUAGUCUCUUUGGGAUGUUCAUAAUAAAGUAAUCCUCUAACAUUGAAAAUGGUAAAAUGUACAAGUGUAUUACAUAAAAUGUGUAUAUACAAAUACAAUAAACUAGGGCAUCCUCAUACCCAUUACACAUCUGCCACUUUUCCUAGAUUACCAAAUGUACAUAACUCGCAGAUCUAGACUUUCUAGAAGACCCUCGAACACUUUAGCCAUGAGAGUCUUUGUAAAUGGAUUAGUAAUAUGCCCCACUAUUAUCACAAUAUAAAGUGAUGGGGCAUGUUCAUGUUUGGAACAACUUCCAAAUUAUGCAAGAACUUCCUUAGCAAAACUGCUUCUUUUGCUGCUUCACAAGUAGCAAUAUACUCAACUUUCAUAAUAGAGUGUGUAAUGAUGCGUGGCUCAGGCUGCUUGAUCAUGCCAGGACAUGCUUCUUGCAUGUCCCAAGCCUAAAUAACCUCUUUCGCUCAAAACACACGCUCAUCUCACCUUGUCAUUCUGGCAAUCAACCCACCCUUGGCCUUGCCUAGAAAUAUGAUUUUUCUACCAGAAACUUAACUCGACUUUGAAGCUUAAAUCAAUAAGAUUCCUUCUACAAACUUACUUAGAAUGUCUUCACUAGCUUACCACAAAGUGUCACUACCAAAUUCCAAGUAUUGAGUUAUGUAGCUCCAAAAUACUCUACAUUGUUCAAGUUUUUUUUUUUUUUUUUUUGAAAAUGACCUUUGAGUCUUUCUUCACUUCAAUGCCUUUCUUCCUGGUAGCCUUUCUCCUGAUACUACACUCAAUUUAGGAGAUUUUCGAAGUAGAGUUACCCAAUUAACACAAGUUGAUUGUUAACAUAAUUCAUCCAAAGUUGUACAUAUAGUGAUCCUUGCAUGCUCUUUGGUUGACACUUUUAUUCUCACCUCUUACGCCUAUACUUGCCACUUUCCACCUCAUGCAAGACACUUAUUUGGCAAAACUUAGGUAUCUUGUAUGUAGUCCACUUGUACUCUACCGCACAUCUUACCUCAUAUUGCUUAAGUCAUCCUUGGACGCAUAUCCCUUUUUCUAUGAGGGUUCUUUAGUAAAUUCUUACUGCCAAGAAUGCCUAAGACUUUUUUUUUCUCGCCUAAUCUCCCAAACAUCCCUCAAUGCCUUCAACAAACCAUGCCAUCCUGACUAGCAUUUGGUUGAAUUGCCCCAUUGGCCGCAUGGCCUAUGUCCACAUAGCCCACCUCUUUGUUGCAUGACAUUCCUUAUCCACGUUCUAACUUCUUUAGAGUUUCUUGACAUUUCUUAGAUGCUUAGCUUCCUUGCCUAGCGCAUACCCUUGGUCAUAUAGCCUUGUCUUAUAGAGGUUGUCUUGACACCUUUCGGCCAUACCACAUCUCAACCUUUGGCCACCCAACAUGUCUCUUUAGAGGUUCGCUUGACACUUUUGGCCGCCUAGAGUAUGCAACAUGCCCUAGCCAACACUUAGCCAUAUUUUCAAACACCCUUUAGGCCUUUCUUUGUUACGAUGACACUUUUCUUUUGUCAUCUUAAACAAUAUUAACACAUCUUCCAUAACACUUCAACUAAACUAUUUAAUCUUAAACCAUCUUUCUCCUAACAUCAACCCCUAAUGUCCUAUUGAGUUCUUUAGAUGAAUUAAGGAUUAUUGAGUAUCGGGGUUUACACGCGAGAUGUAAGUCUUCCUCCUUGGAAUUACGUAUAGUAGUGUGCGGAGGGAGAGGAAUGUGAUGCAGGUCUUCCUCCUCAACCCUAAGGAAUUUUUCUUCGCUAACAAUGCCCUUUUGAUCGGGUAAGGGCUUGUUCGGUCAGGUCGUGAGGUGAAGGAUGUUGUUAUAAUGAUGGGGGAUUUGGUGGUGAGAGGAUAAUAGACAUGCGAGAGGACUUGGGUAAGAUUGAUGAGGGGGAGGUUCAAUUUUUGGAUGAGGACUGGAAUUGAAGGAUUUGGAUUUUGGAGGAGGCGAUGAGAGAGUUAAGGGUCAGAUUGCAAGAGCUUUAGGGUCGAUGACCAAGAUGUUUAUUAAUAACAUGUGUUUGAUACAUAAUUACAACACUUUGACCAAACAACCAAUGCUUAACUAUUUUCAAAACGUCUGGUCAUCUCGCUGCAAAUCCUUCAACCUUCUUCUCUACUUGGCCUAAACACCUCAUCUUGGAAGAUGAAUUUUUGAAAGAAUGUCUAAAAGACUAAGGUUUUAUGAAAUCCUUUUCGCAAUACCUUUUCAUAAACAUCAUUUCGCAUAAACAACAUCAAAUAAUUUUAUCUCGCAUAAACCUUUCUUUAUCCUUAACAUACUCAUAACAUAACAAUUUCACAUAAACACACAUUAGUUAACAUUCAUUCCUUUCACCAAAGAUUUUGAAUUGUUCUCUACACUUUGAUGUAGAACAUCUCCCUUCUUGAUGUUUCUUGAGUUUUAUCCUAGAGGAGGGGUUUGAAUUACCAUUUUUGUAGUUUAGGAUUAGUUAUUUGAAUUACCAAUUUUGUAUCUUGAGUUAGUUAUAACUAACUCAACUCCAAGUUAAACUAACUCAACCCCAAGUUAGUUUAACAACUCUUGUAAUCUCCAGCCUAUAAAAAAGCUUCUCAUUUUCAUUAAUAAGACAUAAAAAAAAGAGGCAUUAUACAUAAAGAUUUCUAGCUUUGCAAUUACUGCAUCAAUUGGUAUCAGAGCAUGAUCCUAGCUCACUCUUCCCUAAAAAAACUUGGAUCCUACCACUCUUAUCCAUGGACGCGGAAGCCUCCUUCAACCAACGCUUGCAGUUGGUAGAACAAGCUAUUGAAGAACUUCGAAAAGGGCAGUCGGAUAUACAACAAUCGUUAGUAGAAUUAACAAACCUUUUUACCCGAUUUCAUGUCCAACCUUUAGAAGAAGCAAUUUAGCCCCCAAGAAACCCAAUUGCAGGAAACCAAGAAAGACAAGAAAGACCAAUAAACUCUGUUGUAAACCAAGAACUACUAAGAAAUCAACCUAUUCACAUCCACAAUAAUCGAUUGUAUGGAAACAACGUACCUGGAAAUUUCUUAAGCGAUUCUGACUCUUCCGAUGAAGACAACUUGCUGAACAUUCAUCAAGAACCUCAACAAAGGCUUGGACUUCGACCAUACUUUCAAGAAGAUCAAGAAAUACGUAUGAAAGUGGAUCUCCCUACCUUCAAUGGUCGAAUUGACGUGGAGAAGUUUCUUGAUUGGAUCAAGAACGUAGAAAAUUUUUUCGACUAUGCCAAUACACCCAAACACAAGAAGGUUCGAUUAGUUGCUCUCAAACUUUAAGGUGGCGCAAGCGCUUGGUGGGAUCAAUUACAAAACAAUAGACGAUUAUUCGGUAAACAAUCUAAAGAUUAGCUGAAUAUCUUAUAAAAAGAUGUUGCCGUAGGCUUAGUGGUGACAGGUGAGAAAGUAAGCUGUGUCUUUUAUGACUCUUAAACGUUGAAGUCAAUCAAUGAGUUCCAAAUGCAAUAUUGGAAGUUUUCUUAAAUAUUUUGAUGCUUUUGCAUGUUAUGAAAGAACUUGGUUAGAUGUGAGAAAGGGGUUUAUGAGAUUAGUUACUUACUAUUCCCUUUUUCACUGUCAUUGCUACUCAGUAGACAUGCUAUGGGCUCGUGUUUCUGUAGAAUAUAAUUCAGAUGCUCUUUCUCUAGAUUAUAAUUUAUAUGUUCUCUCUACAAAUUUGAAGUAAUUUCUACUGCUUUUGCUAAUAUUCUCUAAAGCUUAUUCAAAAUGUAGUUGUUUAAUAACUGUUCAGAUUUAAAAUAUAUUAUAGAGUUAAAUUUAACACAGUUAAUCAGCUUAAGCAUUUGACUCUGGUGUUCUUAAGAUAUAAAUUCAAAUCCCUAUAAUUUUAUCAUGUGGAUCUUUUCAAUCUUCUCACAUACUGUCUUCAUUUCAUAAUCUUGCCUACUAGCUGCGUAUCAUCAAUGAAAUUACCAUAGGAGUCCACAUGUGGUAAUUAUGGAUCUAGCACGAUAUACUGCGUAUCAUGUUGUUGGAGAUCAUUUUAAAUGAUUAACCAGUCUAUUGGUGGUUUGAGUCUUUCCUUUUGAAUCUAUAGGUUGUUCAAUGGUCUAAUAUUAACUGUGUUUAGAUUUAUGGUAAUUUUCAUUCUUUUACAGCCUUAAUAACCAAGAAAAGGUGUGCUUUGAUAAUCUUUUCUUUCUCUUCGGCAGGUUGGUAAUGUAGAAAGGAUACAUGUAUACUAUGCCCAUGGACUAGAUAGCCCAACCUUUGUUCGCCGAUGUUAUUGGCUCCUAGAUAAGUAUGUUAUGGUUGAAAGAAAAUUGUUAAAUUUCUUGCUACCAGUUGUUUCAGUGGGGUCUAUCCCCAUCAUGCCACAAGCAAAGAAAAAUGAAAUUAAACAGUGGAAGUAUAUCGUGUUCUACUUAUAUAAUUUAUGACUUGCUUCUGCUUUUUGUUCAGGACCUUUGAACACAUUGUCCUUGUUUAUUACCGUGAAACACAAGAGGUUAGGUUCAGCACAAUGCAUCUGCAGUUACUGAAAUAUUAUCUUGAGACAAACUUUUAUCAUUGGACUACUACAUCUAUUUAAGAUUUGCUAAUUUUUCCUCCAUGGUUGCAAUAUUAGAACUUCAUCCAAAAUAAUGUUGUCAUGUGUGUCUUUAAAUUUUUACUGGCAGUCUGGCACCAUAUAGAUCUAGUAGUUGUGCAUGCAUGUCUUCCUCUCUAUCCUCCAUUGAAAAACUCGAUAAUUAUCUGUUUGUGUUUUAUUUUGAUGAUUUAAUCCAACAUUUAUUAUGGAUAAAGUCAGCCAUAAAAUACAUAUGUUUACUACUGCUCUUUGUACAUUUUAAAUACUAGAUUUCUUGAUGAUUGUUGUCUUUAAGUUGCUCUUAAUGUUGUUGCAUAUCGAGAAAUGCACUGUAAUUUCUGUACCAAUUUUAUCACUGCUUUUAACUAAAUCUUCAAAAAUCAAGGCACCACCUGGAUGUAGAGUGCUAUAUGGUGAUUCAAGUGUUGAGAGUUCUCUUUCUUCUGCUAUCCAUAAAUUUAUGGAAUGGAAAGGCAAUGAUCAUGACACUAUUUUUUGUCAGAUAAACACUGGUUUCAUAUGCUUCAACUCUGUGGUGCUUCACAGCACACGGAUAAAACUUCCAAACAUUCUGCACCCAAUAUUACCAUAAUGCAUUUGGACAUUUCAUUAACAACUUCUUACAAUUAGCCUUUCUAUAUUGAAAAUAAUUCGUUGUCUUAACUUCCUGUUGCUCCUAGUUUCAGAAUUUUCCAUCCACAUCGUUGAACUCAAAUUCUGGUUCUGUCUCUAACCCAUCAACUCCGUGGCUUUUAUCGGAGGAACUUGAUUCCAAGGCUACUCAUGUUUAUUCUCUUGGUGAAAAUGAAUUGUCAGGUGAUACUGGCCGAACCUGUCAAAAAUAAAUGAGUCAUAGUUUGUUUGAUCAUUCAUUUUCUAAUCUUUCUUCUUUAUAUUUAAUUAGUUGUUUAAUUUCUUAAAAAAGAAUUCUGGUUUAUUUAUAGUAUAUUUGGUAGUAUGCAUGCCUCAGCUCCUUUAAUGCAUGUCUCUUACAGUAUAUUUGGUAGUCUUUUAUAAUGUUACACCCUUUUUUUUAAUUCCUAAAACCUUUUAACUUUCCAAAUUUUCAUUCAUUCUUUUAGAAAAUUAUUUUCAUUAUUUUUUUAUGGUUACAAAACCAUCCAUUAACUACAUUAAUUAGACAAUUCACUCCAAUAAUAAAUAAAUAACUUUUUUGGAUCUAAGGUCUUUUCUCAUUCUACAAAUUUAAUUUACUAUAUAAAGGUUAUUAUGCUAAUUGAAAAAUAUAUUUCUCUCAAGUAUGCAAUGACAGAAAAUUAGGUUAUAACUAUAUAAAAAAUAUAUUUUUAGGUAUUAUAAUUUUUUUAAAAAAAUUAUAUUUUAAAUUUUUAAUAAAACCUUGCAUUUGGGGAUUCACAUGUUGUUACUUGUCGAACCAAAAAAGAUAAAUUCGUGGUGAAAACUCUUUAAAAGCCCAAUUCGUGGAAGGAAAAAUUGAACUGUGGCGUUGAGUUAUUUUGUUGUUGAAGAAGAUCGGUAAAAAACCCACAGCAUUAAAACUUCUUUUUGUUUCUUUAAGUAUAUUUUAGAUUGCAGCGUAUUUUCUAUUUGGGUUUAGUUAGGGUUUCUCUUGUUUAUUCCAAGAUAUGCAUGGAUAAUUCAUGUUCGACUAUUUGGAAAGAGGGAUUUAUGUAGCACGGGUAUUAUAUUAUGGUUUUGGAAGUGUCGAGAUAAAUUAAGGACUUUUUUAAUCUUCUUCAAACAAACCUAUACGAAGGCGAAGAAUAAUUUGUGCUUGUAUUUUAGUCGGAAUAAGAAGAAACAUGAAGAGAAUGCCCACGAGGAAAAUGACCAUGAGAAAAAGUUGUGUAUUCCUCCAUCCAUAACUGAGCUCUCUAAUGUGUAUUCCUCCCUCCAUAACUGGCUUACUUUGGACUGUUUGGAUAGAAAGAAACAAUAGAAUUUUUAAGGAUAAAUCAAGGUUUAUUGUUAACUUGUGGGAAGACAUAUGUAACUUGAUCGGAGUUUGGUCUAGGCGUCAUUCAUCUUGUAACCAAUAUGAUGUUAAUUACUACCAACUCUUAACUUUAAGCUUUGUUAGAUUAGGUUGUUCCGGGCUUCCCUCUAGCCUUCAACCUUGUAACUUUAACUCAAUUUGAAAAACGUCAAGAAUGUUUAUAUAUUCAACAUUCUUCAAAAUUUUCAAACGUCAAGUAAUAUGUACUUUUACUUGAGAUUUUAAAAACGUCAAGAAAUAUCUUAAAAAUUCUUUAUGUUUUAAAACGUCAAGAAUUUUUAUAAAAAGCCGGAGAAGAGUUAUUUUUUAAAUAUCUUGAUGUUUUUUAGACGUCAAGUAAGAUCGUUUUUCUUGACGUUUUAAAAACGUCAAGUGUUAUUACUAUAUAUUAUAUAUAUAUAUAUAUAUAUAUAUAAAAGAAAAUAUUGGGUUGAAUCCUUCGAAGCCCUAGACUUGUCUCUACCGCAUUCGAAAAUGCCAAGUUCUCUCAGAGGAUCUCUCACUUCUGCCGUGUUCACCGUCCGUCCGUCCGCGUUCACCACGCCCUCUCCGAAAAUGCGUACUAGAUCCUUCGCUUUCAGUCGUUCACCAUCCACUGAGUACGAGAUCCCUAAGACUUCCGCCAUCUGCCAUCUCUAAUACUCUGAAAUCGUCGUCCGUUGUCCCUCAAAGUUGUCGUCCUUCUCUACGAAAAUGUCGUCCUUCUUUCGAGUCUUCAUUCCCCUUUAUGUCGUCCUUCUGUAUUUAGAGGUUAUACUUCAUUCCCCUAAAACUUCCAUUGGUUUCCAUAUUUCAAGAAUUUGAAAUUUUUAUAGGAUAUUGCUAGUGGAAAUUAAGUCAAUUCUGUUUGCUCCCAACUACCUCCUGAUUAUGCUGUCUGGUUGGGAGAAAUAAAGUCUUUGUCAUAUUUUAAGGUAGUGUAUGUUAACCAACACUUAGUGCAUUUUCGUGUUUAUGAGCUUAUUUUAGUUAAUAUGUUUUUGUAGGAAAAAUAUGAUGUCAAUAUGGCAUAUUAUACGAUGAAAUUGUAGUCGUUUAACACAAAAUUUUGAGGUUCUUUUUCAACUAAUUAUGCUUUAUCUAAUAUAUUUUUCCAAAUCUUAAAAAAGAACUUUUGAUUUCAUUGGAGUUUAUCAUUAGAGGCAUUACUAUAUUGGCUGCCUCUCAGUGGGCUAUAGGUUUUCCAAUGGUCAUUUGAGACUGAUUGAUAAUAGCAAAAGUUAGAGCUUAAGAAGAAGGAGCGAAGAAAGUAGUGAAGACAAAAGAAGAAAGAAAGCUGAGUGAAAAACGAAAAUUGACAAGGUAGAGAUGUGACAUGAAAAUGAUGAUGAGAAGUGAAGGAGGCACGACACAAUACUGGUACACAAUGACAAAGCCUUGAUAAUUAAAAAAAGGAUGGUGCCAAGAAAAUUUAAAUACAAAAAAAUGAAGGUUCUUGCAAGUGUAUUGAGUGAAUGGGAGAAAGAAUGGAUAAAAAAGGUAGAAAGAGAGAAAGAGAAGUCAAGGUAGAGAUACAUAGCUUUGUAUAUAGAAAUUUUAUGUUUAUACUCCAUUAUACGUUGUGGAGAAUAUAACAUCCUUAUAUGUUUGAUUCAAUUUGAAUGAUGCAAUUAUUUAUUUUUCUCCAAUAAUUCUACUUUUAGAAACUAAAUUUUGAAAGCCUACUAAUUUUGCAGAAUUAAUUCGAGACCCCACUUUUGCUCCCCUUCCUACCUACGGUUACUUUUUGCUUAAACUUUAAAAGUUGUUUGAAAAUUUUUGCUGAAACUUGUAAAAUUUGUUUGAAGUUCGUAUAUCUCUCACAUAUUGCAAGGUUUCUUAAUUAUUUUAUUGAAUUUCCUCUAGAAAUGCAUUCAAACAUGAGUUGACAUUAUUGGAAAAGAUUCGUCACCCUAAUGUAGUUCAGUUUUUUGGUGUCGUUACCCAGAAUUUGCCUAUGAUGAUUGUUUCUGAAUACCAUCCGAAGGUAUGGAUAUAUUUUCUUACCCUUUAUUUUAUUCUAAUGAAAAUUAUUUCAUCAUGUUUCAUUCCAAGCAUUUCAUUACAUAUUUUGUUCAUAUAUGAUGAAUGGUGAUUAGUUUUUGUAUCAACUUAUUCCCUCUUUCAUGUAUAUUUCAUCUUCCAGGGUGAUAUAUAUCAAUUUAUUCCCUCUUCAAUUGAUUCUUGUUUUUACUCUUGGCUUAUAGGUUGCUACAUGAUCGUAUAUUAGGAGCAAAAUUGUGCAAUUAGUUUAUAGUUAGGGAGAUUUCAAUAGUAAAAAGCAAAGAGAGUAAAUGGUAACAAAAUCAUAUUGUUCACAUGAAAUGAUAAAAUAAUCAUUACACAUUUACAAGAACAAUAAAUAAAUUAUGUGAUUUUCGUGAGAAAAAUGAAGAAGAAAUAACUUCUAACAAAAGUGAAUAUAAAUUAAAGGAGAAUAUAAAAUUGUUGAAAAUAUUUAUUUUCAAUAAUUUGGAAGUUCUUUGGCUAUAUAUAAUGAAAGAGAGCCUUUCCAAGGUGUGAUGCCUGGCGUCAACAAUGACGCGCUUAGCACAGAUACGGAACCGGACACCAUCUUCUUGGUGUUUGUCUGUGCAAAAGCCUCGAGUGGCUAUGGUCUUCUUCUUCUCUGUGAGGGAAAUGGUUGAAGUUGCUAGACUAUUUCAAUUACUAUGUGAGAGGUGGCUGAAUUUUAUUGGACCUCUCUUCUUGGGCUUACUUUUUACAAUUGUUUAACAAUCUCUCUCCGAAUAUACCUUCGUCCCCUUAGCUGCUUUCCACUUUGGUAAAAUCGCCAAAGCUUUAUGUGUACAUUGCAAGAGACAGAGGAGCAAGGCAAAAUAAGGUUAUUGGAACAAGGCGAAAGUUAUCAUUGCUAGCUGCAACUUUCCUCAUUCUUCUCACCCUCCUUCAAACCAUAUUGUCUGCUAUGUAUGCAUUUCCUAGCUAGCCUUCCCCGGCAUAUUCUAUUUUAGCUUUUUUCCUCUCCAGUUUCUGUUAUGUAUUUUUACUGAAUAUUGAUCUCCUUUUUGCUAUCAAGAUAGUAUACCAUACAUGCAUGUGUAGGACUUUAAUUUUAUCCCUUAUAUUUUAUAAUUUGUCUUACUACUGUUAUUGACUGAUAUACCAAUAUACAUGUGUAAAGUAUUGAUCAUAUAAUUAAUAUUAAAUUUAUUACAUUCACUCAUCAAUUUAAGUUUUUUAGUCAAUGUAUGUUCAUGAUGUACCAUGGUCAUAUCAUAAUAGAAUAGAUCCAAGAUUAUAUAUGUUCAAACCAACUGGUGAUUUAAUUAUCAAAGAUAUUAUGAUUUUGUCCAGUUUUUUUUCAGUCACUACUAGAAAAAUGGAUUUUAAUCAAGACAUUGUGUCGUUGAAAAUAAAAGAAAAAAGAGGUGGGAUGAGGUACAUUGUGUUGUUGAAAAUAAAAAUAUGGAUUAUUUCUUAAAACAAUUCUAUUGAUACAAUUUAAUUUAUUUCAACACAAUUUUUGCGUCAUUAAUUAACGACAAUUUUUUUGUCAUUAAAAACAUUUUCAAAUGAAAAAACCUCAAAUUUCAAAAUUUUAUAAUUUCCCUCUCUCACGCACUUACAACAAAGUAAAAACCUCAAAUUUUCUCUUAAGCAAAAACGAUGUCGUCGAAUGAAGUCUUAAUGCAAUUUUUUUCUCACUCUACCAAAAAUGCAAAAAAAUUCUCGUCGAACGAAGUGGGCUACCGAGUCGUUAUGAAGAACCCUUGCCUUCCAAUUUUUUGCCACUUGCCGUCGUCGAUUCCACACUCCAACCACUGUUGUCGUUGCUGCCACAACAAGCCUUCGCCGUCGAACCCACCAAUCUAGCCACUUUCGUCGAAUAAAUUUAUUUAGAAAUAUAAGUUUUAAUGACACUUGAAAUCAAGAAAAAGGGAUAUGAGGGAAUAAAAUGUGUCGUUAAAAAUAAAAAUACAAAAUUUUUCGUGACACAAAUUGAGUUUUCAUCCCACAUCGUCGUUGUCUUUCUCUUUCGCAAAUGCUCUCUGGCGACGUUCCCCCCUCUCUAUCAAUUACUCUUCACGACUUUUCCUCUCUCUCAAAAUUAAGCUCUCCGCCCACCGUUUGAAGGAACUCACCAAAUUUGCAAGUAAUUGAAGAAUUUGUGGUCCAUGAGAUCGAUUAAGUCCAUUUAUGAGUUAGUUUGAUUAGAUUAUGUCACAUAUACAUGUAUUACAAUUAAGGGACACUUGCGAAAAUGGCAAAAUAAGUUAUAAUAAUUAAGUCCAUCGAACACAUACUUUAUUAUUUGAGAAAGUGACAAGAACAAAGACCAGCUCACACAUCAAGAGGUAAAAUGUCACAAAUGCCCUCGUUAUUGAUGUACAUUUGAUACACCUUAUACACGUUUGAUACACCUAAUACCCCUUGAUACACUUGAUACUUCUUGCUGAUACACUUGAUACAUUUGAUAGUUAUAAUUCAUGCACUCGGUAUUCAUUGAUACACUCGAUACUUUUUGAUACACACCUGAAACAUCUUCAUACACAUAAUACUUCUCGUUACACUUGAUUCUUCUUGAUACACUUGAUACCCCUGAGGCCUUGAUACACUUGAUUAGUUUGAUACACUUAAAGACUUCACUUAUAAGUUUGAUACGCUUGAUACACCACUAAUAAACUUCUUAUACUUCAUUGGUACACUUAACAAAUUUGAUAUGUUUGAUGUACAUGCACUACAAGAAAUUUACCCUUUCUCGAUGACAAAUAUCGUCAGUAAAUCUUCAAAAACUCAUCGACUUUUCUUUUGCCAACGAAAUUAAGCUGUCAACACACACCGUCACGUAGGUCUGUCCGAAGAUCCUCUAUCGAUGGCAAAAAAUAAACUGUCAGCAAAAAUAGGAACUAUCAAUGAAAUUGAACCAUCAGUGUGCGUGUGUGUGUGCGCCCCGUGUGCGCAUGUCCACAUGUGCUUGGGUGUGUGUAUGCGCACAUACAUGUGUACGUGAGUAGGUGUGUGCGUGUUUGCAUGUGCAUUUGUGUGCGUGCAGUUUGGUGUACGUGUGCAUGUGUGCGUUUGUGUGUGUGUGCCUACGUUUGUGUGUGUGUGCGUGUGUACACGCGUGUGUGUGUGCGUGUAUGGGUGCACGCGCGUGCAAGUGUAUGUAUGUGUGUGCGCGUGUGAUUGUGUGUGAAUAAGUUGAUAUUUUUUAAUGUUGAGUUUCUCCCAAUUUUAAAACAAUAAUUUAAUUAUCUUGAUAUUCAAGCCAUUAAUAUUAUUGUGAGAUAAAGAGAGUGAAUAAGUUGAUAUUUUUAAAUUUUGAAAUUCAAUUAAAGUUAUUUUGAUACAAAAUCUAUUGUUGAGAUUAUCAAAUUCUGAAAAAUAAUAAUUUUGUUAUGUUGAAAUUCAAUUUGGUUAUUUUGAAAUUCAAAUUCAAUUAGGUUAUUUUGAAAUUAGUAAGAUUAAAUAAAGUUAAAGUCUUGAAUCCAUUAGUUGAGUCCCGAGAUAUUAAGAAAAAAGUAUGAUAUGAGUUGAUGUAUCUUUUUCAGGUAAAAAAUAAUUAAAAGCUGAUAAAUGCAUAAUAUAAAUUAAUUACAACAUAGAAACAAAAUAAUUUUAGUUGGAGAAUGUGGAUAUUUUGGUAUUUUAUAAAAUAUUAUGCACGUGCAAAAAAUGUUAUUUGCUAAAAUUAAAAAAAAAUAGUUUUGCCUUUUUUCAAAAUGACCCAUAAAAAUGUUGCUAUAUCUCUUAUGACAGAGUGUAUAUCUACUGGUUCAUAUUCGACCUGUUUGUUGCUAAUAUAAUUGGAUAAAAUCGCAUUAUAUUGAAAUAAUUACACGAAUGACACUUUUAAGCCAAUAUUGAUAGAAAUUAUAGUUCAUUUAAUGUUAUUAAGUCAAAUGAACAUUGUUUAAAAGUCCUUCUAAACACAAUUAAUGUAGUUGUUUUUUAAUUUUAACUCAUUUAUACAUCUUUAUGCAUGCAUGUGUGUGUACGUGUGCGCGUGUAGGUAGGUGUGCAUUUGUGUAUGUGCGUGCGUUCGUGCGAGUGUCGUGUGCAUGUGUGUGUGGGUGUGUGCAUGUUUGUAUGUGUUUGUGCGUGCGUGUGUGCUUGGGUGUGUGGGUGUGCUCGCGCGUGCGUGUUUGUGCACGUGUGCGUAUGUGUUUACGUGUGUGCGUAUGUGUCUACGCGUGUGUGCGUUUGUGCAUGUGUGUGUGCUUGUGCGCCUGUGGAUAGGUGUGUGUGUGCAUGCGUGCGCGUGUGCAUGUGUGUGUGCGUGCGUUCGUGCGUCUGUGGGUGUCUAUGUGUAGGUGUGCGUGUGCGCCUGUGUGUGUAAGUGUGCAUGUGUACGUGUGUGCACAGUGCUUCUGUGCUUGUGUGCGAACAAGUUAAUAUUUUUUAAUGUUGAGUUUCUUCCAAUUUUAAAAUAAUAAUUUAAUUAUCAUGAUAUUCAAGGCAUUAAUGUUAUUUUGAGAUAAAGAUAGUGAACAGGUUGAUAUUUUUUAAUUUUGAAAUUCAAUUAUUAAGGUUAUUUUAAUACAAAAUCUAUCGUUGAGACUCUCAAAUUCGAAAAAUAAUAAAUUUAAUAAUUUUGUUUUGAAAUUCAAUUUUGUUAUUUUGAAAUUCAAAUUUAAUUAGGUUAUUUUGAAAUUAGUAUGAUUGAAUAAAGUUAUUAAUAUGUUGAAUUAAUUAGUUGAGUCUCGAGAUAUUAAGAAAAAUAUUAUGAUAUGAGUUGAUGUAUCUAUUUCAAGUAAAUGAUAAUUAAAAGUUGAUAAAUGCAUAACAUAAAUUAAUUACAAUGUAGAAGCGAAAUAAUUACAGUUGAAGAAUGUUGAUAUUUUGGUAUUUUAUAAAACACCAUGCACGUGCAAAAAAUGCUAGUUACUAAAAUUCAAAGGAAAAAGUAGUUUUGUCAUUUUUUAAAAUGACCCCUAAAAACGUUGUUAUGUCUCUUAUGACAAAGAGUGUAGAUCUACUGAUCCAUAUUCGAUUUGUUUUUUGUUGGAAAAAUUGGAUAAGACCGCAUUAUAUUGAAAUAAUUACACGAAUGACACUUUUAAGCCAAUAUUGAUAGAAAUUAUAAUUUAAUCAAUGUUAUUAAGUCAAAUGAACAUGGUUUAAAACUCUUUCUGAACAUAAUUAAUGUAUUUGUUUUUUAACUUUAAUUAAUUUACACUUCUUUGUGCGUGUGUGCAUAUGUGCGCGUGCGUGUGCGUGUGUGGAUGGGUGUGUGUGCGUGCGUUGUGCACGUGUGCUUGUGUGCAUGUGUGCGAACAAGUUGAUAUUUGUUAAUGUAAAAUUUCUCCCAAUUUUAAAAUAAUAAUUCAAUUAUCUUGAUAUUCAAGCCAUUAAUGUUAUUUUGAGAUAAAGAUAGUGUACAAGUUGAUAUUUUUUAAUUUUGAAAUUCAAUUAAAGUUAUUUUGAUACAAAAUCUAUCGUUGAGAUUCUCAAAUUUCGAAAAACAAUAAUUUUGUUAUUUUGAAAUUGAAAUUUAAUUAGGUUAUUUUGAAAUUAGUAAGAUUGAAUAAAAUUAAAAUCUUGAAUCAAUUAGUUGAGUCCCGAGAUAUUAAGAAAAAAGUUAUGAUAUGGGUUGAUGUAUCUUUUUCAGGUAAAAAAUAAUUAAAAGCUAAUAAAUGCAUAACAUAAAUUAAUUACAACGUAGAAAUGAAAUAAUUAUUGUUUGAGAUGGUGAAUAUUUUGGUAUUUUAUAAAAUAUCAUGCACACGUGCAAAAAAUUCUAUUUGCUAAAAUUUAAAAGAAAAAGUAGUUUUGUCAUUUUUCAAAAUGACCCAUAAAAACGUUGCUAUAUCUCUUAUGACAAAGAGUGUGCAUCUACUGGUACAUAUUCGACUUGUUUUUUGUUCGUAAAAUUGGAUAAGACUGCAUUAUAUUGAAAUAAUUACACUAAUGACACUUUUAAACCAAUAUUGAUAGAAAUUAUAAUUUAACUAACGUUAUUAAGUCAAAUGAACAUGGUUUAAAAGUCUUUCUAAACACAAUUAUUGUAGUUAUUUUUUAAUUUUAAUUCAUUUAUACAUCUUUGUGCAUAUGUGCGUGUGUGCGUGCGUGUGCGCGACUGCGUAUGCGCGUGUCCACGUGUGCGUGGGUGUGUGUGUCUACGUGUGCGUGGGUGUGAGUGUCCACAUGUGCGCGUUUGUGCGUGUGCGUGUGGGUGUGUGUGCGUAUACGCGCGUGCGUGUGUACGUGAGUAGGCGUGUGCGCUUUUUGUGUUUUUCUUCCAAUUUUAAAAUAAUAAUUUAAUUAUCUUGAUAUUCAAGUCAUUAAAAUUAUUUUGAGAUAAGGUUAUUUAAAUAUAAAAUCUAUCGUUGAGAUUCUCAAAUUCUAAAAAAUAAUAAUUUUGUACUUUUGAAAUUCAAUUUGGUUAUUUUGAAAUUCAAAUUCAAUUAGGUUAUUUUGAAAUUAGUAAGAUUGAAUAAUGUUAUUAAAAUGUUGAAUCAAUUAGUUGAGUCCCGAGAUUUUAAGAGAAAAGUUAUGAUAUGAGUUGAUGUAUCUAUUUCAAGUAAAAAUUAAUUAAAAGUUGAUUAAUACAUAACAUAAAUUAAUUAUAACGUAAAAACAAAAUAAUUAUAGUUGGAGAAGGUGAAUAUUUUGGUAUUUUAUAAAAUACCAUGCACGUGCAAAAAAUGUUGUUUGCUAAAAUUGAAAAGAAAAAGUAGUUUUGCCAUUUUUCAAAUUGACCCCUAAAAACGUUGGAUUUUUGUGUAUUCCCUUGGGCUUUCUUGUUCAAUAUUUAGUCAAAUUGCAGUAUACAUAAAAUUUGUGUUUGUUACGUCACAAGAUUUCAUUCACUAAUUGUGUGUAUUAUUUUAUAUUUUAUACAGGAGACUCCGUUUGAGUGUUGAGCUAGUAAUGGGAGGGACUACCGUUGACCCCAAAAUUACAAGGUUUCAUGUUGCUUACUGGAUCAUUAAUGAUUCGUCUCUAUCUUUGGCUCAUCGAGUGGUGGAGUUGGAACCCCCUGAAAGUGUAGAUUUAGACUCUCUACCGUUGUCAAGAGCUGUUAAGUAUGCAAAAAUGGCCUUGAGAAAUCCUAUAAACUCUCUGAACAGGAGACAUUCUAGUGUAAGAUGAAAUGCUCAAGUCCUUGAAGAAAUUGAGGACACAACUCCAAUUCCUAGCAUGCUUUCUCCCUAAGACUAUGCUGGUCCUAGCCGGAGAGUGGCAUUUACAUCCCAGAAAGACACACAUGUAUCACCUCGUGUUGGCACUUCCAUUGCAAUGCACAACUCUGACAUAUAUAGUGCUGACAUUUCCUUCCUUAAGCUUGAAAAAAUGUGAUUUGAUGUCCAUAAAAAGUUAACUGAGCAGUUAGAUAUUUUCUAAUACGUAUCUCACGUAAUUUGAUGCUCAUUGAUACUGCAUUACUGUGUCAGGAACGUGUUGAUGUAAAAUCUUUCAGCUUUGAUGGAUCUUAUUACAAGCUUUCAACUCUUCUUAGCACGACUUCUGACAGAACAAAGGUUUGAUAUAUCUUUACACGAUCGCAUAUCACAUAUGAACGAUCGCAUAUCCCAUUUGAAAUAUCGAUCACCCUUCGUAAAACAACCGUUUAGAUAUUCUACACGAUUGUUUGCUUAAGGAUACACGAUCAUUUUGUAACUAUUUUUUUAUUAUCCAUUUUUCUUUCUAUACUAGAAUCAGAAUCAAUUGUUUGAUGAUAUUAACAACAUGUAUGAUGAUCUUCGUGAUGAUUCUAGUCAUCACAAUCUGGACAAGAAUGAUGACCAUCAAAAUAACAAACAUGUGAUCAUCCAUGAGAAUCCAUCUGUUCAAGAGUCACAUCUUCAAGAAUCUACUGUAGAGACUCAACAGUUAGUGUUUAAUUCAUUAGUUACUGCUUUAUAUUGUUUAAAAUUGCUUAGAUUAUAAAUAAACAACAAUAAUUUUUUUUCUUUUCUGUGUAGGGAACAAAAAUGAACAACGCCUCAACAUCAAGACCAGUCAGGCAGUGAUAUUAGCAUAGAUGGCAGAGAUGCACAUUUGAUAUUAACUAUAAGUAAUAUAGCAGAAAAUAUGGAAGGUCAUACUCAAACAGAAAAGGGACUGCUAGAAAUGAUUGAAAAUCUUUCGUUGGUAAGCCAACCACUUCCACUUUGUGAGAUGCUACCGUUAACUACUGUCAAAGGUCUUGCAUUAGUUUAAUUGGUAUGUGUGCCCUAAAGGGAUAAAAGCUCUUGGCAGUGAAAGACUUUACAAAACCAUUCAUCAAUUUUAAUUUGAAAAUUCCAAAAUACCAGUACAUUGACAAUAUUUAGAAUCAAAGUUCUAAAUAAAGAACUAAAUAUGCUUUUAAAUUAAAAGAUACAUAGAACUUACUCUUGUUGACGUCUCUGAAUCUAUAAUCCACCGAAUUGGGGACACCACCCGUUGGAGACCUUCCUAUCUUCGAAUACUAAAUGUUAAAUAAUAAUAAUAUAUAAUAAUAAUAGAAUUAAUGUUAUUAUUAAUUUAAAAUAUCAAUUCUUUAUUGAUUCACGUGCAACCCCAUCUCUUUCUCCUUCACUCUUCCUCUUCCCCGUGCCCACCGCCGCCUGCCUCCCUUAGCCAUUUUAUAUUACUCUUGGACGUCAGCCGGCCACGCCGUCACCGAUCGCUUUGUCUCCAUUGAAGCUAAAACACCGUUCGUCGUGAGUUCGAACUCUCGGCAUCGCGUCUCACCUCUGUUUUCCAGCCAAGCUGUGAUUCAUUCGCGCGUAGCUCCUUCGACGUUCGCACCACCACAUUAUGCUUCAGGUGACGAGGAACGUUACCGAUUGACCUAUCAUCUCACCGGUGUUGUUACUUAGUUGAAGCAGUCGUUGACCAGACCUGAGCCCGUCGCGUCUGUCGAAGUGCCGUCACGCGGCUCUUCACCUCCAGCCAUGGGUUGUAAGCUGAAGUUUGUUUUUCGUUUGUUGAUUAGAUCUGAUCUAUUACACGCGUCGAUUCUAGUUAUUCGAAGUUGUUGCCCCCAUUUUACUCUAAUUUUUGGGAUUUUUGUGGUAAGUUGUAUUGGUGAGUGUGGUGGUUUUACAUUGUAAUUAUCCUUGGGUUGUAGUUUUGGAUAAUUAGUUAAAUUGUUAAUUGAUUCUUGAAGUUAGCGUUUGAGUUCUUUGGAUUCACAACUAAAUUGUAGAUUUGUUGGAGUUCGAUUCGCCAAUACUUUGAUAAGCUAGAAUUUACAUUGAGGAAAUUAAAUGAAAGAAAGUAUUGUGAAAGUAAUUGAGUUCCAUAUUCUUAGUAUUAGGUUUCCUUCGUUUGAGAAAUUUGAGUAACAUUAAAGUAAGGGGUUUCUAUUACUGGACUCUUUGAAAGUUUUGAAAUGUGUUGACUGUUUGGAUCUCUGGACUUAGUAUGGUUUACUAAUAUAUGUAGAAGUAGAUAUGAUGACAAAUGUAUUGUAACGCCCCAAACUCGAAGGUAAUUUAUUUUAAGAAAAUUAUUCAAUUUGUACAAGAUUUAUUUUUUGAAGAAAAUAUGUUGAAGGGGGAAAAAGAAGAUUUGAAAAUGUGAUAAUAUAAUUAUAUAUAUAUUUAUUUAUAUUUUAGUUUUAUUAUUUAAUUUAAAUAAAAGAAAAUAAGAAAAAUUUUCCUUUCUUCUUCCUCCCGCGCGCAACUCCCCUUUCCCCCUUCAUUUUCUUUUUCUAUUUUCUCCUUCACCAUGCCCUACCUCCAGCCGCACCCUCCAACCGACCACCAUCGCUCUCCUCCUUCUUUUCUUCUCCGAUCCACGGCCGCCGCCCCUAUUCUUCUUCAAUUUCUCUUUCUUUUCUACCAUACCCAGCCGCCGCUGCAACCGUCGGCCGCCAUCUCUGUUCGUGAAGCAAGCCGUACGCGUCGCCUUGCAGUUGUCAUCCAGAUAUGUGUCACCGUGCCUCGUCCUAAUCGCCUCUGUCUCCGUUGAAGCCAAGCCCAGCCGCCGCCCAUUCCUUUCCUCUCCGUUCGUGAAGCCCGGUCGCCGCGUCAGAUCGUCGAUCGAUUUUGAGGCAGCGCGCACGUCUCCUUCCAGUCGCGUGUUUCCUCUUCUUCCAGCAGCGUGUUCUUCUUCCAGCCGCAAUUCACAACCGACGUACACUCUAAUCUGUUUGUACGAUCUUUGUUGUUAGGUUCGAUCGUUGCUGCCGCCGUUUUUGUUGUGAGUUCUCUUAUAAGUAAAAUUGAUAGUUUCUGUUUGAUGGAUUGUUAAGAUAAAAUAUCAAAUGAAACGUUUGGUUAAUACUGUUCUUGAAGGUGUUGGAAGUGACAUUGGGUCCCUCGUGUUCAUAACCGAAAUUGUGAAUUUUGGAGUUUGGCUCGCCAAUACUUCGUAUCUUUCGUGGGAUAUAGUUUGUUUAAGAAAUUGAGCAACCUUGAGGUAAGGGAUUUUCUACUGGACUCAACAACAAAAUUAAGAUAUAAUGACUAAUUAAGAUGUAUUGACUGUAUGGACCGUAUUAUAUUAUUUGAACUGAGUAGAGAUGACUGUUAUGAUGUAUGUUUGGACAUUGACUUAAAGUUUAAUGUUUGCUGUGUUUGACUGGGAGAAAUUAAUACAUAUAUGUGCAUGGGUUGAUGUGGACUGUGGUUGAGUAUAUGUUGUGACUGUCUGGUUAUGUAUGUGUACAAGGAUAAGGAUGUGGAAACGACUGAAUCUCGUAGAUGUUGCUUAUAUAAAGUGUGGAUUUGAUUAGUAGAUUGAUUGUUGUCUAGACUGAAUGUAUAAUAUCUACUCUUAUGUUGUGUGCUUGUGAACGGAAGAAACGUCGUGGUUGUGCCCUUGGUGACUGAGGAGGAGGUUAUGAUUGUUUAGCUUGUUAACUGAUGUAAUGAUAUGCUUUUUACUGACCUUGGGCUAAAUUAGAGUAAGACGACUGGUUGAGGUUAAAUAAGGAGUUUACGUGAUGAGAAUGUUUAGCUGAUUUGUGAAUGACUGUUAAGAUGUUUAGAAUGGACUGAGGGGAAAAAUUGUUAGCUUUUAUUGGGAUGUGUGCCUUGUAGGUGUCCCACGGGAUCACCAAUUAUUCUACACCUUCGGGAGCAUUAGACUGAUAUGUGUUUCUGCAGAACACUAGACUGAAAUGUACGUUCCUUGGGGCGUUAGACUGAAAUGUGCAUCCUACGGGAUCACAAGACUGCGACUGUACAGGGUGUCCCAAUAGAAUGUUAACAAUUUAUUUUCCCCUGACGGGACUAGUAGAGGGUCUCUUACUUGGUAUUUUUAUACUCACCCUCCUUAUGUUUAAUUUUCAGGCAAAGGUAAUAAAGACGGCAAACCGGAGAGGGGCAGGAAGGAAGCGUGAUUGCCAUAGGGGUUAUUUUAAAUUGCUUAUGCUAAAUGUUUUGUUUCACGUGUUUUGUUUUAGUACUUGAGAUUGUUUAGAAAUUUUUAUAGUUGAACUGUAUUCACGAAUUAGUAAAUUUUUCUUGAAAGUGUUGGUUAUUUUAAACAGGGCCCAGAUAUAAAUUUUUGUUUUCUUGAGACUUUGAAAUUGUUUGAGAUUGAGAUUUUGAGUAAACUCAGGUCUUUAUUUGAAAUUAAUGACUUCGACUUACCUAGAAAAGUUGGGUCGUUACAUGUAUAUUAUGCCAGACUGGUAUAGAAGUAGAUACAAUGGAUAAUGUAUUUGUAAACUGAGAAAUGUGUUAUGUAUAUAUAUAUAUCUUGACUGUCUGGUGUGUUGUUAUAGUAUCAACUGAUUUUGUGAUAGAUUGAAUAGAUUGAACGUAAGUGUGUUAAGUUGGAUUGAUGAUAUGAUGGAGUAGUUUGACUAUACUAGGAAUGGAUUGAUUAAAUGUUUAUAACGGACUAAGGGAAAAUUGUUAGCUUUGUCGAUUGGGUAGUGUGCCUUGCAGGUGUCCUACGGGAUCACCACCUGUUGUGCAUUCUUCGAGAGCACUAGAAUGACAUGUGCAUUCUUCGAGAGCAAUAGACUGACAUGUGCAUUCUUCGAAAGCACUAGACUUACAUGUGCUUUCUGCAGAGCACUAGACUAAUAUUUGUGUCCUUUAGGGCAUUGGACUGAUUAUGUGUAUUUCUACAUGAUCACAAGACUUUUAAAGUGCAGGGCACCUCCAAUAGGAAGUUAACAAUUUCCUCCAAUAGGGAAAUGUCCUUCAAAUUGCUUCUACUUUAUUUUUUAUUUUUAUUUUGGUUUUCUUUAGUAAUUGAGACUGUUUUGGGUUUCAUGAUUGAACGAUUUUUAUGUUCUUGAACUUUCUUUAUUAUCGAUACUUUUACACUUUCAAAAUUUUAUUUGAAAUAGAGCCCGAAUAAAAACUCUUUAAUGUUGUUAAAAAAUAUAUUUUUUUAAAUUAUAAAGUGUUAUGGUUAAAGGACGAAUCUAGUCUUAAAGUAAUAACUUCAGCUUAAUUCGAAAAAUUAGGUCGUUACAAUCUAUUUUGCAGAAAAGAAAAUCAUCGAUUUUAUUUUGGUUAAGAAAAGUUGUUUUUCUUCUACAUAUUUAUAACUCUCUUUCUUUCAUUGAGUAGGAGACGAGGUAGAAGAAAAUCAUAGGAUUCUAUUAACAUAAAAAAUAUUAAAUUAAUAGAAGUUUCAAAUCAACAAACUAAUUAACCAUUAAUCAAUUAGUUAAUAAUUAAUUAAAUCAUAUUUAAUUAAUAUUUCAUUUAAAUCUUAUUGAAUGAAUAUCUCUCCAAUACCUUAUAGUUUUAUAUUAAUUUAAUUAAAUCAAAUUUAAUUAAAUAAUAUUAAACUAAACUAUUAAUUAAUUAUUAACUAAAUUAAAUAUUUUAUAUUUAACUUAAGUUAAAUUUGAAUCAUAUUCAAAUAUAACUUUAUCUCAUAAUUAAUAAUUUUAAUAUCAAACAAAUCCACAUUAAAUUAAUAUUUGAACUCAUUCAAAUAUUUUAUCUCUCAUAAAUUAAUUUUGAACUUUAUCUAAAAUUAAAUUUAUAUAAUAAAGUUUCAUUAACAUAUAAACUUUAUAUUAUAAUGUAUCACUAUAUAUUAUACUAAUUAUACUAAUUUCCAAGGUAAAUUUGAAUAUUUCAAAUUAGAACCAAUAUAAAUAAAUCACAUUAUCAUUUUGUAUCAUCCAUUACUUUCUAUUCAGUCAUACUAAUUGGAUCAACCUAAUACAUAAAACAAAUAUAGAAAAAUUAAAAAAAAAAAAGCAUGCACAAAUAGAGACAAAUAGACAUUUGAUAGUUAUCUAUCUCUAUCUAUCUGAAACAAGCACACAUAAAUUGUUAUAUUUCUCUAUCGGAUGGACAAAAAUAGCAGUCUAUUUAUAUCUACCUGAGAUACAAACAUUCAAAGAAAAAAAAAAAAACCUUACCAAUAAAAUUCUUGACUUUUCAUGUUAUUCUAAAUGCAACACGUUCUCAGCCCAAGAAGUCAAACAACUCUUCAUUGUAAAAGUAGCUUUACUUCUUUCAUCAAACCACUUUUGCAAUACAUCUCUAAUUGAACUAAGCAUGGUAGCUACAGGUAGUUCUCUAAGAAGAAGAAGACCUUCUAAAAAAAAUCAACAGUUACAUGAGCAACUAAUGGAUGUAUAUUAGUUGCAUCUUUAGCAAAAGAUAAAUACCAAGCCACAUCAUUGUCUUUCUUUACUGGCACCACAGUUGGACCUUGCUUUUACCAAAAUCAAGUAAAACAGAUAAUUCUACUUAUCCAUCCAAUUGAAUCUGUUCACAUAUUAAAUCAAUUAGAGAAUUAAAGCUGACUCGGACAUCUACCAAAAUUUCAGCAACUAAGUAAUUCUCAUAAAUAUUACAUCCAUUCCAUUGACCUCCAUAAAAAACAACAAUAGGAAAAGACAUUAUAAUCUGUAAAAAAAAUAAAUAAAAUAAAAUUAAGUAUUUAAUUGUGAUAAAAAGAAAUAGAUAUACAUAGAUAUACAUUUAUUACUGAAUAAAAGAAUAAAAUGUACAAAAUGAUAAUACUAAACACAAUGCAAGAAUAAGUAAACGAUCGUGCAAUGAAAUAAUAUACAUUAAACGAUCCUAUUAACCGUGAUAAACGACCAUUUAACAACGGUAAAUGAUAAUAUUGAUUAAAAUAAAUUAUCGUGUUGACAUGGGUACACGAUCAUUUGAUAUUGGUGAUCGUAUUGAAUAGUGUAAACAAUCGUCCUGUUAUCGGUACACGAUCGUGUUAAUAUUUGUAACUGAUUCUAUUGAUAGUGGUAACUGAUCGUGUAAUUCCAUGUAAACUAUCAUAAAAAACUUUAAACUAUCGAUCUUUAUAAUGAAGUACAUAAUUCUUACAUUAAUACUUAAAAUUUGUUGUAACGACUCAACUUUUCUAACUAAGUUGAAGUCAUUAAUUUUGACAAAGAGACAUUGAUUGACACAAAAUAUAGUAAAAUUCACUUGAAAUCAUACGAUCAAAGAAAACAAACUUAAGUUCGGGUCUUGUUUCAAAUAACCAAAACUUUAAAAGUACUAUUUACAAAACAAUAGUUCGUAAACUCAGUUCCAUCACAAAAAAUUUAAACAACCUCAUGUACAAAGGAAAAACAAGAAACAUAAAGCAGAAGCAUUUGAAGGACAUUCCCUUAUGGCAAUCACGUCUCCUUCUUGUCCCUCGUCGGUCUACCUCCUUUGUUACCUUUGCCUGAAAUAGUUAAACAUGAAAGGAUGAGUAUAAACAUACCCAAUAAGAGACUCGCUAUUGGUCCCAUUAGGGGAAAAAGAAACUGUUAACUUCCUAUUGGGGUACCCUGCACAGUCACAAUCUUGUGAUCCCGUAGGAUACACAUAAUCAGUCUAACGCCUCAAAGGACGCAUAAAUCAGUCUAGUGUUCCGCAGAAACACAUAUCAGUAUAAUGCUCCCGAAGGAUGCACAUAUCAGUCUAGUGCUAUCGAAGGAUGCACAUAUCAGGUGGUGAUCCCGUAGGACACCUGCAAGGUAACUACCCAAUAGAAAUCUAACAAUUUUCCCCUCAAUCCAUUCUAAACAUCUUAACACUCAUUCAUAGUACAGUCCAGCUACUUCAACAUAUAAUCCUUUCACUUAACACCCUAAUAGUCAACCUAUCUUACUUUAGCCCAAUGUCCGCCAGUAACAUAUCAAUACAUCAAUCAAUCAAACUAUAUAGUCAUUUCCUUUUCAAAGUGAAUUGCAAAGAAAUUUUCUCAAAUUGAAAAGAAAGGAGAAAUAUACAAAGUCAGCCACCGCUUCUUCUCCCUUUAGUUUGCAAUUUUCGUCUCCCUCUCUUCUAUUAUUAAAAUAAAUAAAUAAAAUAUCACAACUCGACUUAACACAAACUAUUUACUCCAAUUUUUUAAACUACAAAUUUAGUUUCUCAACUUUUAAACUAUUUUAAACUUACAAAUCUACUUUAUUCAUUUCUUCAGAUUUAUAUCUAACAAAUAAAAAAAAAUCAAAAUUUAUAGACACUUAAAACAUAAAUUUGAAAGACCUAUUAAACAAUUGAAAGGUUUAAGAGGUAACUAGACAAACUUUAAAAGUUCUAAGGGAAAGAAUCUUUUGUUUAACUAUUACAGUAAUUAAUUUUGAAAAUAUGUUAUUUUAGAAAAACUACAAGUGUUUGACAACCCUUUGAAAGCUAAUGAAAUACUCUCAAAUUGUAUUUUAAGCAAUUUUAAUAAAAAGAAAGUCUACAUAAAAAAAUUACCCUUUUUAAAGGAACAUUUUUUCUCUAAUCACUCCAAUGGAACUCAAACACGUACUUCAAGUUAAUUCUGGUAUCCAAGAAUCAGUCUCAUCUAACAUAAACAAGAACAUUCAACUUGAUAGAACUUCAUUACCUCAUUUUUACAAUUCCCAAAGUUACUAAAUGAAGGACCAUUCCUAAAACAUACUUACAUCCAACUUUCUCCAUGAAUAAACUUAUCGUCUUUUAUGUACUGAUGAAUAUAGAGAUGGAGCGAUCAGAGUUUGUUUAUGUACCAAAUUAGAGUGAUAGAGUGGAUUUACACAAGGACGAAAUGGCUGGCUGCUGCUUGUUCAAAACUGAAAGUUAAGGUGACCUUGUUUCUCAUAGGGACUCAGCAAAUUGAGGGGCCUCCAAGUCUACUUCUUGUCUCAUUAUACAUGCCAUUAGCCAUUCAACGUUGAAAGUCCAUAUCCCUUUUUCUACGGCCACCAAGGCUUCCUCCACGUCUUCCUCACAAGCCACAAAGAUCGUCUUCCAUACGUUGUUUACUUUAUCUAGCUCAUGAAUCACCUAAAUUUUCAAGCAUAAUGAAUUUGCCAAGUGAGAGAAAAAAAUUAUGUAUAUACUACAAGGAAAUUGCAAGAAUUCACCCUAUCAAAAAAUAUUAAACAAAUUCUUGUUCUAGUCCCUAAAAUUUUCCAUCUUUUCCCAUCUUUCAAAAUGCUUCCAAUGAGAUAUAUUCCAAUCACAUAUAGCAGAAAUGACCGAUGAGUAUUGGAUAAAUGAAUAUUAAUUGAUAAAAUAAUUUACAAAAUACUAAAACCGUUAGUUGGCUACAUUUUGGAAGCUCGAUGACUAAAAUGGAUGUUUUGAAAGUUCUAAGGCUAAAAUGGAAUUUAAAUCAACAUAAUAGUAAGUUCAAGAUCAAAGACAAGCUAAACAAUAAAAUGUUGCGACCAGAAAACAAUCUAAUCAUAAUUAUAAACAUGGAUGUAUGUAUUUGUACACCAAAUCACAAAAAAAUAACUCCAGAUUUCGAUCUAGAGACAAUUAAAAACUUGAACAAAUUUGAUAAUUAAAGAAACACGGAGAUGGCCAUAUGACCCCUUGUGCAUAGACUUUUUACAUUACAUGCUCAAUUCCUAGGAUCAAAACAAACAUAAAUAUUAAAGACUUAAGAAGCACAUACACUCAAGUUUGGCUAGUGUAUCAAUAAACAAUAUGUAUGGAACACUCGGAGAACACGUGUUGAACACUAGUUAGUACAGUAGAUGUGUUAGACAACAAGUAUUCCAAUGCAAUAAAGGUCAAGAUUGGUCACACACACAUAUUAAACUCUUGGCUUUGAAUAAGUUUUGAGUGAAGGACAAGCUUAUUUUUAAGCAUAUAAAUACAUAAACUUAUUGACUUUGAAUUUCUAUAUAAAUAUGAGACAUACUUUUUAAAUUAUAUAUAUUAAAACUGUGUUCUAGCACUAUCCUAUAUUUUUUAGAAAAAAAUGACACGUCACCAUGUCUAUGAUUUAUUGACCCAUGUCUAAAAUUCGUAUACGUGCUUGUUGUUGGAAUUUUUUGUCCUAAAACUCGUAGUUUGUAAUCAUAUUCUAUUCAAUAAAGUUGUUAUUGAGAAAUUAAAUAUUAUAAUCUUAAAUCCAAUAAAUCAAGUUCCAAGGCUAUUUUUGAAUAAACUUGAACUUUAUGUGUAAAUAUAAACGUGGAUCAAGUUCGAGUAUAUAGCCUAAAUAGUCUAUAGUAUAUGAAAUAAAGGUUGGGCGCCUUAUUUAGAGAAACUAUGGAUGCGGCCCACUUUGUAGUACAAACGAGGUGAUCCUAAUCGUUCAUGUAGAGACAUGAAAGUGGGGGCAUCCUAUGUAAAGUGUUUACAUAAGACUGAACCAUGAAUUUGUCUUUUUUACGUUAUAACACCGUUUACUGUUUAAAACUGAGUAUCUCAAUUAUUGAUGACCUCGGUAACUUAGUCUUAAUCCUGAGUUAACUAUGAACUCUUGUUCACACGAGAUUAUCCUUAGAUCUGCAUAGGUGAGGGCAGCUCAUCUGCGUUGGCCCAAUAAGCCUCCAAUUUCAAGGGUAUGAUCGGGUGGAUAGCUGGGAACAUAGGGUACAAGAUGGAAUUCACUCCUACCCGCUUUAGGGUUAGUAGAUAGGUUGUUCUCUUAAGCACUGAAUCCAAGUCUUGAACAAGGGGCCCCACCCUCUCAUUGGCCCAAGAGGGAUUAAGUUUAUAGGUUGAACCUUAAACCAAUUGUUCAAUAGUGGAUUAGUGGGACUUAAGGAGCAAGAUGUAAUUUUUGGGGGUAAAACGGUAUUUUAACCCAGCCAAGGUUACGAGCAACCUGUGAAGGAUUAACUUACCAAUUAUGGUUUUAUCAAAUGGACACAAAUAUAUCUAUAGUGAGGGGAGUGCAACUACGGGACUUUAGUGGAAUGACCCGUUAGUUAACGAAUGUUGAUUAACUUUGUCUAAAAGAGUUUAGCUAGUUAAUCUUAAAUCGUUGGAGCCCAUGAUCUAUAGGUCCAUUAGGUUCCUCUGCUAGCUCAUAUGGAUUAAACUUAGAACAGUGUGAUGAAAUAAGUCGAAUUGUUCGAAUUGAGAGAAGAAAGAGAAACCGACAGGUAUAGUGAUAUAGUCGUCGGUCUUCUAAAUAGAAAAAGAGCUUCAUGUUUUUCAUACUAUAAGUAUGAAUGCGGAUUCAUACUAAGAAGCUCGGAAUUGAUGGAAUUGGUCAAAAAUUGUAAAAAGUUAAAAUGUUGACUUUUGCCUCUUUUAUCAUUUUCAUCAUCUCAACCAAAGAAAAAAAAGAAACCUUCUAACCCCCUUUUAUCUCCAUUACUUUCUACACCAAAAUUGGGUCCCACAACCCGGUUCUUUGUUUAGAGGAUAGCAGUUGAGUACUAGUGGUGGUCUCGGUUUGAAUUGGUAAGAAGAUAUCAAACUUUUUGAAAGCUUCAAAGGUAAUAUUUCCUAAAACCCUAAUUUGAUUAGUUUAUGGUUACAUGUUAAUUGUGGCAAUUAGAGUAGAAAUUCGAUUCUUUUUCCGCUGUGCAUGACUUAGUUCUAUCACUUGUUUGUUGAGAACUUCACGUCUUCAUUAGAUGGGAGGAUAGCCAUAUUAUAGUGGUUGUAUAUGUAAGAAAGAGAACCAAACCUAGUACUCGAGAUUUGUACAAUAACAGAGAACUUACAUUUCCACCGGCUGACUUGACUAUCAGGGAUAGAGUUUUAGGUGGUGGUUGAGCGUGAGCUGAUAUGCAAACAUCAUACCCUUCAAAUAAAGCUUCAGGACAUGCUUUUGCCCUGAGACCUGCAGCUUUUAGGCUGGCUCGAUACUUCGAUAUUUAGUCAUCAUCAUUAGUAUGUAAGGUAACUCGUCUGCAGAUCAAUAAGGAAUUAAUCAAUCACAAAAAUUAGGUAGGAUGAAAAACAUAAGUGGAAGAAAAUACAUUACACUUUGAUACUAGCAAGCCAUUCGAACUUACCAACAAAUUUGCCUUCUCGGUAGCUUUCCUUUAACCAACUGGAGGAGAAAUCCAAGCUCUGAGUAAUUUGCAAUUAACUUGCAAUUUUAGUAACAAGAUAUAGUAAAAAUUAUGAGCAAGAGCACACUGACACGCUUGAAGCCACAUGGUAAUGCAUAUGCUCGAUAAUCAUUGAGAACAUUAACAAGAGAAAAUAAAGUUAAGAACAGUAGCUUGAAGAACAAAAAACAUUCUACAACAUAAAAUCUUCAAAAACACAUUGCUUAAAAUCAAGUUUACUAAUAUAAAAGGUAAGAUAUUACGUUCCACUCUCCACACUACUGAAGUUCAACAUUUCACAUGAAAGAAAUGAAAUACUACUCUCAAAUAUAACUGAAAAAAGCAUAAAUGGGUAAAGAAAAAGCAUAGAGAAAUGCAAAAGAAUCCUUGGCUUUGAUAUAUUGAAAGGUAAAGAAUAUCAACCAUAGAUGCCCGGGAGAAGAACUCCUACAAGUACACACUUAACGCAAAUUAUCAUUCGCUAACAUGAAACCUUCUAGAGGAAUUCUGUUAGGAUACUUCCUAACAAGAACAAGAUCUUAAUUUAUUAUAAUGAACUAUAAGAAAAUACAAGAUAAAACCAAGUAUAAGGCACUUGGAACCUCACUCUUGAGUACUCUCACCCAAGCCCUAAAUCACUCCCCAGAAUUCUCCCCUUACUUACCCUCCCUCCAUUUAUAAUAAGAUGUAACUACACUUACAUAAUAACUACUAGUAACUUUCUAAAUAUCUAAUUACCCUUAUACCCCUAACCUUAUACUAAUCUAGGUAUCUAACAUUACCCGAUCCUUCAAAACACCUUGUCCUCAAGGUGAGCUUACAAACAUGAUCAAGGCCCCCUUUUCUUUUUUUCUCUUUUUAAUUGCAAACAAUCCCCAACAUUCUGCUCUUCAAUGUUGAAAAAGAAAUCCUCCCCUUCGGCUUUGAAAAACUCUCGAUUCCAAUAAGGUCCAUUGACUUCAGCCCACAAAGCAGCCCAAUGUACUUGAAUUUUCCUUUUCCAAAACACAUUGUCUUAGUUAACCCUUUGCAUAUCACCAACAAGUGUUUAAUUUUCAAACUCUUCAUCUCUAGUGGGCUAGGCCAUAAUCAAAGUGUUGCGUCAAGACCAAAAUCAUACUGUCGCCGGUUUCAUUCCUAGGACCCACCUACAUACACGUUUUUCUUCCCUCCUAUUUUUGGAACUCUCCAUCCACUUCAUCUACAAAAUGAUGUGCCCCCAAUGUUUUAUUUAGAAUAAGUUGAAGCUCAUUUAGAGUAAGUUGAAGCCCACUUGAAAUAGUAAAACCCAAGAUUGUUCCUUUUGUCCUAAUCCUCUUUCCUACAAAUUUCUACCACGUGAUUGGCACCAUCAGGUGUUCAGCAACUUCUUCCUCGUCACGUGAUUCACCCCUAUUCCAGAUCACCUUCUCGAGCCUCUAUAGACCGGUAACUGUUGGCUUCUUCUUUCUCCAUUGCAACCAGCCAUUUUGUGUUUCUUUGAGCAACAAGUUUUUCUUCACUCGAGUCUUCAUUUCGAGCCUCACAGGUAAUCCUCGUCGACCUUCCUCUAUAGUUUCUUCUUGGUCACUCUUUGCCAUCCUCUUCACCUUCGUUGUAUACCCGUUGCAAUCGCGUUUUCCUCAAUUCUUCUAUGGAUUCAGCAACUUCUUGGAAUCCAUCGAUUUAUGGACCUGAAGAUUCCAAUCCGUUCUAAAUAAACACAAUCCAGAUCAGUGCCACUAAACACAGGCAUUUCAACCUUCUUGAAUUUGCUAUGAUCGUUCGAGUUUUCAUCCCUUUCAAACUUGUUUGUUUUACCUUCUACCUUGAUUUCCUUCAAUGUCUUACCUCCACCUUCGAUGAUACUCUCAAUCGUUGAUCCUUUGCUCGACAAUCCUUCCAUUCUUCUGAAGAUUGUCGAAUUAUCCUUCUGCUAUUCCUUCGAUGCAUUUAGCAACCGUUCUUGUUUUUCCAACUAGAUGACCAGUCUUUCGAUGCUUUUUGGCAACCAUGACAAGUUUUCUUCAAUUGCCAACAACUUGUAUAACUCCACUUGUAUCCCCGAGAUUUCCUUAUCAUAGGUCUCCAACUUCUCUUCGAUCCGUUUUUGUGCUGCUCUAUCGUUCUCCCAAGUAAAAACGCUCUGAUACCAAAUUGUUAAGAUACUGUAAAUAUACGGCAAGUGUAUCUUACUUUAUUGAAUUACCUCAAUGAAUUAUAGUAUAGAGAAUAAAAAAUCACUCACAUCUACUUCCUAAAGGCACACUCCAGUGAGGAUCACAACAAAGAACAAGAAAAACUAAGAACAAACCGCAACCAUGAAAAUGACCAAAACAAAUAAUAAAAAGAACUUGACUUGGACCCUCUACUUCUCCCAAGCACGAAAGACGGCAGCCUCUACUUCUUUGGAAUAUUUUGUCCCCUUUCUCCCUCCUCUUUCCUCCCUUUUAUUUUGCUUUACUAACAAACUAAUGGGAAAGAUCUCCUCCGAUAUUCUCUCCUCCUAUAAUCUCUCCUAUAUUCUCGUGUGGGUCAAUAUUACCCUUUUUAAUUCUUCUACUGUAUUUAAAUAAUAUUGGAGACAUAUACUUCCUAACAAUAACAAGAUCAGAAUUUAUUAUAAUGUAACUAUAAGAAAAUACAAGAUAAAACCAAGUAUAAAGCACUUGGAACCCUCCCUCUUGAGUACUCUCACCCAAGCCUUAUAUCACUCCCCAGAAUUCUCCCCACUUACCCUCCCUCCAUUUAUAAUAACAUGUAACCACCCUAGUUACCCACUUACAUAAUAACUACUAGUAACUUCCUAAAUAUCUAAUUACCCUUAUACCCCAACCCUAUACUAAUCUAGGUAUCUAACAAAUUCCAUAACAUAAUGUAUUAGCGGAAGAAGGAAAUCGAGGAUAAAAACACUAGCUAGCCAACAAAUAUCUUUCAUUAGUGAGCUUGAGCCAUUUUACACGUAAAAUGGGAAAAGUAAGCCUGCAACCCAAAGUAGCCUAAUGGUUGUCUUAACAACCACUACCCACCAUCACGAUAGAAACAACUGAAAAGGAAGUGCAUGAUACAAUCCAACUCAAACAUAAGAAUUGAUUUUGAUGUUUAACUAAAAGUAAACAGGCAGUAGAAUAAGAAACUAUGCCCUUUUAGAUCUAGAAGGUUCACAACAAUUUCCAGCCUAAGCACAACUACGAGGCAAUGGAAGAAUAACGGCAAAGGCCUUGUGUGCAUGGAAUCGCUAACUUUGGUGCAAAUGAGACGAUUAUCGGUAUUCAAAGGCCAAAAGGACACAUAGAAGAGUGUUCGUCUAAGAUUGCAAGACUAACCCUGAAAAGAGAUCAAUACAAAAAUUUAGAGUUUUCCGCACUUUUCCUGUAAUGACAUCAGUGCUUGUACUCCCAUCAGCAGUGAGAGAACCACCAAGCUCCUCAAUCAUCUGAAUCAGAAAACAACUGCACAUUAGAGCAGUCACAAUUUGGAAUAAUAGAACUUUUUAUUGUUUGAAUCUUAGAAUAUUUAUGAAAAGUUUAUGGGAAUAUUUUUCUUAAUUCCUAAAUAUUUUCCUUUUUUAUUCCUCUGUAUAUUCUAUUUAUUCUCCCUUGUAUCUAUUAUAUUUUUAAUCAGAAAAUAAUAAGAAGAAAAAUAUAGUGCUUUUUUUCCUGGUACACAUGUUUCCACGUAAAGUUGUGUGUUUGUUUGUCUCCCUUUCAAAAUGGUAUCCGAGCAAGUGGUCCAAGAAGGUCUUGUGUUCAAGCCUCGCAUUGUCGUUUCCUCCCCAAUUAAAAUCCAUUUCCAGUUGUUGGGCCUUUCAAAUAUUUGAAGCCCACAAGUGAGGAGAGUGUUGGUGAUAUAUAAUUGUAAUGGAGAAGUAUGUUAGGAUUCUAACAAUAAAACACAAAAUAUCCUAACCAAAUGGCUAAACAGAGGCAACACUCUAUAAUUCUUUACUUAUGUAAAAGCCAAAACACAUUCAACAGUAGUAGAUAUGAAAAAUAAAGGAAGAACAACAUAGAAAACUUACCCAGCUCCUUUAUACGGGGCUGGAUACCCUCAGGCUACAGCAACCUUUACUCUCCUUGAAAUAACCAAAAAGACCUAGCCUCCCCGACCCCAACAUUACAUAUUUAUACCUCUCUCUCUCAUCCCUCCUGACGGGCCCCACCUGCACGAUCCUCUCCCAUUAUUCUCUCAUCAUUGGUUGCUAAGGAAUUUCCCUUUCUACCCUUCCUUUUAUAGGUAUAGAUAAUAGGAGGUCUUACAAAGUAAUACCUGGCCUGACUUUCUUUAAUCUUUCUGCGAGAACCUUUCCAAACAACUUAUAAGCCACACUGUAAUGACCUUCCUUCUCUUUACCAAACUUCAAUAAUCGACAACUUGUAUUUAUCCACAUAAUCAACAAAACUCUUAAUCUGCCACUAGCUUCAAACAAAGACCCAGCCAAUUCCUUUUGAACUCCAUAGUGCCUUUACAAUACAACUGGCAAUCUCUUCUCUUUUGGUCUCCUGAAUGGCCUAGAAAGGAACGACCAGACUUAGAACGGGUUCGGAGGCCUCGAAAGUUCACAUCUAGCUACUAGGUGGUCCGAUUCUGAGUGAUCUCGAAGUUUCUUUCCCACGAAAGCCGAACGGUGAUGCCCCAGACUCGGUUUUUCGAUUCCGUCCCGAACCGCCAAAGAAAGGCAUAAUGGCCUAGAACGGAACGAUCGGGCUUAAAACGGGGUCGGACGCCUCGAAAGUUCACAUCUAGCUACUGGGUGCUCCGAUUCUGAGUGAUCUCGAAGUUUCUUGCCCAUGAAAGCCGAACGGUGAUGCCCCAGACUCGGUUUCUCCGUUCCAUCCCAAAACGCCGAAGAAAGGCAGAAUGGCCUAGAAAGGAACGACGGGACAUAGAACGGGGUCACAGGCCUCGAAAGUGCACAUCUAGCUACUGGAUGGUCCGUUUCUUAGUGAUCACGAAGUUUCUUGAACACGAACGCCGAACGGUGAUGCCCCAGACUCGGUUUCUCGGUUUCAUCCCAUAACGCCAAACAAAGGCACAAUGGCCUAGAAAGGAACGACCGGACUUAGAAAGGGCUCGGAGGCCUCAAAAAAUCACAUCUAGCUACUGGGUGGUUUGAUUCUGAGUUAUCUCGAAGUUUCUUGCCCACGAAAGCCGAACGGGGAUGCCCCAGACUCGGUUUCUUGGUUCAAUCCCAAAACGUCGAAGAAAGGCACAAUGGUCUAGAAAAGAACGACUGGACUUAGAACGGGGUCGGAGGCCUCAAAAGUUGACAUCUAGCUACUAGGUUGUCCGAUUCUGAGUGAUCUCAAAGUUUCUUGCCCACGAAAGCCGAACGUUGAUGUCCCAGACUCGGUUUCUCGGUUCCGUCCCAAAACGCCGAACAAAGGCACAUUGGCCUAGAAAAGAACGACCGACUUAGAACGGGGCCGGAGGCCUUGAAAGUUCACAUCUAGCUACUGGUGAUCUGAUUCUGAGUGAUCUCGAAGUUUCUUUCCCACGACAGCCGAACGGUGAUGCCUAGACUCCGUUUCUCGGUUUCAUCCAAAAACGCCGCAGAAAGGCACAAUGGCCUAGAAAGGAACGACCAGACUUAGAACAGGGUCGGAGGCUUCGAAAGUUCACAUCUAGCUACUGGGUGGUCUGGUUCUGAGUGAUCUCGAAGUUUCUUGCCCACGAAAGACGAAUGGUGAUGCCCAGACUCGGUUUCUCAGUUCCGUCCCAAAACGCCGAACAAAGGCACAAUGGCCUAGAAAAGAACGACCGGACUUAGAAGGGGGCCGGAGGCCUCGAAAGUUCACAUAUAGCUACUGGGUGAUCUGAUUCUGAGUGAUCUCAAAGUUUCUUUCCCACGAAAGCCGAACGAUGAUGCCCAGACUCGGUUUCUCGGUUUCAUCCAAAAACGCCGCAGAAAGGCACAAUGGCCUAGAAAGGAAUGACCAGACUUAGAACGGGGUCGGAGGUUUUGAAAGUUCACAUCUAGCUACUGGGUGGUCCGGUUCUGAGUGAUCUCGAAAUUUCUUGCCCACGAAAGACAAACGGUGAUGCCCCAGAUUCGGUUUCUCGGUUAUGUCCCAAAACGCCGAAAGAAAGGCACAAUGGCCUAGAAAGGAACGACCGGACUUAGAACGGGGUUGGAGGCCUCACAAGUUCACAUCUAGCUACUGGGUGGUCCGAUUCUGAGUGUUCUCGAAGUUUCUUGCCCACAUAAGCCGAACAACGUUGCCCCAGACUCGGUUUCUCAGUUCCGUCCCAAAGCGCCGAAGAAAUACACAAUGGCCUAGAAAGGAACGAUCGGACUCAGAACGGGGUCAAAGGCCUCGAAAGUUCACAUCUAACCAUUGUUUGGUCUGAUUAUGAGUGAUCUCGAAGUUUCUUGCCCACAAAAGCCGAACGGUAAUGCCCGAGACUCGGUUUCUUUGUUCCGUUACAAAACGCCGAAGACAGGCACAAUGGCCUAGAAAGGAACGACUAGACUGAGAACGGGGGAGGAGGCUUUAAAAGUUCACAUCUAACCACUGGGCGGUCCAAUUCUGAGUGAUCUCGAAGUUUCUUGCCCACAAAAGGCGAACGGUGAUGCCCCAUACUCCGUUUCUUGGUUCCAUCCCAAAACGCCGAAGAAAGGCAUAAUGGCCUAGAAAAGAACGACCGGACUCAGAACGGGGUCGGAGGCCUCGAAAGUUUACAUCUAACCACUAGUCGGUCCGAUUCUGAGUGAUCUCAAAGUUUCUUUCCCACAAAAGCAGAACGAUGGUGCCCAGACUCGGUUUCUUGGUUCCGUCCCAAAACGCCGAAGAAAGGCACAAUGGCCUACAAAAGAACGACCGGACUCAGAACGUGGUCGGAGGCCUCGAAAGUUCACAUCUAGCUACUGGGUGGUCCAAUUCUGAGUGAUCUCAAAGUUUGUUGCCCACGAAAGCCGAACAGUGAUGCCCCAGACUCGGUUUCUCGGUUCCGUCCUAAAACACUGAAGAAAGGCAAAAUGAACUAGAAAGGAACGAUUUGACUCAAAACGGGGUCCGAGGCUUCGAAGCUUCACAUCUAACCACUGGACGGUCUGAUUCUGAGUGAUCUCGAAGUUUCUUGCCCACAAAAGCCGAACAGUGAUGCCCUAGACUCGAUUUCUUGGUUCCGUCCCAAAACGCCGAAGAAAUUCACAAUAGCCUAGAAAGGAACGACCGAACUCAGAAUGGGUCGGAGGCCUCAAAAGAUCACAUCUAACCACUGGGCGGUCCGAUUCUGAGUGAUCUCGAAGUUUCUUGCUCACAAAUGCCGAACGGUGAGGUCCCAGACUCGGUUUCUUGUUUUCGUCCCAAAACGCCGAAGAAAGCAACAAUGGCCUAAAAAGGAACGACCGGACUUAGAACGGGAUUGGAGGCCUCGACAGAAACGACCGGACUUAGAAUAUGGUCGGAGGCCUCGAAAGUUCACAUCUAGCUACUGGGUGGUCCAAUUCUAAGUGAUCUAGAAGUUUCUUGGCCACGAAAGCCGAACGGUGAUGCCCCAGACUCGAUUUCUUGGUUCCGUCCCGAAACGCCGAAAAAAAGGCACAAUGGCCUAGAAAGAAACAACCGGACUCAGAACGGGGUUGGAGGCCUCGAAAGUUCACAUCUAACAACUGGUCGAUCUGAUUCUGAGUGAUCUCGAAGUUUCUUGCCCACCAAAGCCGAACGGUGAUGCCCCAGACUUGGUUUCUUGUUUCCGUCCCAAAACCCCGAAGAAAGGCACAAUGGCCUAGAAAUGAACGACCGGACUGAAAACGGGGUCAAAGGCCUUGAAAGUUCACAUCUAACAACUGGGCGAUCCGAUUCUGAGUGAUCUCAAAGUUUCUUGCCCACAAAAGCCGAAUGGUGAUGCCCCAAACUCGGUUUCUAGGUUCCGUCCCAAAACGCCGAAGAAAGGCACAAUGGCCAAGAAAUGAACGACCGGACUGAAAACGGUAUCAAAGGCCUCAAAAGUUCACAUCUAACCACUGGGCGGUCUGAUUCUGAGUGAUCUCGAAGUUUCUUGCGAACAAAAGCCGAACGGUGAUGCCCCUGACUCGAUUUCUAGGUUCCAUUCCAAAACCCCGAAGAAAGGCACAAUUGCCUAGAAAGGAAGGACCCAACUCAAUACGGGGUCGGAGGCCUCGAAAGUUCACAUCUAACCACUGGACGGUCCGAUUCUGAGUGAUCUCAAAGUUUCUUGCCCACAAAAGCCGAACAGUGAUGCUCCAGACUCGAUUUCUUGGUAUCGUCCCAAAACGCCGAAUAAAUUCACAACGACCUAGAAAGGAACGACCAGACUCAGCACGGGGUCGGAUGCCUCGAAAGUUCACAUCUAACCACUGGUCGGUCCGAUUCUGAGUGAUCUCGAAGUUUCUUGCUCACAAAAGCCGAACGGUGAUGCCCUAGACUCGGUUUCUUGGUUCCGUCCCAAAACGCCGACGAAAGGCACAAUGGCCUAGAAUUGAACGACCAGACACAAAACGGGGUUCGAGGACUCAAAAGUUCACAUCUAACCACUGGGCGGUCCGAUUCUGAGUGAUCUCGAAGUUUCUUGCCCACAAAAGCCAAAUGAAGAUGCCCAAGACUCGGUUUCUUUGUUCCGUCCCAAAACGCCGAAGAAAGGUACAAUGGCCUAGAAAAGAACGACCGGACUGAGAACAGGGUCAACGGCGUCGAAAGUUCACAUCUAACCACUGGGCGGUUCGAUUCUGAGUGAUCUCGAAGUUUCUUGGCCACAAAAGCCGAACAGUGAUGCCCAGACUCGGUAUCUUGGUUCCGUCCCAAAACGCCGAAAAAAGACACAAUGGCCUAGAAAGGAACGACCAGACUCAGAACGGGGUCGGAGGCCUCGAAAGUUCACAUCUAAACAUUGUUCGGUCCUAUUUUGAAUGAUCUCGAAGUUUCUUGCCAACAAAAGCCGAACGGUGAUGCCCCAGACUCGUAUUCUUGGUUCCGUCCGAAAACGCCGAAGAAAGGCACAAUGGCCUAGAAAAGAACGACCGGACUCAGAAAGGGGUCGGAGGCCUCGAAAGUUCACAUCUAACCACUGGGCGGUCCAAUUCUGAGUGAUCUCGAAGUUUCUUGCCCACAAAAGCCGAACGGUGAUGCCCCAGACUCGGUUUCUUGGUUCCGUCCGAAAACGCCGAAGAAAGGCACAAUGGCCUCGAAAGGAACGACCAGACUCAGAACGGGGUCGGAGGCCUCGAAAAUUCACAUCUAACCACUGGUCGGUCCGAUUCUGAGUGAUCUCGAAGUUUCUUGCCCACAAAAUCGGAACGGUGAUGCCCCAGACUUGGUUUCUUUGUUCCGUCCCAAAACGCCGAAGAAAGGCACAAUGGCCUAGAAAGGAACGACCGGACUCAUAACGGUGUCGGAGGCCUCGAAAGUUCACAUCUAACCUUUGUUCGGUCCUAUUAUGAAUGAUCUCGAAGUUUCUUGCCAACAAAAGCCGAACGGUGAUGCCCCAGACUCGUAUUCUUGGUUCCGUCCCAAAAUGCCGAAGAAAGACACAAUGGCCUAGAAAAGAACGACCGGACUCAGAACGUGGUCCGAGGCCUCAAAAGUUCAUAUCUUACCACUAGACGGUUUGAUUCUGAGUGAUCUCGAAGAUUCAUGCCUACAAAAGCCGAACGGUGAUGCCCCAUACUCGGUUUCUUGGUUCCGUCCAAAAACGUCGAAGAAAGGCACAAUGGCCUAGAAAGGAACGACCGGACUCAUAACGGGGUCGGAGGCCUAGAAAGUUCACAUCUAACCACUGGGCGGUUCGAUUCUGAGUGAUCUCGAAGUUUCUUGGCCACAAAAGCCGAACAGUGAUGCCCAGACUCAGUAUCUUGGUUCCGUCCCAAAACGCCGAAAAAAGACACAAUGGCCUAGAAAGGAACGACCAGACUUAGAACGGGGUCGGAGGCCUCGAAAGUUCACAUCUAAACAUUGUUCGGUCCUAUUUUGAAUGAUCUCGAAGUUUCUUGCCAACAAAAGCCGAACGAUGAUGCCCCAGACUCGUAUUCUUGGUUCCGUCCGAAAACGCCGAAGAAAGGCACAAUGGCCUAGAAAAGAACGACCGGACUCAGAAAGGGGUCGGAGGCCUCGAAAGUUCACAUCUAACCACUGGGCGGUCCAAUUCUGAGUGAUCUCGAAGUUUCUUGCCCACAAAAGCCGAACGGUGAUGCCCCAGACUCGGUUUCUUGGUUCCGUCCGAAAACGCCGAAGAAAGGCACAAUGGCCUCGAAAGGAACGACCGGACACAGAACGGGGUCGGAGGCCUCGAAAAUUCACAUCUAACCACUAGUCGGUCCGAUUCUGUGUGAUCUCGAAGUUUCUUGCCCACAAAAUCCGAACGGUGAUGCCCUAGACUUGGUUUCUUUGUUCCGUCCCAAAACGCCGAACAAAGGCACAAUGGCCUAGAAAGGAACGACCGGACUCAUAACAGUGUCGGAGGCCUCGAAAGUUCACAUCUAACCUUUGUUCGGUCCUAUUAUGAAUGAUCUCGAAGUUUCUUGCAAACAAAAGCCGAACGGUGAUGCCUCAGACUCGUAUUUUUGGUUCCGUCCCAAAAUGCCGAAGAAAGACACAAUGGCCUAGAAAAGAACGACCGGACUCAGAACGUGGUCCGAGGCCUCAAAAGUUCAUAUCUUACCACUAGACGGUUUGAUUCUGAGUGAUCUCGAAGAUUCAUGCCUACAAAAGCCGAACGGUGAUGCCCCAUACUCGGUUUCUUGGUUCCGUCCAAAAACGCCGAGGAAAGGCACAAUGGCCUAGAAAGGAACGACCGGACUCAUAACGGGGUCGGAGGCCUCGAAAGUUCACAUCUAACCACUGGGCGGUUCGAUUCUGAGUGAUCUCGAAGUUUCUUGGCCACAAAAGCCGAACAGUGAUGCCCAGACUCGGUAUCUUGGUUCCGUCCCAAAACACCGAAAAAAGACACAAUGGCCUAGAAAGGAACGACCAAACUCAGAACGGGGUCGGAGGCCUCGAAAGUUCACAUCUAAACAUUGUUCGGUCCUAUUUUGAAUGAUCUCGAAGUUUCUUGCCAACAAAAGCCGAACGGUGAUGCCCCAGACUCGUAUUCUUGGUUCCGUCUGAAAACGCCGAAGAAAGGCACAAUGGCCUAGAAAAGAACGACCGGACUCAGAAAAGGGUCGGAGGCCUCGAAAGUUCACAUCUAACCACUGGGCGGUCCAAUUCUGAGUGAUCUCGAAGUUUCUUGCCCACAAAAGCCGAACGGUGAUGCCCCAGACUCGGUUUCUUGGUUCCGUCCGAAAACGCCGAAGAAAGGCACAAUGGCCUCGAAAGGAACGACCGGACUCAGAACGGGGUCGGAGGCCUCGAAAAUUCACAUCUAACCACUGGUCGGUCCGAUUCUGAGUGAUCUCGAAGUUUCUUGCCCACAAAAUCCGAACGGUGAUGCCCCAGACUUGGUUUCUUUGUUCCGUCCCAAAACGCCGAAGAAAGGCACAAUGGCCUAGAAAGGAACGACCGGACUCAUAACGGUAUCGGAGGCCUCGAAAGUUCACAUCUAACCUUUCUCGGUCCUAUUAUGAAUGAUCUCGAAGUUUCUUGCCAACAAAAGCCGAACGGUGAUGCCCCAGACUCGUUUCUUGGUUCCGUCCCAAAAUGCCGAAGAAAGACACAAUGGCCUAGAAAGAACGACCGGACUCAGAACGUGGUCCGAGGCCUCAAAGUUCACAUAUCUUACGACUAGACGGUUUGAUUCUGAGUGAUCUCGAAGUUUCUGCCUACAAAAGCCAAACGGUGAUGCCCCAUACUCGGUUUCUUGGUUUCGUCCAAAAACGCCGAGGAAAGGCACAAUGGCCUAGAAAGGAACGACCGGACUCAUAACGGGGUCGGAGGCCUCGAAAGUUCACAUCUAACGACUGGGCGGUUCGAUUCUGAGUGAUCUCGAAGUUUCUUGGCCACAAAAGCCGAACAGUGAUGCCAGACUCGGUAUUCUUGGUUCCGUCCCAAAACGCCGAAAAAAGACACAAUGGCCUAGAAAGGAAACACCAGACUCAGAACGGGGUCGGAGGCCUCGAAAGUUCACAUCUAAACAUUGUUCGGUCCUAUUUUGAGUGAUCUCGAAGUUUCUUGCCAACAAAAGCCGAACGGUGAUGCCCCAGACUCGUUUCUUGGUUCCGUCCGAAAACGCCGAAGAAAGGCACAAUGGCCUAGAAAAGAACAACCGGACUCAGAAAGGGGUCGGAGGCCUCGAAAGUUCACAUCUAACCACUGGGCGGUCCGAUUCUGAGUGAUCUCGAAGUUUCUUGCCAACAAAAGGCGAACGAUGGUGCCCAGACUCGGUUUCUUGGUUCCGUCCCAAAACGCCGAAAAAAGGCACAAUGGCCUAGAAAGGAAUGACCGGACUCAGAAUGGGAUCGGAGGCCUAGAAAGUUCACAUCUAACCACUGGGCUGUACAUUCUGAGUGAUCUCGAAGUUUCGUGCCCACAAAAGCCGAACGGUGAUGCCCAGACUCGGUUUCUUUUUUCCGUCCCAAAACGUCGAAGAAAGGCACAAUGGCCUAGAAAGGAACGACCGGACUCAGAAAUUGGUCCGAGGCGUCGAAAGUUCACAUCUAACCACUGGCGGUCCGAUUCUGAGUGAUCUCGAAGUUUCUUGCCCACAAAAGCCGAACGGUGAUGCCCAGACUCGGUUUCUUAGGUCCGUCCCAAAACGCUGAAGAAACGCAUAAUGGCCUACAAAGGAACGACCGGACUCAGAACGGGGUCGGAGGCCUAAAAGUUCACAUCUAACCACUGGGCUGUCCAAUUCUGAGUGAUCUCGAAGUUUCUUGCCCACAAAAGAGGAACGGUCAUGCCCCAGACUCGGUUUCUUCGUUCCGUCCUAAAACGCUGAAGAAAGGCACAAUGGCCUAGAAAGGAACGACCGGACUCAGAACGGGGUCGGAGGCCUAGAAAGUUCACAUCUAACCACUGGGUUGUCCAAUUCUGAGUGAUCUCGAAGUUUCUUGCCCACAAAAGCCGAACGGUGAUGCCCCAGACUCGGUUUCUUUUUUCCGUCCCAAAACGUCGAAGAAAGGCACAAUGGCCUAGAAAGGAACGACCGGACUCAGAAAUUGGUCCGAGGCGUCGAAAGUUCACAUCUAACCACUGGGCGGUCCAAUUCUGAGUGAUCUCGAAGUUUCUUGCCCACAAAAGCCGAACGAUGAUUCCCUAGACUCGGUUUCUUGGUUCUGUCCCAAAAGCCGAAGAAAGGCACAAUGGCGUCGAAAGGAACGGCCGGACUCAGAACGAGGUCCGAGGUUUCAAAAGUUCACAUCUAUCCACUGGGAGGUCCGAUUCUGAGUGAUCUCGAAGUUUCUUGCCCACAAAAGCCGAACGGUGAUGCCCUAGACUCGGUUUCUUGGUUCCGUCCCAAAACGCCAAAGAAAGGCACAAUGGCCUAGAAAGGAACGACCGGACUCAGAACGGGUCGGAGGCCUUGAAAGUUCACAUCUAACCACUGGGCGGUCCGAUUCUGAGUGAUCUCGAAGUUUCUUGCCCACAAAAGCCGAACGGUGAUGCCCAGACUCGGUUUCUUGGUUCCGUCCCAAAACGCCGAAGAAAGGCACAAUGGCCUAGAAAGGAACGACCGGACUCAGAACGGGUCGGAGGCCUCGAAAGUUCACAUCUGGCUACUGGGUGGUCCGAUUCUGAGUGAUCUCGAAGUUUCUUGCCCACAAAAGCCGAACGGUGAUGGCCUAGACUCGGUUUCUUGGUUCCGUCCCAAAACGUCGAAAGAAAGGCACAAUGGCCUAGAAAGGAACGACCGACUCAGAACGCGGUCAGAGGCCUCGAAAAGUUCACAUCUGGCUACUGGGUGGUCCGAUUCUGAGUGAUCUCGAAGUUUCUUGCCACAAAAGCCGAACGGUGAUGCCCAGACUCGGUUUCUUGGUUCUGUCCCAAAACGCCGAAAGAAAGGCACAAUGGCCUAGAAAGGAACGACCGGACUUAGAACGGGGUCGGAGGCCUCGAAAGUUCACGUCUGGCUACUGGGUGUCCGAUUCUGAGUGAUCUCGAAGUUUCUUGCCCACAAAAGCCGAACGGUGAUGCCCCAGACUCGGUUUCUUGGUUCCGUCCCAAAACACCGAAAGAAAGGCACAAUGGCCUAGAAAGGAACGACCAGACUGAGAACGAGGUCGGAGGCCUCGAAAGUUGACAUCUAACUACUGGGCGGUCCGAUUCUGAGUGAUCUUGAAGUUUCUUGCCCAAAAAGCCAACGGUGAUGCCCAGACUCGGUUUCUUGGUUCCGUCCCAAAACGCCGAAGAAAGGCACAAUGGCCUAGAAAGGAACGACCAGACUCAGAACGGGGUCGGAGGCCUCGAAAGUUCACAUCUAACUACUAGGCGGUCCGAUUCUGAGUGAUCUUGAAGUUUCUUGCCCACAAAAGCCGAACGGUGAUGCCCUAGACUCGGUUUCUUGGUUCCGUCCCAAAACGCCGAAGAAAGGCACAAUGGCCUAGAAAGGAACGACCAGACUCAUAACGGGGUCGAAGUUCUCGAAAGUUCACAUCUAACCACUGAGCGGUCCGACUCUGAGUGAUCUCGAAGUUUCUUGCCCACAAAAGCUGAACGGUGAUGCCCAGACUCGGUUUCUUCGUUUUGUCUCAAAAUGUCGAAGAAAGGCACAAUGGUAUAGAAAGGAACGAUCGGACUAAGAACGGGGUCGUAGGCCUCGAAAGUUUACAUCUAACCACUGGGCGGGGUGUGUGUGUCUACGUGUGCGUGGGUGUAAGUGUCCACGUGUGCGCGUUUCUGCGUGUGCGUGUGCGUGUGCGUGUGUGUGCGUAUACGCACGCGUGCGUGUGUACGUGAGUAGGCGUGUGCGGUUUUUGUGCUUUUCUUCCAAUUUUAAAAUAAUAAUUUAAUUAUCUUGAUAUUCAAAUCAUUAAAAUUAUUUUGAGAUAAGGUUAUUUUAAUAUAAAAUCUAUCGUUCAGAUUCUAAAAUGCUAAAAAAUAAUAAUUUUGUAAUUUUGAAAUUAAAUUUGGUUAUUUUGAAAUUCAAAUUCACUUAGGUUAUUUUGAAAUUAGUAAGAUUGAAUAAUGUUAGUAAAAUGUUGAAUCAAUUAGUUGAGUCCCGAGAUUUUAAGAGAAAAGUUAUGAUAUGAGUUGAUGUAUCUAUUUCAAGUAAAAAUUAAUUAAAAGUUGAUAAAUACAUAACAUAAAUUAAUUAUAACGUAAAAACAAAAUAAUUAUAGUUGGAGAAGGUGAAUAUUUUGGUGUUUUAUAAAAUACCAUGCACGUGCAAAAAAUGUUGUUUGCUAAAAUUGAAAAGAAAAAGUAGUUUUGCCAUUUUUCAAAUUGACCCCUAAAAACAUUGGAUAUUUGUGCAUUCCCUUGGGCUUUCUUGUUCAAUAUUUAGUCAAAUUGCAGUAUACAUAAAAUUUGUGUUUGUUACGUCACAAGAUUUCAUUCACUAUUUGUGUCUGUAUUAUUUUAUAUUUGAUACAGGAGACUCCGUUUGAGUGUUGAGCUAGUAAUGGGAGGGACUACCGUUGACCCCAAAAUUACAAGGUUUCAUGUUGCUUAAUGGAUCAUUAAUGAUUCGUCUCUAUCUUUGGCUCAUCGAGUGGUGGAGUUGGAACCCCUUGAAAGUGUAGAUUUAGACUCUCUACCGUUGUCAAGAGCUGUUAAGUAUGCAAAACUGGUCUUGUAUUAGUUUAAUUGGUAUGUGUGCGCUAAAGGGAUAAAAGCUCUUGGCAGUGAAAGACUUUACAAAACCAUUCAUCAAUUUUAAUUUGAAAAUUCCAAAAUACCAGUACAUUGACAAUAUUUAGAAUCAAAGUUCUAAAUAAAGAACUAAAUAUGCUUUUAAAUUAAAAGAUACAUAGAACUUACUCUUGUUGACGUCUCUGAAUCUAUAAUCCACCGAAUUGGGGACACCACCCGUUGGAGACCUUCCUAUCUUCGAAGAUGAGAUUGGUUUGUGGAAAACAAUUGGAAUGAAAAAAAAAUUAGAGAGAAACUAUGUAACACCCCAAUAUCAAGGUAUUUCUCUCAAGCUAAAUUUUUUAAAUUUUAUUAAGAUUUUAAGGAAUUUGGUUGUGGUGUGGAUUUAGCAGGAAGUGAAGGGGGCUUUUAUGAAAAAAAAUAUACUAAUACUAAAGGUUAAAUAAUAAUAAUAGAAUUAAUGUUAUUAUUAAUUUAAAAUAUAAAUUCUUUAUUGAUUCACGUGCAACCCCAUCUCUUUCUCCUUCACUCUUCCUCUUCCCCGUGCCCACCGCCGCCUGCCUCCCUUAGCCAUUUUAUAUUACUCUUGGACGUCAGCCGGCCACGCCGUCACCGAUCGCUUCAUCUCCGUUGAAGCCGAAUCACCGUUCGUCGUGAGUUCAAACUCUCGGCAUCGCGUCUCACCUCUGUUUUCCAGCCAAUCUGUGAUUCAUUCGCGCGUAGCUCCUUCGACGUUCGCGCCACCACAUUAUGCUCCAGGUGACGAGGAACGUCACCGAUUGACCUAUCAUCUCACCGGUGUUGUUACUUAGUUGAAGCAGUCGUCGACCAGACCUAAGCCCGUCGCGUCUGUCGAAGUGCCGUCGCGCGGCUCUUCACCUUCCAGCCAUGGGUUGUAAGUUGAAGUUUGUUUUUCGUUUGUUGAUUAGAUCUGAUCUAUUACACGCGUCGAUUCCAGUUAUUCGAAGUUGUUGCCCCCAUUUUACUCUAAUUUUUGGGAUUUUUUUGGUAAGUUGUAUUGGUGAGUAUGGUGGUUUUACAUUGUAAUUAUCCUUGGGUUGUAGUUUUGGAUAAUUAGUUAAAUUGUUAAUUGAUUCUUGAAGGUAGCAUUUGAGUUCUUUGGAUUCACAACUAAAUUGUAGAUUUGUUGGAGUUCGAUUCGCCAAUACUCGGUAAGCUAGAAUUUACAUUGAGGAAAUUAAAUGAAAGAAAGUAUUGUGAAAGUAAUUGAGUUCCAUAUUCUUAUUAUUAGGUUUCCUUCGUUUGAGAAAUUUGAGUAACAUUACAGUAAGGGGUUUCUAUUACUGGACUCUUUGAAAGUUUUGAAAUGUGUUGACUGUUUGGAUCUCUGGACUUAGUAUGGUUUACCAAUAUAUGUAGAAGUAGAUAUGAUGACAAAUGUAUAUUAUGCCAGACUGGUAUAGAAGUAGAUACGAUGGAUAAUGUAUUUGUAAACUGAGAAAGGUGUUAUGUAUAUAUAUAUAUAUCUUGACUGUCUGGUGUGUUGUUAUAGUAUCAACUGAUUUUGUGAUAGAUUGAAUAGAUUGAACGUGAAGUGUGUUAAGUUGGAUUGAUGAUAUGAUGGAGUAGUUUGACUAUACUAGGAAUGGAUUGAUUAAAUGUUUAUAACGAACUAAGGGAAAAUUGUUAGCUUUGUCGAUUGGGUAGUGUGCCUUGAAGGUGUCCUACGGGAUCACCACCUGUUGUGCAUUCUUCGAGAGCACUAGAAUGACAUGUGCAUUCUUUGAGAGCAAUAGACUGACAUGUGCAUUCUUCGAGAGCACUAGACUGACAUGUGCUUUCUGCAGAGCACUAGACUAAUAUUUGUGUCCUUUAGGGCAUUGGACUGAUUAUGUGUAUUCCUACAUGAUCACAAGACUUUUAAAGUGCAGGGCACCUCCAAUAGGAAGUUAACAAUUUUAUUUUUCUUCUAACAGGAUCAGUAGUGGGUCUCUUACUGGGUAUGUUUAUACUCACCCUUUUAUGUUUAAUCUUUUUCCGCGAAACUGCCAUAGGGAAAUGUCCUUCAAAUUGCUUCUACUUUAUAUUUUUUUUAUUUUGGUUUUCUUUAGUAAUUGAGACUGUUUUGGGUUUCAUGAUUGAACGACUUUUAUGUUCUUGAACUUUCUUUAUUAUCGAUACUUUUACACUUUCAAAAUUUUAUUUGAAAUAGAGCCCGAAUAAAAACUCUUUAAUGUUGUUAAAAAAUAUAUUUUUUAAAUUAUAAAGUCUUAUGGUUAAAGGACGAAUCUAGUCUUAAAGUAAUAACUUCAGCUUAAUUCGAAAAAUUAGGUCGUUACAAUCUAUUUUGCAGAAAAGAAAAUCAUCGAUUUUAUUUUGGUUAAGAAAAGCUGUUUUUCUUCUACAUAUUUAUAACUCUCUUUCUUUCAUUGAGUAGGAGACGGGGUAGGAGAAAAUCAUAGGAUUCUAUUAACUUAAAAAUUAUUAAAUUAAUAGAAGUUUCAAAUCAACUAACUAAUUAACCAUUAAUCAAUUAGUUAAUAAUUAAUUAAAUCAUAUUUAAUUAAUAUUUCAUUUAAAUCUUAUUGAAUGAAUCUCUCCAAUACCUUAUAUUUUAUAUUAAUUUAAUUAAAUAAUAUUAAACUAAACUAUUAAUUAAUUAAUAACUAAAUUAAAUAUUUUAUAUUUAACUUAAGUUAAAUUUGAAUCAUAUUCAAAUAUAACUUUAUCUCAUAAUUAAUAAUUUUAAUAUGAAACAAAUCCACAUUAAAUUAAUAUUUGAACUCAUUCAAAUAUUUUAUCUCUCAUAAAUUAAUUUUGAACUUUAUCUAAAAUUAAAUUUAUAUAAUAAAGUUUCAUUAACAUAUAAACUUUAUAUUAUAAUGUAUCACUAUAUAUUAUACUAAUUAUACUAAUUUCCAAAGUAAAUUUGAAUAUUUCAAAUUAGAACCAGCAUAAAUAAAUCACAUUAUCAUUUUGUAUCAUCCAUUACUUUGUAUUCAAUCAUACUAAUUGGAUCAACCUAAUACAUAAAACAAAUAUAGAAUUUUUUUAAAAAAAAGCAUGCACAAAUAGAGACAAAUAGACAUUGAUAGCUAUCUAUCUCCAUCUAUCUGAAACAAGCACACAUAAAUUGUUAUAUUUCUCUAUCGGAUGGACAAAAAUAGCAGUCUAUUUAUAUCUACCUGAGAUACAAACAUUAAAAAAAAAAAAAAACCUUACCAAUAAAAUUCUUGACUUUUCAUGUUAUUCUAAAUGCAACACGUUCUCAGCCCAAGAAGUCAAACAACUCUUCAUUGUAAAAGUAGCUUUACUUCUUUCAUCAAACCACUUUUGCAAUACAUCUCUAAUUGAACUAAGCAUGGUAGUACAGGUAGUUCUCUAAGAAGAAGAAGACCUUCUAAAAAAAUCAACAGUUACAUGAGCAACUAAUGGAUGUAUAUUAGUUGCAUCUUUAGCAAAAGAUAAAUACCAAGCCACAUCAUUGUCUUUCUUUACUGGCACCACAGUUGGACCUUGCUUUUACCAAAAUCAAGUAAAACAGAUAAUUCUACUUAUCCAUCCAAUUGAAUCUGUUCACAUAUUAAAUCAACUAGAGAAUUAAAGCUGACUCGGACAUCUACCAAAAUUUCAGCAACUAAGUAAUUCUCAUAAAUAUUACAUCCAUUCCAUUGACCUCCAUAAAAAACAACAAUAGGAAAAGACAUUAUAAUCUGUAAAAAAAAAAAAUUAAGUAUUUAAUUGUGAUAGAAAGAAAUAGAUAGACAUAGAUAUACAUUUAUUACUGAAUAAAAGAAUAAAAUGUACAAAAUGAUAAUACUAAACACAAUGCAAGAAUAAGUAAACCAUCGUGCAAUGAAAUAAUAUACAUUAAACGAUCCUAUUAACCGUGAUAAACGACCAUUUAACAACGGUAAAUGAUAAUAUUGAUUAAAAAAAAUUAUCAUGUUGACAUGGGUACACGAUCAUAUGAUAUUGGUGAUCGUAUUGAAUAGUGUAAACAAUCGUCUUGUUAUCGGUACACGAUUGUGUUAAUAUUUGUAAGUGAUUCUAUUGAUAGUGGUAACUGAUCAUGUAAUUCCAUGUAAAUUAUCGUCAAAAACUUUAAACUAUCGAUCUUUAUAAUGAAGUACAUAAUUCUUACAUUAAUACUUAAAAUUUGUUGUAACGACCCAACUUUUCUAACUAAGUUGAAGUCAUUAAUUUUGACAAAGAGACCUUGAUUGACACAAAAUAUAAUAAAAUUCACUUGAAAUCAUACGAUCAAAGAAAACAAACUUAAGUUCGGGCCCUAUUUCAAAUAUCCAAAACUUUAAAAGUACUAUUUACAAAACAACAGUUCGUAAACUCAGUUCCAUCACAAAAUUUUUAAACAACCUCAUGUACAAAGGAAAAACAAGAAACAUAAAGCGAAGCAUUUGAAGGACAUUCCCUUAUGGCAAUCACGUCUCCUUCUUGUCCCUCGUCAGUCUACCUCCUUUGUUACCUUUGCCUGAAAUAGUUAAACAUGAAAGGAUGAGUAUAAACAUACCCAAUAAGAGACCGCUAUUGGUCCCGUUAGGGGAAAAAGAAACUGUUAACUUUCUAUUGGGGUACCCUGCACAGUCACAGUCUUGUGAUCCCGUAGGAUACACAUAAUCAGUCUAACGCCUCAAAGGACGCAUAAAUCAGUCUAGUGUUCCGCAGAAACACAUAUCAGUCUAAUGCUCCCGAAGGAUGCACAUAUCAGUCUAGUGCUAUCGAAGGAUGCACAUAUCAGGUGGUGAUCCUGUAGGACACCUGCAAGGUAACUACCCAAUAGAAAUCUAACAAUUUUCCCCUCAAUCCAUUCUAAACAUCUUAAAACUCAUUCAUAGUACAGUCCAACUACUUCAACAUAUAAUCCUUUCACUGAACACCCUAAUAGUCAACUUAUCUCACUUUAGCCCAAUGUCCGCCAGUAACAUAUCAAUACAUCAGUCAAUCAAACUAUAUAGUCAUAACACCCCUCAAUUCACCAGUACACAACCAUACUUUAGUAUAACAUACACCCAAUCUAAACGACAAUCACAAGUUCACAUCCACAUUCCAUACAAACACAAUCUACAAUUGUCGUCCUGUCUACAUCCAUACAUAUUUAUAUAUAUAUAUUCCCAGACAAUCACAAUAUGCAUUCAACAUCAAGUCUACAUUCAUACGUAUAUAUAUCGUUUCGACAUCUUUACUCAAUCGGAGGUAACUAUACAGACAGCACAAUUCAAAACUAUAGGUGAGUCCAGUAGUAGAGAAUCCCUUAGCUUAUAACCUUACUUAAGCUUCUUUUUCAAACUAAAGUGCAACGAACCGACCUAAACAUAAUUGAAGAGAAAUCAAUCACUUCCACAAACAAUUUAAUCCAUUCAAUUCACUCUAUAUGUAAAUUCCAUAACUUACCCAAAUUGUGGAGAAUCAAAUUCUAACGGAGACGGAUCGGUGCAACAAAUAACCAAACAAUUCAAAUCUAAACAUACAUGGCGUGACGGAACCGGAGUGACUCGGGCUAACGGUGAUGCGACGAUACGACAAAAUUUGCUUGACGUUCGAUGUAGGUGGAAGACGGUGGUGAAGUUGAUUGGAGAAUGAAAAAGAAGGAAGAAAAGAGACGGUGGUGUGGCCGUAGGUUGAAGAGGAAGAGAAAGGAAGAAGAUGAAUAGGAAAAGAGAAAAAAUAAGAUUAAAUAUUAUAAAUAUAUAUAUAUAUAUGAAAUACAAAAAUAAAAGUAGAAUAACGAUGAAAUUUUGAAAAAUGAAAAUUUGGAUAAAGUAAAAUUUGAAAAUAAAGAUUUGAUAUAAAUCCAAUAUUUGGAGGAAAAAAAAGUGUGUUAAGAUAAUGUAGGAGAAAAUCAAUAUUUAUGCUAAAAUUUUGCAUAUUUCAAAAUUAGUUACAGUUUAACUAAAAAGCAGGCGAGGAGAUUUUAGGGUUAAUGAAAAUUCAAAACACAUGAAAUGCUCGUGUUUGCUAUUCUUCUAAUAAAAUUUUGCUAUUUUCUCAAAUGAGUGUAAUCCAACAAAAUGAAGUUGUGUGUGUGUGAACAAAAAUGAGGUAAAUAGCUUUGAUGAUGAUGGCAAAUGGGUAAAGAAAAUCUUAUCUUAUUCUUCACUUUUCAUUUAAUUGACAAAAAGUAACCAACCAUAUGAAGGGAAAAACAAAAUGCUCUCUCAGUUACUUUACUCAUUUCUUUGUUCUUUGUGUGGGAGAUAUUUGAAAUGGAGAUGAAUAUCAAAAUGAAAGAGAGAUUAUGCAUACACUGUGAGAAGCACACAGAAAAAUUGAAAAUAAAUUGAAAAGAAGAGAGAGAUAAGUCUGAGGGAGAAAUAUUCAUUUCCUUUUCAAAGUGAAUUGCAAAGAAAUUUUCUCAAAUUGAAAAGAAAGGAGAAAUAUACAAAGUCAGCCACCGCUUCUUCUCCCUUCAGUCUGCAGUUUUCGUCUCCCUCUCUUCUAUUAUUAAAAUAAAUAAAUAAAAUAUCACAACCCGACUUAACACAAACUAUUUACUCCAACUUUUUAAACUACAAAUUUAAUUUCUCAACUUUUAAACUAUUUUAAACUUACAAAUCUACUUUAUUCAUUUCUUCAGAUUUAUAUCUAACAAAUAAAAAAAAAUCAAAAUUUAUAGACACUUAAAACAUAAAAUUGAAAGACCUAUUAAACAAUUGAAAGGUUUAAGAGGUAACUAGACAAACUUUAAAAUUUCGAAGGGAAAGAAUCUUUUGUUUAACUAUUACAGUAAUUAAUUUUGAAAAUAUGUUAUUUUAGAAAAACUACAAGUGUUUGACAACUCUUUGAAAGCUAUUGAAAUACUCUCAAAUUGUAUUUUAAGCAAUUUUAAUAAAAAGAAAGUCUACAUAAAAAAAUUACCCUUUUUAAAGGAACAUCUUUUCUCUAAUCACUCCAAUGGAACUCAAACACGUACUUCAAGUUAAUUCUGGUAUCCAAGAAUCAGUCUCAUCUAACAUAAACAAGAACAUUCAACUUGAUAGAACUUCAUUACCUCAUUUUUACAAUUCCCAAAGUUACUAAAUGAAGGACCAUUCCUAAAACAUACUUACAUCCAACUUUCUCCAUGAAUAAACUUAUCGUCUUUUAUGUACUGAUGAAUAUAGAGAUGGAGCGAUCAGAGUUUGUUUAUGUACCAAAUUAGAGUGAGUUGAGAAAAGAGUGGAUUUACACAAGGACGAAAUGGCUGGCUGCUGCUUCAAAACUGAAAGUUAGGGUGACCUUGUUUCUCAUAGGGACUCAGCAAAUUAAGGGGCCUCCAAGUCUACUUCUUGUCUCAUUAUACAUGCCAUUAACCAUUCAACGUUGAAAGUCCAUAUCCCUUUUUCUACGGCCACCAAGGCUUCCUCCACGUCUUCCUCACAAGCCACAAAGAUCAUCUUCCAUACGUUGUUUACUUUAUCUAGCUCAUGAAUCACCUAAAUUUUCAAGCAUAAUGAAUUUGCCAAAUGAGAGAAAAAAUUAUGUAUAUACGACAAGGAAAUUGCAAGAAUUCACCCUAUCAAAAAAUAUUAAACAAAUUCUUGUUCUAGUCCCUAAAAUUUUCCAUCUUUUCCCAACUUUCAAAAUGCUUCCUAUGAGAUAUAUUCCAAUCACAUAUAGCAGAAAUGACCGAUGAGUAUUGGAUAAAUGAAUAUUAAUUGAUAAAAUAAUUUACAAAAUACUAAAACCGUUAGUUGGCUACGUUUUGGAAGCUCGAUGACUAAAAUGGAUGUUUUGAAAGUUCUAAGGCUAAAAUGGAAUUUAAAUCAACAUAAUAGUAAGUUCAAGAUCAAAGACAAGCUAAACAAUAAAAUGUUGCGAGCAGAAAACAAUCUAAUCAUAAUUAGAAACAUGGAUGUAUGUAUUUGUACACCAAAUCACAAAAAAUAACUCCAGAUUUUGAUCUAGAGACAAUUAAAAACUUGAACAAAUUUGAUAAUUAAAGAAACACGGAGAUGGCCAUAUGACCCCUUGUGCAUAGACUUUUUACAUUACAUGCUCAAUUCCUAGGAUCAAAACAAACAUAAAUAUUAAAGACUUAAGAAGCACAUACACACAAGUUUGGCUAGUGUAUCAAUAAACAAUAUGUAUGGAACACUCGGAGAACACAUGUUGAACACUAGUUAGUACAGUAGAUGUGUUAGACAACAAGUAUUCCAAUGCAAUAAAGGUCAAGAUUGGUCACACACACAUAUUAAACUCUUGGCUUUGAAUAAGUUUUGAGUGAAGGACAAGCUUAUUUUUAAGCAUAUAAAUACAUAAACUUAUUGACUUUGAAUUUCUAUAUAAAUAUGAUACAUACUUUUUAAAUUAUAUAUAUUAAAACUGUGUUCUAGCACUAUCCUAUAUUUUUAAGAAAAAAAUGACACGUCACCAUGUCUAUGAUUUAUUGACCCAUGUCUAGAAUUCGUAUACGUGCUUGUUUGUUGAGAACUUCACGUCUUCAUUAGAUGGGAGGAUAGCCAUAUUAUAGUGGUUGUAUAUGUAAUAUAGAGAACCAAACCUAGUACUCGAGAUUUGUACAAUAACAGAGAAAUUACAUUUCCACCGGCUGACUUGACUAUCAGGGAUAGAGUUUUAGGUGGUGGUUGAGCGUGAGCUGAUAUGCAAACAUCAUACCCUUCAAAUAAAGCUCAAGAACAUGCUUUUGCCCUGAGAACUGCAGCUUUUAGGCUGGCUCGAUACUUCGAUAUGUAGUCAUCAUCAUUUAGUAUGUAAGGCAACUCGUCUGCAGAUCCAUAAGGAAUUAAUCAAUCACAAAAAUUAGGUAGGAUGAAAAACAUAAGUGGAAGAAAAUACAUUACGCUUUGAUACUAGCAAGCCAUUCGAACUUACCAACAAAUCUGCCUUCCCGGUAGCUUUCCUUUAACCAACUGGAGGAGACAAUCCAAGCUCUGAGUAAUUUGCAAUUAUGAGCAAGAGCACACUGACACGCUUGAAGGCACAUGGUAAUGCAUAUGCUCGAUAAUCAUUGAGAACAUUAACAGGAGAAAAUAAAGUUAAGAACAGUAGCUUGAAGAACAAAAAACAUUCUACAACAUAAAAUCUUCAAAAACACAUUGCUUAAAAUCAAGUUUACUAAUAUAAAAGGUAAGAUAUUACGUUCCACUCUCCACACUACUGAAGUUCAACAUUUCACAUGAAAGAAAUGAAAUACUAUUCUCAAAUAUAACUAAAAAAAAGCAUAAAUCGUAAAGAAAAAGCAUAGAGAAAUGCAAAAGAAUCCUUGGCUUUGAUAUAUUGAAAGGUAAAGAAUAUCAACCAUAGAUGCCCGGAGAAGAACUCCUACAAAUACACACUUAACGCAGAUUAUCAUUCGCUAACAUGAGACCUUCUAGAGUUAUUCUGUUAGGAUACUUCCUAACAAGAACAAGAUCUUAAUUUAUUAUAAUGAACUAUAAGAAAAUACAAGAUAAAACCAAGUAUAAAGCACUUGGAACCUCCCUCUUGAGUACUCUCACCCAAGCCCUAAAUCACUCCCCAGAAUUCUCCCCUCACUUACCCUCCCUCCAUUUAUAAUAAGAUGUAACCACACUUACAUAAUAAUUACUAGUAACUUUCUAAAUAUCUAAUUACCCUUAUACCCCUAACCUUAUACUAAUCUAUCUAACAUUACCCGAUCCUUCAAAACACCUUGUCCUCAAGGUGUGCUUACAAACAUGAAAUAGUAAAACCCAAGAUUGUUCCUUUUGUCCUAAUCCUCUUUCCUACCAAUUUCUACCACGUCAUUGGAACCAUCAUGUGUGCAGCAACUUCUUCCUCGUCACGUGAUUCACCCCUAUUUCAGACCACCUUCUCGAGCCUCUGUAGAUCGGUAACUGUCGGCUUCUUCUUUCUCCAUUGCAACCAGCCAUUUUGUGUUUCUUUGAGCAACAAAUUUUUCUUCACUCGAGUCUUCAUUUGAGCCUCACAAGUAAUCCUUAUCGACCUUCCUCUAUAGUUUCUUCUUGGUCACUCUUUGCCAUCCUCUUCACCUUCAUUGUAUAACCGUUGCAAUCGCGUUUUCCUCGAUUCUUCUAUGGAUUCAGCAACUUCUUAGAGUCCAUCGAUUUAUGGACCUGAAGAUUCCAAUCCGUUCUAAAUAAACACAAUCCAGAUCAGUGCCACUGAACACAGCAUUUCAACCUUCUUGAAUUUGCUAUGAUCGUUCGAGUUUUUAUCCCUUUCAAACUUGUUUGUUUUACCUUCUACCUUGAUUUCCUUCAAUGUCUUACCUCCACCUUCGAUGAUACUCUCAAUCAUUGGUCCUUUGCUCGACGAUCCUUCCAUUCUUCCGGAGAUUGUCGAAUAAAAAGAACUUGACUUGGACCCUCUACUUCUCCCGAGCACGAAAGACGGCAGCCUCUACUUCUUUGGAAUAUUUUGUCCCUUUCUCCCUCCUCUUUCCUCCCUUUUAUUUUGCUUUACUAACAAACUAAUGGGAAAGAUCUCCUCCGAUAUUCUCUCCUCCUAUAAUCUCUCCUAUAUUCUCGUGUGGGUCAAUAUUACCCUUUUUAAUUCUUCUACUGUAUUUAAAUAAUAUUGGAGACAUAUACUUCCUAACAAGAACAAGAUCUGAAUUUAUUAUAAUGUAACUAUAAGAAAAUACAAGAUAAAACCAAGUAUAAAGCACUUGGAACCCUCCCUCUUGAGUACUCUCACCCAAGCCUUAUAUCACUCCCCAGAAUUCUCCCAACUUACCCUCCCUCCAUUUAUAAUAACAUGUAACCACCCUAGUUACCACACUUACAUAAUAACUACUAGUAACCACACUUACACAAUAACUACUAGUAACUUUCUAAAUAUCUAAUUACCCUUAUACCCAACCCUAUACUAAUCUAGGUAUCUAACAAAUUCCAUAACAUAAUGUAUUAGGGGAAGAAGGAAAUCGAGGAUAAAAACACUAGCUAGCCAACAAAUAUCUUUCAUUAGUGAGCUUGAGCCAUUUUACACGUAAAAUGAGAAAAGUAAGCCUGAAACCCAAAUUAGCCUAAUGGUUGUCUUAACAACCACUACCCACCAUCACGAUAGAAACAACUGAAAAGGAAGAGCAUGAUACAAUCCAACUCAAACAUAAGAAUUGAUUUUGAUGUUUAACUAAAAGUAAACAGGCAGUAGAAUAAGAAACUAUACCCUUUUAGAUCUAGAAGGUUCACAACAAUUUCUAGCCUAAGCACAACUACGAGGCAAUGGAAGAAUAACGGCAAAGGCCUUGUGUGCAUGGAAUCGCUAACUUUUGUGCAAAUGAGAUAAUUAUCGGUAUUCAAAGGCCAAAAGGACACAUAGAAGAGUGUUCGUCUAAGGCUGCAAGACUAACCCUAAAAAGAGAGCAAUACAAAAAUUUAGAGUUUUUCGCACUUUUCCUGUAAUGACAUGAGUGCUUGUACUCCCAUCAGCAGUGAGAGAACCACCAAGCUCCUCAAUCAUCUGAAUUAGAAAACAACUGCACAUUAGAGCAGUCACAAUUUGGAAUAAAUAGAACUUUUAAUUGUUAGAAUCUUAGAAUAUUUAUGAAAAGUUUAUGGGAAUAUUUUUCUUAAUUCCUAAAUAUUUUCCUUUUUUAUUCCUCUGUAUAUUCUAUUUAUUCUCCCUUGUACCUAUUGUAUUUUUCAUCAGAAAAUAAUAAGAAAAAAAAUAUAGUGGUUUUUCUCCUGGUACACAGGUUUCCACGUAAAGUUGUGUGUUUGUUUGUCUCCCUUUCAAUAUGGUAUCCGAGCAGGUGGUCCAAGAAGGUCUUGUGUUCAAGCCUCGCAUUGUCGUUUCCUCCCCAAUUAAAAUCCAUUUCCAGUUGUUGGGCCUUUCAAAUAUUUCAAGCCCACAAGUGAGGAGAGUGUUGGUGAUAUAUAAUUGAAUUUUCUUUCUUUUUUUAAAAAAGGAUACGAGUCUCACUAUUAUUAAUAUAAAGAAAGAGACAAAGCUCAAUAUACAUGAGGAAUAUACAAAGAGCAAAAAGGGAGAGGGAAGAUCAACAGCGCAUCCGGGCAUCUCAAACUAGGUUGACACCCCCUUAGUGCCCUCAAAACAUCCAAAAAGCGACAACACAAGAUCAAAACAAAAAGCCACAAAAACAGAGACAAACAAAAUGAUAAAAAGAAUCUUUCCAAAGCAAAAUCAUAAUCAAAGGCAGCAUGCUGAGAACAAAGAAGAAUAAGCCUUGAUUGGUUGAGCAAAAACUGUUUGAAGCAGAGGGCUGAUCCGAAAGUCCUGAUCAUCAAAGACUUCAAAGUGGGGAUGCUGUAAAGGCUGGCCAAUAUAACACAAUAUCCUACGUCGAAGAUCUUCUUUUGCAUUACAUUUUCUAAAAUUUCCAAUCCACUCUGUUAAAGGCCUUUUCAAGGUCUAAUUUAAUGAUCCAUCUUUUCUUUUUUCGGAUACUAUAGACCUCCACAGUUUCUUUUGCUAUUAAAAUAGGAUCCAAGAUUUGGCACUCUUCCAGAAAGCCACAUUGUAAUGGAGAAGUAUGUUAGAUUCUAACAAUAAAACACAAAAUAUCCUAACAAAUGGCUAAACAGAGGCAGCACUCUGUAAUUCUUUAUUUAUGUAAAAGCCAAAACACAUUCAACAGUAGUAGAUAUGAAAAAUAAAGGAAGAACAACAUAGAAAACUUACCCAACUCCUUUAUACGGGGCUGGAUACCCUCAGGCUACAACAACCUUUACUCUCCUUGAAAUAACAAAAAAAGACCUAGCCUCCCCUACCCCAACAUUACAUAUUUAUACCUCUCUCUCUCUUCCCUCCUGGCGGGCCCCACCUACACGAUCCUCUCCCAUUAUUCUCUCAUAAUUGGUUGCUAAGGAAUUUCCCUUUCUACCCUUCCUUUUAUAGGUAUAGAUAAUAGGAGGUCUUACAAAGUAAUACCUGGCCUGACUUUCUUUAAUCUUUCUGCGAGAACCUUUCCAAACAACUUAUAAAUUAAUGUUGAAACAACUUAUAAGCCACACUGUAAUGACCUUCCUUCUCUUGACCGAACUUCAAUAAUCGACAACUUAUAUUUAUCCAUAGUGCCUUUAUAAUACAACUGGCAAUCUCUUCUCUUUUGGUCUCCGGAAUCAAUGCUCUAUCUGGAUUAGCUUUCUUCAAAAGAUUUUUAAUAGCCAAUUUGUUUCGAAUGGCCCAUGGAAUCCUCUAGUGUUCCAAUGAUAUAAUCUCCAUCUUUGCUACCUCUGCCCUUAUAUCAAUUCAAUUUCACAUGCUGCCAAGAAAGGAACCAACUCUUGAGGGGGAAGGAUACUUGCUGACCUGCACAAAAUUUCUUUUUAUGGGGAGGAAAACAAUUUAAUAAAAUCUGGACCGAGAGAGUCACUGUCUGUUUUCUGUCUCUGAUUGAAUUAUUUCUUCCUCAACUGGUUCAAAUUCUGCACUACUUACACUGGUGACUGAUUCAACUUCCUUGAAUUCAUCUUCUAGGUUCUCAACUUUUUUUAGAUAAGAAGUAUCUUGCACAAAAUUAAAGAAUGAACCAGAAAGUUUGGAGGAGGAUUGAGAAAAUUUAUUACUUAAGGAGGAAGGCAGUACUGACCUUUUGCCAACUGAAUUUUGAAUUUGUAUCUUCACACAACUUUCCUCUAAUAAAUCAGAAUUAGUUAAGCUCAUCCAAAUGUUGCGAAAAGUUCUCCCUUUGGUAUAGGUCUUGAGGUGCUUAGAAAAAUUUAUGGCAUGAAAUGGAAUAGCUUUCAUUGCAGAGGAUAUUUUAGUCUUGGGAGAGGCUGGUAAUUUUGGUUGAGAACUGAAAACAGGAGAUGGCCCGCAAGUGAAGUUCCUUGAUGGAGGAGAGGACUCUGAUUCUUCCUCCAAUUCGUCAGAAUACCAAAAGCCAUUGGAAUUCUGUUUAAUAGAAUUCUUGGGGCCUACCAUCUGUGUGUCAGCUUUAAAAAUGUCUGCAAAUACAUUAAGUUUGAAAAAAUUUGGUUGGGGAGGGCUAGGUGAGCUGUUUUUUAGAUAAUAAAAUGCCGACUGGCUGCCUUUUCUUCUUUCGAGGUCUGUUUUUCUCUCUUUUCUGUUGAAGUCUUUUCCCCUUCUAAGUACAUGGAGAUGCCAGCUAUACCCAAAUUUGAAUUUUGCCUUCUGAAAUUAUUUUUUUUCGGCGAGGAUUCAAGGGCUGAAACUCUUUCCGGUCGAACAAGGUUUUCUUCUUCAUCACCCAACUUCCUAAGUGCUUCGAAAGGAUUUCUUGAGAUGGAUAAGCCAUUCUGUUUGAGAAAAUUAAGGUAUCUGGGAGACCAUCACUUUGGAGCCCUUCAUCUAAAAUCACUGAAUUUAUUCUACAUAAAUCAAUAGGAUUGGAAAAAUCACUUUGAAAUAGAUCAUAUUGGAUUAUUACAGGAGCUUCUAAGGGUUCAAAAUCCCCAAAAUUAAGGGAAAAUUUUUUCCGAACUUUAAUUCUUGCUUCAAAGAACUUGAUCAGAUUGAGUGUUUCUAAGAUUAUACUUUCUAGUCCACCAAAGUAGCUUAAGCUUAAGGCUAUAAUUGAAUUUUCUUUCAACCAUCAGCUUAAAAUUUUUGGUGAAUCGGUGGUUUAAUAUUUAUAUUAAUAUUUUAUAAAAAAGUAUACAGCUAAUGCCAUAUAAAAUAAAUAAAGAAAUACUAUAAAAUCUACAUCCAUAAAAUAUGCAUGUGAACACAUAUCAGAAGAUGGAUAUUCGUAAGUUAGAAAGACCGAUAACAAAAUGUCAUAAUUAAACAACACAUUAAUAUUAUAGGUAGUUUCAAGCUUCAUUUGUCUAUUUAGGUAGGGAUAUUGAAUAACUCUUAAAAAUAAUAUAAAGAUUGAAUCCCUAAACUUCAUGUGCUUGCUAGUAUACAACCUAAAAGUUCAAUAGUUAAAGAAACUGAUUAAUCAUUUUUGGCAGGAUGUCAGAUUCGCCUUUCGAAAUCCUACAUGAGUAGAGCUAGCCAAAUAAGCCAAGCAAGAUAUGCCUCUUAAGGAAUAUGGAGAAAAUGGCUGGGUAUGUAUAUGAUAAGCCUUAACCUCAAUUUUAUUUAUCAAUAAUGGAGGGAAGGAAUCAGAAGCUUCUCUAGCUCUCCCAAUUAUUCUAAGAAACCUGAUACAAGCUAUGCCAAAACAUACCCUCCCCAAACAAUCAUAAUAGUAUUUAUAUGAAAGCAUAAAAGACUCAUGGCCCCCUUAACUAGCAGCAUUCAACCAACAAAACAACUUCCCAUCCUCCUCUCCUGAAUCCUUUCUUGUGCCUACGGGUGUACACCUUCACUACCAUGGGCCUAUCAGUAUGUAGAGAUCGUAGAGGCUGUAUGAGCUAAGGAGCUGGAAGAGUAGGAUUAGGGAAGUGUGGAGUUUUCCGCUCUUUGUUUGGCCAAAAGUGUUUGUGGACUCCCGACAAGAAAAUUUAAAUUUUAUGCCUUAUUGACUUCGUAUGUCCUAGGCCCUAAGAGUUCAAAACUUUCUAGAUUUCACAACUUCUUGGACCACUCCUUGUGCCAAACACCCCUUUAUAGAAUACUAAGCCAAGGAUAUAAAACUUCAAUACUAUCAAUAGAAAAUCUCAUAAAAGAAACAUGAAUGAUGAAUAUUUUAGAAGACUAUAAAUUGGUACCGUACCUUCAUGAGCUGAGUUUUCUUAGUUUCGUCUGCAAUGUUCAUCAGCAUAAUUUUAAAUGGUUUUCCUAAUGUGUUCUCUUCAGAAUUGAGGUCCUCUAAUGCCACAUUUACACUUCCAAAUUCUUGACAGAAAUUUUGUGUACACUGAUUGGUUGGAUUUUUAGGAUAAAUACUUGAUAAAAUCUCAUGCUUUGAAUUGGCUAAAGAGCAUCCUUGAGAGCAGGUAUCGUAUACAUCACUUUCAGGAUCAAGAUUUUUGUUAGAGUGAGAAUGAAAAUGGUCCAGAUUGACUCCUUUUACUUUCUUUGACUUCAAGGAAGAAAGUGAUGCUUCCCAAACUCUCUUUGCGCUAUGUUUAGAGCAAGAACAAUGUGUCUCAUCCAAAUUACCAAGAGUAUUGGAUAAUUCUACAAUACUAGCUGUCGUGUUGUUCUCUAUUUCUGCAAAAGAAACCGGACCGUUGCUAUCAUGCACUGCAUCCUGGUUUUAAAUAAACCGUUAUGAGAUAAUUAAGCAACAUAUGGAGAAUAAUUUAAAUUGUACUAUCUUGUGGAACAAAACCUGAAUUACAUAUACCCUGAAUUUCAUUUUCUUCUCCAAGGGGCACUAAAGUUACAAACUCGUCAUGUUGAAAAUUCAAAUUUUGAAUGGUAUGCUGAUCAGUUGAAUUUGAAACGUUGCAACCUCGAUUGGCAACACUGAUUCUUGCAGCAUACGGGGCUUCAGGCUUUUAUAGAGAAAGUAACUUUGGAAAGUCAGUCGAACACAUUGAAAUUCCCUGAAUGUGCGAAAUCCAUGGAUUUUAUUACACAUCCCAAAGGUUAUAAUCAAUUAGUUCUCGAAGUACGCCACCUUCAUCCCCAUUACAAAACUAUGUUCUGUCGAGCUGAUAGCACACUUGUUCUUUAAGAAUGUCUUGAAGUGAUGGGAGUUCCAUCAAGCAUUGUGAGUGACAGGGAUGGUAGAUUCAUUGGUACUCUCCGGACCGAACUAUUCGCCUUCUUGGGGACACGCCUAAAUAUAUCCUUAAGCUGCCAUCCUCAGACGAAUGGCCAAACUGAAGGAUUCAAUUGUAUGCUUAAGGAAUAUCUACGACAUUUUGUUGUUUUGACAAAAGAAUUGGGCCUAGUUGAUGGAUGUGGCUCAAUUUUGUUUUAAUGCACAAACUAGUCUAUCCACAAGAACGAGUCCUUUCGAAAUCUUGAGUGGAAGACAACCUAUACUGCCUCAUAUUGUUGAUCAUCCUUAUGCAGGAAAAAAUCCUCAAGCUCAUAACUUUACGAAAAAGUGGGAGAAGACUACGAACAUCACUCGAGCAUACUAAGAGAAAGUCUCGAAGCGUAUGAUAAGAAGCAUCAUCCUCUCAAGUUUUGAGCUGAAGACCAACUCUUCAUAGAGUUUAAAGCAAAGAAAAUUUGAUUUAGAGGACAUCAACAUCAGCAUCUCAUAGAAAAUACGAAGGGCCUGUUGAAGUUCUGAAGAAAAUUGGAAAUGCAUCCUAUGGGUAUCGUUGCCUGCAUGGAUAAAAAAUCAUCUAGUAGCUCAUGUGAGCAACUUGAAACCUUACCAUCAAUAUCAGAUGACCAGUAGUGCAACAAUGGUGUAUGGUCAUCUAGUGACCUAAAGCAGAAAGACGAUAAAGAAAUGGAAGAAAUCCUUCCUAAGAGAGUGAGGAAGGGUAUACCCAUGAAGAGGAUACAUGAAUUCCUACUGAAGUGAAAGAACCUCCAUGUGGAAGAAACACGUUAGGAAUGUGCUGAAGACCUUGAAGCGUGAAAUAAGAAGAUCGAGGAAUUCUAGCUUCGCCAGUCGACAGGGACAUCAAUUGUUUAAGUGGGGGAGAAUGUAACAAGCAUGCUUGUCCAGGGCGCUGUUUGCUUAUGGCCGCAUGCCCAAACACCCCAAUUUACAUUGUUUUAAUGUUUUGUAUUUAGUUUUACUUUUUGCUUUCCUUUUUAUUUCAUAAACCUUGGGUGUGACUUGGCUUUUUCUUAUGCAAGCCUACCAGAACUAAAAAAGUCUAAAAUGUACUAUAGAUGGGACAUAGUAGUUGAAUCCCUGCCCAAGCCUUGUUGCACUCUUCGCAAUCAAAGUUUUUCUUUGCAAUUGACAGUCUUCAAUGCUUGCUUUAACGAUAUUUUCAUUGAAUUUCUUUCUCCUCACGUUUUAUAAAACAUUUUCUCAAGAACGUGAAGAGAGGCUACAUCGUAUCAUGUGUUUGUCCGUGGUUUUUAGAUUUUGAUCAGCUAACUUGUUGUCUACGUAAAACAAGUGCAACAUAAUCGCUCCUCUCGUGUUUCAAAGCUCGCGAUUGUGACACAAGAAAUGCACUAGCCAAGAAUGCACACGAGGAGGGCUACACAAAAUGCCAAGCACGCAACCAAGUGAGGUUCACAAUGUGCUUGUGUGUGAGGUUAGCACGCAGGCAUGCCCAACGCGUGUGAAAAGCCUCUUGUGAGAUUCACACACAGUAGCCAGCGCCCAACCAAGGCCCUGCCGCCCAUCCAUUCGUGCCAGGCAAUGUCAUAUUGCGUGUUGAGCUAUUUUUGGUAAUUUUUUGAGUUUUUUAAGUAUACUUUUGAUAUUUUCUUGGCAAAAGAUAAUUAAUUGUACUAUUUUACCAUUAUUUCAGGACAUGAGAAGAUCGUAAAAAUUUAUAAACCAAGGAUUUGAGCUUGUAUCUGUGAGUGGAAAAUGUUUUAUUUAAAGUGAUUUCAAGCAUGUUCUUAAGUCAUGAUUUAUGAUAAAAUGUUUAAGUUAUGUUAUAAAAAGUCUUUCAAGCGUGUUAUUGUUUAAAGGUAUUUAUUCAAGCAUAUUGUUUACUCUUCAAAAUGCAUAAUAUUCAAAAUGUUUUCCCACUUUCUAGGUAGAGAUCGUGUCCUCUAAGCCUAACUUGCUGCUACCUGUCUACUAAAGGAAUUCAUUUGUUAUCGUAUGUGCCCUGUUAUUUUGCACUAAUGAUAAAUUAGAGUCUUUUGUGCUAUCAGACUUAGGCUUUUGGGAAGGUUUUAUAAGGUUUUGUUCUAGAUAAAUAAGAUUACGUUUUGUCUAUGUAAAACUUGUCUAAGGUUGUUAAAUGAAAAAAGGUUUAGCCCAAUUGGUUUUAGUAAAAUUUAUGUGUUAUGUUUCCGCUGUUAUUUAGAGUUUAAAGGUUCAGGCUAAGGGUCAGAUGGUGUCGUUCUUGACGUGGGUGUGAUAGCCUAAGUUGGCUUAUUAACAGUUAAAAUGUAAACAUGUCCAUAACAAAAUAGUCGGGCAAGGCCUAUGUGGACCGACUGGUAAAGGUUGAAGAUCAAAUGCUCUACCUAAUGAAAGUUCCUAACUCAAUUCGCUUCUUGGAAACCCGCCUUGAAGAAAUUUUUUAGAAAGCUGAUGCUAUUAAUUAAACCACCACCCAAAAUCUUAAGGUAGUGAUUAAAAGUAAAUUUAAUUAUAUAUCACUAACAAUCCCCCACUUAUGGGUUCGAAAUAUCUAAAAGGUCCAACAAGUGAAAAUCAAUUUUAAUUGGGCCUGAAACACCAAUACAGGGACUUGAACAUAGGACCUUUUGGACCACCUGCUCUAAUACCAUAUUAAACCCCAAAUUCACCCAAAAGCUUAAGCUAGUGAUUGAAGGUAAAUUUAAUUAUAUAUUACCAAAGUAUGAGGUUUCAUCACAAUACCAAUUGGCAAUGAGAGGAGUAGCUCAUCUAUUUUAUAAGGAGUCUAAGUUUCCUUGGUUUUUCAAUUGUGGGAACAUGCCCCUUCAAGAUGGUGCCUCUUUGGUUUCACCUAUCUUGAACCAAAUAUCCGUUUAGGCUUAAUGAGCUCUAAUACCAUAUUGAAAGCAAUAUAUACGAAACCAAAGCUUACGUGAAAACGCAAGAAUCGAAAGAAAAGCAUUGUGUUUGUAGUUUUAUUAUUUUUAUGAUAAUUACAGAGGUACAGUUGGUGGUUUAAUAUAUAUCACUAACACUAUUGCUGCAAUGAUCGAUCAUCUCGAUGGAUUACCCAUUUAAGAGUUGUUGACAAGAGUUGACACUCUAGAAUCAAAAGUUGUAAGAACUAGAUUUGUAAUUUAUGUCCUAAAACUCGUUGUAAUCAUAAUCUAUUCAAUAAAGUCGUUAUUGAUACUAUAAUCUUAAACCUGUCAUUUGCAAACCUGUCAAAGCUCAAAAAGUCUAAACUGUACUAUAGGAGAGAGCCAAUAGUUGAAUCCCCAACCAUGUCUUAUCGUAUUCUUUAUAAUCAAAUUUUUAUUUUGCAAUUGAAAGUCUUCAACGCUUUCUUUAAUGAUGUUUUUAAUGAUAUUCUCUCUCACAUUUUAUAAAACAAUUUUUUCAAGAACGGGAAGGGAGGUUAUAUCAUAUCGUGAGUUUGUUCGUGAUUUUUGAAUUUUACAUGACUGACUUAUUGACUGAGCAAAACAAGUGUUCUUCAAUUGUCCAUUCCAUGUUUGAAAGAUUUCGAUUGUGGCACGCAGAGUGUCACAAGUGGGCUUGUCCAAGGCAUUAUUUGCCUAUGGCCGCAUGUUCGAAUAUCCUCAAACCACUUUAUCUUUAUGCUUUGUACUUAGUUUAGUCAACUGCUUUCCUUUUGUUGUCACCGACCUAAGGUGCGUCGUUUCGCAAUUUUCAUAUGCAAGGUUGUCAAAGCUAAAAAAGUUUAAGAUGUAUUGUAGGGGAGCAUGGUAGUUGAAUCCCCAACUAAGGCCUAUUGUGAUUUUUGCAAAUCUAAGCUUUCUUUGCAAUUGACAAUAUUCAAUUUUUUUCUUUAAGGAUGUUAUCAAUGUUUUCUUUAUCUCUCACGUUUUAUAAAACCAAUUUCACAAGUUUGUCCGCAACUUUCAAAUUUCACAAGUUGCCUUGUUCAUCAAUUUAGAACAAGUGUUGCACAAUCGCCCGUCCCGUAUUUGAAAAGUUGCAUUUGUGACAAGUGUAUUAAAGCUUUGUUAGCUCCUUCGCUAAGCGAGAUGCAAUUAUGUCGACAAUGAAACAACUAUCAAAGUUGCAAUCUAAGCGACUGACUGAGAUUGAAGAGGAAUUCUUGGAUAUGAAAGAAUUGCCAAAGAAGUAAGAUUUCUCCAGACCCGGCUUGAGAUGUUUAAAGAAAAAGUCAGAGAAAUAGACGCAUUGAAUGCCUAAAUAGACAAACUACCCAUAAAUGAAUUGCGCUGAGGGUUAUUCGUUAGAACAUAAAACCACCAAAGUAGGUAGUUUUGAACGUGGAAGUAGCCUUCAAGUUCUAUCGCACAAAUGGAAGAGCGUGUCGAAGAGUUUUGGCUUUUGACAAAAUCCAACAUAAUCAGUUAUAUUUCAAGAAAGAGAAAAGUGUUUUUGCUAAAUAGCGUAUAAAUUUUCUAGGUCACAUCAUCGAAUGAUUUGAAUGGACGAACAUAAGUUGUGAGCUAUUAAGGAGUGGAGAGCGCCCACUUCCGUGAAAGAGUUACGUUUCAUCCUUCAAUAUAUUCUAAAAUAGGGUUCACCUACUAUCCUCUAGAUUCAGUACCGGGAGAAAGAAAUAGAUGGAAAAAGAAAUGGGCUUGGUAAUUUUUUUUUCUAUGUAAAUAAGAAAAAGAAAUCCAAUUUGGUACAAAGCCCAAAUUCAAUAGCCAGCCCAUCAAAUGAGGUCAACGACCCUAUUUAAUAAGGAUUUUCCAUACAAAAUUGCAUGUCCAUGGAAUACUAAAGUCCAACAACUCAAAGAUCUAUUUCUAAUAUGAAAUUCGAUGGCUAUAACACAUAUACUUGUCAGUUUCUCUCUCUUCUCCCAAUUCGAACAAUUCGACUUAUUCCAUCACACUGUUUUUAAGUUUAUUCCAUAUGAGCUAGCAAGGGAACUAAUGGACUAUAUAUCAUGGACUCCAAUGAUUCAAGAUUAAUUGACUAAAUUCUUAUAGACUGAGUUAAUCAACAUUCGUUAACUAACGGGUCAUUCAUGAAUUUACUGGAACGAUUCAGGAUCACCUCAUUUGUACUAACUACAAAGCGGACGACAUCCACAGUUUCUCUGAAAAAAUCUGGGUUACUACAACAUCACCACGAUGUAAAAUUUUUCCUGAUAAGAUGGUACUUACGUUCGAUAUGUUUUCCCCGUUUACGACUUUUAUGUUCUCUUGAAUUUGCAACUGCACCACUUUGUGACAGUAUAAAGUGAUUGAUAGAUGCAUAUUUGGAACGACUUCCAGAUCUGUCAAGAAUUUUCUUAGCCAUAAUGCUUCUGUUGUUUUCAAAAGUUGCUACGUAUUCUACCUCCAUUGUGGAAUCAACUAUACAAGUUUGUUUUAUGCUUCUCCAAACUACUACUCUUCUAUUUAGAGUGAAUACUAAUCCUGAUGUAGACUUUCUAGCAUCUUUAUCAGUUUGAAAAUCAUAAUGAGUGUAUCCAGUAAGGAUCAAAUCUUUUGUACCAUACACGAGAAUGUAGUGUUUUGUUCUUCAAAGAUAUUUUAGAAGAUUCUUAACGGUUGUCCAAUGAUCACGUCCAAGAUUGGACUGAUACCUACUGACCAUCCCUACUAAGUAGCAAAUGUCAAUCUAGUACACAACAUUGCAUAUAUCAAACUUCCAACAGCGGAAGCAUAGGAAAUUUUCUCAUAUCCUCAAUUUCUUGAGGUGUCUUAGGACAUUGUUCCUUUGACAAAUGAAUUCGUAGAUGUAUAAUAGCAUACCCUUUUUGGAAUUCUACAUUUUAUAUCUAGACAACAUUUUGUCUAUAUAAGAUGCUUGAGACAUGGCUAGUGUUUUGUUCUUGCAGUUCUGUACAAUUUGGAUCUUAAGAACGUAUUGUGCAUUUCCCAGAACUUUCAUUUGAAAUUGCAUAGCUAGCCAUUUCUUGAUAUUAGUAUGAAAUCCUAUGUCCUUUUCCAAUAAGUAGAAUAUCAUCUACAUACAAGACUAAGAAUACUACAAUGGAAUUGACGACCUUUUUUGUAAACAUAAGGUUCGUCAACCUUUUGUAUCAAAGCCAUAAGAUUUGAUCAUAGUAUCAAAUCUUAUAUUCCAGGAUCUAGAUGUUUGUUUUAAUCCAUAAAUGGAUUUUUGAAUCUUACAAACCUUUUGUUCUUGAUCUUGAUCUAUAAACCCUCUAAUUGAGUAAUAUAGAUACUCUCUUCAAGAUUGUCAUUCAAAAAAAGUUGUCUUGACAUCCAUCUGCCAAAUUUCAUAAUCAUAAAACGUGGCGAUGCAUAAGACUAUUCUAAUUGACUUUAGCAUGGCAACGAUAGAGAAAGUUUCUUCAUAGUCUAUGUUAGAAAGAGACAUGCGCAGUGGAAAAAUGGAAUACAAAAUUACCCUAAUUGCACCUAUUUAACUUGCAACCCUAAAUUAAAAGAAUUAGGGUUUAGGAAAUAUUAUACCUUUGUAUCUAUUCGAAUAUGAACGUCUAUACCUCUCACAAAAUUCCAAAAGUUUUUGAAACCAAAAUGUAACACCUUAAACUUAGGAUUUGGAAUUCGUAUCUCCAGCAUUCUCUGCAUCCCCUGCGACCUGGCAGCAUCAUCCUUACUAUUCUUAAAAACUUAUUAGAAUGAAAUUCCUCUUCACAAACCAACACGAAAUCUUUCAGCAUGCUUUUCCUCACUCACAUGCAUCCUAGGAAAAUUUCCAAGAGGUCACCCAACAUAGAAUUUCUUCAAGCUAAGCACGCUUAACUCUGAAGUCCCUAUAAUCGAGCCACCGAAAAAAAAAGGUUCACAUUGUUGGUAUAGGUAUUAAGUUUUAAUUCUUUUCAGUCUUUCUUAACAUGACUUUCAUGUCCUCAAGGUGCACCUUGUCGGUAUACUUGUCGAUUUCUCUCUUUUCUCAAUUCAAACAAUUCGACUUAUUCCAUCACAAUGUUCUAAGUUUAUUCCAUAUGAACUAGCAGGGAAACCUAAUGGACUUAUAUAUCAUGAGCUCCAACGAUUCAAGAUUAACUGGUUAAACUCUUUUAGACCGAGUUAAUCAACAUUCGUAAACUAACGGGUCAUUCCACUAAAGUCUCGCAGUUGCACUCCCCUCACUAUAGAUAUAUUCUUGUCCAUUUAAUAUAACCAUGAUCAAUAAGUUAAUCCUUCACAUGUUAUUCGUAACCUCGAAUGGAUGAAAUUACUGUUUUAUCCUUGAGACUACAUCUUAUUUCUUAAGUUUCAUUGAUCCACUAUUGAACAAUUGGUUUAAGGUCCAACCUAUAAACUUAAUCCCUCUCGGCUAAUGUGAGGGUGGGGCCCCUUGUUCAAGACUUGGAUUCAGUGCUUAAGAGAACAACCUAUCUACUAACCCUAAAACAGGUAGAAAUGAAUUUUGUCUUGCAUCCUAUGUUCCCAGCCAUUCAUCUGAUCUUACCCUUGAAAUAGGAGGCUUAUUGGAGAACGUUGAUGAGAUACCCUCACCUAUGCAGAUGUAACCCUAAAACAAGUAGAAGUGAAUUCAGUCUUAUGUAAGUACUUUACAGUGCUUAAGAGAACAACCUAUCUACUAACCCUAAAACAGGUAGAAGUGAAUUCUGUCUUGCAUCCUAUGUUCCCAGCCAUUCAUCCGAUCUUACCCUUGAAAUGAGAGGCUUAUUGGGAGAACGUUGAUGAGAUACCCUCACCUAUGCAAAUGUAAGGAUAAUCUCAUGUGAACAGGAGUUCAUAGUUAGCUUAGGAUUAAGAUUAAGCUACCUAAGUCAUCAAUAAACGAAAUAGUCAGUUCUAAACAGUAAACGGUGUUAUAACGUAAAAGUGACUAUUUCAUGGAUCAGUCUUAUGUAAGUACUUUACAUAGGAUGCCCCCACUUUCAUGUCUCUACAUGAACAAUUUAGGAUCACCUCGUUUGUACUAAUUACAAAGCGGGUCACAUCCGUAGUUUCUCUAAAUAAGGCACUAUAGACUAUUUAGGCUAUACACUCGAACUUGAUCCACGUUUAUGUCUCGACAUAAAGUUCAAAUGUAUUAAAAAGCAUUAAGACUUAGUUUAUUGGAUUUAAGAUUAUAAUUUUAAAUUUUUCAAUAACGAUUUUAUUGAACUGAAUAUGAUAACAAACUACGAGUUUUAGGACAUAAAAUCCCAACAUAUGUAUUUUUGCCUCUAAUAAUAAUGUUGAAAGAUGUUUGUUGUCAUUUCAUAUGGGUGAUAUCUCUUCUGGUUGGACAUAGUCAGGUUUUGUAAUGGGUGACUUUAACGCUAUCAAAAUGCAUUUUGAGGCUUUUGAUAGGUCUUCUGUUCCUAUGGAUAUGGAGGAGUUCGAUAUGGCUAUUUGCGAGGCUUAUUUAGUUGAACCUACAGUACAGGGUAACUGGUUCACCUGGACUAGAAAGGUUCAUGGGUCUGGUUUGAUAAAACGGUUUAAUCGUAUUCUGGUUAAUGGUGUUGGAUUACCGCAUGCCUUCGGGUAUUUCUGAUCACUCCCCUUUUAUUUUAUCCCAACUUUUAGCAGAGACAGUGGGUAGUUUCUUUUUGUUUCUUCAACCAUUGGGUUGAGGAUUCUUUGUUUAUUGAUGUUGUCUCUUCGAUUUGGAGUCACCAUGUAGGAGUUUCUCUGAUUGUGAGUUUCGUGAGAAAUUUACAUAACCACAAGCCUACCCUCCAUAGACAGUUUGGUAAGCACAUUUAGAGCCUAAGUGAGGAGGUUCGUAUUGCUAAAGAGUCCAUGGAUAAACCAGAGAAAGGUUGGGCAAAAUCCUAUGUCUGAUGUUUUGAGUCGCCAAGCAGGUCUUGCCAUUGAGGCCUUUUGGACGGCUGUUAGAUUGGAGGAAGCCUUCAUGUGUUAGAAGUCCAAGAGGUUUGUGAUUUGCCUUAGAACUUGUGUUACCUCCUCGAUGUUCUCCAUUAUGAUUAAUGGCUCUUUCAAGGGUUUUUUAAUGGGAGGAAAGGUUUGCGGUAGGGUGAUCCUUUAUCUCCUUUCCUUUUUAUCAUGGUGAUGGAGGUCCUCUCUCGUAUGUUCAAUCGGCCUCCUCCGAGCUAUCAGUUUCACAGGCAUUGUGAGAAGGUUAGCUUAACUCAUCUGACCUUUGCUAAUGAUCUUAUGAUUUUUUGUACUGCUGAUGAUUCCUCUCUGAGUUUUAUUAACGAGACUAUUCGAAAGUUUGGUGAUCUCUCGGGCUAUUUACUAAUCUUAGUAAAAUUUCUAUGUUUGUUGUAGGGGUUAAUAGUGAUGAUGUUUAUCGUUUGACUACCAGUUUGGGUUUUGUCCUCAGGCAUCUCCCUGUUCGUUAUCUUGGGCUUCCUUUACUUUCUGGGAGGUUACGACCUACUGAUUGUGCUCUCUUAUUCAACGUAUUACUAGUCAGAUUCAUUCUUGGUUUGCUAGAGUUUUAUCAUUUGCAGGUAGAUUGCAACUGGUUCGAUAUGUGCUUGAUAAUCUUCAGGUUUACUAGGCUAACGUGUUUGUGUGCCUGUGAGUGUGCAUCAUGAGGUUGAUAAAAUCUUGAGGUCUUAUCUUUGGAGGGGUAAGGAGGAAGGUAGAGGAGGUGUUAAGGUGGCGUGGGCUGAGGUGUGUUCCUUUUGAGGAGGGUGGUCUUGCUAUUCUUGAUGGGCUUCUUAGAAUGUUGUGAGUACUAUGAAGAAUCUUUGGUUGUUGCUGACUAGUUCGAGUUUUCUAUGGGUUGCUUGGGUGGAGGCUUAUAUUCAUAAAGGAAGGUCAUUGUUCAGGUCGAUUCUUGUGUUGGUCGGUCUUGGUGUCUUUGCGCUAUCAUGUGUAAACGAGAUAGUCUAAAAGAGCAUGUUCAGAUGGAGGUUGGGGAUGGUAGGCAUUGUAAACUGUGCCUGGAUCCGUGGUUGCAGGGUGGUCAUAUCCUUCAACAAGUUGGUGAGAGAGCGCUUUAUAAUGUAACGAGUAGAUAGGAGGCUAGGCUCUCUAAGUUUAUUGGUUCGAAAGGGGAGUGGAGGUGGUCGAGGGUAUCUUUGGAUUUGAUUAAUUUAUCGGAUAGGGUUCAAGUUGUAAGUUCGUGUCCUAAUGUUGGUGAUAGGUGGGUUUGGGUUCUUGGUCGUCAUAGUGGUUUUUGAUUGCUAGUGCAUGGGAUACUAUUCAUCCUCGUAGUGUUAAGGUUCGUUGGAGGUUUCUUGUGGGGUGGGGAUUGAGAGUCUCGUUAUCAUUUGUUUUUUCAUGUCCUUUUGGGUGUGAUAUUUAGUCUCGGGUCCUUUAGGUUAUGGCUUCCUCUCACAGGAUUGGGUAUUGGGGGGUUGAGUUGUUUGGGUUUGUCAUUAGAGUAUUGGUAAGGGUGUGAGAAGGAAGUUGUGGUAUGUUCUCUGGUGUGCUACGAUUUAUUUUAUGUGAAAGGAGCAUAAUCAUUGUCUCCAUGGUGGUCAAGCUCGUGAGCUCAUUGUUCUGUUUCAGCUUAUUCCAUAUUGUAUCAGUGCUCGUGUUGUUUAUUUGCGUGAGGAUGCUCAUGGUAUUAUUUAGCUUGUUUUCUUUUGAUUUUUGUUUUAUCUGCUUGUUCUCGGGCUGUGGGGUUGUUUGGACUUUUUAUGUUUUUGUUGCUCUUAAUUUUGUUGGGUUUAUUAUUGUUCUUUCUUUUGAUACUUUGGAUUCUUCCUGUUUUUGUGAGCAUUGUCCGCUCUUGUGAGGUCAUCCUUGUUGUAUUAUGAUAUUAACUUUUCAAAAAAAAAAAAGAUAAUGCAAUUCAACUUUAGAUAGAAACAUGAUUCGAAUUUUCAUUUCAAGAAAAUACAAGGGGACAGAACUCAAGGAUUAUGUGGAUCACAAAACUUGAAUUACUAGAAUCUAAAUUUCCAUAUGUUAGAUAUCAUUAGAAGCAGUUAGACCAAAAGUUAAUUAUCAAUAUGUUAGUUCACAGGAACUGCAUAAUCAAGCACAUAAACAUCCACAUUGUCAUUCAUUGUAGGCAGCUUUGAUACACAAAAAAUAUGGAUAUUUUCAGAAGUUCAAGCAUACACAAAAAACAUAUCCUUGUCAGAAAAUAGCCAACUAAGAAAGAGAAGUUCAAGAUUUAUAUACAAAGUGCAGCUGCAAAAGGACAAGCAAGAUGCCAGAAUCUAUAUAUUAUGCAGUCGGAUAUUAAUUGGCAAGUACUAACAGCAAAGGUACCAAAAUAAAACUGUAUCAAUUUAUCUUGUCUAAAACUAAACAGUAUAUGUAAAUCUUGCAAACAAACAAGUUUUUUGAAUCAAAACUGUCAAAAGAUUUUGAUUCAAGUGAUAUGUGGAUUGUGAUCUUUUGUGUCACCCAUCCAUUCCUCCUGUUUUAACCAUUUAAAUCAAUAAAUAAUUUUAUGUUCAAACAUAAGUUGGACAACCUUUGUUAAAGAACUGCUUCCCACAAAAAUAGCAUUAACCACCCUUUUUUAAUUCAACAUGGGAAUAGAGAUCGAAUCUCUGAUUUUUUGGUCUAAGGUACCUUUCCUAAACUUGUCGAAUUCCAUUUUCUACACCAACUUUAGAACGAGUAUAUAUACAUCAAGUAAUUUCAUGUUCAACUCAAAAUUGGACAACCAUAGUAUUACUCCAAAGCAAACAAUACUAAUUGUUCCAUUAAAUGUUUUUUUAUAGCUCUUGAUUGUCUCACUUUUUUGUAUUUUGAAUUUACAAGCCUCUUUUUUCUUUCUUUGGUAUGAAAGGUGGCAACUAGGCCUUGCUAGAACGAGUGGGGUAACCUUUCUAUGGUUCUACACUUAGUUUCGAAGUUCGAAGUUUUCCUCCUACAGUGGAUCAUCGCUAUUGAUUCUUCUACUGUUAAUUCGACCUCCCACGAAUUCUCUUCUUCUAAGGAUUCACUUUUCUCUAAGGCUAUGCACUUACUAAAAAGCCUUGAUCUUCUUCCCCCAAUGUUUUCAUAAACUUCUUAAGACAGACCCUGACCUUGGUUAGGCUCGGAUCUCCUUGGAUUAUCACCUUCUUCCCCUGAUAUGUAAAUGUUAACAUCAUAUUCUUCCAAUCCACUCCAGUCGUUCCCAAGGAAUACAAUCACUGCAUUCCAAGUAUGGCAACUACCCCUCCCAACUUCAAGGGUAAAAACUCAUUCACUACCUUCUAGUCUCCCAGCAUUAACUCAACAUCUUCACAAAUUACCUUCCCUUUGACUACAGUGCCCGAGCCCAAAAUAACUCCAUAAUUCGACGUUUCUCUUAUACUCAGUUGCAACUCUUUCACUAUUUUUUUCUGAAAUGAAAUUGCGUGUGACUCCACAAUCAAUUAGUACUAUAGGCACCUUCCCUUGUAUCAUCUCUUUUACCUUCAUUUUCCCUAGGUUGGAUAAUCCCACCACAUAAUUAAUGGAUAAUUCCACACUUGACUCUCCUCUACGAUCUCAGGGGCAUUCAAUUCUUUCUGAUCAAUUCCUCCUUCUUCAAUAAUUUCAUACUCCUCGCCUUCUUCCUUCACAACAAUCAUUCGCAAUUCCCUUUGCUCUUUCAUCUUGCAUUUGUGGUCAUGAGAAUAUUUCUCAUUACAGCGAAAGAAAUCCCUUCUUUCUAGAUUGAAAUUCAGCAUCAAAUAAGUGCUUCGCUGUCCCUCUUUCCGUACUUCCUCUUUUGUUGUUCCUCGUAGAGUAAUAGUUCUCAUCGGCCAAUUCAUUCCUCCUUUACUUUCUUCUGUAUUCGCAAUGGUAUUAGGCUUGGUGCUAUUAUGGGAGUUUAUCACCUUUUCUCCAGAAUAUCUAGAAAGAUUUGCUUCCUGACAUAUAUCUUCCUUGUUCUCUACCUUUUGCGCGAUUCGUAUCAUUUGUUUUUUUCUUGUCAUUUUGGGUGGGAGAUUUGGUCGAGGAUCCUUUUGCUUAUGUCAUCUUCUCAUAGAAUCGGUUAUUGGGGGUUGAGUUAUCUUGGAUUUAUAAUCAGGGUAUUGGGAAGAGUGUGAGGAGAAAACUGUGGCGCCUUCUCUGGUGUGCUACAAUUUAUUUCAUUUGGCAGGAGCGAAAUCAUCGUCUUCAUGAAGGUGCUAUUUGGGAGCCUAUGGUUGUAUUCCAGCUCAUUUGGUCGUGUAUUAAAGCGCGUGCUGCUUCUUGGUCGGAUGGUGUUCAUGGUCUUAUUUAAUGUUCUUUUCGUUUGCUUGUCCCCGGGUUAUGGGGUUUCUCUUCUCUUUAUUAACUUUGUUGUCUUUCUCUCUUCUUCUUGUCCUUUUAAUGUUUGGAACACUAGUUGGUUUCUUUUGGUUUUAGUUCUUGUUCCCAAGAUGUGGGGUUGUUUUGGGUACUUAUGGGUUGUUUUGUCUAACUACUUGUUCUGUGAGUGUUGUUCACUCUUUUGUCUUGACCUCAGGAUGUGAGGUCCACCUUGUUGUUGUAUAAUAUUAUCAUUACCUUUUCAAAAAAAAAAUCAAACUCAAUGCUAAGUUUGACUGCUCCCUUCGAAGUGACAACAAGCCUCAUUUUCGCCCUACUGUGGAUCGAGGAGGAUUCCUCCUCUUUUCAAAGCCCUCAAUCAAACUUGACGUUAUGUUUAAAACACUAUGGUCUAGUUUUGGUUAGGCCAAAAGCGAUGUUUUCCCCCAAAAGCUCUAAUAGCUAGGGAACUCAACAUGUUCUACUUGACCUAACCAACUUGACUCUAUUUUUUAUGAGCUUUUUUUAAUGCAUAUUGCAUAUGUUUUUUUUAUAAUUGUUGAUUGUCUCACUUUUUUAUGGUCUGCAUUUACGAGCCUCUUUUCUUUCUUUGUUAUGAACUGCGGUAACUAGGCAUUGCUAGAACCGAUGGGGUAACAUUUCUAUGGUUCUACACUUAGUUUCUAAGUGUGAUUGCUCACCUCUAAUUUCAAAACACUUAAUUUCUAAGCACAUACAAUGUUCACCUAGAAAAAAAUGAAAAUUGUUGUACUUAAGAUCAAAACUAAAUAGUUAUGAAAUAAGACAUAAGAGAUUUGAUUUUAACAACCUUCUCGUUGUACUUGGGAUCCACUCUGGCUUUGUGCUGGAAAAUUGGUUUGGAGCUGAUCAUAAGCUUUCGGUUGCUCUUCUGUAACCUUUAGAUACUCUUCAAAGCUAUAAGCUUUGCUUCCUGACGAAGAAUCUUCUACUAUUACAAUACAUAAGAAAAUUCUAUUUCAUAAACCAUGUAUCAUAAUUGAGGCUGAUAGAAUGAUUAUUCUAUAACCCUACCGAUAGUUUCAUUCUUAACAUUCAUAGACACGAUGCAUGGCAGCUAUCCAAUUCUAUUUCAUAUUCUCGAGAAUGGCUCGGUUUAACAAUAAUGUUAAUUUUUGUUUUCUAUUUUAAAAUAAUAACGCUGCUUACUAAUCUUUUUUUUCCAUUUGGCAUUCUACUUUUUCUACUCAGCUUUCUUUCCCUAGUGAUAACAAAUAAUACGGGUGAUAAAAAACUUAAUCACUCACUUGUUUCAGCCACCGAAAGCCCUUCUGCUUUAGAAAUAGAAAUACGGGUGAUACGGGUGUGCUGUUCAUUGAACUCUCAAUUUCAUCAAGACCAAUUUCUCACUCAAACAUGGUCUUGCAUUCUCUAGAAACGUCCUACAAACAAAAAUGAAGAAAAAAAACUACAAUAAGGUCUAUGAAAAAAUUACAAAGGAAAAUCUCAAAAACUGAUAUGUAAGUCAUAACAACCUUAAGUCCUCUUAUCAUGGGUUAAAAUGCACGUAAGGUUUUUCCAAGAGUCCGAGCAACCAGCAUGUAAAUAAGUUAAGUCAACUAAAUUUGCUAUAAAUUUACUCGUAUUAACAUUAUCAUUGUUAUAGACUUGACAACUUCAAAUUUAUCAAUAUAAAAUAUGCUUUAACAAAACGUACCUUGAGGUUCCUCAAACCUUAUUAAAAAAGCAAAUAAUACAACAAUUUAACAAAUUUAUAGUGCAUAUUAUGUAUAUCAAUUGAUCACAACAAAAUAAGAUCGAACAAAUACCCAUGAGUAAUAUUUAGCCACCAAAUGAAUAAUGAUGAAAACCUGAAAACAAAAUCGAGAAAAAAAAGGGAACAAUUCAUCAACAAAACAAAUUUAGGGGACUAAAAAAUUGCUUACCUUAUUACACACUUCAAAAUAUUAAGAAAAGUGGAGGGAAAAAACCAACCAAUAAUCAACAAAUAAACUUCAACACAAAUAGCCAUAAAUUUUCUUCUUUAAAGGUAUCACAAAUAAGUCCAUCAGUAAUACCAAAAUAAAAAAGGGCAACGUGCAAUUGAAUUCUGCAGUCGUAAAGCUAUGCUAAAGGCAGUAUGAAAUCAAACUUGAGCACUAACAAGAAAAUUUGCAAAACAAAAAUUACUAGACAUCAUUAACUAAAGUACCAGCACAACAAUGAAUGUGUAACCUCCGCAAGAGCAAACCCGAAUGGAGAAGAACAUGAAGAAAUAUAUAAAUAGAAGAAACAUAAAAGACAAACAUGAAACACAUGGAAAUAUACAAAGGGGAUAAAUAAAAGUACAAUUAUAAAGUGAUGAAGCACAAAUAUAGGUAUCAACAGAACCAGAAUACAAGUCUUACCCUAUCUCGACUGUCGAGGAGUGUUAACCAACCGUCGGAAGGUUGGUUUUAUUUUUUAGAAAAAGUUAAUGUUGUCUGAACUCUUUUCCAAGCCACUAACCACCCCUCCUUAUCUAUGAUCGACGAUCAACUCCUCAACCUCUAAUUACAUUUAAAAGAGUGAUGCGAACAUUGUGUGAAAUCCCAAACCUUUGAUGGAUCCCACCAUCACUCUCUUUCUAUCCCUUCAAAACCUCAUUAUUUUCAAGAGAGGCCUCAAAGCUUUCUUCCAAUUAACAUAAAAGAAGAAUGAAAGAGAAGGAGAGAAAGGGAAAGUGGUUCAAAAGCUAUGGAAAAAAAAGUAAAAGAAAAUGGUCUACUCAUUGGCACAUCUUACACAGAUGAUAAUGUUAGGGCAGAGAGCAAUGAGAGACAGAAUGCUUUUGGAGCCUUCUCCUCUACUUUCGAAGAUUUUAACAAACUAAAAUAUGCAAAUGUUACAAGAAAGAUCUUUGGAGAUUUGAAAUAAUCCAAAAUAAAGAAAAAGGAAAACCCCAAUAUGUACAAAUUUCAAAAUCUAAAACUUGAAAAGUGAUUGAAUGAUGAGAUAUGUUUGUACAAUCAAUUAUAGAGACAGUGAAAUAUUAAAACAAAAAUGAAACGUACCAAGAUAAAAAGAAUAGCAACUAGUAUUAUGACCUUUGUAUGUCUUCAAAAUACAAACAUCAAAAUGAAUCAAGAGAUCUACCACACAAAUAAUGGUAUCAACACAAAUAAAGCAAUUGUUUUAGUAACAAUAUUUGAGCAUGCCUAUUUUCCUUGACAAAUUUACAUUCUUCUAAUCGAACAAAAUCUGACCUUUAAAUAGUGAUAGAAACUGAAGAUGAAAGCAAGUUUAGCUACAACUUCAGACCGUGAUAUAUAUGACGGAAUCUAUAAAAAAAAGAAGAGUACCUAACUAUAUAUACACAGAGGAGAUCUGAUGCUUACUAGCACAUCAGAGGCUCAAUCGAUUUAUAUUUAAUUGAAAAACAAUCCCUAUAUUUUAAUGCAUACACAUUGAAUAGCCCCUGUUUCAAUCCAAUUUACAAAACUACCUCCAUAAAAUUACAUAAUGGGGGAAGUUCGACCGGAUGCACUGUGCUUUACCAGAACCACAUGAAAUUAUUGGAACAUAGUUCAUUCAAUUAACUUUCUAUUCAAUAAUUGAAACAAAUGGAAAGAGGACAUAUGAAUAUUAAAUAAAGAUGGAAUUAAUUGGGAACUCACGGAGUAAUGCGAUUUGUUCGGGGGCUCACUACUGGAGUUGGAAGAGAGACAAGGAUUAGAAAGGAAAGGAAGAGGAGCGUCUGAUAAUCCAGCGGAUUCUUUGAUGAGUGGAGUACUAGUAGUAGUAGUGGAGGUUCCAAGGACAUUGAAGUCAAUCCGGUGAGAGUGAGGGAAUCCAGAAGGUUGAGGUUGAAGAGAGUAGAAAUUGCAACCAAAAUCGGUGACGAUGGUGGAAUCGAAAUUGCGAGGGAAGAAGAAAAGAGCAUCACAGGUCGAAGUAGAGGAGGAAUCAACACUGGAGAAAGGAGGAAGAUGAGGAGAACCUGCCAUUAAUGGAAGAGGGAGGAAGUGAGAGAGAAAGGAGAGGGAAUUAAUUAAUUAAAGAGAAUUAGGGUUUGAGAAGAGAAAGGGAAAAUGGAGUGUACGAACAAAGAAGAAGAAGAAGAAAUGGAAAGGACGCGCUAAGAGAAGAAGAUGGAUCGGUGAAAUGGGUAUGAUAGGGUUUCUUCCUUAAAGAAACGGAAAUUCAGAGAUAGGCCUUAGGAUUUUGAGAAGAGAAAGGAAAACUGGAGUGUACGAAGAAAUGGAAAGGACGCACUAAGAGAAGAAGAUGGAGAUUGGAUCCGCAACUAAGAGAAGAAGAUGGAGAUGGAUCCGCGAAAUGGGUAUGAUAGGGUUUCUUCCUUACAGAAACGGAAAUUGAGAGAUAGGCCAAAGAAGACAAGAGAGCAAGAGAGAAUGGGGGAGGGAGGAGAGGGAGACUUGGCCGUUAGAGAAGAGGAUAAAGAAAUUUUAAAUGAGAGAGACUGUACAUGUAGGGUUUUUAUUAGAAUUUUUUUUUUUGAAAUCUUGCUUAAUUGGAUUUAGAGAAUUUUGUGUAUUCGGUUCACUGACUCGUAUUAGCUGUCCAUUGGUCCAUUGUUUUGUCAUUUUUUUUCAACAAACUAAAUGUUUUAAUCCAUUUACAAAUUAGAUUUCGAUAAAUCGAUAAUCAUAUUUUUUUACAAUAUAGGACUAAAAAAGACAACAUUGUGCGUCGGGAGUUCCUCUCCCGAUACAUUUUUCCCGACUUGUGUUCCAACGUAUAUUAGUAUGUCGAAAAGCCUUUUCUGAUGCUUUUUAUAUAUCUCCCAAUGAUUUUAUGCAUCGAGAGAGCCCUCAUUUCUUGUAGUGUUAGACAAAGAGCUUCAAUGUGGUAGGGGAAAGGCAUGACACCUUUAGGUGCUUUCAUCAAAGGGAGGAUUGAGGUUCUGAUUAUGGCGCUAAGGUUAACUGCCAUCUUCUUCUUAAUGCAAUAAAUCAUCAUUGUGCACUCUAGUGGGAUGGUGUUGUUGUCAACUAGGCAGGCGAUUUUGUUUUCAAGUCUUAGUUCUUAAUCCUUAACAACCUUUAGUAUUGAUGCUCUACCCCAACCCUCAUCUAAAACGAUAACUAACACAAUGGUUUGGAAGUUUUUGUGAAACAUCAUCUAUACUUUUUCUUUAAUGGUCGAUGAAAAAAAAGUCAGGAAAAUGGUAUUUCUGACCAUUUUAAGUGUUACCAAAAUAUCACAUUUGGUGUAGUAUGGUAUUGUUUUGAAUAUUUUGUAAAAUAGUGGAUCAAGAAGUUUUACUAAGAUAAAGUUUCAUGUUGGACAAGAGGAUAGUGGAUGGGAAUUAAGUUGAAUGGUCCACUUUUUUUUUAAAUCCUUUAAGGUUUUAUGAAAACCUUUCACAAUACCUUUUCAUAAUCAUUUUGUAAAAAUAAUAUCAAAUCAUUUAAAUAUACCGAAAAAUUAUUUCAUUUCGAAUAAACCUUUCUUUAUGCUUAAAAAAUCAUUUCAUUUUGUCAAGGAUCCCGAAUCAUUCUCUACGCUUGGUGUCAUUACCUCGUUUAGACUACUGUAUCAACAGCAUCUGAGAACAUACAAAUUCGUCUUUGUUGCUCAUACCGCUAAGCUUUAUACGCUCAUUUCAAUGCAUAAGUCAGCUUCUUAUUACCAUGUAGUUCGUACACUCCAUAGUUGCCUUCACUCUUUAUGUGCAUACAAAAGUUAGCAUCAUCUCAAAGAAACAUAAUAUUGAAAUCAUAGUCAUCAAAUCAAGCUUUAACAUUAUCAAUAAUGCUUGAACACAUAACUUUUCAUAGAAAUCUUUCUGAAACAUUCUCAUCUGAAUUCUUCUUUCAAAUCAGUAAAGAGAAAUCGUAAUAAAGUUUCUUAACAUAAAUUCUUUUGACUGAAAAGCACUCACCAAAAUUUACUAAAGAAGUCCUUCUCACAACCAUCUUUUCGCGAGGCUAAACCAACAACACUUUAACAUUUCAACAAAACUCUCGUCAUCCCCUCCUUAGUUACCUAAAUUCUCCUAUUUUAUAGAUCCCUUAUACUAACUUAGUCAUGCAAAUCCUUAAUAUUUAACCUAGUCAUGCUCAAAUCCUUAAUCUUACAUGUUAACCCAUGUCAAAUCAGAUUUGACAUUUUCUUUACAAACCUUGCUCCCCGCCUAACCCAAACCGUGAAUAAAUUCAACCACUUAACAUUUCUCGUGAAUAACCUUAUCGCUUGAUUAUAUUUUUAUUAUAAGAAACGUUCCACGUGAACUAACCAACUUUUACUCGCAUAAAACUCUUAUCACGAACUUAAACUCCAAGGCUUCCUCGUAGACUUCUUCUCCACGAAACACUUGGUUCUUCUCACGAAGACCACCCAAAACUCCUAGUCUAACACUCAAAACUUUCAUUUCCUAACUUACGCAAAGACUUUUUCGCUUCUUAUCGCACAACUUCUUUCGCGAACUACCCACUUAUCGCAAAAAAGUAUACUUAACCGUAAAAGAUCUUAUCACUUAAUCUUUCCAUGGAUUUAUUUGAACACCAACUUCUUAAUUCUUAGCCGAAUUUUACUUCCUUACUCGAAUUAGAAAUGGGUCGCACAACUUCCUUCGCGAACUACCCACUGAAUCGCAAUAACGUAUACUUAACCAUAAAUUUUUUUAUCGCUUAAUCCUUUUCGUGGAUUUAUUUAAAUGCCAAAUUCUUAAUACCUAGCCAAAUUUUACUUCAUUACUCAAAUUAGAAAUGGGUCUCAAAUUUAGAGCCUAUCGCUUCUUUAAGAUACAUGAUCUUACCGAUUCAGAGAAAUUAACCACAAGCGUUAUUAGUUUUGAUGAUCUGGCAUUGGAUUGGUACCAAGCACAAGAAGAGUUGGAAGUUUUUAAGAAUUGGGCUGACCUGAAAGAACGAAUGCUUGUACAGUUUCGAUCAAUUCGAGAAGGAACUUUGGUUGGAAGAUUUUUCUCAAUCAAACAGAAAAUGAUUGUAGAAGAAUACCGCAACCGAUUUGAUCGAUAUUUAGCUCUGGUAGCAUUUCUUCAAACGUAGUGUUAGAGGAGACUUUGAUGAUUGGGCUUAGCCCAUGAAUAAAAAUGGAAGUGGAAACCGUGGAACCGAUUGGGUUGGCCGAGAUGAUGAAAUUUGCGUUGAAGAUUGAGAAUAAGGAACUAGUGAGAAAAGAGUGUGGGUUGAGCAGAGCAUUUCAUGUAAAACUGCAACUCACCCUAUCUAUUGUGGAAAACAACAAUAUAAUGAUGACUAAGGAAGAAACCAGUAAUGGAAAGUCUGCUGAUGAGAGUUAUCACCCUGAAGGGAGUUACUGAUAGAACUAAGACAUGCACAACAGAAAAAGAAUCGAAAUUCUACCCUAAUUGGGCUUAAUUAACGAGACUAAACCAAAAAAUAAGGUUUUUAGAAUACUUACAUUUGAAGUUGCGUUUUAUUCGAACAACCACUAAGUUUGACUUAGUACUUCUAGACUCAUAAUCGAGUUGUGGGACUCGUUGGAUGAAAGAACCGGACGAAAGAAAUAGAUGAAAAAAAAUGGGCGUGGUAAAUUUUCUUUUUUUUUUCUUUAAGUAAAUAAGAAAAAGAAAUUCCAUUUGGUAUGAAAGCCCAAAUUCAAUAGCCAACCCAUCAAAUGAGUUAAAAGGCCCAUUUAUAAGGAUUUUUCAUUCAAAAUUGUAUGUCCAUGCAAUACUAAAGUCAAAGUCCAACAACUCAAAGUCCACUUUCUCUAUCAAGGACUUGAUAAAAAAAGAGAAUAUGAGUUAAUAGGAAAAUGAAAGGGAAUUCCUUGGAAAGUUGGUUUGUGUGUCAUUAAAAGUCAAGGUGGAAAACAAAGUACAACAUAUGGCUAAAUGUGAGAGUAGGCGUGCAAGUAUAAUAAAUACCUACCAAGAUGUUUAUUAAUAACAUGUGUUUGAUACAUAAUUACAACACUUUGACCAAACAACCAAUGCUUAACUAUUUUCAAAACGUCUGGUCAUCUCGCUGCAAAUCCUUCAACCUUCUUCUCUACUUGGCCUAAACACCUCAUCUUGGAAGAUGAAUUUUUGAAAGAAUGUCUAAAAGACUAAGGUUUUAUGAAAUCCUUUUCGCAAUACCUUUUCAUAAACAUCAUUUCGCAUAAACAACAUCAAAUAAUUUUAUCUCGCAUAAACCUUUCUUUAUCCUUAACAUACUCAUCAUUGAACAAUUUCACAUAAACACACAUUAGUUAACAUUCAUUUCUUUCACCAAGGAUUUUGAAUCGUUCUCUACACUUUGAUGUAGAACAUCUCCCUUCUUGAUGUUUCUUGAGUUUUAUCCUAGAGGAGGGGUUUGAAUUACCAUUUUUAUAGUUUAGGAUUAGUUAUUUGAAUUACCAAUUUUGUAUCUUGAGUUAGUUAUAACUAACUCAACUCCAAGUUGAACUAACUCAACCCCAAGUUAGUUUAACAACUCUUAUAAUCUCCAGCCUAUAAAAAAGCUUCUCAUUUUCAUUAAUAAGACAUAAAAAAAAAGAGGCAUUAUACAUAAAGAUUUCUAGCUUUGCAAUUACUGAAUCAAUUGGUAUCAGAGCGUGAUCCUAGCUCACUCUUCCCUAAAAAAACUUGGAUCCUACCACUCUUAUCCAUGGACGCGGAAGCCUCCUUCAACCAACGCUUGCAGUUGGUAGAACAAGCUAUUGAAGAACUUCGAAAAGGGCAGUCAGAUAUACAGCAAUCGUUAGUAGAAUUAACAAACCUUUUUACCCGAUUUCAUGUCCAACCUUUAGAAGAAGCAAUUCAGCCCCCAAGAAACCCAAUGGCAGCAAACCAAGAAAGACAAGAAAGACCAAGAAACCCAAUUGCAGCAAACCAAGAAAGACAAGAAAGACCAAUAAACCCUGUUGUAAACUAAGAACUACUAAGAAAUCAACCUAUUCACAUCCACAAUAAUCGAUUGUAUGGAAACAACGUACCUGAAAAUUUCUUAAAUGAUUCUGACUCUUCGAUGAAGACAACUUGCUGAACAUUCAUCAAGAACCUCAAAGAGGCUUGGACUUCGACCAUACUUUCAAGAAGAUCAUGAAAUACGUAUGAAAGUGGAUCUCCCUACCUUCAAUGGUCGAAUGGACGUGGAGAAGUUUCUUGAUUGGAUCAAGAACGUAGAAAAUUUUUUCGACUAUGCCAAUACACCGAACACAAGAAGGUUCGAUUAGUUGCUCUCAACUUCAAGGUGGCGCAAGCGCUUGGUGGGAUCAAUUACAAAACAAUAGACGAUUAUUUGGUAACCAAUCUAAAGAUUAGCUGAAUAUCUUAUAAAAAGAUGUUGCCGUAGGCUUAGUGGUGACAGGUGAGAAAGUAAGUUGUGUCUUUUAUGACUCUUAAACGUUGAAGUCAAUCAAUGAGUUCCAAAUGCAAUAUUGGAAGUUUUCUUAAAUAUUUUGAUGCUUUUGCAUGUCGUGAAAGAACUUGGUUAGAUGUGAGAAAGGGGUUUAUGAGAUUAGUUACUUACUAUUCCCUUUUUCACUGUCAUUGCUACUCAGUAGACAUGCUAUGGGCUCGUGUUUCUGUAGAAUAUAAUUUAUAUGUUCUCUCUACAAAUUUGAAGUAAUUUCUACUGUUUUUGCUAAUAUUCUCUAAAGCUUAUUCAAAAUGUAGUUGUUUAAUGACUGUUCAGAUUUAAAAUAUAUGAUAGAGUUAAAUUUAACACAGUUAAUCAGCUUAAGCAUUUGACUCUGGUGUUCUUAAGAUAUAAAUUCAAAUCCCUAUAAUUUUAUCAUGUUGAUCUUUUCAAUCUUCUCACAUACCGUCUUCAUUUCAUAAUCUUACCUACUAGCUGCGUAUCAUCAAUGAAAUUACCAUAGGAGUCCACAUGUGGUAAUUAUGGAUCUAGCACGAUAUACUGCGUAUCAUGUUGUUGGAGAUCAUUUUAAAUGAUUAACCAGUCUAUUGGUGGUUUGAGUCUUUCCUUUUGAAUCUAUAGGUUGUUCAAUGGUCUAAUAUUAACUGUGUUCAGAUUUAUGGUAAUUUUCAUUCUUUUACAGCCUUAAUAACCAAGAAAAGGUGUGCUUUGAUAAUCUUUUCUUUCUCUUCGGCAGGUUGGUAAUGUAGAAAGGAUACAUGUAUACUAUGCCCAUGGACUAGAUAGCCCAACCUUUGUUCGCCGGUGUUAUUGGCUCCUAGAUAAGUAUGUUAUGGUUGAAAGAAAGUUGUUAAAUUGCUUGCUACCAGUUGUUUCAGUGGGUCUAUCCCCAUCAUGCCACAAGCAAAGAAAAAUGAAAUUAGAUAGUGGCAGUAUAUCGUGUUCUACUUAUAUAAUUUAUGACUUGCUUCUGCUUUUUGUUCAGGACCUUUGAACACAUUGUCCUUGUUCAUUACCGUGAAACACAAGAGGUUAGGUUCAACACAAUGCAUUUGCAGUUAUUGAAAUAUUAUCUUGAGACAAACUUUUAUCAUUUGGACUACUACAUCUAUUUAAGAUUUGCUGAUUUUUCCUCCAUGGUUGCAAUAUUAGAACUUCACCAAAAUAAUGUUGUCAUGUGUGUCUUUAAAUUUUUACUGGCAGUAUGGCACCAUAUAGAUCUAGUAGUUGUGCAUGCAUGUCUUCCUCUCUAUCCUCCAUUGAAAAACUCGAUAAUUAUCUGUUUGUGUUUUAUUUUGAUGAUUUAAUCCAACAUUUAUUAUGGAUAAAGUCAGCCAUAAAAUACAUAUGUUUACUACUGCUCUUUGUACAUUUUAAAUACUAGAUUUCUUGAUGACUGUUGUCUUUAAGUUGCUCUUAAUGUUGUUGCAUAUCGAGAAAUGCACUGUAAUUUAUGUACCAAUUUUAUCACUGCUUUUAACUAAAUCUUCAAAAAUCAAGGCACCACCCGGAUGUAGACUGCUAUAUGGUGAUUCAAGUGUUGAGAGUUCUCUUUCUUCUGCUAUCCAUAAAUUUAUGGAAUGGAAAGGCAAUGAUUAUGACACUAUUUUUUGUCAGAUAAACACUGGUUUCAUAUGCUUCAACUCUGUGGUGCUUCACAGCACACGGAUAAAACUACCAAACAUUCUGCACCCAAUAUUACCAUAAUGCAUUUGGACACUUCAUUAACAACUUCUUACAAUUACCCUUUCUAUAUUAAAAAUAAUUUGUUGUCUUAACUUCCUGUUGCUCCUAGUUUCAGAAUUUUCCAUCCACAUCGUUGAACUCAAAUUCUGGUUCUGUCUCUAACCCAUUAACUCCGUGGCUUUUAUCGGAGGAACUUGAUUCCAAGGCUACUCAUGUUUAUUUUCUUGGUGAAAAUGAAUUGUCAGGUGAUACUGGCCGAACCUGUCAAAAAUAAAUGAGUCAUAGUUUGUUUGAUCAUUCAUUUUCUAAUCUUUCUUCUUUAUAUUUAAUUAGUUGUUUAAUUUCUUAAAAAAGAAUUAUGGUUUAUUUAUAGUAUAUUUGGUAGUAUGCAUGCCUCAUGUCACGUGGUUAGGAUCUGAAGCUAACCAUACGUGCGCACUUGGCUAACUACAAUGCCCACGUAGCCAAGUAAGCCUUUCCCGGAAGGGGUAGUGCGCCAAGCACUACGACAACGGGUUGCAGCGGAAGUACUAAGGUUGGUUGCAAGACACGAGAGAGGUUGGAAGGAUGAGGGAGUUUGGAUGGAUACGUCUUUGGAAUGAUACAUUGCAUUCCAACAAUAGAUGAAUACAUAUUUGGGUACAAAUAUGCUGUCUUCUUGUCAUGGGGAUACCAUGGGCAAGGAGACUUUGGGUGGCAAGGUGACCUUGCUUGGCUAAGACAUGCCAAGAUGCAAGGUUGCAAGGCUUGAUACAAAUGAGGCCCUCCCCAAGUAUUUAUAGACCAUCCCCACCGACCUUGGGCCUUAGAAGGUCGGCCAAGGGAGAUUCUAGAGAUUACAAGUUCAUUUGGUACAUAACAAGGAAGCCUAGAACAUUCUAGAGAGGACUAGACCUUUCAUGACACUCGCUGACCGUCAUAAUAGCCUUCUAGAGUGUUCCAGCACGUUCCAGCAUCAUCCAGCACGUUCCGGGGCCUUCUCGGGAGCCUCCCGCGCAUUCCAGCACAUUCUGGCACUGUCUCGAACGUUCUAGAGGCUUCUGGGGUUGUCUAGACUGAGCAUGGGCGGGGCAGCACGCACAUGGGCGUGUCUGGAGCCUUCUGGAAGCAUCUGGGGGCGUCGGGCGCCGUGCGUGGGCCUUCUAGAGCCUUCCGCGCGCGGCGCGUUGGGGCGCGCCUUCCCGAUUCUUCUGGAAGCUUCUCGAGGUUCUGGGGUGUCUGGACGUUGGGCGGACACGGGCGCGCGCGCUGGGUCCGAUGGUGGGCGCUGGUGCCGGGCGCCUAUGGCCGUGUCAACGGCAUCUGGGCGUGCUAUGGGCUGUGUCGUGGGCUGACACUCGGCUGUCAUGGGCACUCGUCGUGGCACGCGUGCGGGGCUUGUGAGCUGUCCUCGAGAGGUGCAUGCCAAUGCCGUAGGCACAUGUCGUGGUCGCCCUUAGGCUGUCUUAGGACCACGUUGGGCUGCUCCUGGGCCUUGCUGAAGGAGUCGUGGCAUGAAUUAGCGCAAUUUUGGGGGUGAUUUUUGGGUCAAAAUUUCACACGUGACACUCAGCUCCUUUAAUGCAUGUCUCUUACAGUAUAUUUGGUAGUCUUUUAUAAUGUUACACCCUUUUUUUUAAUUCCUAAAACCUUUUAACUUUCCAAAUUUUCAUUCAUUCUUUUAGAAAAUUAUUUUCAUUAUUUUUUUAUGGUUACAAAACCAUCCAUUAACUACAUUAAUUAUACAAUUCACUCCAAUAAUAAAUAAAUAACUUUUUUGGAUCUAAGGUCUUUUCUCAUUCUACAAAUUUAAUUUACUAUAUAAAGGUUAUUAUGCUAAUUGAAAAAUAUAUUUCUCUCAAGUAUGCAAUGACAGAAAAUUAGGUUAUAAAUAUAAAAAAAAUUAUAUUUUUAGGUAUUAUAAUUUUUUUAAAAAAUUUAUAUUUUUAAUUUUUAAUAAAACCUUGCAUUUGGGGAUUCACAUGUUGUUACUUGUCGAACCAAAAAAAAUUAUUCGCGGUGAAAACUCUUUAAAAACCCAAUUCGUGGAAGGAAAAAUUGAACUGUGGCGUUGAGUUAUUUUGUUGUUGAAGAAGAUCAGUAAAAAACCCACAGCAUUAAAACUUCUUUUUGUUUCUUUAACUAUAUUUUAGAUUGCAACGUAUUUUCUAUUUGCGUUUAGUUAGGGUUUCUCUUGUUUAUUCCAAGAUAUGCAUGGAUAGUUCAUGUUCGACUAUUUGGAAAGAGGGAUUUAUGUAGCACGGGUAUUAUAUUCUGGUUUUGGAAGUGUCGAGAUAAAUUAAGGACUUUUUUAAUCUUCUUCAAACAAACCUAUACGAAGGCGAAGAAUAAUUUGUGCUUGUAUUUUAGUCGGAAUAAGAAGAAACAUGAAGAGAAUGCCCACGAGGAAAAUGACCACGAGAAAAAGUUGUGUAUUCCUCCAUCCAUAAUUGAGCUCUCUAAUGUGUAUUCCUCCCUCCAUAACUGGCUUACUUUGGAUUGUUUGGAUAGAAAGAAACAAUAGAAUUUUUAAGGAUAAAUCAAGGUUUAUUGUUAACUUGUGGGAAGACACAUGUAACUUGAUCGAAGUUUGGUCUAGACGUCAUUCAUCUUGUAACAACAGUAAAGCAACAAAACCAUUUUAAUUCAUUAUAUAUAUAUAUAUAUAUAUAUAUAUAUAUAUAUAUAUAUAUAUAUAUAUAUUAUAUUUAUUUAUUUAUUUAUGUAUGUAUAUAUAUAUAUUUAUGUAUGUCAUUUACUACAAAAAAGGCCUUUCUUGACGUUUGUUGUUUUUCUUUUUGACAUUUUUUUUCAAAAAACGUCAAGAAAGGGGUAGUUCCAAAGAUAAAACGUCAAGAAUUUUUACGAAAAGGCGAGGGUAGGUCAAUUUCAGAUUUCUUGACGUUUAUUAAACAUCAACUAAUAUGUAUUUUUUCUUAACGUUUUAAAACGUCAAGAAUGUUUAUAUAUUCAACAUUCUUCAAAAUUUUCAAACGUCAAGUAAUAUGUACUUUUACUUGACAUUUUAAAACGUCAAGAAAUAUCUUAAAAAUUCUUUAUGUUUUAAAACGUCAAGAAUUUUUAUAAAAAACCGGAGAAGAGUUAUUUUUAAAUUUCUUGAUGUUUUUUAGACGUCAAGUAAAAUCGUUUUCUUUACGUUUUCAAAACGUCAAGUGUUAUUAAAUAUAUAUAUAUAUAAAAGAAAAUAUUGGGUUGAAUCCUUCGAAGACCUAGACUUGUCUCUACCGCAUUCGAAAAUGCCAAGUUCUUUAUGAGGAUCUCUCACUUCUGCCGUGUUCACCGUCCGUCCAUCCGCGUUCACCACGCCCUCUCCAAAAAUGCGUACUAGGUCCUUCGCUUUCAGUCGUUCACCAUCCACUGAGUACGAGAUCCCUAAGACUUUCGCCAUCUACCAUCCCUAAUACUCUGAAAUCGUCGUCCGUUGUCCCUCAAAAUUGUCGUCCUUCUCUACGAAAACGUCGUCCUUCUUUCGAGUCUUCAUUCCCCUUUAUGUCGUCCUUCUGUAUUUAGAGGUUAUACUUCAUUCCCCUAAGACUUCCAUUGGUUUCCAUAUUUCAAGAAUUUAAAAUUUUUAUAGGAUAUUGCUAGUGGAAAUUAAGUCAAUUCUGUUUGCUCCCAAACUACCUCCUGAUUAUGCUGUCUGUUGGGAGAAAUAAAGUCUUCAUCAUAUUUCAAGGUAGUGUAUGUUAACCAACACUUAGUGCAUUUUCGUGUUUAUGAGCUUAUUUUAGUUAAUAUGUUUUUGUAGGAAAAAUAUGCUGUCAAUAUGGCAUAUUCUACGAUGAAAUUUAGUCGUUUAACACAAAAUUUUAAGGUUCUUUUUCAACUAAUUAUGCUUUAUCUAAUAUAUUUUUCCAAAUCUCAAAGAAGAACUUUUGAUUUCAUUGGAGUUUAUCAUUAGAGGCAUUACUAUAUUGGCUGCCUCUCAGUGGGCUAUAGGUUUUCCAAUGGUCAUUUGAGACUGGUUAAUAAUAGCAAAAGUUAGAGCUUGAGAAGAAGGAGCGAAGAGAGUAGUGAAGACAAAUGAAGAAAGAAAGCUGAGUGAAAAACGAAAAUUGACAAGGUAGAGAUGUGACAUGAAAAUGAUGAUGAGAAGUGAAGGAGGCACGACACAAUACAGGUACACAAUAACAAAGCCUUGAUAAUUAAAAAAAGGAUGGUGCCAAGAAAAUUUAAAUACAAAAAAAAUGAAGGUUCUUGCAAGUGUAUUGAGUGAAUGGGAGAAAGAAAGGAUAAAAAAGGUAGAAAGAGAGAAAGAGAAGUCAAGGGUAGAGAUACAUAGCUUUGUAUAUAGAAACUUUAUGUCAACAACGACGCGCUUAGCACAGGUACGAAACCGGACACCAUCUUCUUGGUGUUUGUAUGUGCAAAAGCCUCGAGUGGCUAUGGUCUUCUUCUUCUCUGUGAGGGAAAUGGUUGAAAUUGCUAGACUAUUUCAAUUACUAUAUGAGAGGUGGCUGAAUUUUAUUGGACCUCUCUUCUUGGGCUUACUUUUUACAAUUGUUUAACAAUCUCUCUCCGAAUAUACCUUCGUCCCCUUAGCUGCUUCCCACUUUGGUAUGGAUACAUUUGUCACUACUGGAAAAAUGGAUUUUAAUCAAGACAAUGUGUCGUUGAAAAUAAAAGAAAAAAGAGGUGGGAUGAGGUACACUGUGUUGUUGAAAAUAAAAAUAUGGAUUAUUUCUUAAAACAAUUCUAUUGACACAAUUUAAUUUAUUUCCACACAAUUUUUGGGUCAUUAAUUAACGACAAUUUUUUUGUCAUUAAAAAAAUUUCAAAUGAAAAAACCUCAAAUUUCAAAAUUUUUUAAUUUCCCUCUCUCACGCAAUUACAACUAAGUAAAAACAUCAAAUUUUCUCUUAAGCAAAAACGAUGUCGUCGAAUGAAGUCUUAAUGCAAUUUUUUUUCUCACUCUACCAAAAAUGCAAAAAAAAUCUCGUCGAACGAAGUGGGCUACUGAGCGUUAUGAAGAACCCUUGCCUUCCAAUUUUUGCCACUUGUCGUCGUCGAUUCCACACUCCAACCACUGUUGUCGUUGCUGCCACAACAAGCCUUCGCCGUCGAACCCACCAAUCUAGCCACUUUCGUCGAAUAAAUUUAUUUAGAAAUAUAAGUUUUAAUGACACUUGAAAUCAAGAAAAAGGGACAUGAGGGAAUAAAAUGUGUCGUUAAAAAUAAAAAUACAAAAUUUUUCGUGACACAAAUUGAGUUUUCUUGACAAAAUUUUCGCAUUGUUAAUUAAUGACAUAAAUUAUGUGUCAUUAAAAAUUACCCUAAUAAAAAAUAAAUGUUUUCCUUCAAUCAUUACGCCUUUUGAUUUAAAACAAAUAAUUCGAAGCUUUCAUCCCACUUGUGAACAACGACCGAAAAAAACCUUACUUCAUCCCACAUCGUCGCUGUCUUUAGCUCUCUCGCAAAUGCUCUCUGGCGACGUUCCCCCCUCUCUCGCAAAUACUCUUCACGACUUUUCCUCUCUCUCAAAAUUAAGCUCUUCGCCCACCGUUUGAAGGAACUCACCAAAUUUGCAAGUAAUUGAAGAAUUCGUGGUCCAUGAGAUCGAUUAAGUCCAUUUAUGAGUUAGUUUGAUUAGAUUAUGUCACAUAUACAUGUAUUACAAUUAAGGGACACUUGAAAAUGGCAAAAUAAGUUAUAAUAAUUAAGUCCAUAGAACACAUACUUUAUUAUUUGAGAAAGUGACAAAAACAAAGACCAGCUCACACAUCAAGAGGUAAAAUGUCACAAAUGCCCUCGUUAUUGAUGUACAUUUGAUACACCUUAUACACGUCUGAUACACCUAAUACCUCUUGAUACAUUAAGUCCAUUUAUGGGUUAGUUUGAUUAGAUUAUGUCACAUAUACAUGUAUUACAAUUAAGGGACACUUGCGAAAAUGGCAAAAUAACACUACUACAAAAACAGGCUCUCUUGACGUUUUUAAACUGUCAAGAGACGGCUCUCUUGACGGUUUUAAAAACGUCGUUGAAGCCAGCGUCAAGAAAGGCAAAGUUCUUGACGGUUGAUUAAACGUCAAGAAUAGUGAACGUUGACGUUUUAUAAACGUCAAAUAUACUUAUGUUCAUGACGUUUUAGAACCGUCAAGACUGGUAUUGUUUAUGACAUUUUAAAGCCGUCAAGGAUGAACUGGUUUAUGACAUUUUAAACCCGUCAAGAAUUUUACUAUUCAUGACAUUUUAAAACUGUCAAGAAUGUAAUUGUUCUUGACAUUUGUCAACCGUCAAAAAUGCAAUUGUUCAUGACAGUUUAAAACCGUCAAGCUUGCAAUUGUUCGUGACAUUUUAAAACCGUCAAGCAUUUUUUAAUUUUUUUUAAAAAAAGAAAUUGUAAUUGAAUUAUAUGCUGUAAUGGAAAGAAAUAUAUUCUGAUUGUCCUGUAAUUGUCCAGCAACAGUUUCAUAGAUAUUUGAUAUUCAUCAAAUAUAGUUUCAAAUCUCAAACAUAUAUAAAUAAAACCAUUCACCAUAUAUAUUCAAUUCCAAGACUUUACAUAUAACAUAAUAAAAUAGGCUUUACAUUAGAUUUGCAUAUGGCAUUACAUUGCCAUGAAUCCAAAUCAACUUAAAAAGUCACAAAACAUGCUAGGCUAUAACAAUAAUAAAAAUAUAUACGAAUGAACCCCCCCUCCCCCCUUCCUCCAUAUGAACAAUUCAAAAGAAUUAUCGCUAAAGUUUCUAUACAUAAAGUUUAGGGUCAUAAAGAAGCGACACAACAAAAAAUUUCCUACUUCAGAAUCACAAAUAUUGGUCAUAAUCAUAUGUAAGAACCCAAAAGUCAGCCUAACUCAACUCGCAACCUCGUGUAGUUUCCUUCGAACCAAGACAGAUGAAUAUAAGUACCUACAAAAUAUUAUAAACUUGUAAACGAGAUACAUAAAUUUAGAUCUAAGAGAAUGAAAUUGAUACUUACGUCAUAUAGGCCACCAAUGUAAAUGUUUUUGACCUCAUUCAUGUUACAAAGAUCAAUGAUGUCCUCUCGGAGAACAGAAGUCUUUCGACUAAUACCAAAAAUGCCAACAGGUAGUGGAAUAGUGAUACUAGAAUCUUUCUCCAUUAUCUUCUCAACGUAUAUGAGAAUCAACUUCAUUCCCAUUGGCAAAACUGACGUCGAUUCACAGACAACCUCUUUUUCCUUAGUCAUUUUUAUUAAGGCUCUCUCCUAAUUCAAGAAAACAUUCGCUUUCAAUAUGAUAUGAAUAUUAAGAAUUUGAGUUUAUUAGAGGAUCGAUCACAUACCUUAAAGAUGUCCAACUCUACUUUGUCGUCAUUUACAUUGAUCUCCUCCACCUCUUUCCCUUCGAUUUUAUCAUCAACUUACUCUUCCCUUUGAUUAUUUUCAUCGAGUCACUCUCUCUCUAAGAUAUUUGGCUUCGAACAGCUACCAUGUCCAGAUAAUGGUCUAGACAAGUUUGAGUGGUUAUGUGCUUCUAAUUCGCUUACACGCCUUCGAAGUUCUUUAUUCUCAAGUGUAAUCUCAUCCUCACGUUUAGAUGUCUUUUUUACAUAAUGAAAGUAAUUGGUAGGAGUAACAUAUUCUGAUAGGGCAAGCUCUGGUCGAAGUUUUAGAUCAACUAAAUCGCGUCUAGCAUUCAAUCCAUCCUUACUUUUUCCAGGAAUAUCAAGAAAUGUACCUAAGAUAUUCAUGCAAACAUUUUUUUCAAUGUGCAUCACAUCUAAACAAUGUCUAACAUGAAGAUCCUUCCAGUAUGGCAACUCAAAAAAGAAGAUAAUCUAUUCCAACAAAUUUGUCACUUCUGUUCAUCAACCGUUUCUUAUGGUUCUUCUUCCCUCUAGAAAAUUCAAGAUCUUUCAAUUUUAAAUACACAUCCUCCCCAGGAAGUGGCUCUGGAUUGUAUCAAGUUCUUUUUUUACCAUUGACUUUUGUCGUCGAUACACAAUGAUUUCUUGCCAAAAAACUACGAUGUCCAAGGUAUGCCAUUUUCUUCCAUACUUUAACCUUAUAGAAUUUGUAUUAUCUCCACAAAUUGGGCAUGCUUUAUACCCUUUCACACAACAUCCACUAAGAUUACCAUAUGCAGGAAAAUCAUUGAUUGUCCACAACAAAACUGACCUUAAGUUGAAUGGUUCUUCUCGAUAAGCAUCAUAACAUUCAACACCACUUUCCCAUAAAAGUUUUAAAUCUUCAAUUAGUGGUGCUAAGUAUAUGCCUAUUGUCAUCCCCUGGUUGUUUUGGUCCUGAAAUUAGCAUUGAUAGCAUCAUGUACUUUCUUUUCAUACACAACCAUGGUGGAAGAUUGUAAAUAACCAUCACUACCGGCCACAACUGUAUUUAGAACUCAUGUCACCAUGAGGAUUUACUCCAUCGGCUGACAAUGCUAAACGAAGAUUUAUGGGUUCAGAACCAAAGUCUUGCCAUUUCAUGUCUACUAACUUCCAUGCUGGAGAGUCUGGCUGGAUGUCGUAACUUACCAUCAUUAAUUCUUUCAGUAGAAUGCCAAGUCAAGUUUUCAGCACAUUCAAUGCUUCUGAAUAGCCUUUUAAAUCGUGAAUGAUUGAAAGUACCAUAUCACUUUAGAGGGAAUUUGCUUUCUCCUUUCAUUUGUAUCCUUGACGUUUUUCCACCUUGAUUGACAACAUUCAUGACAUUCAAUUGCAUUAGCAAUUCUUUCUAUAGAGACAAACAAUUAUUCGGCAUGCAUGAAUCUUUUCAUAUUCCACCUAAUGCACCUAAUGUUUUCUUUGCUUCAUACAAUGAAUUCGGGAGCUCAUUGGUAUUAGGCAAAAUUUUCCUUCAAAGUUUCAAGUAAUUCUGAAAAACUAGUAUCACUCUAUCCAUACCUAACUUUUAAAUUAUACAAUUUGACUAGAGUAGACAACUUUGUGUACUUUUUGCAUCCUUCGUACAAUGGUUUUUCAGCAUCAAUAAGCAACUUCUCAAAUCCAGUUGGGUCUUUUGAAUACUCCUCAUGAGCAACUUCAAUCAUUUCUUUUACACUUCCAACAUCCUGAUCUUCACAUGUAUGGGUGUCAAACUUUGAAGAUUCAUCAUAGAAGGAUGAGUUAGGAAGUUCUUCCCCAUGCCAAAACCAAAAUUUAUAACUUUCAUCAAUACCAUUAACAUACAAGUGAUCUCUAACACCCUUUCUACUAUGUUUUUCACAAUUCCCACAUUUCAAACAAGGACAACGAAUAUAGGAGCUAGUUGUAUUAGAAAAUCCAAAUUUGAUGAAGUUUUCCACACCCAACUCAUAAUCUUUAGACAAUCUACUCUUGUGCAUCCAAGAUUUAUCCAUCAUUGUAAAUCUAAUGAGAAAUAAAGUUAUUGUCACUAUUGAUAAUUAAAGUGGAAGGACAAUGAUAAGUAAUGCCCUGUAUAACCAAUGUUGAGAAUGUGAAUCCAAUCUAUACAAAUCUUCUACAAUUAUGGUCUUCAGUUUCUACUGCUAAGAGAUUUUCAUGCAUUACAAAUGAAACUUAAGAAAAUUAAAAGAACUAACUAAACUCAUUUCUUUUUUAAAGUGAUCAUAAAAAGCUUCACUAAACAAAGAUUCCAAUCAUGAAGAUCGUAAUCAACCAUACAACAGAAUACCUGAGGAAGACAAGGCAAUUACAACACCAAGUCUUUCAAUGGAUAAUACAACAUAAUCAUUCAAAUAAGAGUGGUUUUACUUUUACCUUAAAAUGAAAUCUAUAACCAAGAUCAAGGUUAUGGUUCCAUAGGAAACAAUUAAUUAUAUUUAGCUUAAAAAAAGUCAAAACAGAAUUCACCCAAUAGAAAAAAGUAAAAACACACAAUUGAAUUAAAAAUCUCAAGCUGCACACAAAAGCAACUAUGGCAAAAAGAGGGUGAAUGAAAAAAUUAGUUAAAACACCUCCAAAUUAUUAAGGAAGAAGGCAAAACCUUGGACAACAUAAGGUAACAAACAAAGAGAAUACAUGAUCUUUUUUUCUUUUUCUUUUCACGAAGGGAGAAGAAUUGACUCAUCCUCCAAAGCUCUCAAUUAGUAGUAUUGUUAUAUGAGAUCUUCAAAAUUACUGAAAGAGGGAAGUUGAUUAUAUGACAUGCACUCCCAAAAAUUUGUUCAUACAUUCAUUUGUUUUCUUUAAAUCCUAAUAAAAUUUGAUGGUGAAGAAAAACUACAGUACUUUAAAGAUUGAAUAAAAGUAUACGAAUUUCAAUCAAUUCGAAGUUUACACCUCCAUCCUUCCUAUCUAUUAUUGCCAAUCAUGCCAUCUGAGUUUAUAUAAUGAAGAAUAAUGAAAUUGUUAUAUGUUUUAGGGAAAUAAAAGCCUAACCUCAACUUAGUGGAUGAUGGAUUUUGAAGCAACGAACGUGAGGCACUCGUUGGUGAAGUCGAAAUGACGGGCACGCAGUAGCGUGAGGCACUGAGGGAUUUUGGAAAGAUGGAAUGCAGCGGACGAAGGACUUUGAAACGACGGACGUGAGGCAUUCGAAGAGGUGGAACUCGACGGUGAAAUCGAACGGACAGACGUUGAAGGCGAACGGAUAGGCGUUGAAAGCGAACGACGACUGCUGAACACACUUUUUUCGAAUGGGAAGGAUUUCUGGAGAGGGAAAGGGGAACACGCGUGUUUUGAGUAGAAAGGGGUAGGGCUUUUUAAAAAAUAAUAUUUGCACAAUAAUUUUUUCUAUAUAUAUUUAAAGUGAUUCUGAACAAAUAAUAUUAGUACAAUAUUUUUUUCUAUAUAUAUUUAAAGAAAUUUUUAUUAUUGUAUCUAUAUAUUUAAAGAGAUUUUUUUAUUGUAUCUAUAUAUUUAAAGAGAUUUUAAAGAAAUAAAAUUAGCCCAAUAUAUUUUUCUAUAUUUAUUUAAUAACACUUGACAUUUUUAAAAUGUAAAAAAAAAAUGAUCUUACUUAACGUUUAAAAAAUGUCAACAAAUUCAAAAAAUGACUCCUCGAAUACUCAGUCGUGAAGAAGAAAAAAGUAGAUUAGGAAAAAUGUUAGAGCUGAAAAUUAAAAUUCGAUACCUUCUCAGUGUAAUUUAAAAAUAUUCUUGAAUAUUUUAUGAAUUUCUUGACGUUUUUAAAACGUCGAGUAAAAUUUUAAAUUCUUGACGUUUAAGAAACGUCAAGCAUGUCGAAUUCAUACGCUUCUUGACGUUUUAAGAACGUCAAAAAAUUAAUAGAUAUUUCUUGAUGUUUUAAAAACGUCAAAGAAAAAUUUAUUUUACUUGACAUUUAAUAAACGUCAAGAAUGAUUUUCAAAAAAUUUCUUGACGUUUUUUAUUAAAAAUGAAAUCUUUCUUGACGUUUUUCGAAAAAAACGUCAAGAAAGGAAAACUGCAAACGUCAAGAGAGCCUGUUUUGUAGUAGUGUAAGUUAUAAUAAUUAAGUUCAUAGAACACAUACUUUAUUAUUUGAGAAAAUGACAAAAACAAAGACCAACUCACACAUCAAGAGGUAAAAUGUCACAAAUGCCCUCGUUAUUGAUGUACAUUUGAUACACCUUAUACACGUCCGAUACACCUAAUAUCGCUUGAUACACUUGAUAUUUCUUACUGAUACACUUGAUACAUUUGAUAGAUACAAUUCAUGCACUCGGUACUCAUUGAUACACUCGAUACUUUUUGAUACACACCUGAAACAUCUUCAUACACAUAAUACUUCUCGUUACACUUGAUUCUUCUUGAUACACUUGAUACCCCUGAGGCCUUGAUACACUUGAUUAGUUUGAUACACUUAAAGACUUCACUUAUAAGUUUGAUACACUUAAUACACCACUAAUAAACUUGUUAUACUUCAUUGGUACACUUAACAAAUUUGAUAUGUUUGUUGUACAUGCACUACAAGAAAUUUACCCUUUGUCGAUGACAAAUAUCGUCAGUAAAUCUUCAAAAACUAAUCGACUUUUCUUUUGCCAACGAAAUUAAGCUGUCAACACACACCGUCACGCAGGUCUGUCGGAAGAUCCUCUAUCGAUGGCAAAAAAUAAACUGUCAGCAAAAUAGGAACAAUCGAUGAAAUUGAACCAUUAGUGUGCGUGUGUGUGCGCUCGCGUGUGCGCAUGUCCACGUGUGCUUGGGUGUGUGUAUGCGCACAUACAUGUGUACGUGUUUGUGUGUGCAUUUGUGUGCGUGCGGUUUGGUGUGCGUGUGCAUGUGUGCGUUUGUGUGUGUGUGCCUACGUUCGUGUGUGUGUGUGUGCGUGUGUGCACGCGUGUGUGUGUGCGUGUAUGGGUGCACGCGUGUGCAAGUGUAUGUAUGUGUGUGCGCGUGUGAUUGUGUGUGAAUAAGUUGAUAUUUUUUAAUGUUGAGUUUCUCCCAAUUUUAAAACAAUAUUUUAAUUAUCUUGAUAUUCAAGCCAUUAAUAUUAUUGUGAGAUAAAGAUAGUGAAUAAGUUGAUAUUUUUUAAUUUUGAAAUUCAAUUAAAGUUAUUUUGAUACAAAAUCUAUUGCUGAGAUUAUCAAAUUCUGAAAAAUAAUAAUUUUGUUAUGUUGAAAUUCAAUUUGGUUAUUUUGAAAUUCAAAUUCAAUUAGGUUAUUUUGAAAUUAGUAAGAUUAAAUAAAGUUAAAGUCUUGAAUCCAUUAGUUGAGUCCCGAGAUAUUAAGAAAAAAAGUAUAAUAUGAGUUUAUGUAUCUUUUUCAGGUAAAAAAUAAUUAAAGUUGAUAAAUGCAUAAUAUAAAUUAAUUACAACAUAGAAACAAAAUAAUUUUAGUUGGAGAAUGUGGAUAUUUUGGUAUUUUAUAAAAUAUUAUGCACGUGCAAAAAAUGUUAUUUGCUAAAAUUUAAAAAAAAAAUAGUUUUGCCAUUUUUCAAAAUGACCCAUAAAAAUGUUCCUAUAUCUCUUAUGACAUAGUGUAUAUCUACUGGUUCAUAUUCGACCUGUUUGUUGCAAAUAGAAUUGGAUAAAAUCGCAUUAUAUUGAAAUAAUUACACGAAUGACACUUUUAAGCCAAUAUUGAUAGAAAUUAUAGUUUAAUUAAUGUUAUUAAGUCAAAUGAACAUGGUUUAAAAGUCCUUCUAAACACAAUUAAUGUAGAUUUUUUUUUAAUUUUAACUCAUUUAUACAUCUUUAUGCAUAUGUGUGUGUGUACGUGUGCGCGUGUAGGUAGGUGUGCGUAUGUGUAUGUGCGUGCGUUUGUGCGAGUGUCCGUGUGCAUAUAUGUGUGGGUGUGUGCAUGUUUGUAUGUGUUUGUGCGUGCGUGUGUGUGCGCAGGCUAUUGCGUGUGUGCUUGGGUGUGUGGGUGUGCUCGCGCGUGCGUGUUUGUGCGCGUGUGCGUACGUGUUUACGUCUGUGCGUUUGUGCGUACGCGUGUGUGCGUUUGUGCAUGUGUGUGUGCUUGUGCGCGUGUGGAUAGGUGUGUGUGUGCAUGCGUGCGCGUGUGCAUGUGUAUGUGCGUGCGUUCGUGUGUCUGUGGGUGUCUGUGUGUAGAUGUGUGUGUGUGCGCGUGUGUGUAAGUGUGCAUGUGUACGUGUGUGCGCAGUGCUUCUAUGCUUGUGUGCGAACAAGUUAAUAUUUUUUAAUGUUGAGUUUCUUCCAAUUUUAAAAUAAUAAUUUAAUUAUCUUGAUAUUCAAGGCAUUAAUGUUAUUUUGAGAUAAAGAUAGUGAACAUGUUGAUAUUUUUUAAUUUUGAAAUUCAAUUAAGGUUAUUUUAAUACAAAAUCUAUCGUUGAGACUCUCAAAUUCCGAAAAAUAAUAAUUUUGUUAUUUUGAAAUUGAUAUUUAAUUAGGUUAUUUUGAAAUUAGUAAGAUUGAAUAAAAUUAAAAUCUUGAAUCAAUUAGUUGAGUCCCGAGAUAUUAAGAAAAAAGUUAUGAUAUGGGUUGAUGUAUCUUUUUCAGGUAAAAAAUAAUUAAAAGCUAAUAAAUGCAUAACAUAAAUUAAUUACAACGUAGAAACGAAAUAAUUACUGUUUGAGAAGGUGAAUAUUUUGGUAUUUUAUAAAAUAUCAUGCACACGUGCAAAAAAUUCUAUUUGCUAAAAUUUAAAAGAAAAAGUAGUUUUGUCAUUUUUCAAAAUGACCCAUAAAAAUGUUGCUAUAUCUCUUAUGACAAAGAGUGUGCAUCUACUGGUACAUAUUCGACUUGUUUUUUGUUCGUAAAAUUGGAUAAGACUGCAUUAUAUUGAAAUAAUUACACUAAUGACACUUUUAAACCAAUAUUGAUAGAAAUUAUAAUUUAAUUAACGUUAUUAAGUCAAAUGAACAUGGUUUAAAAGUCUUUCUAAACACAAUUAUUGUAGUUAUUUUUUAAUUUUAAUUCAUUUAUACAUCUUCGUGCAUAUGUGCGUGUGUGCAUGCGUGUGCGCGAGUGCGUACGUAUGUGCGUAUGCACGUGUCCACGUGUGCGUGGGUGUGUGUGUCUACGUGUGCGUGGGUGUGAGUGUCCACGUGUGCGCGUUUGUGCGUGUGCGUGUGGGUGUGUGUGCGUAUACGCGCGCGUGCGUGUGUACGUGAGUGGGCGUGUGAGCUUUUUGUGCUUUUCUUCCAAUUUUAAAAUAAUAAUUUAAUUAUCUUGAUAUUCAAUUCAUUAAAAUUAUUUUGAGAUAAGGUUAUUUUAAUAUAUAAAUCUAUCGUUGAGAUUCUCAAAUUCUAAAAAAUAAUAAUUUUGUAAUUUUGAAAUUCAAUUUGGUUAUUUUGAAAUUCAAAUUCAAUUAGGUUAUUUUGAAAUUAGUAAGAUUGAAUAAUGUUAUUAAAAUGUUGAAUCAAUUAGUUGAGUCCCGAGAUUUUAAGAGAAAAGUUAUGAUAUGAGUUGAUGUAUCUAUUUCAAGUAAAAAUUAAUUAAAAGUUGAUACAUACAUAACAUAAAUUAAUUAUAACGUAAAAACAAAAUAAUUAUAGUUGGGGAAGGUGAAUAUUUUGGUAUUUUAUAAAAUACCAUGCACGUGCAAAAAAUGUUGUUUGCUAAAAUUGAAAAGAAAAAGUAAUUUUGCCAUUUUUCAAAUUGACCCCUAAAAACGUUGGAUUUUUUUGCAUUCCCUUGGGCUUUCUUGUUCAAUAUUUAGUCAAAUUGCAGUAUACAUAAAAUUUGCAUUUGUUACGUCAUAAGAUUUCAUUCACUAUUUGUGUCUGAUUAUUUUAUAUUUUAUACAGGAGACUCCGUUUGAGUGUUGAGCUAGUAAUGGGAGGGACUACCGUUGACCCCAAAAUUACAAGGUUUCAUGUUGCUUACUGGAUCAUUAAUGAUUUGUCUCUAUCUUUGGCUCAUCGAGUGGUGGAGUUGGAACCCCCUGAAAGUGUAGAUUUAACUCUCUACCGUUGUCAAGAGCUGUUAAGUAUGCAAAAAUGGCCUUGAGAAAUCCUAUAAACUCUCUAAACAGGAGACAUUCUAGUGUAAGAAGAAAUGCUCAAGUCCUUGAAGAAAUUGAGGACACAACUCCAAUUCCUAGCAUGCUUUCUCCCUAAGACUAUGCUGGUCCUAGUCGGGGAGUGGCAUUUACAUCCCAGAAAGACACACAUGUAUCACCUCGUGUUGGCACUUCCAUUGCAAUGCACAACUCUGACAUAUAUAGUGCCGACAUUUCCUUCCUUAAGCUUGAAAAAAGGUGAUUUGAUGUCCAUAAAAAAUUAACAGAGCAGUUAGAUAUUUUCUAAUACGUAUCUCACGUAAUUUGAUGCUCAUUGAUACUGCAUUACUGUGUCAGGAACGUGUUGAUGUAAAAUCUUUCAGUUUUGAUGGAUCUUAUUACAAGUUUUCAACUCUUCUUAGCACGACUUCUGACAGAACAAAGGUUUUAUAUAUCUUUACACGAUCGCAUAUCACAUAUGAACGAUCGCAUAUCCCAUCUGAAAUAUCGAUCACCCCUGGUAAAAUAACCGUUUAGAUAUUCUACACGAUUGUUUGCUUAAGGAUACACGACAUUUUGUAACUAUUUUUUUUAUUAUCCUUUUUUCUUUCUAUACUAGAAUCAGAAUCAAUUGUUUGAUGAUAUUAACAACAUGUAUGAUGAUCUUCGUGAUGAUUCUAGUCAUCACAAUCUGGACAAGAAUGAUGACCAUCAAAAUAACAAACAUGUGAUCAUCCAUGAGAAUCCAUCUGUUCAAGAGUCACAUCUUCAAGAAUCUACUGUAGAGACUCAACAGUUAGUGUUUAAUUCAUUAGUUACUGCUUUAUAUUGUUUAAAAUUGCUUAGAUUAUAAAUAAACAACAAUAAUUUUUUUUCUUUUCUGUGUAGGGAAAAAAAGGAACAACGCCUCAACAACAAGAGCAGUCAGGCAGUGAUAUUAGCAUAGAUGGCAGAGAUGCACAUUUGAUAUUAACUAUAAGUAAUAUAGUAGAAAAUAUGGAAGGUCAUACUCAAACAGAAAAGGGACUGCUAGAAAUGAUUGAAAAUCUUUCGUUGGUAAGCCAACCACUUCCACUUUGUGAGAUGCUACAUUUAACUACUGUCAAAGGUCUUGCAUUAGUUUAAUUGGUAUGUGUGCCCUAAAGGGAUAAAAGCUCUUGGCAGUGAAAGACUUUACAAAACCAUUCAUCAGUUUUAAUUUGAAAAUUCCAAAAUACCAGUACAUUGACAAUAUUUAGAAUCAAAGUUCGAAAUAAAGAACUAAAUAUGCUUUUAAAUUAAAAGAUUCAUAGAACUUACUCUUGUUGACGUCUCUGAAUCUAUAAUCCACCGAAUUGGGAACCUCUGUUUUCCAGCCAAGCUGUGAUUCAUUCGCGCGUAGCUCCUUCGACGUUCGCGCCACCACAUUCUGCUCCAGGUGACGAGGAACGUCACCGAUUGACCUAUCAUCUCACCGACGUUGUUACUUAGUUGAAGCAGUCGUCGACCAAACCUGAGCCCGUCGCAUCUAUCGAAGUGCCGUCGCGUAUAUCGAAGUGUCGUCGCGCAACUCUUCACCUUCCAGCCAUGGGUUGUAAGCUGAAGUUUGUUUUUCAUUUAUUGAUUAGAUAUGAUCUAUUACACGUCGAUUCCAGUUAUUCGAAGUUGUUGCCCCAUUUUACUCUAAUUUUUGGGAUUUUUGUGGUAAGUUGUAUUGGUGAGUGUGGUGGUUUUACACUGUAAUUAUCCUUGGUUGUAGUUUUGGAUAAUUAGUUAAAUUGUUAAUUGAUUCUUGAAGGUAGCGUUUGAGUUCUUGGAUUCACAACUAAAUUGUAGAUUUGUUGGAGUUCGAUUCGCCAAUACUUUGGUAAGCUAGAAUUUACAUUGAGGAAAUUAAAUGAAAGAAAGUAUUGUGAAAGUAAUUGAGUUCCAUAUUCUUAUUAUUAGGUUUCCUUCGUUCGAGAAAUUUGAGUAACAUUAAAGUAAGGGGUUUCUAUUACUGGACUCUUUGAAAGUUUUGAAAUGUGUUGACUGUUUGGAUCUCUGGACUUAGUAUGGUUUACCAAUAUAUGUAGAAGUAGAUAUGAUGACAAAUGUAUAUUAUGCCAGACUGGUAUAGAAGUAGAUACGAUGGAUAAUGUAUUUGUAAACUGAGAAAGGUGUUAUGUAUAUAUAUAUAUCUUGACUGUCUGGUGUGUUGUUAUAGUAUCAACUGAUUUUGUGAUAGAUUGAAUAGAUUGAACGUAAGUGUGUUAAGUUGGAUUGAUGAUAUGAUGGAGUAGUUUGACUAUACUAGGAAUGGAUUGAUUAAAUGUUUAUAACGGACUAAGGGAAAAUUGUUAGCUUUGUCGAUUGGGUAGUGUGCCUUGAGGUGUCCUACGGGAUCACCACCUGUUGUGCAUUCUUCGAGAGCACUAGAAUGACAUGUGCAUUCUUCGAGAGCAAUAGACUGACAUGUGCAUUCUUCGAGAGCACUAGACUGACAUGUGCUUUCUGCAGAGCACUAGACUAAUAUUUGUGUCCUUUAGGGCAUUGGACUGAUUAUGUGUAUUCCUACAUGAUCACAAGACUUUUAAAGUGCAGGGCACCUCCAAUAGGAAGUUAACAAUUUUAUUUUUCUUCUAACAGGAUCAGUAGUGGGUCUCUUACUGGGUAUGUUUAUACUCACCCUUUUAUGUUUAAUCUUUUUCCGCGAAACUGCCAUAGGGAAAUGUCCUUCAAAUUGCUUCUACUUUAUAUUUUUUUUAUUUUGGUUUUCUUUAGUAAUUGAGACUGUUUUGGGUUUCAUGAUUGAACGACUUUUAUUAUCGAUACUUUUACACUUUCAAAAUUUUAUUUGAAAUAGAGCCCGAAUAAAAACUCUUUAAUGUUGUUAAAAAAUAUUUUUUUUAAAUUAUAAAGUCUUAUGGUUAAAGGAUGAAUCUAGUCUUAAAGUAAUAACUUCAGCUUAAUUAAAAAAAUUAGGUCGUUACAAUCUAUUUUGCAGAAAAGAAAAUCAUCGAUUUUAUUUUGGUUAAGAAAAGCUGUUUUUCUUCUACAUAUUUAUAACUCUCUUUCUUUCAUUGAGUAGGAGACGGGGUAGGAGAAAAUCAUAGGAUUCUAUUAACUUAAAAAAUAUUAAAUUAAUAGAAGUUUCAAUCAACUAACUAAUUAACCAUUAAUCAAUUAGUUAAUAAUUAAUUAAAUCAUAUUUAAUUAAUAUUUCAUUUAAAUCUUAUUGAAUGAAUAUCUCUCCAAUACCUUAUAGUUUCAUAUUAAUUUAAUUAAAUAAUAUUAAACUAAUUAAUUAAUAACUAAAUUAAAUAUUUUAUAUUUAACUUAAGUUAAAUUUGAAUCAUAUUCAAAUAUAACUUUAUCUCAUAAUUAAUAAUUUUAAUAUGAAACAAAUCCACAUUAAAUUAAUAUUUGAACUCAUUCAAAUAUUUUAUCUCAUAAAUUAAUUUUGAACUUUAUCUAAAAUUAAAUUUAUAUAAUAAAGUUUCAUUAACAUAUAAACUUUAUAUUAUAAUGUAUCACUAUAUAUUAUACUAAUUAAACUAAUUUCCAAAGUAAAUUUGAAUAUUUCAAAUUAGAACCAAUAUAAAUAAAUCACAUUACAUUUUGUAUCAUCCAUUAUUUUGUAUUCAGUCAUACUAAUAUCAUAAUAAAAAUAUAGAAAAAUUAAAAAAAAAGCAUGCACAAAUAGAGACAAAUAGACAUUGAUAGCUAUCUAUCUCUAUCUAUCUGAAACAAGCACACAUAAAUUUUAUAUUUCUCUAUCGGAUGGACAAAAAUAGCAGUCUAUUUAUAUCUACCUAAGAUACAAACAUUAAAAAAAAAAAAAAACCUUACCAAUAAAAUUCUUGACUUUUCAUGUUAUUCUAAAUGCAACACGUUCUCAGCCCAAGAAGUCAAACAACUCUUCAUUGUAAAAGUAGCUUUACUUCUUUCAUCAAACCACUUUUGCAAUACAUCUCUAAUUGAACUAAGCAUGGUAGCUACAGGUAGUUCUCUAAGAUCUUUAAAAACUAAAUUUACACUGUCUACACAAUUUGAUGUCAUCAUUCUAUAUAUGAAACUCAUUAUACCUGAGAUAGAUUCAACCAAUUUAUCAAAGAACCUUGGAAUCAACAUGUAUGAUUUAACUGUGUCACCUUUUAAUAUCUUUACUAUGUGUUCUUUUGCCCUCCAAGCUUUCUGCUAACUUAUAUUAACUCCAAGAUUUGUACAUGCCUUAUGCACAAUUGCUUUUGGAAUGAAACGAUCAGUAGACAUGAACCUGAACUCAUCUAUCAAGCAACUGUCAAUUACUGUUGAAGAAGCUUGCAUGUGACAACUAGUAUUCAAUGAACAGUCAUGUUCAUAAAUGUAUUUUCAUAGCAUCCACAACUCGCUCUUCUUAUCGUGUAAUUGAUAAUGGUAACUGAUCGUGUAAUUCCAUGUAAAUUAUCGUCAAAAACUUUAAACUAUCGAUCUUUAUAAUGAAGUACAUAAUUCUUACAUUAAUACUUAAAUUUUGUCGUAACGACCCAACUUUUCUAACUAAGUUGAAGUCAUUAAUUUUGACAAAGAGACCGUGAUUGACACAAAAUAUAGUAAAAUUCACUUGAAAUCAUACGAUCAAAGAAAACAAACUUAAGUUCGGGCCCUACUUCAAAUAACCAAAACUUUAAAAGUACUAUUUACAAAACAACAGUUCGUAAACUCAGUUCCAUCACAAAAUUUUUAAACAACCUCAUGUACAAAGGAAAAACAAAAAACAUAAAGCGAAAGCAUUUGAAGGACAUUCCCUUAUAACAAAAAACUAGUAUUCAAUGAACAGUCAUGUUCAUAAAUGUAUUUUCAUAGCAUCCACAACUCGCGCUUCUUAUAACGAGAUGUCCUAAUAAACCAUUUGCACUCUUCUAGUAGGCAUCUAAAUUCAAGAGACCUCAAAUUUGAUAUUGUAGUUCUAAAUUGAAAGUUGUUAUUCACUUCUAUUAUGCCAAAACACUUUGAAAGCACAUGCUAUUCAUGUGCACGUGAUAUUUUUUUUUUAAUUUCUUUGUCCCUCUUCCGCUGUACAGAUGUAAUAUAGGGGUCUAUCAGAUUCCUCCUCUUUUCAAAGCCUCCAAUCAAACUCAAUGCUAAGUUUGACUGCUUCCUUCAGAGUGACGACCCUCAUUUUCCCCUUCCGUGGUUUGGGGAGGAUUCCUCCUCUUUUUAAAGCCCUCAAUCAAACUUGAUGCUAUGUUUAGAACGCUAAGAAUAGGUGGUCUAGUUUUGGUUAGGCCAAAAGUGAAAAUUUCCCCCAAAAGCACUAAUAGUUAGGGAACUCAACACAUUCUACUUGACUUAAUCGACUUGACUCUCUAAUUUUUAUGUGCUUUUUUCAAUGCAUAUUGCAUAUGUUUUUUUUAUAGUUGUUGAUUGUCUCACAUUUUUAUGGUUUGCAUUUACAAGCCUUUUUUUUCUUUCUUUGGUAUGAAAUAUGGUAAUAGGCCUUGCUAGAACCGGUGGGGUAAUCUCCUUAUGGUUCUACACUUAGUUUCAAAGUUUGAUUACUCCCUUCGAAGUGACAACAAGCCUCGUUUUCCCCUAUUGUGGAUCAGAGAGGAUUCCUCCUCUUUUCAAACCCCUCAAUCAAACUCAAUGCUAAGUUUAACUGCUCCCUUCGAAGUGAGAACAAGCCUCGUUUUCCCCUAUUGUGGAUCAAAGAGGAUUCCUCCUCUUUUCAAAGCCCUCAAUCAAACUCAAUUAGAGUAAAAAGGAAAAAAUUUCAUCUCGGGUGCGUGUCCCUCACACGUGUCUCUCUAGGAUUUCCAAGUUCUCUCACUCGGCUGGUGAAGGAGGCGAACGGCUGGUGAGUGCUGCGGUCAGCAAGGGAUCAAAUUCGAAGGUAAUUCGUUCGGUUUUGGCAGAUUGAAUGUGAAAACUAAUGUCAUUUGGUAUCCAUUUCGAAAUUUAUUACAAUUGAUCAAUUGAACCAUUACGAAUGAUAUUCGUUUUGAUUCGGGAGAAUUAACGUCUGUCCAGAAAUUGUUUAAAUCGGUUUCCAAGCUGAAUUGAUUUGAACUAUCUUGAAAGUAUUGCGUGUGGUACGAAUCGAUUUAUUGGCUAUCAGUUUUGGGUUUGAAGACCGUGAUUUAAUUCACUCGCUGGAGGGAUCUCACAUGAAUCUCCUCAGUUGAAUUUCAAUUCUUUUUGAGUUCAUUCGUGUUCCCAGAUUGGGCCGAAAAGAUCAUCACGGGUGUUGGGUUGAUGUCCUAAGCAUGAAACGAUGAAGAAAUUCUCCAGUGACGUUGAGGAGGUGAAGAAACGCGUGAUGUCAAGCCUUCAACGCGUACAUGAUAUGGCGACGAACGACCGAAGGGCGACGACUGCAAAGGCUGACCUAAUUUCUGUGAGGAAGAAAUGGUCGGACAUGAGUGGACCCGAACUGGUUUACGUGAAUCGUGAAACAUAUAAAAACGAAAUACAGGAAAUUGACCGAGCGAGAUGGUCCCAUGAAGAUUGUUGGGUUGAAACAUAUAAAAACAAGUGGUCUCUUUUCGUUUCUUUAACCAUUGGGUUGAAGAAGCGUCCUUUAUGGAUGUUGUGUCCUCUGCUUGGACCAAAGAUACUAGAGUUUCUCCAAUUGUGAAUAUUGUGAGGAACUUAAGAAAUCUCAAGUCGAUUCUUCGCAGGCAUUUUGGUAGGCAUAUCCGGACCAUCAGUGAGGAUGCUCAUCUUGCCAAUGAUACCAUGGACUGAGCUCAAAGAGAGAUGGAGACGAAGUCUCUGUCGGAGGAGGCGAGUAAUCACGCGAGCUUAGCCAGGGUAAACUUUUGGAAAGCGGUUAGAGUGGAGGAAGCCGCUAUGUGCCAGAAAUCGCGAGUCAGAUGGUUGAAGCUAGAUGACCAGAAUACUGCCUUUUUUCAUCGAUCUGUUCGAUCAAGGCAGAGCAGCAAUGCUUUGAAAUCAGUUAUUGACCCAGAUGGAAAUCGAUUGACUAACCAUGAUCAGGUGACUCAGGUGGUAGUUAAUUAUUUCAAAGAUAGUCUGGGUUCUCAGAAUAUUAGCUACAGAGAGCUCUCUACUUGUAUUGAGGAGAUUGUUCAGUUUAGAUGGACUGAGGAGUGUUGCCAGGCCCUCCAGUCGCCUAUUGGCAGGAGGAAGUGAGACGUGUUCUGUUCUCCAUGGAUGGUGGAAAGGCUCCAGGCCCUGAUGGGUAUUCAGUUGGCUUCUUCAAAGGAGCUUGGACGGUGGUUGGAGAGGGUUUCUGUGAUGUCGUCUUACACUUCUUUGAGACCAAUUACUUCCCUCAAGGGGUGAAUACGACUGCUAUUACACUUAUUCCUAAAGGAAGCCCUAUCCCGUUAUACGAUACUUACGAGAUGAAACUCUAGGCAUCAAUUGUGCCCUAUCUCGUUAUAACUACAAUGAGAUGGAAAACUAGGCAUUCGUACAGGCUCUCGUCCCUUGAGAUGGGAAACUAAGCAUCUUUAGAAGUCUUCAUCUCUUAUCUAAUACCAAUGAUGGAAAGCUAGGUAUUUACUGAAUAUCCAAAUCAAAUGACCUCUAUGCACAAGAAAAUCUCUCCGAAGGGUUGCUAUAUAUCUUAGAAUAUUUUAGGUAUAGACUAAAACAUGCUAAUAUUAUUUUCAAGCUUAAACAUUUUGAAAACUUAGCACAAUCAUAAUUGCUUAUAAUUUUCAUUAGUAAAUUCAUCAAUAAAAACAUGUUUACCAAAAUGUUUCUAAAUUCAUGCUUUGGAAAUACUUUAUAUGUCAGUAUCCUCAAAUAUUCAAACAUCAAAGCAUGCUUGAAACAUUUGAUAGUAAAUUCAUGUUUAGAAAUCAACUUUAAACUCAUUUUUGUCACUUAUAGAGAGUAGCUUGGACCCUUGUCUUAUAAACUUGUUCGAUCUCCUUCAGAUCUAAAAUAAUGAAAAAUAAUGGGAAAUAAUUCCAUUUAAUUCCCGUUGAUCAUAAAAAUAUCAAAACUUUGCUUAAAAUUUCCAAAAACCACAAAAACAGCCCAAAGACAUUAGCUUGCGUACAAAAUAUUGUGGCAGAAGUUGGCAGGCGCGCGUAGGGCUUGCCUUGCCAUGUCUCGUUCUAACCUCAUGUGCAGCGUGUCACACUCACAACUUUUCAAACACGGAACAGACUAUUGUGCGGCACUUGUUGUAACUCGAUGAACACGUCAGUUGUAUGAAAUUCGAUACGAUGUAGCCUCCCUACAGGUUUUAAGAGAAAUUGGUUUUAUUAAACAUGAGAGAGAAAGGAAAGCAUUGGAAACAUCGUUAAAAAAAACUUUGAAGACUGUCCAUUGCAAAGAGAGCUUAAAUUGCAAAGAGUACCUCUGUGAUGAGAUUGGUUUGUGGAACCAAUUGGGAUGGGAAAAAGUUUAGAGAUAUUUGAGAGAAACUCUUUUCUUUUUGCAAACAGCAAUAGCGUUAGCCUUAUUUUUUCUUUUUUUAUUAAUUCAUUUUUUUAAGAAAAUUGUUUUCUUCUAGAUAUUAUAACUCUCUUUCCUUCUAGGAAUAGAAAAUGAAGUAGAAGAGAACCAUGAGAUUCUAUUAAUUUACAAAUAAUUAAAUUAAUAUAUAUUUCAAAUCUACUGAUUAAUUAAACAUUAAUCAAUUAGUUAAUAAUUAAUGAAAUCGAAUUUAAUUAAAUAAUAUUAAACUAAACUAUUAAUUAAUUCUCCAAUUAACUAAUAACACUAAAUUAUUUAUCUUAUAUUUAACUUAAAUUAAUUUUGAAUCAUAUUCAAAUAUAAGUUUCUCUCAAUAAUUUUAAUAUGAAUCCAAUUCACAUUAAAUUAAUAUUUGAACUCAUUCAAAUAUUUUAUCUCUCAUAAAUUAAUUUUGAAUCAUCCCCAAAGUUAAAUUUAUAUAGUAAAGUUUGAUAAACUUUAUAUUAUAAUGUAUCACUAUACAUUAUACUAAUUCCCAAGUUAAAUUUAAACAUUUUAAAUUACAACCAAUAUAAAUAAAUCUCAUCACCCUUUACGAGCUAGGAAAGGGACCUAAUGGACCUACAGAUUAGAAGCUACAACGAUCUAAGAUUAAUUGGCUAAACUCAUUAACCACAUUAAUCAAUAUUCGUUAGUUGUGUGUACACUCCACUAAAGACUCACAACUGAACUCUUCUCACUAAAAAUAUAUUUCUGUGUCCACGGAUAUAGACCAAUAAUAGUAAGUUAGUCCUUCACGAGUGUUUGUAACACCAGUUGGAUCAAUUUACCGCUUUACCCCUAUGUUACCUCUAAUCCUUAAAAACCAGUGCUCCUCUAAUGAACAACUUGUUUAUGGUCCUACUAAUAAACAAAAACCCCUCUCAUGUCAUAGAGAGGGUACGUGCCCUUUGUUCAAGUUUUGGAGACACCAUUUAAGCUAACAUUCAUCUACUUACCCUAAAGUAGGAAAUGAGUGAAUUCCAUUUUGUGCAAUUAUAAUCCCAACUCCCCACUCAGUCUUGUCCCCAAAAUCACUACUACAAAAAUAGGCUCUCUUGACGGUUGUAGUUUUCCUUUCUUGAUGUUUUUGAGAAAAAACGUCAAGAAAGAUGUGAUUUCAAAAAAAAAACGUCAAGAAUUUUUAUGAAAGGCCAAUUUUCAACUUUCUUGACGUUUUUCUUGACGUUUUUUGUGCAAUUAAACGUCAAGUAAGAUGUAUUUUUUCUUGACGUUUUUUAAACAUCAAGAAAUAUCUAAUAAUUUUUUGACGUUUAAAAAACGUCAAGAAUGUUCAUGAAUUCAACAUAAACGUCAAUAAUAUAUAGUUUUCCUCGACGUUUUAACAAAUUCUUAACAUUUUUAAAAUGUCGAGAUAAUUCUAAAAAGUUCUUGACAUUUUUAAAAACGUCAAGAAAUUUAUAAAAAAUUCUUGACGUUUUUAAAACGUCAAGAUAAUUCUAAAAAAUCAUUGAGAGAAAUUUUAAUUUGUUUUUGACGUUUUAAAAACGUCAAGAAAUUUCUAAAAAAUUAUUGUGUUAAUAUUCUUUUACAAAACACAACGUUUCAAUUUGAUCACUUCCCCUUUUCUUAAUUAAACCUAAUUCGCCGCGACUUUGUCCCUUCUCCACCCGAAAUCAAAAGCGUCGUUCACCUAACCUUCCCUUCGCGUUCAUCUGUGCAUUCAUCUGCGUUCAUCGCCGAAAAAGACUUCCCUUCGCGUUCAUAAGCAUUCACCUUCAUUCAUUUGCGUUCAUCGUCGUCACCCCGUCCUUUGCGUUCCCUUCACUCUUCGUUGAUUUGCGUCCGUCUGUUCACCGUUCGGAAUGCGUAAACACAUUCUCUGUUCGAAAACGAGUAAACACGUUCACCAUCCUUCUGUCGCAUUCCACUUUCGCUAAACCUCUAUUCGUUUCCAAAUCCUUCAUGGUUACUCAUUCAUUUUCUUCCCUUUCUAAAGGUAAUAAUUUUCCUUUUUUCCUUUGUGAUUAAAAUUUGUAAUUUGUAAUUUAAAAUUGGAAUGCAAAAUUAAAGAAGAGGAAAUAUGCCUUAGAGAAUGGAAGAAAGGUUUUGCAUUUUAGGCUUGAAAAGGGGGGAUACAAGUUAUUAUAAUUGUAAUAUAUAAUAUUUUGAACAAGGCUACCAAGCGUGCGAAUAUGAUUCAUUGGUUAGUUUAGGGAUUGGAAAGAGAAGGAUUGUGGAGUUUGUGAUAAUAUUUUGGUACACUGGAGCUGGAAACAGAGAAUAUUAAAAAACACAUACUGUUAUACACAGUAUUAUAAUAAUACGAAUCACUAGCUUUUCUUUCUUCUCCUUGAAUUUUUGUUAUGGGUAUUAUAUUGAGUUUUGUGUUUUAGAUUGUGAAGUAUGGGGUAGCUAAACUCUUAAUCCUAGGGAUAGAUGUAGACAAAGUUUAUGAAUUAUUCUUUGUAAUGCAUCUGAUUAUUUGCUCUUAAUCUUUUCAUGUUUUUAUGUGAAUAGCGUUCAUAAUAUCUUAAUCACAGAUUAAUUGUUGAUUGGCCAUGAACCUUAAUCUUUGCAUGACUAGAGUGGUUAUGAACUUGGAUAGAGAUAAUUAAGGAUCCUUGAGGAGGUUGUUGAAAGAAGUGGACCUAAAAACUUUUGUUUGUUAAUAAAAAGAAAAAUGAACAGAGAUUCAUCUUCGUCAGGGUCUUGAUGUUUAAUUUAAUUUAAAUUGUGUAUGAAUUUUAAUUACGAGAAUUUUAAUAUGUUGCAAGAGCACUAUAGCCAAGGUAUAGAGUGAGGGAGAUAAGGUUUAUAUGUCUUAGAGAAUGGAAAGAUGGAAUUUGUGCUAAAAUCAUUAGUGUUCCAAAUACAAUUAUGAAUUGGGUAUAGUUGCAUUCCCCCUUCUGGAUUGCAUAGCACAUAAAUAUACUCUCAUGGAUUGCAUAGCACAUAAAUAUAUGUCAAAAACAAUAACAUAAAACACAAACUUGAUUUAGUUUCAUUCACACUUGUACACCAACAUGUUUCAAGGAAUGAUCAUAUAUUAAAAAUCAUUUUCAAAUUUGGUAAUAUAAAAUGGAAGUGAGACCUUGAGGUUUUGACCACCAAUACUAUCUAACUGAUGAGUUUAUGAUUUUUGUUUCUACUGUGUUCUUUCCUUAAGCUUUAACUUGCUUUAGGGGCAAGAUGGUGAAGGUCUAGUCCACAACCUUUCCCAAGAAUUUAAUGAUGUUUGGGUUGACCCAAUUAUUGUUACACACGUUUUAUGGUAAUUGGUUGUUAUGGUUUUUAAGUGUGUUUUGAUAUCUUGUGUUAAAAAAUAAAAAAGUCGGAAAAGUUUGUUAAAGAUUAGGUGUUUUUAAGUUUGUCAUUCCACUUUAAUUCUCACCAGUACUUGCUGAAUGGAAGCCUCUUGUCUAAGACAAUUCGAGUGGAAUAACUCUCGUGACUACCACAACAUUUGGGAACUCACCAAAUGUAAGACUAUUCCUUUAUCCUAGCAUUUGAUCUCUCUCUAUAAUUUGGUUUGCUAUCGUAAGUUUGAUUAAAAUAAAUGUUGAUAAUUUCCUCUCCAUAUUUUCUUCUCUCAUUCAGAGUCAGUUAGAAUCAAUUCUAUCUUGUCUCCAUAAUUUGGAUUCAAAGAUUCAUCACAAUAAUCUUCUCAAACAACAUCUUUGAAAAGGUAUUGAAUUUUCAACUGUGUGACCUUUAUACACAAAUUUCUUCAAAGAAAUUUACAUUCUUUAGAGUUUAGAGCUUUGAAUUCUAGUACAACUUAUAAAGCUUUUGAUACUUGUUAGACUUUUUUGCUUGGUGCGGAUAAAACCUUAUUUACAUUCUUUCUUUCCUGCAUGUUCUCUUUUGAUAUUUGUUAGACUUUUUUGCUUGGUUGUCCUUAGUGUUUUCCUCUUUAGCUGAAAUUUCUCAAUCUUGAAAAAAAUAGAGCUUUAAAAUUCAACUUUAACUUUAUUUGAUACUAUCUUAGUCCAUACUUAUUUUGGUAUUUCUUUCCUUUCUCACAAACACAUCUAAGAGGUUGCCUUCACAAUAUGGCCAAAUUAACAAUAUGGCAACCCUUUUCAUUGCAAAACAUAUUAGACGUUGGUUACUUAGUUAGCCUUAUUGGGUAAAUAAUUGACAUUUAGGUACUUUUUAGUUUGUAUAUUUAUAGAUGCCAAAUCGAUAUGUGAAUUUUAAUUGUUGCUUAUUUGAAACAUUGCAACCAUUUGAUAAAAUGUUGCUAUGUGAAUCCAUCUUAACUUGAUAUAUUAUUUUAUUUUGGUUUAGGUUGUGGAAUCCAAGUUUGUAUUUGAAGUCAAAUUCAUCCAAGAUCAUUGAGUUCAUAAUACACUCAAGAUUAAGACUAAGUUAUCUAGGUCAUCCUAGUGAAAUAGAAACCUAACUAGUUAAUGUAGUAACACCAAGUGGUUACUAUUUCACAGUCUAGUCUAUUGCAAUCUCAUUGCAUAGGAUACCUUCACUCGCAUGUCAACUACAUGAACACAUUGGAUCAUUGUAUUUGUAUCAAAUACAAAGUGAGUCGUAUUCAUAAUGUUACCAGGAUAAAGGUACCCAGUCUUAUCCGUAUACUAUAGACCCUUUAAGCUGAUCUCGAACAUUGAUCCUUGUAUGUCUCUACAUACUAUUCAAUACUUAUUAAACAGUUUAGGAUGUUAGUUUAUUGGAUUUGAGUUAUUAAGACAAAACUAAUAAUAUAAUCAAUAACAAUUAUUACAAUAAUAACACUUUAUUAACAAUGGUCAAUGGAUUAAAACUUGAUUCCAAGGCUACUCAUGUUUAUUCUCUUGGUGAAAAUGAAUUGUCAGGUGAUACUGGCUGAACCUAUCAAAAAUAAAUGAGUCAUAGUUUGUUUGAUCAUUCAUUUUCUAAUCUUUCUUCUUUAUAUUUAAUUAGUUGUUUAAUUUCUUAAAAAAGAAUUCUGGUUUAUUUAUAGUAUAUUUGGUAGUAUGCAUGCCUCAGCUCCUUUAAUGCAUGUCUCUUACAGUAUAUUUGGUAGUCUUUUAUAAUGUUACACCCUUUUUUUUAAUUCCUAAAACCUUUUAACUUUCCAAAUUUUCAUUCAUUCUUUUUAGAAAAUUAUUUUUCAUUAUUUUUUUAUGGUUACAAAACCAUCCAUUAACUACAUUAAUUAGACAAUUCACUCCAAUAAUAAAUAAAUAACUUUUUUGGAUCUAAGGUCUUUUCUCAUUCUACAAAUUUAAUUUACUAUAUAAAGGUUAUUAUGCUAAUUGAAAAAUAUAUUUCUCUCAAGUAUGUAAUGACAGAAAAUUAGGUUAUAAAUAUAAAAAAAUAUAUUUUUAGGUAUUAUAAUUUUUUUUAAAAAAAUUUAUUUUAAAUUUUUAAUAAAACCUUGCAUUUGGGGAUUCACAUGUUGUUACUUGUCGAACCAAAAAGAUAAAUUCGCGGUGAAAACUCUUUAAACCCAAUUUGUGGAAGGAAAAAUUGAACUGUGGCGUUGAGUUAUUUUGUUGUUGAAGAAGAUCAGUAAAAAACCCACAACAUUAAAACUUCUUUUUGUUUCUUUAAGUAUAUUUUAGAUUGCAGCGUAUUUUCUAUUUGGGUUUAGUUAGGGUUUCUCUUGUUUAUUCCAAGAUAUGCAUGGAUAGUUCAUGUUCGACUAUUUGGAAAGAGGGAUUUAUGUAGCACGGGUAUUAUAUUCUGGUUUUGGAAGUGUCGAGAUAAAUUAAGGACUUUUUUAAUCUUCUUCAAACAAACCUAUACGAAGGCGAAGAAUAAUUUAUGCUUGUAUUUUAGUCGGAAUAAGAAGAAACAUGAAGAGAAUGCCCACGAGGAAAAUGACCACGAGAAAAAGUUGUGUAUUCCUCCAUCCUUAACUGAGCUCUCUAAUGUGUAUUCCUCCCUCCAUAACUGGCUUACUUUGGAUUGUUUGGAUAGAAAGAAACAAUAGAAUUUUAAGGAUAAAUCAAGGUUUAUUGUUAACUUGUGGGAAGACAUAUGUAACUUGAUCGGAGUUUGGUCUAGGCCUCAUUCAUCUUGUAACCAAUAUGAUGUUACUACCAACUCUUAACUUUAAGCUUUGUUAGAUUAGGUUGCUUCGGGCUUCCCUCUAGCCUUCAACCUUGUAACUUUAACUCUAUGUUAAUAGGUAAUGACUCUUAUCCUAGGUUUAUCCUAGUUUGAAGGAUUCGGUUUCUUCUUCUUAAAACAAGUUGUAUUUCGACUACUAUUUUGGAGGAAAAUGUGCUUAACUAACUAAAAAUCUAAUGACACUUCCAAAACCAGUCAUUUCGAAAGAUGUUUCCUCAAUAAUAUAUUUAUAAUGCUCUUCCUUUAUAGAGUAAAACAGUAAAGCAACAAAACCAUUUUAAUUCAUUAUAUAUAUAUAUAUAUAUAUAUAUUUAUUUAUUUAUGUAUGUAUGUAUAUGUAUAUAUAUUUACGUAUGUCAUUACUACAAAAAAGGCCUUUCUUGACGUUUGUUGUUUUUCUUUCUUGACAUUUUUUUCAAAAAACGUCAAGAAAGGGGUAGUUCCAAAGAUAAAACGUCAAGAAUUUUUACAAAAUGGCGUGGGUAGGUCAAUUUUCAGAUUUCUUGACGUUUAUUAAACAUCAACUGAUAUGUAUUUUUUCUUGACGUUUUAAAAAUGUCAAGAAAUAUCUAUAAAAAUUUUGACGUUUUUAAAACGUCAAGAAUGUUUAUAUAUUCAACAUUCUUCAAAUUUUCAAACGUCAAGUAAUAUGUACUUUUACUUGACAUUUUAAAACCGUCAAGAAAUAUCUUAAAAAUUCUUUAUGUUUUAAAACGUCAAGAAUUUUUAUAAAAAGCAGGAGAAGAGUUAUUUUUAAAAUUUCUUGAUGUUUUUUAGACGUCAAGUAAGAUCGUUUUUCUUGACGUUUUAAAAACGUCAAGUGUUAUUAAAUAUAUAUUUAUAUAUAUAUAUAUAUAUAAAGAAAAUAUUUGGGUUGAAUCCUUCGAAGCCCUAGACUUGUCUCUGCCGCAUUCGAAAAUGCCAAGUUCUCUGUGAGGAUCUCUCACUUCUGCCGUGUUCCCCGUCCGUCCGUCCACAUUCACCACGCCCUCUCCGAAAAUGCGUACUAGAUCCUUCGCUUUCAGUCGUUCACCAUCCACUGAGUACGAGAUCCCUAAGACUUCCGCCAUCUGCCAUCCUUAAUACUCUGAAAUCGUCAUUCGUUGUUCCUCAAAAUUGUCGUCCUUCUGUACGAAAAAGUCGUCCUUCUUUUGAGUCUUCAUUCCCCUUUAUGUCGUCCUUCUGUAUUUAGAGGUUAUACUUCAUUCCCCUAAAACUUCCACUGGUUUCCAUAUUUCAAGAAUUUGAAAUUUUUAUAGGAUAUUGCUAGUGGAAAUUAAGUCAAUUCUGUUUGCUCCCAAACUACCUCCUAAUUAUGUUGUCUGGUUGGGAGAAAUAAAGUCUUUGUUAUAUUUCAAGGUAGUGUAUGUUAACCAACACUUAGUGCAUUUUCGUGUUUAUGAGCUUAUUUUAGUUAAUAUGUUUUUGUAGGAAAAUAUGAUGUCAAUAUGGCAUAUUAUAUGAUGAAAUUGUAGUCGUUUAACACAAAAUUUUGAGGUACUUUUUCAACUAAUUAUGCUUUAUCUAAUAUAUUUUUCCAAAUCUUAAAGAAGAACUUUUGAUUUCAUUGGAGUUUAUCAUUAGAGGCAUUACAAUAUUGGCUGCCUCUCAAUGGGCUAUAGGUUUUCCAAUGGUCAUUUGAGACUGGUUGAUAAUAGCAAAAGUUAGAGCUUGAGAAGAAGGAGCGAAGAAAGUAGUGAAGACAAAAGAAGAAAGAAAGCUGAGUGAAAAACGAAAAUUGACAAGGUAGAGAUGUGACAUGAAAAUGAUGAUGAGAAGUGAAGGAGGCACGACACAAUACUGGUACACAAUAACAAAGCCUUGAUAAUUAAAAAAAGGAUGGUGCCAAGAAAAUUUAAAUACAAAAAAAAUGAAGGUUCUUGCAAGUGUAUUGAGUGAAUGGGAGAAAGAAAGGAUAAAAAAGGUAGAAAGAGAGAAAGAGAAGUCAAGGGUAGAGAUACAUAGCUUUGUAUAUAGAAACUUUUGCAAUUAUUUAUUUUUCUACAAUAAUUCUACUUCUAGAACCUAAAUUUUGAAAGCCUACUAAUUUUUCAGAAUUAAUUCGAGACCCCACUUUUGCUCCCCUUCCUACCUACGGUUACUUUUUGCUUAAACUUUAAAAGUUGUUUGAAAAUUUUUGCUGAAACUUGUAAAAUUGUUUGAAGUUCGUAUAUCUCUCACAUAUUGCAAGGUUUCUUAAUUAUUUUAUUGAAUUUCCUACAUAAAUGCAUUCAAACAUGAGUUGACAUUAUUGGAAAAGAUCCGUCAUCCUAAAGUAGUUCAGUUUUUUGGUGUCGUUACUCAGAAUUUGCCUAUGAUGAUUGUUUCUGAAUACCAUCCGAAGGUAUGGAUACAUUUUCUUACCCUUUAUUUUAUUCUAAUGAAAAUUAUUUCAUCAUGUUUCAUUCCAAGCAUUUCAUUACAUAUUUUGUUCAUAUAUGAUGAAUGGUGAUUAGUUUUUGUAUCAACUUAUUCCCUCUUUCAUGUAUAUUUCAUCUUCGAGGGUGAUAUAUAUCAAUUUAUUCCCUCUUCAAUUGAUUCUUGUUUUUACUCUUAGCUUAUAGGUUGCUACAUGAUCGUAUAUUAGGAGCAAAAUUGUGCAAUUAGUUUAUAGUUAGGGAGAUUUCAAUAGUAAAAAGCAAAGAGAGUAAAUGGUAACAAAAUCAUAUUGUUCACAUGAAAUGAUAAAAUAAUCAUUACACAUUUACAAGAACAGUAAAUAAAUUAUGUGAUUUUCGUGAGAAAAAUGAAGAAGAAAUAGCUUCUAACAAAAGUGAAUAUAAAUUAAAGGAGAAUAUAAAAUUGUUUAAAAUAUUUAUUUUCAAUAAUUCGGAAGUUCUUUGGCUAUAUAUAAUGGAAGAGAGCCUUUCCAAGGUGUGAUGUCUGGCGUCAACAACGACGCGCUUAGCACAGAUACGGAACCAGACACCAUCUUCUUGGUGUUUGUCUAUGCAAAAGCCUCGAGUGGCUAUGGUCUUCUUCUUCUCUGUGAGGGAAAUGGUUGAAGUUGCUAGACUAUUUCAAUUACUAUGUGAGAGGUGGCUGAAUUUUAUUGGACCUCUCUUCUUGGGCUUACUUUUUACAAUUGUUUAACAAUCUCUCUCCGAAUAUACCUUCGUCCCCUUAGCUGCUUUCCACUUUGGUAAAAUCGCCAAAGCUUUAUGUGUACAUUGCAAGAGACAGAGGAGCAAGGCAAAAUAAGGUUAUUGGAACAAGGCGAAAGUUAUCAUUGCUAGCUGCAACUUUCCUCAUUCUUCUCACCCUCCUUCAAACCAUAUUUUCUGCUAUGUAUGCAUUUCCUAGCUAGCCUUCCCCCCGCAUAUUCUAUUUUAGCUUUUUUCCUCUCCAGUUUCUGUUAUGUAUUUUUACUGAAUAUUGAUCUCCUUUUUGCUAUCAAGAUACUAUACCAUACAUGCAUGUGUAGGACUUUUAUCCCUUAUAUUUUAUAAUUUGUCUUACUACUGUUAUUGACUGAUAUACCAAUAUACAUGUGUAAAGUAUUGAUCAUAUAAUUAAUAUUAAAUUUAUUACAUUCACUCAUCAAUUUAAGUUUUUUAGUCAAUGUAUGUUCAUGAUUUAAAACAAAUAAUUCGAAGAUUUCAUCCCACUUGUGAACAACGACCGAAAAAAACCUUACUUCAUCCCACAUCGUCGCUGUCUUUCUCUCUCGCAAAUGCUCUCUGGCGUUCCCCCUCUCUAGCAAAUACUCUUCAUGACUUUUCCUCUCUCUUAGAAUUAAGCUCUUCGCCCACCGUUUGAAGGAACUCACCAAAUUUGCAAGUAAUUGAAGAAUUUGUGGUCCAUGAGAUCGAUUAAGUCCAUUUAUGAGUUAGUUUGAUUAGAUUAUGUCACAUAUACAUGUAUUACAAUUAAGGGACACUUGCGAAAAUGGCAAAAUAAGUUAUAAUAAUUAAGUCCAUAGAACACAUACUUUAUUAUUUGAGAAAGUGACAAAAACAAAGACCAACUCACACAUCAAGAGGUAAAAUGUCACAAAUGCCCUCGUUAUUGAUGUACAUUUGAUACACCUUAUACACGUCUGAUACACCUAAUACCCCUUGAUACACUUGAUACUUUUUACUGAUACACUUGAUACAUUUGAUAGAUACAAUUCAUGCACUCGGUACUCAUUGAUACACUCGAUACUUUUUGAUACACACCUGAAACAUCUUCAUACACAUAAUACUUCUCGUUCCACAUAAUACUUCUCGUUACACUUGAUUCUUCUUGAUACACUUAAAGACUUCACUUAUAAGUUUGAUACACUUGAUACACCACUAAUAAACUUGUUAUACUUCAUUGGUACACUUAACAAAUUUGAUAUGUUUGAUGUACAUGCACUACAAGAAAUUUACCCUUUGUCGAUGACAAAUAUCGUCAGUAAAUCUUCAGAAACUAAUCGACUUUUCUUUUGCCAACGAAAUUAAGCUGUCAACACACACCGUCACAUAGGUCUGUCGGAAGAUCCUCUAUCGAUGGCAAAAAAUAAUGUAAUGCCCCAAAGGUAUAUAUAUAUAUAUAUAUAUUUUGUUUUUAUUUUAUAUAUAUAUAUAUAUUUAUUUAUUUAUAUUUAAUUUAAAUAAAAAGAAAAGAAAAAGAAAUAUAUAUAUUUUGUUUUUCUUCUCCUUUUCUUUUCUUUUUCCUUUUCUUUUCUUUUCCAUAUUUCCUUCUUCCUCCCGUGCGCUGCGACCCCCAUCCAUCUUCUCCUUCUUUCCGCCGAUCUCUUCCUUCCAUUUUCUCCUUCCGUUUGUAGCCCAGCAACCGCCGCGCAGCCUAGCAACCACCACCCCGAGACUUCUCUUCUUCCGUUUCUCUUUCUUUUUCACCAUACCCACCCGCCGUUGCCCGGAUCCGUUCGCCCCAGCCCAUCACCGGUUCUGUCUCCGUGCCGAUCUACCAUCUCCAUCUCUGGUUCCCGCGUGCUGAUCUGCCGAACCCAACCGCCACCCUCUCUUUUCCCCUUCGGAUCGAAAACCGCCGCGCCCAUCCACCUGUAACUACCGCGUGACCUCCGCUCACAAACGUCGUCCAGAUCUGCAUCACAACCGCCGUCGCUCGUGCUUCACCCUUGUAGUUCGCAAUAACCUAGAUCCGCCGCUCGUAACCAUCGACCGGUUCGUGAAGCCAGCCGCGCAACCUUCGUUCCAACCGCUGCACUUUCGCGCGAUUCUCCGACCACGUUUUCUUUAGCCGACCGCUGACCGACACACACUUAGGAUUUUUCUGCGAGUUCGACAGUCGUGCGUUGAGGUGUUGGGAGUAACCUUGGGGGGAUUAAAUUCACAACCAAUUUGUGAAUUGUUGAGGGUUCAGUUCGCCAGUAUUUCGGUAAGUUGUGGAAUUUACAUAUGGAGUAAUUUGAAAGGUUGAAACUAUUUAGAACGAUGUUGAUUUUAUGAUUGAUUAUGUUUAGGAUUUGAUUCAUUGGAUUUAGUAGAUUGAAGAAUUUGCAUAGAAAUCGAGGUAAGGGAUUUUCUACUUGACUCAAUUGUGAUUGUGAACUGUAUGUGUGUUGAAUGUAUACUGUGGGUUGACUGAAAAUAUAUAUGAAUGUAUAUGAAUUGAAGUAGACUUGACGUCGAAUGUAUGUCGUGAUUGUCAUGGAAUCUAUAUAUAAAUGUGUGUAUGUGGAUAGGACGGAGAUUGUAGAUUGUGUUUGUAUGAGAUGCAGAUGUGAAUCUUGAGAUUCUCGUUUAGAUUGGGUGUAUGAUUACGCUAAAGUAUGACUGUGUGCUGGUGAACUGAGGGGUGCAUUGACUGUAUAGUUGAUUGAAUGAUGUAUUAGCAUAUUAUUGACAGACAUAUGACUAUAGUAAAAUAAGUUGACUGUUAGGAUGUUGAAAGAAAGAACUUUGUGACUUGAAGUAACUGAAAGAUGGGUAGAAUGGAAUGAGGGGAAAAUUGUUAGAUUGUAUUGGGAUGUUUACCUUGUAGGUGUCCCACGGGAUCACCAAUUUAUUGUGCACCUUUGGGAGCAUUAGACUGAUAUGUGUUUCUGCAGAACACUAGACUGAUAUGUACGGCCCUCGGGGCGUUAGACUGAUAUGUACGUACCUCGGGGCGUUAGACUGAGAUGUGUAUCCUACGGGAUCACAAGACUGCGACUGUACAGGGUGUCCCAAUAGAACUUUAACAAUUUAUUUUCCCCUGACGGGACCAGUAGAGGGUCUCUUACUGAGUAUUUAAAAUACUCACCCUUCUUAUGUUUAAUUUUCAAGCAAAGUUAAUAAAGGCGGCAAACCGGAGAGGGGCAGGAAGGAAGCGUGAUGCCAUAGGAAACGUGUAAUUGCUUCCGCUUAUGGGUUUUGAGAGAUUUAAGAUUGAUUUGAAAUUUAGUUUACAAACGUUUGUUGUAAAUAGUAUUAUUUUAUGUUUUCUUGAAUGUUUAAAAAUCAGGCCUGACUUGAAGAUGUUUUUUUUUUAAAUUGCUUACGUUUUGUUUUAUAUUAAUCAAAGUCUUUUAUUUGUUAAAAAUUAACGAUCUCGACUUACCUAGAAAAGUUGGGUCGUUACAAAUAAACUGUCAGCAAAAAUAGGAACUAUUGAUGAAAUUGAACCAUCAGUGUGCGUGUGUGUGUGCGCUCGCGUGUGCGCAUGUCCACGUGUGCUUGGGUGUGUGUAUGCGCACAUACAUGUAUACGUGAGUAGGUGUGUGCGUGUUUGCGUGUGCAUUUGUGUGCGUGUUGUUUGGUGUGUGUGUGUGCAUGUGUGCGUUUGUGUGUGUGUGCGUACGUUCGUGUGUGUGUGCUUGUGUGCACGCGUGUGUGUGUGCGUGUAUGGGUGCAUGCGCAUGCAAGUGUAUGUGUGUGUGCGCGUGUGAUUGUGUGUGAAUAAGUUGAUAUUUUUUAAUGUUGAGUUUCUCCCAAUUUUAAAACAAUAAUUUAAUUAUCUUGAUAUUCAAGCCAUUAAUAUUAUUGUGAGAUAAAGAUAGUGAAUAAGUUGAUAUUUUUUAAUUUUGAAAUUCAAUUAAAGUUAUUUUGAUACAAAAUCUAUUGCUGAGAUUAUCAAAUUCUGAAAAAUAAUAAUUUUGUUAUUUUGAAAUUCAAUUUGGUUAUUUUGAAAUUCAAAUUCAAUUAGGUUAUUUUGAAAUUAGUAAGAUUAAAUAAAGUUAAAGUCUUGAAUCCAUUAGUUGAGUCCCGAGAUAUUAAGAAAAAAGUACGAUAUGAGUUUAUGUAUCUUUUUCAGGUAAAAAAUAAUUAAAAGCUGAUAAAUGCAUAAUAUAAAUUAAUUACAACAUAGAAACAAAAUAAUUUUAGUUGGAGAAUGUGGAUAUUUUGGUAUUUUAUAAAAUAUUAUGCACGUGCAAAAAAUGUUAUUUGCUAAAAUUAAAAAAAAAAUAGUUUUGCCAUUUUUCAAAAUGACCCAUAAAAAGGUUGCUAUAUCUCUUAUGACAGAGUGUAUAUCUACUGGUUCAUAUUCGACCUGUUUGUUGCUAAUAGAAUUGGAUAAAAUCGCAUUAUAUUGAAAUAAUUACACGAAUGACACUUUUAAGCCAAUAUUGAUAGAAAUUAUAGUUUAAUUAAUGUUAUUAAGUCAAAUGAACAUAGUUUAAAAGUCCUUCUAAACACAGUUAAUGUAGUUGUUUUUAAAUUUUAACUCAUUUAUACAUCUUUAUGCAUAUGUGCGUGUGUACGUGUGCGCGUGUAGGUAGGUGUACGUAUGUGUAUGUGCAUGCGUUCGUGCGAGUGUCCGUGUGCAUGUGUGUGUGGGUGUGUGCAUGUUUGUAUGUGUUUGUGCGUGCGUGUGUGUGCGGGCUAUUGCGUGUGUGCUUGGGUGUGUGGGUGUGCUCGGUGUGCAUGUUUGUGCGCGUGUGCGUAUGUGUUUACGUGUGUGCGUUUGUGCAUGUGUGUGUGCUUGUGCGCGUGUGGAUAGGUGUGUUUGUGUGCAUUUGUGCGCGUUUGUGCGUGUGUGCGUUUGAAAUUAGUAUGAUUGAAUAAAGUUAUUAAUAUGUUGAAUUAAUUAGUUGAGUCUCGAGAUAUUAAGAAAAAUAUUAUGAUAUGAGUUGAUGUAUCUAUUUCAAGUAAAAGAUAAUUAAAAGCUGAUAAAUGCAUAACAUAAAUUAAUUACAAUGUAGAAACGAAAUAAUUACAGUUGAAGAAUGUUGAUAUUUUGGUAUUUUAUAAAAUACCAUGCACGUGCAAAAAAUGCUAGUUGCUAAAAUUCAAAGGAAAAAGUAGUUUUGUCAUUUUUCAAAAUGACCCCUAAAAACGUUGUUAUGUCUCUUAUGACAAAGAGUGUAGAUCUACUGAUCCAUAUUCGAUUUGUUUUUUGUUGGUAAAAUUGGAUAAGACCGCAUUAUAUUGAAAUAAUUACACGAAUGACACUUUUAAGCCAAUAUUGAUAGAAAUUAUAAUUUAAUCAAUGUUAUUAAGUCAAAUGAACAUGGUUUAAAACUCUUUGUAAACACAAUUAUUGUAGUUAUUUUUUAAUUUUAAUUCAUUUAUACAUCUUUGUGCAUAUGUGCGUGUGUGCGUGCGUGUGCGCGAGUGCGUACGUGUGUGCGUAUGCGCGUGUCCACGUGUGCAUGGGUGUGUGUGUCUACGUGUGCGUGGUGUGAGUGUUCACGUGUGCGCGUUUGUGCGUGUGUGUGUGGGUGUGUGUGCGUAUACACGCGUGUGCGUGUGUACCUGAGUGGGCGUGUGCGCUUUUUAUGCUUUUCUUCCAAUUUUAAAAUAAUAAUUUAAUUAUCUUGAUAUUCAAGUCAUUAAAAUUAUUUUGAGAGAAGAUUAUUUUGAUAUAAAAUCUAUCGUUGAGAUUCUCAAAUUCUAAAAAAUAAUAAUUUUGUAAUUUUGAAAUUCAAUUUGGUUAUUUUGAAAUUCAAACUCAAUUAGGUUAUUUUGAAAUUAGUAAGAUUGAAUAAUGUUAUUAAAAUGUUGAAUCAAUUAGUUGAGUCCCGAGAUUUUAAGAGAAAAGUUAUGAUAUGAGUUGAUGUAUCUAUUUCAAGUAAAAAUUAAUUAAAAGUUGAUAAAUACAUAACAUAAAUUAAUUAUAACGUAAAAACAAAAUAAUUAUAGUUGGAGAAGGUGAAUAUUUUGGUAUUUUAUAAAAUACCAUGCACGUGCAAAAAAUGUUGUUUGCUAAAAUUGAAAAGAAAAAGUAGUUUUGCCAUUUUUCAAAUUGACCCCUAAAAACGUUGGAUUGUUUUUUAUUCCCUUGGGCUUUCUUGUUCAAUAUUUAGUCAAAUUGCAGUAUACAUAAAAUUUAUGUUUGUUACGUCACAAGAUUUCAUUCACUAUUUGUGUCUGUAUUAUUUUAUAUUUUAUACAGGAGACUCCGUUUGAGUGUUGAGCUAGUAAUGGGAGGGACUACCGUUGACCCCAAAAUUACAAGGUUUCAUGUUGCUUACUGGAUCAUUAAUGAUUCGUCUCUAUCUUUGGCUCAGCGAGUGGUGGAGUUGGAAGCCCCUGAAAGUGUAGAUUUAGACUCUCUACCGUUGUCAAGAGCUGUUAAGUAUGCAAAAAUGGCCUUGAGAAAUCCUAUAAACUCUCUGAAACAGAGACAUUCUAGUGUAAGAAGAAAUGCUCAAGUCCUUGAAGAAAUUGAGGACACAACUCCAAUUCCUAGCAUGCUUUCUCCCUAAGACUAUGCUGGUCCUAGUCGGGGAGUGGCAUUUACAUCCCAGAAAGACACACAUGUAUCACCUCGUGUUGGCACUUCCAUUGCAAUGCACAACUCUGACAUAUAUAGUGCCGACAUUUCCUUCCUUAAGCUUGAAAAAAGGUGAUUUGAUGUCCAUAAAAAAUUAACUGAGCAGUUAGAUAUUUUCUAAUACGCAUCUCACGUAAUUUGAUGCUCAUUGAUACUGCAUUACUGUGUCAGGAACGUGUUGAUGUAAAAUCUUUCAGUUUUGAUGGAUCUUAUUACAAGUUUUCAACUCUUCUUAGCACGACUUCUGACAGAACAAAGGUUUUAUAUAUAUUUACACGAUCGCAUAUCACAUAUGAACGAUUGCAUAUCCCAUCUGAAAUAUCGAUCACCCCUGGUAAAACAACCGUUUAGAUAUUCUACACGAUUGUUUGCUUAAGGAUACACGAUCAUUUUGUAACUAUUUUUUUUUAUUAUCCUUUUUUCUUUCUAUACUAGAAUCAGAAUCAAUUGUUUGAUGAUAUUAACAACAUGUAUGAUGAUCUUCGUGAUGAUUCUAGUCAUCACAAUCUGGACAAGAAUGAUGACCAUCAAAAUAACAAACAUGUGAUCAUCCAUGAGAAUUCAUCUGUUCAAGAGCCACAUCUUCAAGAAUCUACUGUAGAAACUCAACUGUUAGUGUUUAAUUCAUUAGUUACUGCUUUAUAUUGUUUAAAAUUGCUUAGAUUAUAAAUAAACAACAAUAAUUUUUUUUCUUUUCUGUGUAGGGAACAAAAAUGAACAACGCCUCAACAUCAAGAGCAGUCAGGCAGUGAUAUUAGCAUAUAUGGCAGAGAUGCACAUUUGAUAUUAGCUAUAAGUAAUAUAGCAGAAAAUAUGGAAGGUCAUACUCAAACAGAAAAGGACUGCUAGAAAUGAUUGAAAAUCUUCCGUUGGUAAGCCAACCACUUCCACUUUGUGAGAUGCUACCAUUAACUACUGUCAAAGGUCUUGCAUUAGUUUAAUUGGUAUGUGUGCCCUAAAGGGAUAAAAGCUCUUGGCAGUGAAAGACUUUACAAAACCAUUCAUCAAUUUUAAUUUGAAAAUUCCAAAAUACAAGUACAUUGACAAUAUUUAGAAUCAAAGUUCUAAAUAAAGAACUAAAUAUGCUUUUAAAUUAAAAGAUACAUAGAACUUACUCUUGUUGACGUCUCUGAAUCUAUAAUCCACCGAAUUGGGGACACCACCCGUUAGAGACCUUCCUAUCUUCGAAGAUGAGAUUGGUUUGUGGAAAACAAUUGGAAUGAAAAAAAAAUUUAGAGAGAAACUAUGUAACACCCCCAAUAUCAAGGUAUUUCUCUCAAGCUAAAUUUUUUAAAUUUUAUUAAGAUUUUAAGGAAUUUGGUUGUGGUGUGGAUUUAGCAGGAAGUGAAGGGGGCUUUUAUGAAAAAAUAUACUAAUACUAAAGGUUAAAUAAUAAUAAUAUAUAAUAAUAAUAGAAUUAAUGUUAUUAUUAAUUUAAAAUAUCAAUUCUUUAUUGAUUCACGUGCAACCCCAUCUCUUUCUCCUUCACUCUUCCUCUUCCCCGUGCCCACUGCCGCUUGCCUCCCUUAGCCAUUUUAUAUUACUCUUGGACGUCAACCGGCCACGCCGUCAUUGAUCGCUUCGUCUCCGUUGAAGCUGAAGCACCGUUCGUCGUGAGUUCGAACUCUCGGCAUCGCGUCUCACCUAUGUUUUCCAGCCAAGUUGUGAUUCAUUCGCGCGUAGCUCCUUCGACGUUCGCGCCACCACAUUCUGCUCCAGGUGAUGAGUAACGUCACCGAUUGACCUAUCAUCUCACCGGCGUUGUUACUUAGUUGAAGCAGCCGUCGACCAGACCUGAGCCCGUCGCGUCUGUUGAAGUGCCAUCGCGCGCUCUUCACCUUCCAGCCAUGGGUUGUAAGCUGAAGUUUGUUUUUCGUUUGUUGAUUAGAUCUGAUCUAUUACACGCGUCGAUUCUAGUUAUUCGAAGUUGUUGCCCCCAUUUUACUCUAAUUUUUGGGAUUUUUGUGGUAAGUUGUAUUGGUGAGUGUGGUGGUUUUACAUUGUAAUUAUCCUUGGGUUGUAGUUUUGGAUAAUUAGUUCAAUUGUUAAUUGAUUCUUGAAGGUAGCAUUUGAGUUCUUUGGAUUCACAACUAAAUUGUAGAUUUGUUGGAGUUCGAUUCGCCAAUACUUUGGUAAGCUAGAAUUUACAUUGAGGAAAUUAAAUGAAAGAAAGUAUUGUGAAAGUAAUUGAGUUCCAUAUUCUUAUUAUUAGGUUUCCUUCGUUCGAGAAAUUUGAGUAACAUUAAAGUAAGGGGUUUCUAUUACUGGACUCUUUGAAAGUUUUGAAAUGUGUUGACUGUUUGGAUCUCUGGACUUAGUAUGGUUUACCAAUAUAUGUAGAAGUAGAUAUGAUGACAAAUGUAUAUUAUGCCAGACUGGUAUAGAAGUAGAUACGAUGGAUAAUGUAUUUGUAAACUGAGAAAGGUGUUAUGUAUAUAUAUAUCUUGACUGUCUGGUGUGUUGUUAUAGUAUCAACUGAUUUUGUGAUAGAUUGAAUAGAUUGAACGUAAGUGUGUUAAGUUGGAUUGAUGAUAUGAUGGAGUAGUUUGAUUAUACUAGGAAUGGAUUGAUUAAAUGUUUAUAACAGACUAAGGGAAAAUUGUUAGCUUUGUCGAUUGGGUAGUGUGCCUUGAAGGUGUCCUACGGGAUCACCACCUGUUGUGUAUUCUUCGAGAGCACUAGAAUGACAUGUGCAUUCUUCGAGAGCAAUAGACUGACAUGUGCAUUCUUCGAGAGCACUAGACUGACAUGUGCUUUCUGCAGAGCACUAGACUAAUAUUUGUGUCCUUUAGGGCAUUGGACUGAUUAUGUGUAUUCCUACAUGAUCACAAGACUUUUAAAGUGCAGGGCACCUCCAAUAGGAAGUUAACAAUUUUAUUUUUCUUCUAACAGGAUCAGUAGUGAGUCUCUUAGUGGGUAUGUUUAUACUCACCCUUUUAUGUUUAAUCUUUUUCCGCGAAACUGCCAUAAGGAAAUGUCCUUCAAAUUGCUUCUACUUUAUAUUUUUUUUAUUUUGGUUUUCUUUAGUAAUUGACACUGUUUUGGGUUUCAUGAUUGAACGACUUUUAUGUUCUUGAACUUUCUUUAUUAUCGAUACUUUUACACUUUCAAAAUUUUAUUUGAAAUAGAGCCCGAAUAAAAACUCUUUAAUGUUGUUAAAAAAUAUAUUUUUUUAAAUUAUAAAGUCUUAUGGUUAAAGGACGAAUCUAGUCUUAAAGUAAUAACUUCAGCUUAAUUCGAAAAAUUAGGUCGUUACAAUCUAUUUUGCAGAAAAGAAAAUCAUCGAUUUUAUUUUGGUUAAGAAAAGAUGUUUUUCUUCUACAUAUUUAUAACUCUCUUUCUUUCAUUGAGUAGGAGACGGGUAGGAGAAAAUCAUAGGAUUCUAUUAACUUAAAAAUUAUUAAAUUAAUAGAAGUUUCAAAUCAACUAACUAAUUAACCAUUAAUCAAUUAGUUAAUAAUUAAUUAAAUCAUAUUUAAUUAAUAUUUCAUUUAAAUCUUAUUGAAUGAAUAUCUCUCCAAUACCUUAUAGUUUUAUAUUAAUUUAAUUAAAUCAAAUUUAAUUAAAUAAUAUUAAACUAAACUAUUAAUUAAUUCUUCAAUUAAUUAAUAACUAAAUUAAAUAUUUUAUAUUUAACUUAAGUUAAAUUUGAAUCAUAUUCAAAUAUAACUUUAUCUCAUAAUUAAUAAUUUUAAUAUGAAACAAAUCCACAUUAAAUUAAUAUUUGAACUCAUUCAAAUAUUUUAUCUCUCAUAAAUUAAUUUUGAACUUUAUCUAAAAUUAAAUUUAUAUAAUAAAGUUUCAUUAACAUAUAAACUUUAUAUUAUAAUAUAUCACUAUAUAUUAUACUAAUUAUACUAAUUUCCAAAGUAAAUUUGAAUAUUUCAAAUUAGAACCAAUAUAAAUAAAUCACAUUAUCAUUUUGUAUCAUCCAUUACUUUGUAUUCAGUCAUACUAAUUGGAUCAACCUAAUACAUAAAACAAAUAUAGAAAAAUUAAAAAAAAAAAGCAUGCACAAAUAGAGACAAAUAGACAUUGAUGAUAGUUAUCUAUCUCUAUCUAUCUGAAACAAGCACACAUAAAUUGUUAUAUUUCUCUAUCGGAUGGACAAAAAUAGCAGUCUAUUUAUAUCUACCUGAGAUACAAACAUUAAAAAAAAAAAAAAAACCUUACCAAUAAAAUUCUUGACUUUUCAUGUUAUUCUAAAUGCAACGCGUUCUCAGCCCAAGAAGUCAAACAACUCUUCAUUGUAAAAGUAGCUUUACUUCUUUCAUCAAACCACUUUUGCAAUACAUCUCUAAUUGAACUAAGCAUGGUAGCUACAGGUGGUUCUCUAAGAUCUUUAAAAACUAAAUUUACACUGUCUACACAAUUUGAUGUCAUCAUUCUAUAUAUGAAACUCAUUAUACCUGAGAUAGAUUCAACCAAUUUAUCAAAGAACCUUGGAAUCAACAUGUAUGAUUUAACCGUGUCACCUUUUAAUAUCUUUACUAUGUGUUCUUUCGCCCUCCAAGCUUUCUGCUAACUUAUAUUAACUCCAAGAUUUGUACAUGCCUUAUGCACAAUUGCUUUUGGAAUGAAACGAUCAGUAGACAUGAACCUGAACUCAUCUAUCAAGCAACUGUCAAUUACUGUUGAAGAAGCUUGCAUGUGACAACUAGUAUUCAAUGAACAGUCAUGUUCAUAAAUGUAUUUUCAUAGCAUCCACAACUCGCUCUUCUUAUAACGAGAUGUCCUAAUAAACCAUUUGCACUCUUCUAGUAGGCAUCUAAAUUCAAGAGACCUCAAAUUUGAUAUUGUAGUUCUAAAUUGAAAGUUGUUAUUCACUUCUAUUAUGCCAAAACACUUUGAAAGCAUCUCUUUACUUUCAAAUAAACUAUUUUCCUUCAAAUCACCAUGAUAUGAGAUGUCUCUUAUAAUUUCAUCAUUUGAAACAUAAGAAGAAGAACCUACAUUCAAUGCAUAUCAACAUUCUAUCGUACACUACUAGAAGAAGAAGACCUUCUAAAAAAAUCAACAGUUACAUGGGCAACUAAUGGAUGUAUAUUAGUUGCAUCUUUAGCAAAAGAUAAAUACCAAGCCACAUCAUUGUCUUUUUUUACUGGCACCACAGUUGGACCUUGCUUUUACCAAAAUCAAGUAAAACAGAUAAUUCUACUUAUCCAUCCAAUUGAAUCUGUUCACAUAUUAAAUCAACUAGAGAAUUAAAGCUCACUCGGACAUCUACCAAAAUUUCAGCAACUAAGUAAUUCUCAUAAAUAUUACAUCCAUUCCAUUGACCUCCAUAAAAAACAACAAUAGGAAAAGACAUUAUAAUCUGUAAAAAAAAAUAAUAAUAAAAUUAAGUAUUUAAUUGUGAUAGAAAGAAAUAGAUAGACAUAGAUAUACAUUUAUUACUGAAUAAAAUAAUAAAAUGUACAAAAUGAUAAUACUAAACAUAAUGCAAGAAUAAGUAAACGAUCGUGCGAUGAAAUAAUAUACAUUAAACGAUCCUAUUAACCGUGAUAAACGACCAUUUAACAACGGUAAAUGAUAAUAUUGAUUAAAAUAAAUUAUCGUGUUGACAUGGGUACACGAUCAUAUGAUAUUGGUGAUCGUAUUGAAUAGUGUAAACAAUCGUCUUGUUAUCGGUACACGAUCGUGUUAAUAUUUGUAAGUGAUUCUAUUGAUAGUGGUAACUGAUCGUGUAAUUCCAUGUAAAUUAUCGUCAAAAACUUUAAUAUUUGAAAAUAUGUUAUUUUAGAAAAACUACAAGUGUUUGACAACUCUUUGAAAGCUAUUGAAAUACUCUCAAAUUGUAUUUUAAGGAAUUUUAAUAAAAAGAAAGUCUACAUAAAAAAAUUACCCUUUUUAAAGGAACAUUUUUUCUCUAAUCACUCCAAUGGAACUCAAACACGUACUUCAAGUUAAUUCUGGUAUCCAAGAAUCAGUCUCAUCUAACAUAAACAAGAACAUUCAACUUGAUAGAACUUCAUUACCUCAUUUUUACAAUUCCCAAAGUUACUAAAUGAAGGACCAUUCCUAAAACAUACUUACAUCCAACUUUCUCCAUGAAUAAACUUAUCGUCUUUUAUGUACUGAUGAAUAUAGAGAUGGAGCGAUCAGAGUUUGUUUAUGUACCAAAUUAGAGUGAGUUGAGAAAAGAGUGGAUUUACACAAGGACGAAAUGGCUGGCUGCUGCUUGUUCAAAACUGAAAGUUAGGGUGACCUUGUUUCUCAUAGGGACUCAGCAAAUUGAAGGGCCUCCAAGUCUACUUCUUGUCUCAUUAUACAUGCCAUUAGCCAUUCAACGUUGAAAGUCCAUAUCCCUUUUUCUACGGCCACCAAGGCUUCCUCCACGUCUUCCUCACAAGCCACAAAGAUCGUCUUUCAUACAUUGUUUACUUUAUCUAGCUCAUGAAUCACCUAAAUUUUCAAGCAUAAUGAAUUUGCCAAAUGAGAGAAAAAAUUAUGUAUAUACUACAAGGAAAUUGCAAGAAUUCACCCUAUAAAAAAAUAUUAAACAAAUUCUUGUUCUAGUCCCUAAAAUUUUCCAUCUUUUUUCAACUUUCAAAAUGCUUCCUAUGAGAUAUAUUCCAAUCACAUAUAGCAGAAAUGACCGAUGAGUAUUGAAUAAAUGAAUAUUAAUUGAUAAAAUAAUUUACAAAAUACUAAAACCGUUAGUUGGCUACGUUUUGGAAGCUCGAUGACUAAAAUGGAUGUUUUGAAAGUUCUAAGGCUAAAAUGGAAUUUAAAUCAACAUAAUAGUAAGUUCAAGAUCAAAGACAAGCUAAACAAUAAAAUGUUGCGACCAGAAAACAAUCUAAUCAUAAUUAGAAACAUGGAUGUAUGUAUUUGUACACCAAAUCACAAAAAAAUAACUCCAGAUUUCGAUCUAGAGACAAUUAAAAACUUGAACAAAUUUGAUAAUUAAAGAAACACGGAGAUGGCCAUAUGACCCCUUGUGCAUAGACUUUUUACAUUACAUGCUCAAUUCCUAGGAUCAAAACAAACAUAAAUAUUAAAGACUUAAGAAGCACAUACACUCAAGUUUGGCUAGUGUAUCAAUAAACAAUAUGUAUGGAACACUCGGAGAACACGUGUUGAACACUAGUUAGUACAAUAGAUGUGUUAGACAACAAGUAUUCCAAUGCAAUAAAGGUCAAGAUUGGUUACACACACAUAUUAAACUCUUGGCUUUGAAUAAGUUUUGAGUGAAGGAUGAGCUUAUUUUUAAGCAUAUAAAUACAUAAACUUAUUGACUUUGAAUUUCUAUAUAAAUAUGAUACAUACUUUUUAAAUUAUAUAUAUUAAAACUGUGUUCUAGCACUAUCCUAUAUUUUUUAGAAAAAAAUGACACGUCACCAUGUCUAUAAUUUAUUGACCCAUGUCUAGAAUUCGUAUACGUGCUUGUUUGUUGAGAACUUCACGUCUUCAUUAGAUGGGAGGAUAGCCAUAUUAUAGUGGUUGUAUGUGUAGUAUAGAGAACCAAACCUAGUACUCGAGAUUUGUACAAUAACAGAGAACUUACAUUUCCACCGGCUGACUUGACUAUCAGGGAUAGAGUUUUAGGUGGUGGUUGAGCGUGAGCUGAUAUGCAAACAUCAUACCCUUCAAAUAAAGCUCAAAAACAUGCUUUUGCCUUGAGAACUGCAGCUUUUAGGCUGGCUCGAUACUUCGAUAUGUAGUCAUCAUCAUUUAGUAUGUAAGGCAACUCGUCUGCAGAUCAAUAAGGAAUUAAUCAAUCACAAAAAUUAGGUAGGAUGAAAAACAUAAGUGGAAGAAAAUACAUUACGCUUUGAUACUAGCAAGCCAUUCGAACUUACCAACAAAUCUGCCUUCCCGGUAGCUUUCCUUUAACCAACUGGAGGAGACAAUCCAAGCUCUGAGUAAUUUGCAAUUAACUUGCAAUUUUAGUAACAAGAUAUAGUAAAAAUUAUGAGCAAGAGCACACUGACACGCUUGAAGCCACAUGGUAAUGCAUAUGCUCGAUAAUCAUUGAGAACAAUAACAGGAGAAAAUAAAGUUAAGAACAGUAGCUUGAAGAACAAAAAACAAUCUACAACAUAAAAUCUUCAAAAACACAUUGCUUAAAAUCAAGUUUACUAAUAUAAAAGGUAAGAUAUUACGUUCCACUCUCCACACUACUGAAGUUCAACAUUUCACAUGAAAGAAAUGAAAUACUACUCCCAAAUAUAACUGAAAAAAGCAUAAUUGGGUAAAGAAAAAGCAUAGAGAAAUGCAAAAGAAUCCUUGGCUUUGAUAUAUUGAAAGGUAAAAAAUAUCAACCAUAGAUGUCCGGGAGAAGAACUCCUACAAAUACACACUUAACGCAGAAUUAUCAUUCGCUAACAUGAGACCUUCUAGAGGAAUUCUGUUAGGAUACUUCCUAACAAGAACAAGAUCUUAAUUUAUUAUAAUGAACUAUAAGAAAAUACAAGAUAAAACCAAGUAUAAGGCACUUGGAACCUCCCUCUUGAGUACUCUCACCCAAGCCCUAGAUCACUUCCCAGAAUUCUCCCCUCACUUACCCUCCCUCCAUUUAUAAUAAGAUGUAACCACACUUACAUAAUAACUACUAGUAACUUUCUAAAUAUCUAAUUACCCUUAUACCCCUAACCUUAUACUAAUCUAGGUAUCUAACAUUACCCGAUGCUUCAAAACACCUUGUCCUCAAGGUGUGCUUGCAAACAUGAUCAAGGCCCCUUUCUCUUUUUUUCUCUUUUUAAUUGCAAAGAAUCCCCAGCAUUCUGCUCUUCAAUGUUGAAAAAGAAAUCUUCCCCCUCGGCUUUGAAAAACUCUCGAUUCCAAUAAGGUCCAUUGACUUCAGCCCACAAAGCAGCCCAAUGUACUUGAAUUUUCCUUUUCCAAAACACAUUGUCUUAGUUAACCCUUUGCAUAUCACCAACAAGUGUUUAAUUUUCAAACUCUUCAUCUCUAGUGGGCUAGGCCAUAAUCAAAGUGUUGCGUCAAGACCAAAAUCAUACUGCCGCGGUUUCAUUCCUAGGACCCACCUAUAUACAAGUUUUUCUUCCCUCCUAUUUUUUGGAACUCUCCACCCACUUCAUCUACAAAAUGAUGUGCCCCCAAUGUUUUAUUUAGAAUAAGUUGAAGCUCAUUUAGAGUAAGUUGAAGCCCACUUGAAAUAGUAAAACCCAAGAUUGUUCCUUUUGUCCUAAUCCUCUGUCCUACCAAUUUCUACCACGCCAUUGGCACCAUCAUGUGUGCAACAACUUCUUCCUCGUCACGUGAUUCACCCCUAUUCCAGACCACCUUCUCGAGCCUCUGUAGACCGAUAACUAUCGGCUUCUUCUUUCUCCAUUGCAACCAGCCAUUUUGUGUUUCUUUUAGCAACAAAUUUUUCUUCACUCGAGUCUUCAUUUCGAGCCUCACAGGUAAUCCUCGUCGACCUUCCUCUAUAGUUUCUUCUUGGUCACUCUUUGCCAUCCUCUUCACCUUCGUUGUAUAACCGUUGCAAUCACGUUUUCCUCGAUUCUUCUAUGGAUUCAGAUCCUUCUUGAAAUCCAUCAAUUUAUGGACCUGAAGAUUCCAAUCCGUUCUAAAUAAACACAAUCAAGAUCAGUGCCACUGAACACAGGCAUUUCAACCUUCUUGAAUUUGCUAUGAUCGUUCGAGUUUUCAUCCCUUUCAAACUUGUUUGUUUUACCUUCUACCUUGAUUUCCUUCAAUGUCUUACCUCCACCUUCGAUUAUACUCUCAAUCGUUGGUCCUUUGCUCGACGAUCCUUCCAUUCUUUCGGAGAUCGUCAAAUUAUCCUUCUGCUAUUCCUUCGAUGCAUUUAGCAACCGUUCUUGUUUUUCCAACUAGAUGACCAGUCUUUCGAUGCUUUUUGGCAAGCAUAACAAGUUUUCUUCAAUUGCCAGCAACUUGUGUAACUCCACUAGUAUCCCCGAGAUUUCCUUAUCAGAGGUCUCCAACUUCUCUUUGAUCCGUUUUUGUGCUGCUCUAUCAUUCUCCCAAGUAAAAACGCUCUGAUACCAAUUUGUUAAGAUACUGUAAAUAUACGGCAAGUGUAUCUUACUUUAUUGAAUUACCUCAAUGAAUUACAGUAUAGAGAAUAAAAAAUCACUCACAUCUACUUCCUAAAGGCACACUCCAGUGAGGAUCACAACAAAGAACAAGAAAAACUAAGAACAAACCGCAACCAUGAAAAUGACCAAAACAAACAAUAAAAAGAACUUGACUUGGACCCUCUACUUCUCCCGAGCACGAAAGACGGCAGCCUCUACUUCUUUGGAAUAUUUUGUCCCCUUUCUCCCUCCUCUUUCCUCCAUUUUAUUUUGCUUUACUAACAAACUAAUGGGAAAGAUCUCCUCCGAUAUUCUCUCCUCCUAUAAUCUCUCAUAUAUUCUUGUGUGGGUCAAUAUUACCCUUUUUAAUUCUCCUACUGUACUUAAAUAAUAUUGGAGACAUAUACUUCCUAACAAGAACAAGAUCUGAAUUUAUUAUAAUGUAACUAUAAGAAAAUACAAGAUAAAACCAAGUAUAAAGCACUUGGAACCCUCCCUCUUGAGUACUCUCACCUAAACCUUAUAUCCCUCCCUCGUACUCUCACCCAGUCCUUAUAUCACUCCCUAGAAUUCUCCCCACUUACCCUCCCUCCAUUUAUAAUAACAUGUAACCACCCUAGUUACCACACUUACAUAAUAACUACUAGUAACCACACUUACACAAUAACUACUAGUAACUUCCUAAAUAUCUAAUUACCCUUAUACCCCAACCCUAUACUAAUCUAGGUAUCUAACAAAUUCCAUAACAUAAUGUAUUAAGGGAAGAAGGAAAUCGAGGAUAAAAACACUAGCUAGCCAACAAAUAUCUUUCAUUAGUGAGCUUGAGCCAUUUUACACGUAAAAUGGGAAAAGUAAGCCUGAAACCCAAAUUAGCCUAAUGGUUGUCUUAACAACCACUACCCACCAUCACGAUAGAAACAACUAAUAAGGAAGAGCAUGAUACAAUCCAACUCAAACAUAAGAAUUGAUUUUGAUGUUUAACUAAAAGUAAAUAGGCAGUAGACUAAGAAACUAUGCCCUUUUAGAUCUAGAAGGUUCACAGCAAUUUCCAGCCUAAGCACAACUACGAGGCAAUGGAAGAAUAACGGCAAAGGCCUUGUCUGCAUGGAAUCGUUAACUUUGGUGCCAAUGAGAUGAUUAUCGGUAUUCAAAGGCCAAAAGGACACAUAAAAGAGUGUUCGUCUAAGGUUGCAAGAGAGCAAUACAAAAGUUUAGAGUUUUCCGCACUUUUCCUGUAAUGGCAUGAGCGCUUGUACUCCCAUCAGCAGUGAGAGAACCACCAAGUUCCUCAAUCAUCUAAAUCAGAAAACAACUGCACAUUAGAGCAGUCACAAUUUGGAAUAAAAAGAACUUUUUAUUGUUAGAAUCUUAGAAUAUUUAUGAAAAGUUUAUGGGAAUAUUUUUCUUAAUUCCUAAAUAUUUUCCUUUUUUAUUCCUCUGUAUAUUCUAUUUAUUCUCCCUUGUACCUAUUGUAUUUUUCAUCAGAAAAUAAUAAGAAGAAAAAUAUAGUGGUUUUUCUCCUGGUACACAGGUUUCCACGUAAAGUUGUGUGUUUGUUUGUCUCCCUUUCAAUAUGGUAUCCGAGCAGGUGGUCCAAGAAGGUCUCGUGUUCAAGCCUCGUAUUUUCGUUUCCUCCCCAUUAUUAAAAUCCAUUUCCAAUUGUUGGGCCUUUCAAAUAUUUCAAGCCCACAAGUGAGGAGAGUGUUGGUGAUAUAUAAUUGAAUUUUCUUUCUUUUUUUAAAGAAGGAUACGAGUCUCACUAUUAUUAAUAUAAAGAAAGAGACAAAGCUCAAUGUACAUGAGGAUUAUACAAAGAGCAAAAGGGGAGAGGGAAGAUUAACAGGCGCAUCCGAGCAUCACAAACUAGGUUGACACCCCCUUAGUGCCCUCAAAACAUCCAAAAAGCGACAACACAAGAUCAAAACAAAAAGCCACAAAAACAAAGACAAACAAAAUGAUAAAAAGAAUCUUUCCAAAGCAAAAUCAUAAUCAAAGGCAGCAUGCUGAGAACAAAGAAGAAUAAGCCUUGAUUGGUUGAGCAUAAACUGUUUGAAGCAGAGGGCUGAUCCGAAAGUCCUGAUCAUCAAAUGCAUGAUCCUCUCUCUCUCAUUACAUGUUUAUACCCCAACAUUACAUGUUUAUACCCCAACAUUACAUGUUUAUACCUCUCUCUCUCAUCCCUCUUAGUGGGCCCCACCUGCAUGAUCCUCUCCCAUUAUUCUCUCAUCAUUGGUUGCUAAGGAAUUUCCCUUUCUACCCUUUCUUUUAUAGGUAUAGAUAAUAGGAGGUCUUACAAAGUAAUACCUGGCCUGGCUUUCUUUAAUCUUUCUGCGAGAACCUUUCCAAAACAACUUAUAAAUUAAUGUUGAAACAACUUAUAAGCCACACUGUAAUGACCUUCCUUCUCUUGACCGAACUUCAAUAAUCGACAACUUAUAUUUAUCCACAUAAUCAGCAAAACUCUUAAUCUGCCACUAGCUUCAAACAAAGACCCAGCCAAUUCCUUUUGAACUCCAUAGUGCCUUUAUAAUACAACUGGCAAUCUCUUCUCUUUUGGUCCCCGGAAUCAAUGCUCUAUCUGGAUUAGCUUUCUUCAAGAGAUUUUUAAUAGCCAAUUGUUUCGAAUGGCCCAUGAAUCCUCUAGUGUUCCAUGAUAUAAUCUUCAUCUUUGCAACCUCUGCCUUAUAUCAAUUCAAUUUCACAUGCUGCCAAGAAAGGAACCAACUCUUGAGGGGGAAGGAUACUUGCUGACCUGCACAAAAUUUCUUUUUAUGGGGAGGAAAACAAUUUAAUAAAAUCUGGACCGAGAGAGUCACUGUCCUCUUGUUUCUCUGUCUCUAAUUGAAUUAUUUCUUCCUCAACUGGUUCAAAUUCUGUACUACUUACACUGGUGACUGAUUAAACUUCCAUGAAUUCAUCUUCUAGGCUCUCAACUUUUUUGAGACAAGAAGUAUCUUGCACAAAAAUUAAAGAAUGAACCAGAAAGUUUGGAGGAGGAUUGAGAAAAUUUUAUUACUUAAGGAGGAAGGCAGUACUGACCUUUUGCCAACUGAAUUUGGAAUUUGUAUCUUCACACAACUUUCCUCUAAUAAAUCAGAAUUAGCCAAGCUCAUCCAAAUGUUGCGAAAAGAAGUUCUCCCUUUGGUAUAGGUCUUGAGGUGCUUAGAAAAAUUUAUGGCAUGAAAUGGAAUAGCUUUCAUUGCAGAUGAUAUUUUAGUCUUGGGAGAGGCUGGUAAUUUUGGUUGAGAGCUGAAAACAGGAGAUGGCCCACAAGUGAAGUUCGUUUAUGGAGGAGAGGACUCUGAUUCUUCCUCCAAUUCGUCAGAAUACCAAAAGCCAUUGGAAUUCUGAUUAAUAAAAUUAUUGGGGCCUACCAUCUGUGUGUCAGCUUUUAAAAUGUCUGCAAAUACAUUAAGUUUGAAAAAACCUGGUUGGGGAGGGCUAGGUGAGCUGUUUUUUGAGAUAAUAAAAUGUCGGUUGGCUGCCUUUUCUUCUUUUGAGGUAUGUUUUUCUCUCUUUUCUAUUGAAGUCUUUUCCCCUUUUAAGUACGUGGAGAUCCCAGCUAUACCCAAAUUUGAAUUUUUCCUUCUGAAAAUUAUUUUUUUCGGCGAGGAUUCAAGGGCUAAAACUCUUUCCGGUCGAACAAGGUUUUCUUCUUCAUCACCCAACUUCCUAAGUCCUUCGAAAGGAUUUCUUGAGAUGGAUGGGGCAUUCUGUUUGAGAAAAUUUAGGUAUCUGGGAGACCAUCACUUUGGAGCCCUUCAUCUAAAAUCACUGAAUUUAUUCUACAUAAAUCAAUAGGAUUGGAAAAAUCACUUUGAAAUAGAUCAGAUUGGAUUAUUACAGGAGCUUAAUAAGGGUUCAAAAUCCCCAAAAUUAAGGGAAAAAAUUUCCUCAGUUCUCACUCUUUAAUUCUAUAGUUGCUGGUAAGAAUCCGCAAAGAUUUUUUCGAACUUUAAUUCUUGCUUUAGAGAACUUGAUCAGAUUGAGUGUUUCUAAGAUUAUACUCUCUAGUCCACCAAAAGUAGCUUAAGCUUAAGGCUAUAAUUGAAUUUUCUUUCAACCACCAGCUUAAACUUUUUGGUGAAUCGGUGGUUUAAUAUUUAUAUUAAUAUUUUAUAAAAAAAUGUACACAGCUAAUGCCAUAUAAAAUAAAUAAAGAAAUACUAUAAAAUCUACAUCCAUAAAAUAUGCAUGUGAACACAUAUCAGAAGAUGGAUAUUUGUAAGUUAGAAAGACCGAUAACAAAAUGUCAUAAUUAAACAACAGCAUUAAUAUUAUGGGUAGUUUCAAGCUUCAUUUGUCUAUUCUAGGUAGGGAUAUUGAAUAACUUUAAAAAAUAAUAUAAAGAUUGAAUCCCUAAACUUCAUGUGCUUGCUAGUAUACAACCUAAAAGUUCAACAGUUAAAGAAACUGAUUAAUCAUUUUUGGCAGGAUGUCAGAUUCGCCUUUCGAAAUCCUACAUAGUAGAGCCAGCCAAAUAAGCCAAGCAAGAUAUGCCUCUUAAGGAAUAUGGAGAAGUUCAAUGACUGGGUAUGUAUAUGAUAAGCCUUAACCUCAAUUUUAUUUAUCAAUGAUGGAGGGAAGGAAUCAGAAGCUUCUCUAGCUCUCCCUAUUAUUCUAAGAAACCUGAUACAAGCUAUGCCAAAACAUACCCUCCCCAAACAAUCAUAAUAGCAUUUAAUAUGAAAGCAUAAAAGACUCAUGGCUCCCUUAUACUAGGAACAUUCAGACCAACAAAUACAGCUUCCCAUCCUCCUCACCUGAAUCCUUUCUUGUGCCUACGGGUGUACACCUUCACUACCAUGGGCCUAUCAGUAUUUAGAGAUCGUAGAGGCUGUAUGAGCCAAGGAGUUGGAAGAGUAGGAUUAGGGAAGUGUGGAGUUUUCCGCUCUUUGUUUGGCCAAAAGUGUUUGUGGACUCCCGACAAGAAAAUUUCAAUUUUAUGCCUUAUUGACUUCGUAUGUCCUAGGCCCUAAGAGUUCAAAACUUUCUAGAUUUCACAACUUCUUGGACCACUCCUUCUGUCAAACACCCCUUUAAAGAAUACUAAGCCAAGGAUAUAAAACUUCAAUACCAUCAAUAGAAAAUCUCAUAAAAGAAACAUGAUUGAUGAAUAUUUUAGAAGACUAUAAAUUGGUACCGUACUUUCAUGAGCUGAGUUUUCUUUGUUUCGUUUGCAAUGUUCAUCAACAUAAUUUUAAAUGAUUUUCCUAAUGUGUUCUCUUCAGAAUUGAGGUCCUCUGAUGCCACAUUUACACUUCCAAAUUCUUGAUAGAAAUUUUGUGUACACUGAUUGGUUGGAUUUUUAGGAUAAAUACUUGAUAAAAUCUCAUGCUUUGAAUUGGCUAAAGAGCAUCCUUGAGAGCAGGUAUCGUAUACAUCACUUUUAGCUGUCAUACUAGCUGUCAUGUUGUUCUCUAUUUCUGCAAAAGAAACCGGACCGUUGCUGUCAUGCACUGCAUCCUGGUUUAAAUAAACCGUUCUGAGAUAAUUAAGCAACAUAUGGAGAAUAAUUUAAAUUGUACUAUCUUGUGGAACAAAACCUGAAUUACACAUACCCUGAAUUUCAUUUUCUUCUCCAAGGGGCACUAAAGUUACAAACUCGUCAUGUUGAAAAUUCAAAUUUUGAAUGGUAUGUUGAUCAGUUGCAUUUGAAACGUUGCAACCUCGAUUGGCAACACUAAUUCUUGCAGCAUACAGGGCUUCAGGCUUUAGUAGAGAAAGUAACUUUGGAAAGUCAGUCGAACACAUUGAAAUUCCCUGAAUGUGCGAAAUCCAUGGAUUUUAUUACACAUCCCAAAGGUGAACGACUUUGAGGCAUCUUGGUUAUAAUCAAUGUUGGAUCGGUAUGGCAACCCUAGAGGGGGGUGAAUAGGGUUUAAAUAAACUUUUUGACAAAUAAAAAGUAAAAAUCAAACUAAUUAGAUAUUUUUUAAUAUUUAAAUAAAGAACUUUGUAAACUUUGUUAAAUAACAAGAUUGAUAAAAAGAUAUGAAUGGAAAUAUGCAAUCAAACUCAACCAAUAAGAAUAUGUAACUAAAAUUAAAUUAAAAAAUAAUUAGAAAAGAGUUAGAGAAGAAGACACCGUAAUUUUAUAGUGGUUCGGUUAAACUCAACCUACAUCCACUUUCCCAAGCACCUCUUGGGAUUUUGAUUGAAAAUCUUCUUUAGACUCUUUCCACGGAUUUGAGCCGAACCGAUUCUUGCUCCUUUUUCGGGUUCAAGAGCAAACCCGAUCCUUUCCACGGGUUAGGAUCCAACCGUUACAAUAUGUUGAAGUUUUUAAAUCACACAAAAGAAAACUCUCUAAAAGAGUGAGUAUACAAUUUGAAGCUCACAAAUUUAAUCCUCACAAUACAAUAAGAAGCUCUCAAGAAUAAGAUGAAAAGAAUAAAAAUUGGAAGCUUUAAAGAGAAUAACAAUGUUGGCUUUUUGCUUGAGGAUUGUAAAGAUUUUAAUGAUCUUGUGUAAAUGUGAAGUAUUUAAAAAGAGAGGAAAGAUAAAUUCAAAAUCAUUUGGGUCAUUAGAUAUAAGUAAAAGAAAAAUGAAUGGUUGAGAUUUAAACUUAAUUAGCCGUUAGACACAAUACAAAUAAUAAUAUAAUAAUAUGUCUUUUCAAAAUACUUUGUUUAAAAAGAAAUCAAUAAAGCAACUUCACCCUCUUUUAAAAAAACUAGGCGUUAGACACAAGAAAAAAUAAUAAUAUUAAAAUCAUUUUCCUUUUAAAUUCAUUUUCUUUAUAAAAGCCAAUAAAACAUAACAAAAAGCCACAUUUGUUACUCCUUCAUUGCUCCAAGUGGCUUUCUCUAAUUGGUUCAAAUUGAAUGCUUGGUCGCCACGUCACCAUCUCGAGUAUUUUUUCGUUAAGCUUAUUUUAGCAAUAUUUUCUUCAUUUGAACUUCGAUUUGGGUGAUUCAAGAGGCGUUAGAAUCAUUUUUCCAAGCUCUACGAUAUGGUCUAUUCAAAUUAAUAAAAUUGUCAAUAAAAAAAUCAGAUUUGUUAUCAUCAAAACAUAAAUUAAUUGAAUAAUUAAAAUAAAUUAAUUUGAGAUUAAGGGCCAAAAAGCCAACAAUCUCCCCCUUUUUGAUGAUGACAAAUCAUUGAAGAAAAAUAACUUGAUGAUGACACAUGAUUAGACAUGUUAAACUUAGGCACAAUGUAGUUUUUAGAACUUGAUGGAGUAGAUGAUUCAUCAAUAUAGCCUAAACCUCUCUUAUCACCAUAAGAUUUUCCUACUUCAAUAAUUUUGUCCAAUCUUUGAGCACCUAUUGUCAACUUUUUAAUAGUUUCUUUAGCUUUAUCAAGUUCUUGUAAAACACUUAGUUCAUUUUCUUUAAGCACUUUAAUCAAGUUAUCUUUUUCACAACUAUCAUGCUCAAGAAAUCUAACUUUAUCAAGCAAAGCAUCUUUCUCAAUACAAACAUGCUUAUCACUAGAGACAUUCAAUUCUUCAAUUUGCUCAAAAUUUUCAUUCUCUUUAAAGCAAGCAAUUGUAUCAAGUAAAGACUUAUUUUCACUAAUUAAAAUAUUGUAUUUCUUCUUAAGCACAACAUACUUAGAACUAAGUUUUUCUAGGUCAUUUUGCAUGCUUUCAAAAUUUUCAAAUAAUUCAUCAAUAGAAAGAGGUUCUAGAGUUACCUUAUCAUCAUGUUCAUCAUCUUUGUCACUAUGAGCCAUGAGACCAAGAUUUGCCAUUUCUUCAACUUCACUUUCACUUUCACUACUAUCAUCCCAUGUAGCCUUCAUUGCCUUCUUCUUGGAUUUCUUAGAUGAUUUGAGGAGAGGACAAUCCGUUCUUAUAUGACCCGAUCUUUUGCAUUCAUAACAAAUCACCUCAUCCUUUUUGCUUUUCUCACCUUUUGACUCUUUUUGGGUUGAUAGGUGUUUCUUGAAAUAUUUCUUUCUUUUUAUGAAUUUUUGUACUUACGUGAGAAAUAAGCAAUGUCAUCUUCAUCAAGGCCAUCCUCAUCUUUGGGAUCAACUUCCAAGGAGAUAGUCUUUAAUGCAAUGCUCUUCUUCUUUUUGGACUCAUCCUCCAAGUGCUCCUUCAUGAUGAUCUCAUGAGUCAUGAGUGAGCCAAUAAGCUCCUCUAGUGGAAGUUUUGUGAGAUCCUUUGCUUCUUGAAUCGCCGUUACCUUAGCUUCCCAAGUCUUAGGUAGAGACCUUAGAAUUUUUCUAACAUUUUCGGAAGUUGUAUAAACUUUACCAAGACCCUUCAAAGCAUUUAUGAUGUUAGUAAAUCUAGUAAACAUAUCGGUGAUAGUCUCAUUAGCAUCCAUCUUAAACAAUUCAUAAUUAUGAACAAACAUGCUAAUUUUAGACUCUUUAACUUGAUUUGUUCCUUCAUGAGUAAUUUCAAGAGUAUUCCAAAUUUCUUGAGCGGAAGAACACAUGGAUAUUCUAUUAAACUCAUCUUUACUCAAGGCACAAUACAAACAAUUAAUAGCCUUAGCAUUAAAUGAACAUUUUUUCAUUUCAUUUUCAUCAUACUCUUCUUCUAAUUUAGGCGUAUCAACAUUAUCAACAUUUUUCAUGGGUACAUAAGGACCUUUAGCAACAAUUAACCACAAAUUAUAGUCAAUAGAUUGCAAAUAAAUUUUCGUUCUAGCUUUCCAAUAUGCAUAGUUUGAACCAUCAAAAUAAGGAGGUCUAGAAGUAGAUUGACCUUCAACAAUACCAUUUGCCAAUAGGUUUGCCAUAAUGCUCUAACAAUAAAGUUUAUCAAGAAAUUAAAAUUUCAAGAUGAGCAACCUUGCUCUGAUACCAAUUGUUGGAUCGGUAUGGCAACCCUAGAGGGGGUGAAUAGGGUUUAAAUAAACUUUUUGACAAAUAAAAAGUAAAAUCAACUAAUUAGAUAUUUUUUAAUAUUUAAAUAAAGAACUUUGUAAACUUUGUUAAAUAACAAGAUUGAUAAAAAGAUAUGAAUGGAAAUAUGCAAUCAAACUCAACCAAUAAGAAUAUGUAACUAAAAUUAAAUUAAAAAAUAAUUAGAAAAGAGUUAGAGAAGAAGACACCGUAAUUUUAUAGUGGUUCGGUUAAACUCAACCUACAUCCACUUUCCCAAGCACCUCUUGGGAUUUUGAUUGAAAAUCUUCUUUAGACUCUUUCCACGGAUUUGAGUCCGAACCGAUUCUUGCUCCUUUUUCGGGUUCAAGAGCAAACCCGAUCCUUUCCACGGGUUAGGAUCCAACCGUUACAAUAUGUUGAAGUUUUUAAAUCACACAAAAGAAAACUCUCUAAAAGAGUGAGUAUACAAUUUGAAGCUCACAAAUUUAAUCCUCACAAUACAAUAAGAAGCUCUCAAGAAUAAGAUGAAAAGAAUAAAAAUUGGAAGCUUUAGAGAGAAUAACAAUGUUGGCUUUUUGCUUGAGGAUUGUAAAGAUUUUAAUGAUCUUGUGUAAAUGUGAAGUAUUUAAAAAGAGAGGAAAGAUAAAUUCAAAAUCAUUUGGGUCAUUAGAUAUAAGUAAAAGAAAAAUGAAUGGUUGAGAUUUAAACUUAAUUAGCCGUUAGACACAAUACAAAUAAUAAUAUAAUAAUAUGUCUUUUCAAAAUACUUUGUUUAAAAAGAAAUCAAUAAAGCAACUUCACCCUCUUUUAAAAAAACUAGGCGUUAGACACAAGAAAAAAUAAUAAUAUUAAAAUCAUUUUCCUUUUAAAUUCAUUUUCUUUAUAAAAGCCAAUAAAACAUAACAAAAAGCCACAUUUGUUACUCCUUCAUUGCUCCAAGUGGCUUUCUCUAAUUGGUUCAAAUUGAAUGCUUGGUCGCCACGUCACCAUCUCGGGUAUUUUUUCGUUAAGCUUACUUUUAGCAAUAUUUUCUUCAUUUGAACUUCGAUUUGGGUGAUUCAAGAGGCGUUAGAAUCAUUUUUCCAAGCUCUACGAUAUGGUCUAUUCAAAUUAAUAAAAUUGUCAAUAAAAAAAAUCAGAUUUGUUAUCAUCAAAACAUAAAUUAAUUGAAUAAUUAAAAUAAAUUAAUUUUGAUAUUAAGGGCCAAAAAGCCAACAAUCAAUUGGUUCUCGAAGUACGCCACCUUCAUCCCCACUACAAAACUAUGUUCUGUCGAGCUGAUAGCACACUUGUUCUUUAAGAACGUCUUGAAGUUAUGGGGAGUUCCAUCAAGCAUUGUGAGUGACAGGGAUGGUAGAUUCAUUGGUACUCUCUGGACCGAACUAUUCGCCUUCUUGGGGACACGCCUAAAUAUAUCCUUAAGCUGCCAUCCUCAGACGAAUGGCCAAACUGAAGGAUUCAAUUGUAUGCUUAAGGAAUAUCUACGACAUUUUGUUGAUUCUGGACAAAAGAAUUGGGCCUAGUUGAUGGAUGUGGCUCAAUUUUGUUUUAAUGCACAAACUAGUCUAUCCACAAGAACGAGGCCUUUCGAAAUCUUGAGUGGAAGACAACCUAUACUGCCUCAUAUUGUUGAUCAUCCUUAUGCAGGAAAAAAUCCUCAAGCUCAUAACUUUACGAAAAAGUGGGAGAAGACUACGAACAUCGCUCGAGCAUACUAAGAGAAAGUCUCGAAGCGUAUGAUAAGAAGCAUCAUCCUCUCAAGUUUUGAGCGGAAGACCAACUCUUCAUAGAGUUUAAAGCAAAGCAAAUUUGAUUUAGAGGACAUCAACAUCAGCAUCUCACCAGAAAAUACGAAGGGCCUGUUGAAGUUCUGAAGAAAAUUGGAAAUGCAUCCUAUAGGGUAUCGUUGCCUGCAUGGAUAAAAAAUCAUCUAGUAGCUCAUGUGAGCAACUUGAAACCUUACCAUCAAGAUCCAGAUGACCAGUAGUGCAACAAUGGUGUAUGGUCAUCUAGUGACCUAAAGCAGAAAGACGAUAAAGAAAUGGAAGAAAUCCUUCCUAAGAGAGUGAGGAAGGGUAUACCCAUGAAGAGGAUACAUGAAUUCCUACUGAAGUGAAAGAACCUCCAUGUGGAAGAAACACGUUAGGAAUGUGCUGAAGACCUUGGAGCGUGAAAGAAGAAGAUCGAGGAAUUCUAGCUUCGCCAGUCGACAGGGAUGUCAAUUGUUUAAGUGGGGGAGAAUGUAACAAGCAUGCUUGUCCAGGGCGCUGUUUGCUUAUGGUCGCAUGCCCAAACACCCCCAAUUUACAUUGUUUUUAUGUUUUGUAUUUAGUUUUACUUUUUGCUUUCCUUUUUAUGUCAUAAACCUUGGGUGUGACUUGGCUUUUUCUUAUGCAAGCCUACCAGAACUAAAAAAGUCUAAAAUGUAUUAUAGAUGGGACAUAGUAGUUGAAUCCCUGUCCAAGCCUUGUUGCACUCUUCGCAAUCAAAGUUUUUCUUUGCAAUUGACAGUCUUCAAUGCUUGCUUUAACGAUAUUUUCAUUGAAUUUCUUUCUCCUCACGUUUUAUAAAACAUUUUCUCAAGAACGUGAAGAGAGGCUACAUCGUAUCAUGUGUUUGUCCGUGGUUUUUGGAUUUUGAUCAGCUAACUUGUUGUCUACGUAAAACAAGUGCAACAUAAUCGCUCCUCUCGUGUUUGAAAGCUCGCGAUUGUGACACAAGAAAUGCACUAGCCAAGAAUGCACACGAGGAGGGCUACACGAAAUGCCAAGCACGCAACCAAGUGAGGUUCACAAUGUGCUUGUGUGUAAGGUUAGCACGCGGGCAUGCCCAACGCGCGUGAAAAGCCUCUUGUGAGAUUCACACACAGUAGCCAGCGCCGCCCCAACCAAGGCCCUGCCGCCCACCCAUUCGUGCCAGGCAGUGUCAUAUUGCGUGUUGAGCUAUUUUUGGUAAUUUUUUAAGUUUUUUAAGUAUACUUUUGAUAUUUUCUUGGCAAAAGAUAAUUAAUUGUACUAUUUUACCAUUAUUUCAGGACAUGAGAAGAUCAUACAAAUUUAUAAACCAAGGAUUUGAGCUUGUAUCUGUGAGUGGAAAAUGUUUUAUUUAAAGUGAUUUCAAGCAUGUUCUUAAGUCAUGAUUUAUGACGGAUUUAUGAUAAAAUGUUUAAGUUAUGUUAUGAACAGUCUUUCAAGCGUGUUAUUGUUUAAAGGUAUUUAUUCAAGCAUAUUGUUUACUCUUCAAAAUGCAUAAUAUUCAAAAUGUUUUCCCACUUUCUAGGUAGAGAUCGUGUCCUCUAAGCCUAACUUGCUGCUACCUGUCUACUGAAGGAUUUCAUUUUGUUAUCGUAUGUGUCCUGUUAUUUUGUACUAAUGAUAAAUUAGUCUUUUGUGCUAUCAGACUUAGGCUUUUGGGAAGGUUUUAUAAGGUUUUGUUCUAGAUAAAUAAGAUUACGUUUUGUCUAUGUAAAACUUGUCUAAGGUUGUUAAAUGAAAAAGGUUUAGCCCAAUUGGUUUUAGUAAAAUUUAUGUGUUAUGUUUCCUCUGUUGUUUAGAGUUUAAAGGUUCAGGCUAAGGGUCAGAUGGUGUCAUCCUUGACAUGGGUGCUAUCGAUUGGCUUCACGCCAUAUCUCGAGCCACGCAAGUAGGUGCUCGUGGUGGGGUGUGAUAGCCUAAGUUGGCUUAUUAACAAUUAAAAUGUAAACAUGUCCAUAACAAAAUAGUCGGGCAAGGCCCAUGUGGACCGACUGGUAAAGGUUGAAGAGCAAAUGCUCUACCUAAUGAAAGUUCCUAACUCAAUUCGCUUCUUGGAAACCUGCCUUGAAGAAAUUAAACCCCAAAUUAAAUCCACCAGCUCUAAUACCAUAUUAAACCCCAAAUUCACCUAAAAGCUUAAGCUAGUGGUUGAAGGUAAAUUUAAUUAUAUAUAUACCAAAGUAUAAGGUUUCAUCACAAUACCAAUUGGCAAUGAGAGGAGUAGCUCAUCUAUUUUAUAAGGAGUCUAAGUUUCCUUGGUUUUUCAAUUGUGGGACUCCACAUAUCUCAACAUGCCCCUUCAAGAUGGUGCCUCUUUGGUUUCACCUAUCUUGAACCAAAUAUCCGUUUAGGCUUAAUGAGCUCUAAUACCAUAUUGAAAGCAAUGUAUACGAAACCAAAGCUUACGUGAAAACGCAAGAAUCAAAAGAAAAGCAUUGUGUUUGUAGUUUUAUUAUUUUUAUGAUAUAUUACAGAGGUACAAUUGGUGGUUUAAUAUAUAUCACUAACACUAUUGCUGCAAUGAUCGAUCAUCUCGAUGGAUUACCCAUUUAAGAGUUGUUGACAAGAGUUGACACUCUAGAAUCAAAAGUUGUAAGAACUAGAUGUUGUAAUUUAUGUCCUAAAACUCGUUGUAAUCAUAAUCUAUUCAAUAAAGUCGUUAUUGAUACUAUAAUCUUAAAGCCAAUAAACUAAGGACCCGAGGUUAUUAUUAAGUAAACUUGAACUUUAUGUAGAGACAUAAAAGUUGUGAUCAAGUUUAAGUAUAGAGCCUAAAUAGUAUAGAUUGUACGAAUAAAGUUAGGCACCUUAUUCCAGGACACAAUGAAUGCAGUUUGCUUUGUAUUUAGUAUAAACGAUGUGAUCCUAAAUCCUAGAGACAUGAAAGUGUGGACAUCCUAUGUAAAGAGUUUACAAAAGACUAGAACCAUGAAAUAGUCACUUUUAAGUUAUAACACCGUUAACUUUGAAAAACUUACUAUUUCAUUGAUAGAUAUCAAAUAUAACUUAAUCUUAAUACUGAGCUAACUAUAAGCUUCUGUUCUCACCAGCAUGCUUGUUUAAGGCGUUGUUUAUCUAUGGCCACAUGCCCAAAUACCCCCAAAUCACCUUUUCUUUAUGUCUUGUAUUUAGUUUAGUCUAUUGCUUUCCUUUUUACGUCAUAGACCUAGGGUGUGAGGUGUCACACAUUUUCAUUUGCAAACCUGUCAAAGCUCAAAAAGUCUAAACUGUACUAUAGGAGAGACCCAAUAGUUGAAUCCCCAACCAUAUCUUAUCGUAUUCUUUAUAAUCAAAUUUUUAUUUGCAAUUGAAAGUCUUCAACGCUUUCUUUAAUGAUGUUUUUAAUGAUAUUCUCUCUCACAUGUUUUAAAACAAUUUUUUCAUGAACGGGAAGGGAGGUUAUAUCAUAUCGUGAGUUUGUUCGUGAUUUUCGGAUUUUACAUGACUGACUUAUUGACUGAGCAAAACAAGUGUUCUACAAUUGUCCGUUCCAUGUUUGAAAGAUUGCGAUUGUGGCACGUAGAGUGUCACAAGUAUGCUUGUCCAAGGCAUUAUUUGCCUAUGGCCGCGUGCUCGAAUAUCCUCAAACCACUUUAUCUUUAUGCUUUGUACUUAGUUUAGUCAACUGCUUUCCUUUUGUUGUCACCGACCUAAGGUGCGUCGUUUCGCAAUUUUCAUAUGCAAGGUUGUCAAUGCUAAAAAAGUUUAAGAUGUAUUGUAGGGGAGGCAUGGUAGUUGAAUCCCCAACUAAGCCCUAUUGUGAUUUUUGCAAAUCUAAGCUUUCUUUGCAAUUGACAAUAUUCAAUUUUUUCUUCAAGGAUGUUAUCGAUGUUUUUCUUUAUCUCUCACGUUUUAUAAAACCAAUUUCUCUCAAAAGAUGAAGCGAGGCUACAUCGUACCACGAAUUUGUCCGCAACUUUCAAAUUUCACAAGGUUGCCUUGUUCAUCAAUUUAGAACAAGUGUUGCACAACCGCCUGUCCCGUAUUUGAAAAGUUGCAUUUUGUGACAAGUGGUAUUAAAGCUUUGUUAUCUCCUUGGCUAAGCGAGAUGCAAUUAUGUCGACAAUGAAACAACUAUCAAAGUUGCAAUCUGAGCGACUGACUGAGAUUGAAGAGGAAUUCUUGGAUAUGAAAGAAUUGCCAAACGAAGUAAGAUUUCUCCAGACCCAACUUGAGAUGUUUAAAGAAAAAGUAAGAGAAAUAGACGCAUUGAAUGCCUAAAUAGACAAACUACCCAUAAAUGAAUUGGCGCUGAGGGUUGAUUCGUUAGAACAUAAAACCACCAAAGUAGGUAGUUUUGAACGUGGAAGUAGCUCUUCAAGUUCUAUCGCACAAAUGGAAGAGCGUGUCGAAGAGUUUGACUUUUGACAAGCUCCAACAUAAUCAGUUAUAUUUCAAGAAAGAGAAAAGUGUUUUUGCUAAAUAGCGUAUCAAUUUUCUGGGUCACAUCAUCGAAUGUAGAAAGAUUUGAAUGGACGAACAUAAGUUGUGAGCUUUUAAGGAGUGGAGAGCCCCCACUUCCGUGAAAGAGUUACGUUUCAUCCUUCAAUAUAUUCUAAAAUAGGGUUCACCUACUAUCCUCUAGACUCAGUACCGAGAGAAAGAAAUAGAUGGAAAAAGAAAUGGGCUUGGUAAUUUUUUUUUCUAUGUAAAUAAGAAAAAGAAAUCCAAUUUGGUACAAGAGCCCAAAUUCAAUAGCCAACCCAUCAAAUGAGGUCAAUGGCCCUAUUUAUAAGGAUUUUCCAUGCAAAAUUGCAUGUCCAUGGAAUACUAAAGCCCAACAACUCAAAGCUCUAUUUCUAAUAUGAAAUUUGAUGGCUAUAACACAUAUACUUGUCAGUUUCUCUCCAUUAUCCCAAUUCGAACAAUUCGACUUAUUCCAUCACACUGUUUUAAGUUUAUUCCAUAUGAGCUAGCAAGGGAACCUAAUGGACCUAUAUAUCAUGAACUCCAAUGAUUCAAGAUUAAUUGACUAAAUUCUUAUAGACUGAGUUAAUCAACAUUCGUUAACUAACGGGUCAUUCAUGUAUGUACUGGAACGAUUCAGAAUCACCUCGUUUGUACUAACUACAAAGCGGGCGGCAUCCACAGUUUCUCUGAAAAAAUAUGGGUUACUACAACGUCACAACGAUGUACAAUUUUCCUGAUAAGAUGGUACUUACGUUCGAUAUGUUUUCCCCGUUUACGGCUUUUAGGUUCUCUUGAAUUUGCAACUGCACCACUGUUGUGACAGUAUAAAUUGAUUGAUAGAUGCAUAUUUGGAACGACUUCCAGAUCUGUCAAGAAUUUUCUUAGCCAUAAUGCUUCUGUUGUUGCUUCAAAAGUUGCUACGUAUUCUACCUCCAUUGUGGAAUCAAUUAUACAAGUUUGUUUUAUGCUUCUCCAAACUACUACCCUUCUAUUUAGAGUGAAUACUAAUCCUGAUAUAGACUUUCUAGCAUCUUUAUCAGUUUGAAAAUCAUAAUGAGUGUAUCCAGUAAGGAUUAAAUCUUUUGUACCAUACACGAGAAUGUAGUGUUUUGUUCUUCAAAGAUAUUUUAGAACAUUCUUAACGGUUGUCCAGUGAUCACGUCCAAGAUUGGACUGAUACCUACUGACCAUCCCUACUAAGUAGCAAAUGUCAGAUCUAGUACACAACAUUGCAUAUAUCAAACUUCCAACAGCGGAAGCAUAGGAAAUUUUUCUCAUAUCCUCAAUUUCUUGAGGUGUCUUAGGACAUUGUUCCUUUGACAAAUGAAUUCCAUAGAUGUAUAAUAGCAUACCCUUUUUGGAAUUCUACAUUUUAUAUCUAGACAACAUUUUGUCUAUAUAAGAUGCUUGAGACAUGGCUAGUGUUUUGUUUUUGCAGUUCUGUACAAUUUGGAUCUUAAGAACGUAUUGUGCAUUUCCCAGAACUUUCAUUUGAAAUUGCAUAGCUAGCCAUUUCUUGAUAUUAGUAUGAAAUCCUAUGUCCUUUUCCAAUAAGUAGAAUAUCAUCUACAUACAAGACUAAGAAUACUACAAUGGAAUUGACGACCUUUUUUGUAAACAUAAGGUUCGUCAACCUUUUGUAUCAAAGCCAUAAGAUUUGAUCAUAGUAUCAAAUCUUAUAUUCCAGGAUCUAGAUGUUUGUUUUAAUCCAUAAAUGGAUUUUUGAAUCUUACAAACCUUUUGUUCUUGAUCUUGAUCUAUAAACCCCUCUAAUUGAGUAAUAUAGAUACUCUCUUCAAGAUUUUCAUUCAAAAAAAUUGUCUUGACAUCCAUCUGCCAAAUUUCAUAAUCAUAAAACAUGGCGAUGCAUAAGACUAUUCUAAUUGACUUUAGCAUGGCAACGAUAGAGAAAGUUUCUUCAUAGUCUAUGUUAGAAAGAGACAUGCGCAGUGGAAAAAUGGAAUACAAAAUUACCCUAAUUGCACCUAUUUAACUUGCAACCCUAAAUUAAAAGAAUUAGGGUUUAGGAAAUAUUAUACCUUUGUAUCUAUUCGAAUAUGAACGUCUAUACCUCUCACAAAAUUCCAAAAGUUUUUGAAACCAAAAUGUAACACCUUAAACUUACACUACUACAAAAACAGGCUUUCUUGACGUUUGUAGUUUUAAUUACUUGACGUUUUUUGAAAAAAACGUCAAGAAAGCGGUGAUUUCAAAGAAAAAACGUCAAGAAUUUCUAUGAAAAGGCGGAGAUAUGCCAAUCUUCAACUUUCUUGACGUUUUUUAAACGUCAAGUAAUAUUUAUUUAUCCUUGACGUUUUAAAAACGUCAAGUAAUAUCUAUUAAAUUCUUGAAGUUUUAAAAACGUCAAGUAUUUUUAUAAAUUCGACAUUCUUGACAUUUUCUAAACAUCAAGAGAGCGGUUGUUCUUGACGUUUUAAAAACGUCAAGUUCGAUUAAAUAAAAAAAAAAAGGAAACACGCGUUAAUAAUUAGGUGAGAAUUAAUCCUUUUGCCCUAGAAAUUAAAACGCAUCUUCUUCUUCUUCACGCCUAAGCAUUUUCGAAAUCUCCACCUUCACAUUGUCGUCGCGCUUGAGUUUUUGAAAUCUCCAACUGAAAUCACCGUUCUUGAAGUUGGGGAAGCCCUAUCCCACACCCAUUCUUGACGUGAUUCGAAAUUGGUCUUCACACUCGUUCGAAAUCACCAUUCGAAAUCGCCACCGAAGAUUAAUUCCAUCUCUUCACACUCAAUCUCCGUCUGCCAUCCACCGUGCUUCAAGUCGGGCUCCUUCGAAAAUGUCAUCCAUCGUCGCUUCUCUAUACGAAAACUCCAUCCUUCUUUAUUUAGAGAUUAGAAAUUAAUUCUCAUUCACGUAUGAAGAUAUCUUGAUUUGUGAUUUGAACCUUUUGUAUUUGUAUAGAAGCGACGUAUUGCUCAUGGUGCUUUGGGUUUUUUGGGUUAGAAAUUUGAACCUCACGCAUGAAGAGGUUAGAAAUUAAUUCCUCUUCCCUCUUCACGUAUAAAGUUGGGGAAAGUCCAUAUAUCACAUGGUGCUUUGGGUUCUCCUUACAAAUCCAAUGGAGUUGAUGAUUGAUAUGAGAAGAUACAGAUUGAUAGAAGGAGAUAUGGCUUAUACGGGACCGUAUUUUCCCUACUGUCACACAGUAGGUGAGUAAUGUAACUAUUUUCCAUUAACUUUCUCUACCUUCCUAUUUCUCUUGGCUUAUACGGUUGUAUUAUGGUUGAGAAAUGGUCGUCCAUCUUACUGCUUGAUGUUGUUUGAAAACAAAAGACUAACCAUUUUAAACCAAAAUUUGUCCCGAAUAUGCACAGAUGACCGUGAGGGAUACUCUAAACUCUGCACUUGAUGAAGAAAUGUCUGUUGAUCAAAAAAAAAAAAAAUUUAUGAGAGAAGAGGUGAGGGAGAAUGAACACAAACCCAUUUAUGUUUGUAUAUUAUAUGAUUUGUCUACACUUAUGAUUAAUUUCAAACAUUUUGAUGCAGGUCGGAGAAUAUCAGGAGACUUAUAAGGUUAGGUAGGUGGAAGAGAUGAUCUCUACUUCACAUGAUAUUUGAAUUUCUUAUUCAUUUAAUUGUACAUUUUAACAAUUUUUGGCUUUUUUAUUCCCUUCAAUUAGAUAACCAAAAGGAUUUUGGAGAAAUAUGGUUCUGAGAGGGUUCUUGAUACCCCAAUCACAGAGGUUGUUUCUUAACCCAGAAACAUUGUUUUCCGUCAAUUUUAUUGAACUACAUUGUUAUUUCAUCAUUGCAGAAGCUGGUAUUUGUAUCCAAAAUUUCUCCAUUCUAUUGGAAUUUUUUUAUAUUUUUGCAAUUUAUUAUUCAAUCAAUCACUUCCCUCUUUGUUCAUGCUAAUAAAAAUCUAGCUACUUUUGAAAUUACAGGAGGUAAAAUGCAGAACAUUUGUUAACCAAGUCACUUAUUUCGGACUAAAAAAAAGGUAACAACCAAUUUGUUAACCAUGUUUGCACUUUCAAUAUUGUUUAAUUUUUUUGUGUUACACUUUCAUAUUAACUAUAGUUGCAAAAAUAGGUAACAAGAAAUUUAUUUUUUUAGAACUUAAAACAACAAUGGUUGGAUAUCCAGUUGUGAUUUAUGCAUAUUUUUUGUAUUGGCUUUUUGUUUGAUUGUGUUGAAAGAAAGUUAUAGUUCAAAGUGUUAGAGGCUUGGCCACCUUAGAUUUGCAAUUCCAUUAUGUCUUACUCUUUCGUGCAUUAUAAUUAUAAGUGUGUAGAAAAACAUGUGGUGUUUGUUUAAUUAUACAAUGUACUUACUUUCCCCUCAUGUGUGCAUUAUAAGUAUUUUCUGGCUUACUAAUAACUUCAUUGAAAUUCUAGUUAAUUUAUUUAUGAUCUAUCGCUAAACAAUUACACAAGCUGAAGUGAAUGAAUAAAUGUGCAAACACAAAAUCUACUAUGAUGUUGAGUUGAAUAGUGAUGGUUGGAUUUCUAUUAUGCUAUGUUAUAUUAAUUAUCAUCAAAUUUUUUUCAGGCUGCGAGAACCGGUGACUUAGAGCUUUUUCGUCGCGACUUGGAGCUUUCUCAAACUGUUAUUGGGAAGUUUUUGGAUAGUUUUUAGAUAAGUUAGUUAAUUUAGGAAGUUGAGUUGAACUAGGAUGUUGAGUUGAACUUAUGACAAUCUAAUGAGAUUGUUUAUAUUAUUUUUGCAACUGAUAUGAAAUAUUCAUAUAUGUAUUGUUUUGGAAAUGAUUAUAUAUAAAUAUGGUGAAGCAUUUUAUUUAUAUAUGAUUAUUUUUCUAACGCUUUGCACUAUACUAAAAAGCCUUGAUCUUCUUCCCCCCAAUGUUUUCAUAAACUUCUUAAGACAGACCCUGACCUUGGUUAGGCUCGGAUCUCCUUGGAUUAUCACCUUCUUCCCCUGAUAUGUAAAUGUUAACAUCAGAUUCUUCCAAUCCACUCCAGUCGUUCCCAAGGAAUACAAUCACUGCAUUCCAAGUAUGGCAACUACCCCUCCGAACUUCAAGGGUAAAAACUCAUUCACUACCUUCUAGUCUCCCAGCAUUAACUCAACAUCUUCACAAAUUACCUUCCCUUUGACUACAGUGCCCGAGCCCAAAAUGACUCCAUAAUUCGACGUUUCUUUUGUACUCAGUUGCAACUCUUUCACUAUUUUUUUCUGAAAUGAAAUUGCGUGUGACUCCACAAUCAAUUAGUACUAUAGCCACCUUCCCUUGUAUCAUCUCUUUUACCUUCAUUUUCCCUAGGUUGGAUAAUCCCACCACAUAAUUAAUGGAUAAUUCCACCACCACCUGACUCUUCUCUACGAUCUCAGGGGCAUUCAAUUCUUUCUGAUCAAUUCCUCCUUCAAUAAUUUCAUACUCCUCGCCUUCUUCCUUCACAACAAUCAUUCGCAAUUCCCUUUGCUCUUUCAUCUUGCAUUUGUGGUCAUGAGAAUAUUUCUCAUUACAGUGAAAGCACAAUCCCUUCUUUCUAGAUUGAAAUUCAGCAUCAAAUAAGCGCUUCGUCUGUCCCUCUUUCCGUACUUCCUCUUUUGUUGUUCCUCGUAGAGUAAUAGUUCUCAUCGGCCAAUUCAUUCCUCCUUUACUUUCUUCUGUAUUCGCAAUGGUAUUAGCCUUGGUGCUAUUGUGGGAGUUUAUCACCUUUUCUCCAGAAUAUCCAGAAAGAUUUGCUUCCUGACAUCUUCCUUGUUCUCUACCUUUUGCGCGAUUAGUAUCAUUUGUGCUAAUCCCUUCGACUCACAUAAAUCCAUCUCCGCCUAGAUCCACAGUUUCAAUCCUGACAUAAAUGUCUCUUUUACCACCUUCUCUAAUAGGUCCGACAAAGGAGCUACCCACUUAUCGAAUAAAUUUUGAUAUUCCUCUAUCGUUGUCUUUUGUUGAAUUUGCAAGAACCUUACAUACAACGAUUCCUCCCUCACGGAUCGAAAUCGCACCAAUAAUCUUUCCUUCAUAUUCACCCAAUCUACAAAGUUCUCUCGUUCUUCUUCAGAACGGUAAAAGUUCAAUGCUAGUCCCUCAAAACUAAUAGUGGAUACAGUCAUUUUCUCAAAUUCAGUAAGUUUAUGAAUGUGCAAAUACCUCUCUACGCGAAACAGCCAAGAAUCGGGAUCAUCUCCAUUGAAUAUCGACAUCUCCACCUUCUUAAACUUAUUGCAGUCAUUAUUACUUUCAUCAUCUAUUUUCUUUUCUUCCUUCCUUGUUUCGUUCUCCCAUCUUGGUCACCCUUCGCCUUCGUCCACAUUCUUCGUCGAUGAAUUGUGCAUUGUUGUCGAUUCCAUAAUUCGUAACAUCAUCUGAUUCUACCUCUCCAUAUUUUUGGAUAUUUUGGCCAACGUCUUUUCGAUCACCAGUAUCUUACUAAUCUCUUUCUUAAUGUCUUGUAUUUCCUGGUCAAACGUCUCCAUCUCUUCGAUUCGAGUAUGAACCAUUUGCAUUCUUCUUGCCCGAGAUCAAUGCUCUGAUACCAAUUUGAUGGAAACCAGUCUUGGAAUAAAAUUGCUACUAUAUUAUUAAUGAUAGAAUAGGAAUGAAAUCCUAAUUACAAUAUGAAAUCCCUCUCCUGUUAUCCUCUCUCUCAAGGAAGAAUAGAAAUUCACUUUCUCAAACAAAACCUAACUUUCCCGCCCACGAUUACUUUUUAUUUAUACUAACAAUAAGGUAACUAAACCUUCCCUUUACUAACCCUCACAUGCUAUUCAUGUGCACGUGAUAUUUUUUUUUUCAAUUUCUUUGUCCCUCUUCCGCUGUACAGAUGUAAUAUGGGGGUCUAUCAGAUUCCUCAUCUUUUCAAAACCUCCAAUCAAACUCAAUGCUAAGUUUGACUGCUCCCUUCAGAGUGACGACACUCAUUUUCCCCCUUCGGUGGUUUGGAGAGGAUUCCUUCUCUUUUUAAAGCCCUCAAUCAAACUUGAUGCUAUGUUUAGAACGCUAAGAAUAGGUGGUCUAGUUUUGGUUAGGCCAAAAGUGAAAUUUUCCCCCAAAAGCACUAAUAAUUAGGGAACUCAACACAUUCUACUUGACUUAAUCGACUUCACUCUCUAAUUUUUAUGAGCUUUUUUCAAUGCAUAUUGCAUAUGUUUUUUUUAUAGUUGUUGAUUGUGUCACAUUUUUAUGGUUUGCAUUUACAAGCCUCUUUUUUCUUUCUUUGGUAUGCAAUAUGGUAAUAGGCCCUGCUAGAAUCGGUGGGGUAAUCUCUCUAUGGUUCUACACUUAGUUUCAAAGUUUGAUUAUUCCCUUCGAAGGGUCUAUCAGAUUCCUCUUCUUUUCAAAGCCCUCAAUCAAACUCAAUUAGAGUAAAAAGGAAAAAAUUUCAUCUUGGGCGCGUGUACCUCACACGUGUCUCUCUAGGAUUUCCAAGUUCUCUCACUCGGCUGGUGAAGGAGGCGAAUGCCUGGUGAGUGUUGCGGUCAGCAAGGGAUCAAAUUCGAAGGUAAUUCAUUCGAUUUUGGCAGAUUGAAUGUGAAAACUAAUGUCAUUUGGUAUCCAUUUCGAAAUUGAUUACAAUUGAUCAAUUGAACCAUUACGAAUGAUAUUCAUUUUGAUUCGGGAGAAUUAACGUCUGUCCAGAAAUUGUUUAAAUCUAUUUCCAAGCUGAAUUGAUUUGAACUAUCUUGAAAGUAUUGUGUGUGGUACGAAUCAAUUUAUUGGCAACCACUUCUGGGUUUGAAGACCAUGAUUUAAUUCACUCACUGGAGGGAUCUCGCAUGAAUCUCCUCGGUUGAAUUUCAAUUCUUUUUGAGUUCAUUCGUGUUCCCAGAUUGGGCUGAAAAGAUCAUCACGGAUGUUGGGUUGAUGUCCUAAGCAUGAAACGAUGAAGAAAUUAUCCAGUGACGUUAAGGAGGUGAAGAAACGCAUGAUGUCAAGCCUUCAACGCGUACAUGAUAUGGCGGCGAACGACCGAAGGGCGGCGACUGCAAAGGGUGGCCUAAUUUAUGUGAGGAAGAAACGGUCGGACAUGAGUGGACCCGAACCGGUUUACGUGAACCGUGAAACAUAUAAAAAUCAAAAUACAGGAAAUGGACCGAGCGGAGAUGGUCCCAUGAAGAUUGUUGGCCCAAAGGCGUGUGGGCCGAUUGUUUUGAAUGAAAACUUGAUGAAGCCUAGUGAGCCGGUAAAUGGGCCGAAGCCGAAUGGUGUGGACACAUUUAUGAAUGGAAUUGGUCAUGGAUCUCUGGUUGAUGGGCCAUCGUUGAAUGAUGGGCCACCCAUCUCACACGAAACUGGGAUCUCACAGAAGGAGUGCUUACCUGCUGGUGCUUCAAGUGUUCAGCAUGUUGGACAAAUUGCAGCGACCGAAGGAUAUGGACCUGGGCUGGAUGCUAUUGCAAGUGCCCCAAAGAUUGGGCCUGUUGAUGGGCAUUUGAAUGAUGGGCCAGCCAUUAGAGAACCGUUUGGUACUAAUUCAAAUGGUGGGCCGCCUGUUCCUAUUCGUGGGCAUGAGGUGCAUAAAUCUAAUAAUUAUGGAGGUGUAGGUAAAAAUUCAUGGGCUUCCUUAUUUGGCUCAACAAGAGGUUUCUCUAUGACCUAUACACCUCUGACUACUGUGGGAGAGAAAAUUGUGGUGACCCCGUUUGAAGAAGUUAUUAGUCAAGGAGUUAGAGUGUGGGAGAACUCCCUCAUCAGGCAAUUAAUUGAUGCAAAAUUGUCGUAUCUAGUCAUCUAUCGUCUUAUAGAGAAGAUUUGGGGUAGAAUUGAAAUGCCAACAAUUACUCUGAUGGAGAAUGGGCUCAUCUGCUUUGAAUUCAAACAUCUGAAGUCGAUAGAGUGGAUCUUAUCCCGUGGCCCAUGGCACCUUGGAGGCAAACCUAUGCUCCUCCGCAAAUGGACUCCAGGUAUAGUUCCUGAAUCCUUUGUCUUUGAUUCAGUUCCUGUUUGGAUAAAGUUAGGGAGGAUUCCGUUGGAGCUAUAGACGGAUGUUGGUUUGACUGUGGUAGCGAGUGCAAUAGGAAAACCUUUUUCAGUUGAUCUUGCUACUAAAGAGAGGCGUCGUCUUUCUUAUUCCCGUAUAUGUGUGGAAUUGAAUGUGGACAGUAUUAUGCCUGCCGAAGUUACAGUCAACCUUAGAGGAGAGGAAUUUAUUGUAACUGUCACUUAUGAGUGGAAACGGAAAAAAUGUACCUUGUGUCGAUCUUUUGGACACUCGCAAAACACCCUUUAAAGAGGCAAUGAAAAUAGUAAAAAGGAAGCUGCAAGUAAAGAGGUUCCUGUUAAAGAGGUUGUUCCUACUAAAGAGGUGGUUCCAGAUUGUGGGGAGUAUGGAGAUGUUGUGUUGGAAUCCUUCCAACACAUGGAAGAAGGAGAAAUUAUUACCCAUAAACUGCCUGAAAAGGUGGAGGUAAAUCGGAGAGGAAUUUACCCAAUUGACAGGAAAAAUAGGGGAAUGAUCUCUAUUUGGGACAGAGGGAAAAGGGCGGAAGCGAGUAUCACUAACUCCUUUAACAACCUCAUGGAGGUGGAUAAAGGAGAUAAAUGGCCUUUAUCUAUAGUGGAUGGCUCCCCUCCUCCCUUACGAGUAGAUGACUCUUCUAUGGUCGUUUUGAGUACUACAGGUGAUGUAAUUCCUAUGGGAGAGGCGGCUCCCAUACGACCUCAUGGUUAGUUGGUGUACGUGGAACGUGCGGGGCCUUAAUAGCCCUGUAAAGUGUAGAGCGGUGAAGGACUUCUUAGCCGUGUCUAUGGUGGGUUUCUAUUGCAUCCUGGAUACUAGAGUUCGAGAGGAGAACUUUGUCUCGAUAUCUAGAAGAUUUAGUGAUUCGUAAGGGUUCAUUAGUAACUACAGCAAUAGUGGAGUAGGUCGGAUGUGGAUUAUGUGGAAACGUAACAGAUUCGUGUUCACGACUAACGAGGUUGUCGACCGGUUUAUUUCUGGUGUAAUAACAGAUUUGAUCUCUGGGGAGAAGGUAGAGGUUCUGUGUGUGUAUGCCUCUAAUAGUAAUAUCGAGAGACGUGUUUUAUGGAGGCGAAUAAUUGAGAUCUCUGCUGGUUGGAGAGGACCGGGUAUGGUCUUUGGUGAUUUUAACACCAUCAGACUCCACUCUGAAGCCUUCGGGGGUGCUCCGAACGUGGAGGAUAUGGAGGAGUUUGACAUGGCUAUUCGAGAGGCGGACCUUGUUGAACCCGCGGUCCAGGAGAACUGGUUUACUUGGACUAGUAAGAGACAUGGGUUGGGUUUGAUGAGGAGACUUGAUCGUAUCCUAGUGAAUGAUGAGGGGCUUAGUACAUGGCCUAACAUGUGGGUUAACGUCCUCCCGUGGGGUAUUUCUGAUCAUUCUUCCAUACUUGUCUAUCCCAGUAAUCAGCGAAGCCAACAAGUGGUCUCUUUUCGUUUCUUUAACCAUUGGGUUGAAGAAGCGUCCUUUAUGGAUGUUGUGUCCUCUGCUUGGACCAAAGAUACUAGAGUUUCUCCAAUUGUGAAUAGUGUAAGGAACUUAAGAAAUCUCAAGUCGAUUCUUCGCAGACAUUUUGGUAGGCAUAUUCGAACCAUCAGUGAGGAUGUUCGUCUUGCCAAUGACACCAUGGUCCGAGCUUAAAGAAAGAUGGAGACGAACUCUCUGUCGGAGGAGGCGACUAAUCACGCGAGCUUAGCCACGAUAAACUUUUGGAAAGCAGUUAGAGUGGAGGAAGCCGCUAUGCGCCAGAAGUCGCAAAUCAGAUGGUUGAAGCUAGAUGACCAGAAUACUGCCUUUUUUCAUCGAUAUGUUCGAUCAAGGCAGAGCAGCAAUGCUUUGAGAUCAGUUAUUGACCCAGAUGGAAAUUAGUUGACUAACCAUGAUCAGGUGACUCAGGUGGUUGUGAAUUAUUUCAAAGAUAGUGUGGGUUCUCAAUAUUAGCUAUAGAGAGCUCUCUACUUGUAUUGAGGAGAUUGUUCAGUUUAGAUGGACUGAGGAGUGUUGUCAGGCCCUCCAGUCGCCUAUUGGCAGGAAGGAAGUGAGACGUGUUCUGUUCUCCAUGGAUGGUGGAAAGGCUCCAGGCCGUGAUGGGUAUUUAGUUGGCUUCUUCAAAGGAGUUUGGACAGUGGUUGGAGAGGGCUUCUGUGAUGUCGUCUUACACUUCUUUGAGACCAAUUACUUCCCUCAAGGGGUGAAUACGACUGCUAUUACACUUAUUCCUAAAAGGAAUGGUGUUAAUCGAUUGGAGGAUUUCAGCCCUAUAUCUUGUUGUAGCGUUAUUUAUAAGUUCAUUUCAAGAAUCUUGGCAGAUAGGCUUCGUGUGUGGCUUCUUUCUUUUGUUAGUGGAAAUCAGCCAGCUUUCAUCCCUGGGAGGAGUAUUAUUGACAAUAUUCUUCUUUGUCAGGAGCUUGUAAGGGCAUACCAUUUGCACGAGGUAAACCUCGGUCCACUAUGAAGGUUGACCUCCAAAAAGCUUAUGAUUCUGUUAAUUGGGAUUUCCUCUUUGGCCUGCUGAUUGCCAUAGGUACGCCUUUAAGAUUUGUGAGUUGGGUUCGAGCGUGUGUGACCUCUCCGAUGUUCUCCAUUAUGAUUAAUGGAUCGUUGGAAGGUUUUUUCCAUGGGAGGAAAGGACUUAGACAAGGUGACCCUUUAUCCCCGUUCUUAUUUGUGAUGGUCAUGGAGGUGCUUUCUCGCAUGUUGAACAGCCCACCUGAGAAUUUUCAAUUCCACCAGUUUUGUGAGAAGGUCAGAUUAACUCAUCUUACUUUUAUAGAUGACUUGAUGAUCUUUUGUACUGCUGAUAAUCAUUCUAUAAGUUUCAUAAAAGAAACUAUUAAGAGGUUUGGUGAGCUUUCAGGACUGUUUGCUAAUCUUGCUAAAAGCUCAAUUUUUCUUGUGGGGGUUAAUAGUUCGAAAGCUUCUCGGCUUGCUGCUAACAUGGGUUUUUCCAUUGGUCAUCUCCCUGUUAGUUAUCUUGGGCUUCCUCUCCUCUCUGGAAGAUUGCGGAGCUCUGAUUGUGAUCCCCUUAUUCAGUGUAUUACAAGUCGUAUUCGGUCUUGGUCUGCUAGAGUGUUAUCUUUUGCAGGUAGACUUCGGCUUGUUCGCUCAGUCCUUAGGAGCCUUCAGGUUUAUUGGGCUAGUGUGUUCAUGCUUCCUAUGAAAGUCCACAGAGACGUUGAUAAGAUCUUGAGGGCUUAUCUGUGGAGAGGUAAGGAGGAGGGAAGAGGUGGUGCUAAAGUUGCCUGAGAUGAGGUUUGUCUUCCUUUUGAUGAAGGAGGUCUUGAUAUUCGUGAUGGAUCUUCUUGGAAUAUAGCUAGCACGUUGAAGAUAUUAUAGUUGCUACUUGUUAAAUCUGGUAGUUUGUGAGUUGCUUGGGUGGAAUCUUAUAUCCUUAAAGGGAGUCGCUGUGGGAGAUCGAUGCUGGGGUGGGACGAUCUUGGUGCUUUAAGGAAAUCUUGCGUAAGUGGGAUAUCCUGGCCUAGAAAGGAACGACCAGACUUAGAACGAGGUCGGAGGCCUCGAAAGUUCACAUCAAGCUAAUGGGUUGUCCGAUUCUGAGUGGUCUCGAAGUUUCUUGCCCACAAAAGCCGAACGGUGAUGCCCGAGAGUCGGUUUCUUGGUUCCGUCCCAAAACGCCGAAAGAAAGGCACAAUGGCAUAUUACGGAACGACCGGACUUAGAACGGGGUCGGAGGCCUCGAAGGUUCACAUCUGGCUACUGGGUGGUCCGAUUCUGAGUGGUCUCGAUGUUUCUUGCCCACAAAAGCCGAGGGUGAUGCCCAGACUUGGUUUCUUGGUUCCGUCCCAAAACGCCGAAAGAAAGGCACAAGGGCAUAGAAAGGAACGACCGGACUUAGAACGGGGUCGGAGGCCUCGAAGGUUCACGUCUGGCUACUGGGUGGUCCGAUUCUGAGUGGUCUCGAUGUUUCUUGCCCACAAAAGCCGAAGGGUGAUGCCCAGACUCGGUUUCUUGGUUCCGUCCCAAAACGCCGAAAGAAAGGCACAAUGGCCUAGAAAGGAACGACGGGACUUAGAACGGGGUCGGGGCCUCGACAGUUCACGUCUAGCUACUGGGUGGUCCGACUUUCAGUGGUCUCGAAGUUUCUUGCCCACAAAAGCCGAAGGUGAUGCCCCAGACUCGGUUUCUUGGUUCCGUCCCAAAACGCCGAAAGAAAGGCACAAUGGCCUAGAAAGGAACGACGGGACUUAGAACGGGGUCGGGGCCUCAACAGUUCACGUCUAGCUACUGGGUGGUCCGACUUUCAGUGGUCUCGAAGUUUCUUGCCCAAAAAAGCCGAACGGUGAUGCCCCAGACUCGGUUUCUUGGUUCCGUCCCAAAACGCCGAAAGAAAGGCACAAUGGCCUAGAAAGGAACGACGGGACUUAGAACGGGGUCAGAGGCCUCGAAGGUUCACGUGUGGCUACUGGGUAGUCCGAUUCUGAGUGGUCUCGAUGUUUCUUGCCCACAAAAGCAGAAGGGUGAUGCCAAAACUCGGUUUCUUGGUUCCGUCCCAAAACGCCGAAAGAAAGGCACAAUGGCCUAGAAAGGAACGAUCAGACUUAGAACGGGAUCGGAGGCCUCGAAAGUUCACGUCUGGCUACUGGGUGGUCCGAUUCUGAGUGGUCUCAAAGUUUCCUGCCCACAAAAGCCGAACGGUGAUGCCCCAGACUCGGUUUCUUGGAUCCGUCCCAAAACGCCAAAAGAAAGGCACAAUGGCCUAGAAAGAAACGACCGGACUUAGAACGGGGUCGGAGGCCUCCAAAGUUCACGUCUGGCUACUGGGUGGUCCGAUUCUUAGUGGUCUCGAAGUUUCUUGCCCACAAAAGCCGAACGGUGAUGCCCCAGACUCAGUUUCUUGGUUCUGUCCCAAAACGCCGAAAGAAAGGCACAAUGGCCUAGAAAGGAACGACCGGACUUAUAACGGGAUCGGAGGCCUCGAAAGUUCACGUCUGGCUACUGGGUGGUCCGAUUCUGAGUGGUCUCUAAGUUUCUUGCCCACAAAAGCCGAACGGUGAUGCCCUAAACUCGGUUGCUUGGUUCCGUCCCAAAACGUCGAAAGAUAGGCACAGUGGCCUAGAAAGGAACGACGGGACUUAGAAUGGGGUCGGCGGCCUCGAAUGUUCACGUCUAGCUACUGGGUGGUCCGAUUCUGAGUGGUCUCGAAGUUUCUUGCCAACAAAAGUCGAACGAUGAUGCCCCAGACUCGGUUUCUUGGUUCCGUCCCAAAACACCGAAAGAAUGGCACAAUGGCCUAGAAAGGAACGACCGAACUUAGAACCGGAUCGGAGGCCUCGAAAGUUCACGUCUAGCUACUGGGUGGUCUCGAAGUUUCUUGCCCACAAAAGUCGAGCGGUGAUGCCCCAGACUCUGUUUCUUGGUUCCGUCCCAAAACGCCGAAAGAAAGGCACAGUGGCCUAGAAAGGAACGACGAGACUUAGAACGGGGUCGGCGGCCUCGAAAGUUCACGUCUAGCUACUGGGUGGUCCAAUUCUGAGUGGUCUCGAAGUUUCUUACCCACAAAAGCCGAACGGUGAUGCUCCAGACUCGGUUUCUUGGUUCCGUCCCAAAACGCCGAAAGAAAGGCACAAUGGCCUAGAAAGGAACGACCGGACUUAGAACGGGGUCGGGGCCUCGACAGUUCACGUCUAGCUACUGGGUGGUCCGACUUUUAGUGGUCUCAAAGUUUCUUGCCCACAAAAGCCGAACGGUGAUGCCUCACACUCGGUUUCUUGGUUCCGUCCCAAAACGCCGAAAGAAAGGCACAGUGGCCUAGAAAGGAACGACGAGACUUAGAACGGGGUCGGCGGCCUCGAAAGUUCACGUCUAGCUACUGGGUGGUCCGAUUCUGAGUGGUCUCGAAGUUUCUUGCCCACAAAAGCCAAACGGUGAUGCCCCAGACUCGGUUUCUUGGUUCCGUCCCAAAACGCCGAAAGAAAGGCACAGUGGCCUAGAAAGGAACGACCGGACUUAGAACGGGGUCGACGGCCUCGAAAGUUCACGUCUAGCUACUGGGUGGUCCGAUUCUGAGUGGUCUCGAAGUUUCUUGCCAACAAAAGCCGAACGAUGAUGCCCCAGACUCGGUUUCUUGGUUCCGUCCCAAAACGCCGAAAGAAUGGCACAAUGGCCUAGAAAGGAACGACCGAACUUAGAACCGGGUCGGAGGCCUCGAAAGUUCACGUCUAGCUACUGGGUGAUCUCGAAGUUUCUUGCCCACAAAAGUCGAGCAGUGAUGCCCCAGACUCGGUUUCUUGGUUCCGUCCCAAAACGCCGAAAGAAAGGCAUAGUGGCCUAGAAAGGAACGACGAGACUUAGAACGGGGUCGGUGGCCUCGAAAGUUCACGUCUAGCUACUGGGUGGUCCAAUUCUGAGUGGUCUUGAAGUUUCUUGCCCCCAAAAGCCAAACGGUGAUGCCCCAGACUCGGUUUCUUGGUUCCGUCCCAAAACGCCGAAAGAAAGGCACAGUAGCCUAGAAAGGUACGACGGGACUUAGAACGGGGUCGACGUUCUCGAAAGUUCACGUCUAGCUACUGGGUGGUCCGACUCUGAGUGGUCUCGAAGUUUCUUGCCCACAAAUGCCGAACGGUGAUGCCCAGACUCGGUUUGUUGGUUCCGUCCCAAAACGCCGAAAGAAAGGCACAGUGGCCUAGAAAGGAACAACCGGACUUAGAACGGGGUCGACGUUCUCGAAAGUUCACGUCUAGCUACUGGGUGGUCCGACUCUGAGUGGUCUCGAAGUUUCUUGCCCACAAAUGCCGAACGGUGAUGCCCCAGACUCGGUUUCUUGGUUCCGUCCCAAAACGCCGAAAGAAAGGUACAGUGGCCUAGAAAGGAACAACGAGACUUAGAACGGGGUCGGCGGCCUCGAAAGUUCACGUCCAGCUAUAGAGUGGUCUAGAAAGGAACGACCGAACUUAGAACGGGGUCGGCGGCCUCGAAAGUUCACGUCUAGCUACUGGGUGAUCCGAUUCUGAGUGGUCUCGAAGUUUCUUGCUCACAAAAGCCGAACGGCGAUGCCCUAAACUCGGUUUCUUGGUUCCGUCCCAAAACGCCGAAAGAAAGGCACAGUGGCCUAGAAAGGAACAACGAGACUUAGAACGGGGUCGGCGGCCUCAAAAGUUCAGGUCUAGCUACUGGGUGGUCCAAUUCUGAGUGGUCUCGAAGUUUCUUGCUGCAAAAGCCGAACGGUGAUGCCCUAGACUCGGUUUCUUGGUUCCGUCCCAAAACACCGAAAGAAUGGCACAAUGGCCUAGAAAGGAACGACCGAACUUAGAACCGGGUCGAGGGCCUCGAAAGUUCACGUCUAGCUACUGGGUGGUCUUGAAGUUUCUUGCCCACAAAAGCCAAACGGUAAUGCCCCAGACUCGGUUUCUUGGUUCCGUCCCAAAACGCCGAAAGAAAGGCACAGUGGCCUAGAAAGGAAUGACGGGACUUAGAACGGGGUCUGCGGCCUCGAAAGUUCACGUCUAGCUAUUGGCUGGUCCGACUAUGAGUGGUCUCGAAGUUUCUUGCCCACAAAAGCCAAACGGUGAUGCCCCAGACUCGGUUUCUUGGUUCCGUCCCAAAACGCCGAAAGAAAGGCACAGUAGCCUAGAAAGGUACGACGGGACUUAGAACGGGGUCGACGUUCUCGAAAGUUCACGUCUAGCUACUGGGUGGUCCGACUCUGAGUGGUCUCGAAGUUUCUUGCCCACAAAUGCCGAACGGUGAUGCCCCAGACUCGGUUUCUUGGUUCCGUCCAGAAACGCCGAAAGAAAGGUACAGUGGCCUAGAAAGGAACAACGAGACUAAGAACGGGGUCGGCGGCCUCGAAAGUUCACGUCUAGCUACUGGGUGGUCCGACUCUGAGUGGUCUCGAAGUUUCUUGCCCACAAAAGCCGAACGGUGAUGCCCCAGACUCGGUUUGUUGGUUCCGUCCCAAAACGCCGAAAGAAAGGCAAAGUGGUCUAGAAAGGAACGACCGAACUUAGAACGGGGUCGGCGGCCUCGAAAGUUCACGUCUAGCUACUGGGUGGUCCGAUUCAUAGUGGUCUCGAAGUUUCUUGCUCACAAAAGCCGAACGGCGAUGCCCCAGACUCGGUUUCUUGGUUCCGUCCCAAAACGCCGAAAGAAAGGCACAGUGGCCAAUAAAGGAACAACGAGACUUAGAAUGGGGUCGGCGGCCUCGAAAGUUCAUGUCUAGCUACUGGGUGGUCCAAUUCUGAGUGGUCUCGAAGUUUCUUGCCGACAAAAGUCGAACGGUGAUGCCCAGACUCGGUUUGUUGGUUCCGUCCCAAAACGCCGAAAGAAAGGCACAGGGGCCUAGAAAGGAACGAACGGACUUAGAACGGGGUCGGCGGCGUGAAAGUUCACGUCUCGCUACUGGGUGGUCCGAUUCUGAGUGGUCUCGAAGUUUCUUGCCCACAAAAGCCGAACGGUGAUGCCCCAGACUAGGUUUCUUGGUUCCGUCCCAAAACGCCGAAAGAAAGGCACAAUGGCCAAUAAAGGAACAACGAGACUUAGAACGGGGUCGGCGGCCUCGAAAGUUCACGUCUAGCUACUGGGUGGUCCAAUUCUGAGUGGUCUCGAAGUUUCUUGCCGACAAAAGCCGAACGGCGAUGCCCCAGACUCGGUUUCUUGGUUCCGUCCCAAAACGCCGAAAGAAAGGCACAGUGGCCAAUAAAGGAACAACGAGACUUAGAACGGGGUCGGCGGCCUCGAAAGUUCACGUCUAGCUACUGGGUGGUCCAAUUCUGAGUGGUCUCGAAGUUUCUUGCCGACAAAAGCCGAACGGUGAUGCCCAGACUCGGUUUGUUGGUUCCGUCCCAAAACGCCGAAAGAAAGGCACAGUGGCCUAGAAAGGAACGAACGGACUUAGAACGGGGUCGGCGGCGUGAAAGUUCACGUCUCGCUACUGGGUGGUCCAAUUCUGAGUGGUCUCGAAGUUUCUUGCCGACAAAAGCCGAACGGUGAUGCCCAGACUCGGUUUGUUGGUUCCGUCCCAAAACGCCGAAAGAAAGGCACAGUGGCCUAGAAAGGAACGACGGGUCUUAGAACGGGGUCGGCGGCCUCGAAAGUUCACGUAUAGCUACUAGGUGGUCCGAUUCUGAGUGGUCUCGAAGUUUCUUGCCCACAAAAGCCGAACGGUGAUGCCCCAGACUCGGUUUCUUGGUUCCGUCCCAAAACGCCAAAAGAAAUGCACAGUGGCCUAGAAAGGAACGAUCGGACUUAGAACGGGGUCGGCAGCCUCGAAAGUUCACGUCUCGCUACUGGGUGGUCUGAUUCUGAGUGGUCUCAAAGUUUCUUGCCCACAAAAGCCGAACGGUGAUACCGUAGACUCAGUUUCUUGGUUCCGUCCCAAAACGCAGAAAGAAAGGCACAGUGGCGUAGAAAGGAACGACGGGACUUAGAACGGGGUCGGCGUCCUCGAAAGUUCACGUAUAGCUACUGGGUGGUCCGAUUCUUAGUGGUCUCGAAGUUUCUUGCCCACAAAAGCCGAACGAUGAUGCCCAAGACUCGGUUUCUUGGUUUCAUCCCAAAACGUGGAAAGAAAGGUAGAGUGGCCUAGAAAGGAACGACCAGACGUAGAACGAGGUCGGCGGCCUCGAAAGUUCACGUCUGGCUACUGGGUGGUCCGAUUCUGAGUGGUCUCAAAGUUUCUUGCCCACAAAAGCCGAACGGUGAUGCCCAAGACUCGGUUUCUUGGUUUCGUCCCAAAACGUGGAAAGAAAGGUAGAGUGGCCUAGAAAGGAACGACCGGACGUAGAACGAGGUCGGCGGCCUCGAAAGUUCACGUCUAGCUACUGGGUGGUCCGAUUCUGAGUGGUCUCGAAGUUUCUUGUCCACAAAAGCCGAACGGUGAUGCCCAGACUCGGUUUCUUGGUUCCAUCCCAAAACGCCGAAAGAAAGGCACAGUGGCCUAGAAAGGAACGACCGAACUUAGAACGGGGUCAGCAGCCUUGAAAGUUCACAUCUAGCUACAGGGUGGUCCGAUUCUGAGUUGUCUCGAUGUUUCUUGCCCAUAAAAGCCGAACAGUGAUGUCCCAGACUCGGUUUCUUGGAUUCGUCCCAAAACGCUGAAAGACAGGCACAGUGGCCUAGAAAGGAACGACCGAACUUAGAACGGGGUCGGCGGCCUCGAAUGUUCACGUCUAGCUACUGGGUGGUCUGAUUCUGAGUGGUCUCGAAGUUUCUUGCCCACAAAAGCCGAACGCUGAUGCCCUAGACCCGGUUUCUUGGUUGCGUCCCAAAACGCCGAAAGAAAGGCACAGCGGCCUAGAAAGGAACGACCGGACUUAGAACGGGGUCGGCGGCCUCGAAAGUUCACGUCUUGCUACUAGGUGGUCCGAUUCUGAGUGGUCUCGAAGUUUCUUGCCCACAAAAGCCAAACGGUGAUGCCCUAGACUCGGUUUCUUGGUUCCGUCCCGAAACGCUGAAAGAAAGGCACAGUGGCCUAGAAAGGAACGAUCGGUCUUAGAACGGGGUCUGCGGCCUUGAAAUUUCACGUCUAGCUACUGAGUGGUCCGAUUCUUAGUGGUCUCGAAGUUUCUUGCCCACAAAAGCCGAACGGUGAUGCCCUAGACUCGGUUUCUUGGUUCCGUCUCAAAACGCCGAAAGAAAGGCACAGUGGCCUAGAAAGGAACGAUCGGACUUAGAACGGGGUCGGCGGCCUCGAAAGUUCACGUCUAGGUGCUGGGUGGUCCGAUUCUGAGUGGAUCUCUGUUAGAGAAAAUGUUCUGGACAUGAUGAUGCACUUCAACAUCGCUGAAGUGAAUGGUGGUCCCAUCGAAGAGGUUAAUCAAGUUACUUUUAUCUUAGAGUCUCUUCCGAAGAGCUUCAUUCCAUUCCAAACGAAUGCGUCUUUGAACAAGAUAGAAUUUAACUUGACAACCCUUCUGAAUGAACUCCAGCGAUUCCAAAACCUUACUAUGGGUAAAGGAAAACAAGUGGAAGCAAAUGUUGCUACCACAAAAAGAAAAUUUAUAAGAGGAUCGUCCUCUAAAACCAAAGCUGGACCCUCAAAACCUAAUGCUCAAAUAAAAAAGAAGGGAAAGGGAAAGACUCCCAAACAGAACAAGGGUAAGAAAGGUGCAGAAAAAGGUAAGUGUUACCAUUGUGGCCAAAACGGGCACUGGUUAAGAAACUGCCCAAAAUACCUUGCAGAAAAAAAGGCAGAGAAGGAAACACAAGGUAAAUAUGAUUUACUAGUUGUAGAAACAUGUUUAGUGGAAUAUGAAAAUUGUACCUGGAUACUAGAUUCAGGAGCCACUAACCAUAUUUGCUUCUCAUUUCAGGAAAAUAGUUCUUGGAAAAAGCUUUCAGAAGGCGAGAUCACUCUCAAGGUUGGAACAGGAGAGAUGGUCUCAACUUCAGUAGUGGGAGAUUUAAAGUUGUUUUUUAGAGAUAGAUAUGUCAUACUUAAGAAUGUCUUAUAUGUACCUCAAAUGAAAAGAAAUUUAAUAUCUAUCUCUUGUAUUUUGGAACAAAUGUAUAGAAUAUCUUUUGAAAUUAAUGAAGCGUUCGUUUUCUAUAAAGGUAUUCUAGUUUGUUCUGCUAUACUUGAAGACAACUUAUAUAAGUUAAGACCAACCAGAGCAAAUUUUGUCUUAAAUACUGAAAUAUUCAGAACAGCUGAAACUCAGAAUAAAAGACAAAAAGUUUCUUCUAAUGCCUAUUUAUGGCACUUAAGACUUGGUCACAUAAAUCUCAAUAGGAUUGGGAGAUUAGUUAAAAGUGGGCUUCUAAGUCAGUUAGAAAAUAAUACUUUACCUCCUUGUGAAUCUUGUCUUGAAGGAAAAAUGACCAAGAGAUCUUUUACUGGAAAAGGUCUAAGAGCCAAAGGACCCUUAGAGCUCGUACAUUCGGACCUUUGUGGACCAAUGAAUGUCAAAGCUCGAGGUGGAUAUGAAUAUUUCAUUAGCUUCAUUGAUGAUUAUUCAAGGUAUGGUCAUAUUUACCUAAUACAUCAUAAGUCUAAUAGUCUUGAAAAGUUCAAAGAAUAUAAGGCUGAAGUAGAAAACGAAUUAGGUAAAACAAUAAAAAUACUUCGAUCAGAUCGAGGUGGAGAGUAUAUGGACUUACGAUUCCGAGACUAUUUAAUAGAAAAUGGAAUCCAGUCACAACUCUCUGCACCUAGUACACCUCAACAGAACGGUGUAUCAGAAAGAAGAAACCGGACCUUGUUAGACAUGGUUCGCUCUAUGAUGAGUUUUUCUCAGAUGCCAGAUUCUUUUUGGGGAUAUGCUUUAGAAACAGCUGUUUAUAUUUUGAAUAAUGUUCCCUCUAAAAGUGUUUCAGAAACACCUUAUGAGCUAUGGAAAGGGCGUAAAGGAAGUUUACGUCAUUUUAGAAUUUGGGGUUGUCCAGCACACGUGUUGGUACAAAAUCCUAAGAAAUUGGAACAUCGUUCAAAAUUAUGCUUUUUCAUAGGUUAUCCAAAAGAAUCAAGAGGUGGUUUGUUUUAUGAUCCUCAAGAAAAUAAAAUAUUUGUGUCAACAAAUGCCACAUUCUUAGAGGAAGACCACAUCAGGGAUCAUCAACCUCGUAGUAAACUAGUAUUAAAAGAAAUUUCCAAAAGUGCUAUAGAUAAACCUAGUUCAUCCACUAAGGUAGUUGAUAAGACUAGGAAAUCUGGUCAAUCACAUCCUUCUCAACAGUUGAGAGAGCCUCGACGUAGUGGGAGGGUUGUUCAUCAGCCUGAUCGCUAUUUGGGUUUAAUUGAAACUCAAGUCGUCAUACCUGACGAUGGCAUAGAGGAUCCAUUAACCUAUAAACAGGCAAUGAAAGAUGUAGAUCGUGACCAAUGGAUCAAAGCCAUGGACCUCGAAAUGGAGUCUAUGUACUUUAAUUCUGUCUGGACUCUAGUAGAUCAACCAAAUGACGUAAAACCUAUUGGUUGUAAAUGGAUCUACAAGAGAAAACGAGACCAUGCUGGUAAAGUACAGACUUUUAAGGCUCGACUUGUGGCAAAGGGUUAUACCUAGAGAGAGGGAGUAGACUAUGAGGAAACUUUCUCUCUCGUUGCCAUGUUAAAGUCAAUUAGAAUACUCUUAUCCAUCGCCACUUUUUAUGAUUAUGAAAUUUGGCAGAUGGAUGUCAAGACAGCUUUUUUGAAUGGUAAUCUUGAAGAGAGUAUCUAUAUGUCUCAACCAGAGGGGUUUAUAGAACAAGAUCAAGAACAAAAGGUUUGUAAGCUUAAAAAAUCCAUUUAUGGAUUAAAACAAGCUUCUAGAUCCUGGAAUAUAAGAUUUGAUACUGCGAUCAAAUCUUAUGGCUUUGAACAAAAUGUUGACGAGCCUUGUGUUUACAAAAAGGUCGUCAAUUCCAUUAUAGCAUUUUUAGUCUUAUAUGUAGAUGAUAUUCUACUUAUUGGAAAUGACGUAGGAUAUCUUACUGAUAUCAAGAAAUGGCUAGCUAUGCAAUUUCAAAUGAAAGAUCUGGAGAUGCACAAUACGUUCUAGGAAUCCAAAUUGUUCGAAACCGUAAGAACAAAACACUAGCCAUGUCUCAAGCAUCUUACAUAGACAAAAUGUUGUCUAGAUAUAAAAUGCAGAAUUCCAAAAAGGGUCUGCUGCCGUACAGAUAUGGAAUUCAUUUGUCAAAGGAACAAUGUCCUAAGACACCUCAAGAAGUUGAGGAUAUGAGAAAUAUUCCCUAUGCUUCCGCUGUUGGAAGUUUAAUGUAUGCAAUGUUAUGUACCAAACCUGACAUUUGCUACUCAGUAGGGAUGGUCAGUAGGUAUCAAUCCAAUCCUGGACGUGAUCACUGGACAACCGUUAAAAACAUUCUAAAAUAUCUUCGAAGAACAAAAGACUACAUGCUCAUGUAUGGUACAAAGGAUCUGAUCCUUACUGGAUACACUGAUUCAGAUUUCCAAACUGAUAAAGAUGCUAGAAAGUCUACAUCAGGAUCAGUAUUUACUCUAAAUGGAGUAGCAGUAGUUUGGAGAAGCAUAAAGCAAACUUGUAUAGCUGAUUCCACAAUGGAAGCUGAUCAUUUUACAAAAGCCCUCACGACUAAAGUGUUUGAGGGUCACCUACACAGUUUAGGUCUACGAUGUUUGUAAACUAGGACAAGUGGGAGACAUAUUGGCCAAGUGCCCUAGUUUCAUAUAUAUUCUCUCACACCACAUCUCUCAUACCACUAGGAAUUUUAGUCCAAGUGGGAGUUUGUUGGAAUUUUUUGUCCUAAAACUUGUAGUUUGUAAAUCAUAUUUUGUUCAAUAAAGUUGUUAUUGAGAAAUUAAAUAUUAUAAUCUUAAAUCCAAUAAAUCAAGUACCAAGGCUAUUUUUGAAUAAACUUGAACUUUAUGUGUAAACAUAAACGUGGAUCAAGUUCGAGUAUAUAGCCUAAAUAGUCUAUAGUAUAUGAAAUAAAGGUUGGGCGCCUUAUUUAGAGAAACUAUGGAUGCGGCCCACUUUGUAGUACAAACGAAGUGAUCCUAAUCGUUCAUGUAGAGACAUGAAUGUGGGGGCAUCCUAUGUAAAAUGUUUACAUAAGACUGAACCAUGAAUUAGUCUUUUUUACGUUAUAACACCGUUUACUGUUUAAAACUAACCAUCUCAAUUAUUGAUGACCUAGGUAACUUAGUCUUAAUCCUGAGUUAACUAUGAACUCUUGUUCACACGAGAUUAUCCUUAGAUUUGCAUAGGUGAGGGCAGCUCAUCAGCGUUGGCCCAAUAAGCCUCCCAUUUCAGGGGUAAGAUCAGGUGGAUAGCUGGGAACAUAGGGUACAAGAUGGAAUUCACUCCUACCCGCUUUAGGGUUAGUAGAUAGGUUGUUCUCUUAAGCACUGAAUCCAAGUCUUGAACAAGGGGCCCCACCCUCUCAUUGGCCCGAGAGGGAUUAAGUUUAUAGGUUGAACCUUAAACCAAUUGUUCAAUAGUGGAUUAGUGGGAUUUAAGGAGCAAGAUGUAAUCUUAGGGGUAAAACGGUAUUUUGACCCAGCCAAGGUUACGAGCAACCUAUGAAGGAUUAACUUACUGAUUAUGGUUUUAUCAAAUGGACACAAAUAUAUCUAUAGUGAGGGGAGUGCAACUACGGAACUUUAGUGGAAUGACCCGUUAGUUAACGAAUGUUGAUUAACUCGGUUUAAAAGAGUUUAGCUAGUUAAUCUUGAAUCGUUGGAGCCCAUGAUCUAUAGGUCCAUUAGGUUCCUCUACUAGCUCAUAUGGAUUAAACAUAGAACAGUGUGAUGAAAUAAGUCGAAUUGUUCGAAUUGGGGAAGAAAGGGAAACCGACAAAUAUAGUGAUAUAGCCGUCGAUCUUCUAAUUAGAAAUAGAGCUUUAUGUUUUACAUACUAUAAGUAUGAAUGCGGAUUCAUACUAAGAAGCUCGGAAUUGAUGGAAUUGGUCAAAAAAUAGUAAAAAGUCAAAAUGUUGACUAUUGACUUUGAAAAGUCAAACUUUGACCGGGCUUAUAUUCAAAUGUGAUUUGUAUUUUGGAAAAAUGAAUGCGGAUUCAUGCUCGGGAGGUUGGAAUUAGUCAAGACGGACGAAAUGGUAAAAAGUCAAAAUAUUGACUUUUGACUAAGUUUUGACUACAAAUAUCUAAUGACCAUUUUACCCUUGGUUCUAAGUUUAAUCCAUAUGAGCUAGCAGAGGAACCUAAUGGACCUAUAGAUCAUGGGCUCCAACGAUUCAAGAUUAACAAGCUAAACUCUUUUAAACCGAGUUAAUCAACAUUCGUUAACUAACGGGUCAUUCAACUAAAGUCCCGUAGUUGCACUCCCCUCACUAUAGAUAUAUUUGUGUCCAUUUGAUAAAACCAUAAUCAGUAAGUUAAUCCUUCACAGGUUGCUCGUAACCUUGGCUGGGUCAAAAUACCGUUUUACCCCCAAGAUUACAUCUUACUCCUUAAGUCCCACUAAUCCACUAUUGAACAAUUGGUUUAAGGUUCAACCUAUAAACUUAACCCCUCUCGGGCCAAUGAGAGGGUGGGGCCCCUUGUUCAAGACUUGGAUUCAGUGCUUAAGAGAACAACCUAUCUACUAACCCUAAAACGGGUAGGAGUGAAUUCCAUCUUGUACGCUAUGUUCCCAGCUACCCACCCGAUCUUACCCUUGAAAUGGGAGGCUUAUUGGGCCAACGCUGAUGAGCUACCCUCACCUAUGCAGAUCUAAGGAUAAUCUCGUGUGAACAGGAGUUCAUAGUUAACUCAGGAUUAAGACUAAGUUACCUAGGUCAUCAAUAAUUGAGAUAGUCAGUUUUAAACAGUAAACGGUGUUAUAACGUAAAAAAGACUAAUUCAUGGUUCAGUCUUAUGUAAACAUUUUACAUAGGAUGCCCCCACUUUCAUGUCUCUACAUGAACGAUUAGGAUCACCUCGUUUGUACUACAAAGUGGGCCGCAUCCAUAGUUUCUCUAAAUAAGCGCCCAACCUUUAUUUCAUAUACUAUAGACUAUUUAGGUUAUAUACUCGAACUUGAUCCACGUUUAUGUUUACACAUAAAGUUCAAGUUUAUUCAAAAAUAGCCUUGGAACUUGAUUUAUUGGAUUUAAGAUUAUAAUAUUUAAUUUCUCAAUAACAACUUUAUUGAACAGAAUAUGAUUUACAAACUACGAGUUUUAGGACAAAAAAUUCCAACAAACUCCCACUUGGACUAAAAUUCCUAGUGGUAUGAGAGAUGUGGUGUGAGAGAAUAUAUAUGAAACUAGGGCACUUGGCCAAUAAGUCUCCCACUUGUCCUAGUUUACAAACAUCGUAGACCUAAACUGUGUAGGUGACCCUCAAACACUUUAGCCGUGAGGGCUUUUGUAAAAGGAUCAGCAAUGUUUUGCUGAGAAGAAAUCUGGGUUACUACAACGUCACCACGAUGUACAAUUUCCCUGAUAAGAUGGUACUUGUGUUCAAUAUGCUUUUCUCUUUUAUGACUUCUAGGUUCUCUUGAAUUUGCAACUGCACCACUGUUGUCACAGUAUAAAGUGAUUGGUAGAUGCAUAUUUUGUUAGCCAUAUAGCUUCUUUUGCUGCUUCACAAGCCGCUAGGUAUUCAACUUCAAUUGUGGAAUCAGCUAUAUAAGUUUUGCUUUAUGCUUCUCCAAACUACUGCUCCUCCAUUUUGAGUAAAUACUGAUCCUGAUGUAGACUUUCUAGCAUCUUUAUCAGUUUGGAAAUCUGAAUCAGUGUAUCAAGUAAGGAUCAGAUCCUUUGUACCAUACAUGAGCAUGUAGUCUUUUGUUCUUCGAAGAUAUUUUAGAAUGUUUUUAACGGCUGUCCAGUGAUCACGUCCAGGAUUGGAUUGAUACCUACUGACCAUCCCUACUGAGUAGCAAAUGUCAGGUCUAGUACAUAACAUUGCAUACAUUAAACUUCCAACAGCGGAAGCAUAGGGAAUAUUUCUCAUAUCCUCAACUUCUUGAGGUGUCUUAGGACAUUGUUCCUUUGACAAAUGAAUUCCAUAUCUGUACGGCAGCAGACCCUUUUUGGAAUUCUGCAUUUUAUAUCUAGACAACAUUUUGUCUAUGUAAGAUGCUUGAGACAUGGCUAGUGUUUUGUUCUUACGGUUUCGAACAAUUUGGAUUCCGAGAACGUAUUGUGCAUCUCCCAGAUCUUUCAUUUGAAAUUGCAUAGCUAGCCAUUUCUUGAUAUCAGUAAGAUAUCCUACGUCAUUUCCAAUAAGUAGAAUAUCAUCUACAUAUAAGACUAAAAAUGCUAUAAUGGAAUUGACGACCUUUUUGUAAACACAAGGCUCGUCAACAUUUUUUCAAAGCCAUAAGAUUUGAUCGCAGUAUCAAAUCUUAUAUUCCAGGAUCUAGAAGCUUGUUUUAAUCCAUAAAUGGAUUUUUUAAGCUUACAAACCUUUUGUUCUUGAUCUUGUUCUAUAAACCCCUCUGGUUGAGACAUAUAGAUACUCUCUUCAAGAUUACCAUUCAAAAAAGCUGUCUUGACAUCCAUCUGCCAAAUUUCAUAAUCAUAAAAAGUGGCGAUGGAUAAGAGUAUUCUAAUUGACUUUAACAUGGCAACAGGAGAGAAAGUUUCCUCAUAGUCUACUCCCUCUCUCUGGGUAUAACCCUUUGCCACAAGUCGAGCCUUGAAAGUCUGUACUUUACCGGCAUGGUCUCGUUUUCUCUUGUAGAUCCAUUUACAACCAAUAGGUUUUACGUCAUUUGGUUGAUCUACUAGAGUCCAGACAGAAUUAAAGUACAUAGACUCCAUUUCGAGGUCCAUGGCUUUGAUCCAUUGGUCACGAUCUACAUCUUUCAUUGCCUGUUUAUAGGUUAAUGGAUCCUCUAUGCCAUCGUCAGGUAUGACGACUUGAGUUUCAAUUAAACCCAAAUAGCGAUCAGGCUGAUGAACAACCCUCCCACUACGUCGAGGCUCUCUCAACUGUUGAGAAGGAUGUGAUUGUCCAGAUUUCCUAGUCUUAUCAACUACCUUAGUGGAUGAACUAGGUUUAUCUAUAGCACUUUUGGAAAUUUCUUUUAAUACUAGUUUACUACGAGGUUGAUGAUCCCUGAUGUGGUCUUCCUCUAAGAAUGUGGCAUUUGUUGACACAAAUAUUUUAUUUUCUUGAGGAUCAUAAAACAAACCACCUCUUGAUUCUUUUGGAUAACCUAUGAAAAAGCAUAAUUUUGAACGAUGUUCCAAUUUCUUUGGAUUUUGUACCAACACGUGUGCUGGACAACCCCAAAUUCUAAAAUGACGUAAACUGCCUUUACGCCCUUUCCAUAGCAUAAGGUGUUUCUGAAACACUUUUAGAGGGAACAUUAUUCAAAAUAUAAGCAGCUGUUUCUAAAGCAUAUCCCCAAAAAGAAUCUGACAUCUGAGAAAAACUCAUCAUAGAGCGAACCAUGUCUAACAAGGUCCGGUUUCUUCUUUCUGAUACACCGUUCUGUUGAGGUGUACUAGGUGCAGAGAGUUGUGACUGGAUUCCAUUUUCUAUUAAAUAGUCUCGGAAUCGUAAGUCCAUAUACUCUCCACCUCGAUCUGAUCGAAGUAUUUUUAUUGUUUUACCUAAUUCGUUUUCUACUUCAGCCUUAUAUUCUUUGAACUUUUCAAGACUAUUAGACUUAGAUGUAUUAGGUAAAUAUGACCAUACCUUGAAUAAUCAUCAAUGAAGCUAAUGAAAUAUUCAUAUCCACCUCUUUGACAUUCAUUGGUCCACAAAGGUCCGAAUGUACGAGCUCUAAGGGUCCUUUGGCUCUUAGACCUUUUCCAGUAAAAGAUCUCUUGGUCAUUUUUCCUUCAAGACAAGAUUCACAAGGAGGUAAAGUAUUAUCUUCUAACUGACUUAGAAGCCCACUUUUAACCAAUCUCCCAAUCCUAUUGAGAUUUAUGUGACCAAGUCUUAAGUGCCAUAAAUAGGCAUUAGAAGAAACUUUUUGUCUUUUAUUCUGAGUUUCAGCUGUUCUGAAUAUUUCAGUAUUUAAGACAAAAUUUGCUCUAGUUGGUCUUAACUUAUAUAAGUUGUCUUCAAGUAUAGCAGAACAAACUAGAAUACCUUUAUAGAAAACGAACGCUUCAUUAAUUUCAAAAGAUAUUCUAUACAUUUGUUCCAAAAUACAAGAGAUAGAUAUUAAAUUUCUUUUCAUUUGAGGUACAUAUAAGACAUUCUUAAGUAUGACAUAUCUAUCUCUAAAAAACAACUUUAAAUCUCCCACUGCUGAAGCUGAGACCAUCUCUCCUGUUCCAACCUUGAGAGUGAUCUCGCCUUCUGAAAGCUUUUUCCAAGAACUAUUUUCCUGAAAUGAGAAGCAAAUAUGGUUAGUGGCUCCUGAAUCUAGUAUCCAGGUAGAAUUUUCAUAUUCCACUAAACAUGUUUCUACAACUAGUAAAUCAUAUUUACCUUGUGUUUCCUUCUCUGCCUUUUUUUCUGCAAGGUAUUUUGGGCAGUUUCUUAACCAGUGCCCGUUUUGGCCACAAUGGUAACACUUACCUUUUUCUGCAGCUUUCUUACCCUUGUUCUGUUUGGGAGUCUUUCCCUUUCCCUUCUUUUUUAUUUGAGCAUUAGGUUUUGAGGGUCCAGCUUUGGUUUUAGAGGACGAUCCUCUUAUAAAUUUUCUUUUUGUGGUAGCAACAUUUGCUUCCACUUGUUUUCCUUUACCCAUAGUUAGGUUUUGGAAUCGCUGGAGUUCAUUCAGAAGGGUUGUCAAGUUAAAUUCUAUCUUGUUCAAAGACGAAUUCGUUUGGAAUGGAAUGAAGCUCUUUGAAAGAGACUCUAAGAUAAAACUAACUUGAUUAACCUCUUUGAUGGGACAACCAUUCACUUCAGCGAUGUUGAAGUGCAUCAUCACGUCCAGAACAUGUUCUCUAACAGAGGUCCCUUCCUUCAUACGCUUAGUGUAAAUGUUUUUGACUGCCUCGUGUCUUAAGGACCAUUCUGGUUGCCCAAACAUUCCCCUUAAUGAAUCCAUAAUCUCUUUAGCCGUGGCUAAGGAUUCAUGUUUCUUUGCCAAUACAUCAGACAUGCUGGCAAGAAUGUAGACACGGGCUUUUUCAUUAGCUUUUAUCCAUCGAUCAUAUGCAUCCCGACUAGUUCGGUUAGCAUUAGAGGCAGGGUUUUGAGGACAUUCCUCAGUUAAGACAAAUCUUAAAUCGUCAACCACUAGUAUUGUGUUAAGAUUUGAUUUCCAAGCCGCAUAAUUAUCGCCAUUAAGUUUUUCGGAAGCUAAAAGUUGAACUAUUGAGCUAUUCAUGCUGAAAAACAAACAUAUUUUUUUUAGGAAAAAACUAUAAUCAUAAAAAAUAUCCAAUCUAAUUUAGCAAUUACUAAUAAUGUACCCUUUCAUUAUUUGUAUUUUGCAACAAUAUUUCAAAGGUUUAGAACAACCUUCUCCGAAGGGUAGUUGAUUAUUCCUCCUUUGAACCAAGACAAUCUUGACUAGAUGCUAUCUCUAGAAUAACUGCUUUAUUCUUUAUAGCACUUAGUUAUCGCUACUUUAGUCAAGAAUAUACUAACAACUUAGUAAUUCUUGUAAGUGUUACCCGCCAUUUUCAGACUUCAUAGAUUAGAAUCAUUUAUGAAAACUAAUCUAAGAAAACCUAUCCAGAUUUGGAGUUCGCGGUGUUCCGAAUCCUAUAAUACAACCCUCCGAAGGGAACGUCGCUCCAGGGCAGACAAGUAGGCAUAUUAUAGAAAUCUCACGGUGCGACCUAAUGGAAGAGACCGUGGGAUGUGCUGCCACAAAUCCCUCACCCACUUACUAUGAACUACUUCCCCUAUACACCUUGAUUUUGAUCCAUGCAAACACUCUCCGAAGGGAGGCCGCUCCUAUGCACGGCACAAAGCCCUGCAUGGACCUCACGGUGUGAACUCUUAGGGACACUAGAGCUAAAAUACAUUAUUUUUCUCUAGUUGAAGUGUUCUAUUUUAAAGAAGAAGAAAAAAAUAGGGUAAUCCAAGCUUCAAGAUUUAUAUUUAGGCUAACUUAAAGAAAUCUUUAAGUCUAGAUAAAACGUCCAAGUAUAACCAUUAUACAGGAUUUUAACCUAUGAUGUCUAGGUGAUAAACCAUUUUUAUUACCUCACACCUCUUACGAAUGCUCAUAAAACUAGGUUAACUAGGCUCAAGAACUGAUUACGAUCUCCAGGUAGGAGGUGUUCCGUAAACCGUCAACUUAAGAACCUCCAGCCUUAGUCAUCUUAUCUGACUUGUUGACAAGAUUGAACCAGGUGAGCCUUUUGUAACCAGUUUUACAAGAUAUCGACCUAUUUCUAUGAAAAAUGGAAGAUAUGUUUAACCUAAGUGAGCAUGCAUUUAAUCUUUGUUAUUGAUUUUAAAAGUCUAAUUUAUUUUAUAACACUUAUAAAAACUUUUAGACUUAAUCAAUCAUUUUAUCAAUAUAUAACCUUAUAAAAACAAUCAAUUAAUAUGGAUUUUAAUUUAUUUAACUUUAAUUAAAUCAUAUUUAAUUUUUAAUUUAAUUAAAUCAUAUUUAAUUAAAUUAAAUCAAACAAUAAUUAAUUAAUUUGCUUAAAUCAUAUUUAAUCAAGAAUAACUUAAUUAAUUAAAUAAUCAAUUAAUCACAUUAAUUAAUUUCCAUAUUAAGACCUUUUCCAGUAAAAGAUCUCUUGGUCAUUUUUCCUUCAAGACAAGAUUCACAAGGAGGUAAAGAGUUAUCUUCUAACUGACUUAGAAGCCCACUUCUAACCAAUAUCCCAAUCCUAUUGAGAUUUAUGUGACCAAGUCUUAAGUGCCAUAAAUAGGCAUUAGAAGAAACUUUUUGUCUUUUAUUCUGAGUUUCAGCUGUUCUGAAUAUUUCAGUAUUUAAGACAAAAUUUGCUCUGGUUGGUCUUAACUUAUAUAAGUUGUCUUCAAGUAUGGCAGAACAAACUAGAAUAUCUUUAUAGAAAACGAAAGCUUCAUUAAUUUCAAAAGAUAUUCUAUACAUUUGUUCCAAAAUACAAGAGAUAGAUAUUAAAUUUCUUUUCAUUUGAGGUACAUAGAAGACAUUCUUAAGUAUGACAUAUCUAUCUCUAAAAAACAACUUUAAAUCUCCCACUGCUCUAGCUGAGACCAUCUCUCCUGUUCCAACCUUGAGAGUGAUCUCGCCUUCUGAAAGCUUUUUCCAAGAACUAUUUUCCUGAAAUGAGAAGCAAAUAUGGUUAGUGGCUCCUGAAUCUAGUAUCCAGGUACAAUUUUCAUAUUCCACUAAACAUGUUUCUACAACUAGUAAAUCAUAUUUACCUUGUGUUUCCUUCUCUGCCUUUUUUUCUGCAAGGUAUUUUGGGCAUGUUCCUAACGAGUGCCCAUUUUGGACACAAUGGUAACAGUUACCUUUUUCUGCACCUUUCUUACCCUUGUUAUGUUUGGGAGUCUUUCCCUUUCCUUUAUUUUUUAUUUGAGCAUUAGGUUUUGAGGGUCCAUCUUUGGUUUUAGAGGACGAUCCUCUUAUAAAUUUUCUUUUUGUGGUAGCAACAUUUGCUUCCACUUGUUUUCCUUUACCCAUAGUAAGGUUUUAGAAUCGUUGGAAUUCAUUCAGAAGGGUUGUCAAGUUAAAUUCUAUCUUGUUCAAAGACGCAUUCGUUUGGAAUGGAAUGAAGCUCUUCGGAAGAGACUCUAAGAUAAAAUUAACUUGAUUAAUUAAUUAAUUAAUUUUAGACUUAAUCAAUCAUUUUAUCAAUAUAUAACCUUAUAAAAACAAUCAAUUAAUAUGGAUUUUAAUUUAUUUAAAUUUAAUUAAAUCAUAUUUAAUUUUUAAUUUAAUUAAAUCAUUUUUAAUUAAAUUAAAUCAAACAAUAAUUAAUUAAUUUGAUUAAAUCAUAUUUAAUGAAGAAUAACUUAAUUAAUUAAAUAAUUAAUUAAUCAUAUUAAUUAAUUUCCAUAUUAAUCAAUUAACAUGCAUACAAUAUAAUAUAACCUUUAUAUCAUACAUUUUAAUGCAUGAACAUGUUAACCUAUGGUUGGAUUUUAAAUCUAUAUGACACUCAAAAUGCACAUACAAAUUUAAAGUAAUUUAAUCAUACAUCACAUGCAUAAAUAAAAAAAACACCCUAAAAUGGACUGAUUUUUGGCUCCUAAAUUAAGCUAAGUACUAAAUUAUUACAUAAUUAAUUUGGUGUAGUACAGAACCACUCCCAAAAACUUCGAACCGGCCUAAAAACCAAAUUUAUUGGCUUGAACCGGGCCAAUUAACUAAACAGGCCCAGGCGCACACAGGUCAGGCGCAGGCGGGCGCGCGGGCGCAGGCGGGUCGCGAAGCGGGUCAAGGCCGGGUUUUCGGGUCUGUGACCUUCUUUUCUUCAUUUUUUUUCAUUUCUCUCACCCGGUUGAACCAAUUACAGCCUAACUUCAACUCUAAUGACUUUUUUUUAUUUUAAAAAAAUUACAAACACUUUGCAACAAUAAAAAUAAGCCAUUAACAAGGCUAAUUACAAUAAUUAGAACAAAAUGUUGGAUUUUCCGACUAACUUAGUCCAAGGGUAAAAUGGUCAUUAGAUAUUUCUAGUCAAAAGUCAAACUUUGACUUUUCUUAGUCAAAAGUCAAUAUUUUGACUUUUUACCAUUUUGUCCGUCUUGACUAAUUCCAACCUCCCGAGCAUGAAUCCGCAUUCAUUUGUCCAAAAUUCAAAUCACAUUUGAAUAUAAGGGCGGUCAAAGUUUGACUUUUCAAAGUCAAAUGUCAAAAUUUUGACUCUUUACUAUUUUUGACCAAAUCCAUCAAUUCCGAGCUUCUUAGUAUGAAUCCGCAUUCAUACUUAUAGUAUGUAAAACAUAAAGCUCUAUUUCUAAUUAGAAGAUCGACGACUAUAUCACUAUAUUUGUCGGUUUCCCUUUCUUCUCCCAAUUCGAGCAAUUCGACUUAUUUUAUCACCAUGUUCUAUGUUUAAUCCAUAUGAGCUAGCAGAGGAACCUAAUGGACCUAUAGAUCAUGGGCUCCAACGAUUCAAGAUUAACUAGCUAAACUCUUUUAAACCGAGUUAAUCAACAUUCGUUAACUAACGGGUCAUUCCACUAAAGUCCCGUAGUUGCACUUCCCUAACUAUAGAUAUAUUUGUGUCCAUUUGAUAAAACCAUAAUCAGUAAGUUAAUCCUUCACAGGUUGCUCAUAACCUUGGCUGGGUCAAAAUACCGUUUUACCCCCAAGAUUACAUCUUGCUCCUUAAGUCCCACUAAUCCACUAUUGAACAAUUGGUUUAAGGUUCAACCUAUAAACUUAAUCCCUCUCGGGCCAAUGAGAGGGUGGGGCCCCUUGUUCAAGACUUGGAUUCAGUGCUGAAGAGAACAGCCUAUCUACUAACCCUAAAGCGGGUAGGAGUGAAUUCCAUCUUGUACCCUAUGUUCCCAGCUAUCCACCCGAUCUUACCCCUGAAAUGGGAGGCUUAUUGGGCCAACGAUGAAUAGCUGCCCUCACCUAUGCAGAUCUAAGGAUAAUCUCGUGCGAACAAGAGCUCAUAGUUAACUCAGGAUUAAGACUAAGUUACCUAGGUCAUCAACAAUUGAGAUAGUCAGUUUUAAACAGUAAACGGUGUUAUAACGUAAAAAAGACUAAUUCAUGGUUCAGUCUUAUGUAAACAUUUUACAUAGGAUGUCUCUACAUGAACGAUUAGGAUCACCUCAUUUGUACUACAAAGUGGGCCGCAUCCAUAGUUUCUCUAAAUAAGGCGCCCAACCUUUAUUUCAUAUAUUAUAGACUAUUUAGGUUAUAUACUCGAACUUGAUCCACGUUUAUGUUUACACAUAAAGUUCAAGUUUAUUCAAAAAUAGCCUUGGAACUUGAUUUAUUGGAUUUAAGAUUAUAAUAUUUAAUUUCUCAAUAACAGCUUUAUUGAACAGAAUAUGAUUUAUAAACUACGAGUUUUAGGAGAAAAAAUUCCAACACGGAGGCCCCGAAAAUUCACGUCUAGCUACUGGGUGGUUAGAUUCUGAGUGAUCUCAAAGUUCCUUGCCCACAAAAGCUGAACGGUGAUGCCCUAGACUCGGUUUCUUCGUUCCGUCCCAAAACGCCAAAGAAAGGCACAAUCGCCUAGAAAGGAACGACCGGACUCAGACUCGGUUUCUUGGUUCCGUUCCAAAUCGCCGAAGAAAGGCACAACGACCUAGAAAGUAACGACCGGAGUAAGAACGGGGUCGGAGGACCUGCAAGUGCAUAUCUAACCACUGGGCAGUCCGAUUCUGGGUGAUCUCGAAGUUUCUUGCCCAUAAAAGCCGAACGGUGAUGCCCUAGACUCGGUUUCUUCGUUCCAUCCCAAAACGCCGAAGAAAGGAACGACCGAACUCAGAACGGGGUCGGAGGAUGCGAAAGUUCACAUCUAACCACUGGGCGGUCCGAUUCUGAGUGAUCUAGAAGUUUCUUGCCGACAAAAGCCGAACGGUGAUGCCCCAGACUCGGUUUCUUGGUUUCGUCCCAAAACACCGAAGAAAUGCACAAUGGCCUAGAAAGGAACGACCAGACUCAGAAUGGGGUUGGAGGCCUCGAAACUUCACAUCUAACCACUGGGCGGUCCGAGUCUGAGUGAUCUCGAUGUUUCUUGCCCACAAAAGCCGAACAGUGAUGCCCCAGACUUGGUUUCUUGGUUCCAUCCCAAAAUGAUGAAGAAAGGCACAACGACCUAGAAAGGAACGACCAUACUAAAAACGGGAUCGGAGGCCUCGAAAGUUCACAUCUAACCACUGGGCGGUCCGAUUCUUAGUGAUCUCGAAGUUUCUUGCCCACAAAAGGCGAACGGUGAUGCCCCAAACUCGGUUUCUUGGUUCGGUCCCAAAAAUGCCGAAGAAAGGCACAAUAGCCUAGAAAGGAACGAUCGGACUCAGAAUGGGGUCGGAGGCCUCGAAAGUUCACAUCUAACCACUUGAAGGUCCGAUUCUGAAUGAUCUCGAAGAUUUUUGCCCACAAAAGCCGAACGGUGAUGCCCCACACCCGGUUUCUUUGUUCCGUCGCAAAACUCCCAAGAAAGGCACAAUGGCCUAGAAAGGAACGAUCGGACUCAGAACAGGGUCGGAGGCCUCAAAAGUUCACAUCUAACCACUGAGCGGUCUGAUUCUGAGUGAUCUUGAAGUUUCUUACCCACAACAGCCGAACGGUGAUGCCCAUACCCGGUUUCUUGGUUCUGUCGUUAAACGCCCAAGAAAGGCACAAUGGCCUAGAAAGCAACGACCGGACUCAGAAUGGGGUCGGAGGCUUCGAAAGUUCACAUCUAACCACUGGAUGGUCCGAUUAUGAGUGAUCUCGAAGUUUCUUGCCCACAAAAGCCGAACGGUGAUGCCCAGACUCAGUUUCUUGGUUCCGUCCCAAAACUCGGAAGAAAGGCACAACGACCUAGAAAGGAACGAUCUGACUCAGAACGGGAUCAGAGGCCUCAAAAGUUCACAUCCAACCACGUGGCAGUCUGAUUCUGAGUGAUCUCAAAGUUUCUUUCCCACAAAAGCCGAAUGGUGAUGCCCCCGACUCGGUGUCUUGGUUCGGUCCCAAAACGCCGAAGAAAGGCACAGUGGCCUAGAAAGGAACGAGCAGACUCAGAACGGGGUCGAAGGCCUCAGAAGUUCACAUCUAACCAUUGGGCGGUCUGAUUCUGAGUGAUCUCGAAGUUUCUUGCCCACAAAAGCCAAACGGAGAUUCCCAGACUCGAUUUCUUGGUUCCGCCGCAAAACUCCCAAGAAAGGCACAAUGGCCUAGAAAGCAACGACCGGACUCAGAACGGGGUCGGAGGCCUCAAAAGUUCACAUCUAACCACUAGGCGGUCUGAUUCUGAGUGAUCUCGAAGUUUCUUGCCCACAAAAGCCGAACGGUGAUGCCCCAUACCCGAUUUCUUUUGUUCUGUCGCAAAAGAACCAAGAAAGGCACAAUGGCCUAGAAACGCACGACCAACCUUAGAACGAGGUCGGAGGCCUUGAAAGUUCACAUCUAACCACUGGGCGGUCUAAUUCUGAGUGAUCUCGAAGUUUCUUGCCUACAAAUACCGAACGGUGAUGCCCCAUACCCGGUUUCUUGUUUCCGUCGCAAAACGACCAAGAAUGGCACAGUGGCCUAGAAUGCAACGACCGGACUCAGAACGGGGUCGGAGGCCUCGAAAGUUCACAUCUAACCACUGGGCGGUCAAAUUAUGAGUGAUCUUGAAGUUUCUUGUCGACAAAAGCUGAACGGUGAUGCCCUAGACUCGGUUUCUUGGUUCCGUCCCAAAACGCCAAAGAAAGGCACAAUGGCUUAGAAAGGAACGAUCGGACUUAGACAGGGGUCAGAGUCCUCGAAAGUUCACAUCUAGCCACUGGGCGGUCCGAUUCUGAGUGAUCUCAAAGUUUCUUGCCCACAAAAGGCGAACGGUGAUGCCCCAGACUCGGUUUCUUGGUUCCGUCUCAAAACGUCGAAGAAAGCCACAGUGGCCUAGAAAGGAACGACCGGACGCAGACAAGGGUCGGAGUCCUCGAAAGUUCACAUCUAGCCACUGGGCGGUCCGAUUCUGAGUGAUCUCGAAGUUGCUUGCCCACAAAAGCUGAACGAUGAUGCCCUAGACUCGGUUUGUUGGUUUCGUCUCAAAAUGCCGAAGAAAGGGACAAUGGCCUAGAAAGGAACGACCAAACUCAGAACGGGGUCCGAGGUCUCCAAAAUUCACAUCUAACCACUGGGCGGUCCGAUUCUGAGUGAUCUUAAACAUUCUUGCCCACAAAAGCCGAACGGUGAUGCCCUAGACUCGAUUUCUUGGUUUCGUCCCAAAAUGCCGAAGAAAGGCACAAUGACCUAGAAAGGAACGGCCGGACUCAGAACGGUGUCGGAGGCCUCAAAAGUUCACAUCUAACCACUGGACGGUCCGAUUCUGAGUGAUCUAAAAGUUUCUUGCCUACAAAAGCCGAACGGUGAUGGCCCAUACUCGGUUUCUUGGUUCCGUCUACAAACGCCGAAGAAAGGCACAAUGGCCUAGAAAGGAACGACCGAACUCAGAACGGGGUCCGAGGCCUCGAAAGUUCACAUCUAACCAGUGGGCGGUCCGUUUCUGAGUGAUCUCGAAGUUUCUUACCCACAACAACCGAACGGUGAUGCCCAAACUCCGUUUCUUGGUUCCGUCCCAAACCGCCAAAGAAAGGCACAAUGGCUUAGAAAGGAACGACCAGACUCAGACAGGGGUCGGAAACCUCGAAAGUUCACAUCUAGCCACUGGGCGGUUCGAUUCUUAGUGAUCUCGAAGUUUCUUACCCACAAAAGGCGAACGGUGAUGCCCUAGACUCAGUUUCUUGGUUCCGUCCCAAAACGCCGGAGAAAGGCAUAAUGGCCUAGGAAGGAAUGACCAGACUCAGAACGGAGUCGGAGGCCUCGAAGGUUCACAUCUAACCACUGGGCGGUCGUAUUCUAAGUGAUCUUGAAGUUUCUUGCCCACAAAAGGGGGAAGGUGAUGGCCCAGACUCGGUUUCUUGGUUUCGUCCCAAAACGCCGACGAAAGGCACAAUGGCCUAGAAAGGAACGACCGGACUCAGACAAGGGUCAGAGUCCUCAAAAGUUCACAUCUAAGCACUGGACGGUCUGAUUCUGAGUGAUCUCGAAGUUUCUUGCCCACAAAAGCUGAACGAUGAUGCCCUAGACUCAGUUUCUUGGUUCCGUCCCAAAACGUCGAAGAAAGGCACAAUGGCCUAGAAAGGAACGGCCGGACUCAAAACGGGGUUGGAGGCCUCGAAACUUCACAUCUAACCACUGGGCGGUCUGAUGCUGAGUGAUCUCAAAGUUUCUUGCCGACAAAAGCCGAACGGUGAUGCCCAAACUCGGUUUCUUGGUUCCGUCCCAAAACGUCAAAGAAAGGCACAAUGACCUAGAAAGGAACGACCGGACUCAGAACGGGGUCGGAGGCCUCGAAAGUUCACAUCUAACCACUGGACGGUCCGAUUUGAGUGAUCUCGAAGAGUCUUGCCCACAAAGCCGAACGGUGAUGCCCUUGACUCGGUUUCUUGGUUCCGUCCCAAUCGUUUCGACAUCUUUACUCAAUCGGAGGUAACUAUACAGACAACACAAUUCAGAACUAUAGGUGAGUCCAAUAGUAGAGAAUCCCUUACCUUAUAACCUUACUUAAGCUUAUUUUUCAAACUAAAGUGCAACGAACCGACCUGAACAUAAUUGAAGAGAAAUCAAUCACUUCUACAAACAAUUUAAUCCAUUCAAUUCACUCUAUAUGUAAAUUCCAUAACUUACCCAAAUUGUGGAGAAUCAAAUUCUAACGGAGACGGAUCGGUGCAACAAAUAACCGAACAAUUCAAAUCUAAACAUACAUGGCGUGACGGAACCGGAGUGACUCGGUCUAACGGUGAUGCGACGAUAGGACAAAAUUUGAUUGACGUUCGGUGUAGGUGGAAGACGAUGAUGAAGUUGAUUGGAGAAUGAAAAGAGAAGGAAGAAAAGAGACGGUGGUGUGGCCGUAGGUUGAAGAGGAAGAGAAAGGAAGAAGAUGAAUAGGAAAAGAGAAAAAAUAAGAUUAAAUAUUAUAAAUAUAUAUAUAUAUAUAUAUGAAAUACAAAAAUAAAAGUAGAAUAACGAUGAAAUUUUGAAAAAUGAAAAUUUGGAUAAAGUAAAAUUUGAAAAUAAAGAUUUGAUACAAAUCCAAUAUUUGGAGGUAAAAAAAGUGUGUUAAGAUAAUGUAGGAGGAAAUCAAUAUUUAUGCUAAAAUUUUGCAUAUUUCAAAAUUAGUUACAGUUUAACUAAAAAGCAGGCGAGGAGAUUUUAGGGUUAAUGAAAAUUCAAAACACGUGAAAUGCUCAUGUUUGCUAUUCUUCUAAUAAAAUUUUGCUAUUUUCUCAAAUGAGUGUAAUCCAACAAAAUGAAGUUGUGUGUGUGUGAACAAAAAUGAGGUAAAUAGCUUUGAUGAUGAUGGCAAAUGGGUAAAGAAAAUCUUAUCUUAUUCUUCACUUUUCAUUUAAUUGACAAAAAGUAACCAACCAUAUGAAGGGAAAAACAAAAUGCUCUCUCAGUUACUUUACUCAGUUCUUAGUUCUUUGUGUGGGAGAUAUUUGAAAUGGAGAUGAAGAUCAAAAUGAAAGAGAGAUUAUGCAUACACUGUGAGAAGCACACAGAAAAAUUGAAAAUAAAUUGAGAAGAAGUGAGAGAUAAGCCUGAGGGAGAAAUAUUCAUGUAACGCCCCAAACUUGAAGGCAAAUUAUUUUGAGAGAAUUAUUUCGAUUUGUUCAAGAUUUUUUUUUUAAAAUAUGUUGAAGGGGAGAAAGAAGAUUUGAAAAUGUAUUAAUAUAAUUAAAUAUGUAUAUGUAUUUAAUUAUAUUUUUAUUAUUAUAUUUAUUUUACAUUUUAUUAAAUAAAAGAAAAGAAAAUGAAAAUUUUAAAUAUAUAUAUAUAUAUUUAUUUUAUAUUUUUUAUUAUAAUUAUUUUAUAUAUUUUUUUAAAUAAAAAGAAAAGAAAAUGAAAAUUUCUUUUUUCCCUUUUCUUCUUCCGCCCAGCGCCGCGACCCUCCCUUCCGUUCUCCAUCUCCGUUCGCGAAGCAACCUUGCAGCAGUCGUCCCGCGUGACUCUCCGUUCGUCUGUUUCCGUCUCCAUUCACCGAAGCCGAACCCAACCGCCACCCUCUCUUUUCUCCUUCGGAUUGAAACCGCCGCGCCCAUCCACCUGUAACUGUCGUGCCUCCCCGCUCACAACCGUCGUCCAGAUCUGCAUCGCCGAGCCGUCCAGGUCCUCGCUGCCGCUCGUGCUUCACCCUUGCAGUUCGCAGUAACCCAGAUCCGUCGCUGCAACCGUCGGCCGGUUCGUGAAGCCCUGCCGCGCAACCUCUGUUUCCAGCCGUCGCCCAUUUCGUUCUCCUCUGUUUUCUGCACUGCCACGCGACUCUCCGACCGCGUCUGUCUUCACCUCCGUGAAGUCGUCGAUGCAUACAUCUUGUGAAGCCCGGUCGCCGCGUCAGAUCGUCGGUCGAUUUUGAGGCAGCCGCCACGUCUCCUUUGGCUGACCGCUGACCGACCCACACUUAGGAUUUUUGCUACGAGUUCGAUAGUCGUGCGUUGAGGUGUUGGGAGUAACGUUGGGCUCCCUUAAAUUCACAACCAAUAUAUGAAUUGUUGAGGGUUCAGUUCGCCAAUACUUCAGUGAGUUGGAACUUACGUUGAGGAAAGUAAGUGAGAUAUGUAUCUUGAAAGUAAUCGAAUUUUUGGACUAAGGUACCUUUCGAUCUCUAAAUCAAUAAAUAAUUUUAUGUUCAAACAUAAGUUGGACAACCUUUGUUAAAGAACUGCUUCCCAAAACAAAUAGCAUUAACCACCCUUUUUUAAUUCAACACAUGGGAAUAGAGAUCGAAUCUCUAAUUUUUUGGACUAAGGUACCUUUCCUAAACUUGUCGAAUUCUAUUUUCUACACCAACUUUAAUUCGACCUCCCAUGAGUUCUCUUCUUCUAAGGAUUAACUUUUCUCUAAGGCUCUGCACUCUACUAAAAAGCCUUGAUCUUCUUCCCCCCAAUGUUUUCGUAAACUUCUUAAGACAGACCUUGGCCUUGGUUAGGCUCGGAUCUCCUUGGAUUAUCACCUUCUUCCCCUGAUAUGUAAAUGUUAACAUCAGAUUCUUCCAAUUCACUCCAGUCGUUCCCAAGGAAUACAAUCACUGCAUUCCAAGUAUGGCAACUACCCCUCCCAACUUCAAGGAUAAAAACUCAUUCACUACCUUCUAGUCUCCCAGCAUUAACUCAACAUCUUCACAAAUUACCUUCCCUUUGACUACAGUGCCCGAGCCCAAAAUGACUCCAUAAUUUGACGUUUCUCUUGUACUCAGUUACAACUCUUUCACUAUUUUUUUCUGAAAUGAAAUUGCGUGUGACUCCACAAUCAAUUAGUAUUAUAGCCACCUUCCCUUGUAUCAUCUCUUUUACCUUCAUUUUCCCUAGGUUGGAUAAUCCCACCACAUAAUUAAUGGAUAAUUCCACCAUCAUUUGACUCUCCUCUACGAUCUCAGGGGCAUUCAAUUCUUUCUGAUCAAUUCCUCCUUCUUCAAUAAUUUCAUACUCCUCGCCUUCUUCCUUCACAACAAUCAUUCACAAUUCUCUUUGAUCUUUCAUCUUGCAUUUGUGGUCAUGAGAAUAUUUCUCAUUACAGCGAAAGCACAAUCCCUUCUUUCUAGAUUGAAAUUCAGCAUCAAAUAAGCGCUUCGUCUGUCCCUCUUUCCGUACUUCCUCUUUUGUUGUUCCUCGUAGAGUAAUAGUUCUCAUCGGCCAAUUCAUUCCUCCUUUACUUUCUUCUGUAUUCGCAAUGGUAUUAGCCUUGGUGCUAUUAUGGGAGUUUAUCACCUUUUCUCCAGAAUAUCCAAAAAGAUUUGCUUCCUGACGUAUAUCUUCCUUGUUCUCUACCUUUUGCGCAAUUCGUAUCAUUUGUGCUAAUCCCUUCGACUCACAUAAAUCCAUCUCCGCCUAGAUCCACAGUUUCAAUCCCGACAUAAAUGUCUCUUUUACCACCUUCUCUAAUAGGUCCGACAAAGGAGCUACGCACUUAUCGAAUAAAUUUUGAUAUUCCUCUAUCGUUGUCUUUUGUUGAAUUUGCAAGAACCUUACAUACAACGAUUCCUCCCUAACGGAUCGAAAUCGCACAAUAAUCUUUCCUUCAUAUUCACCCAAUCUACAAAGUUCUCUCGUUCUUCUUGAGAACGGUAAAAGUUCAAUGCUAGUCCCUCAAAACUAAUAGUGGAUACAGUCAUUUUCUCAAAUUCAGUAAGUUUAUGAAUGUUCAAAUACCUCUCUACGCAAAACAGCCAAGAAUCGGGAUCAUCUCCAUUGAAUAUCGACAUCUCCACCUUCUUAAACUUAUUGCAGUCACUAUUACUUUCAUCAUCUAUUUUCUUUCCUUCCUUCCCUGUUUCGUUCUCCCAUCUUGGUCACCCUUCGCCUUCGUCCACAUUCUUCGUCGAUGAAUUGUGCAUUGUUGUCGAUUCCAUAAUUCGUAACAUCAUCUGAUUCUACCUCUCCAUAUUUUUGGAUAUUUUGGCCAACGUCUUUUCGAUCACCAGUAUCUUACUAAUCUCUUUCUUAAUGUCUUGUAUUUCCUGGUCAAACGUCUCCAUCUCUUCGAUCCGAGUCUGAACCAUUUGCAUUCUUCUUGCCCGAGAUCAAUGCUCUGAUACCAAUUUGAUGGAAACCACUCUUGGAAUGAAAUUGCUACUAUAUUAUUAAUGAUAGAAUAGGAAUGAAAUCCUAAUUACAUUAUGAAAUCCCACUCCUGUUAUCCUCUCUCUCAAGGAAGAAUAGAAAUUCACUUUCUCAAACAAAACCUAACUUUCCCGCCCACGAUUACUUUUUAUUUAUACUAACAAUAAGGUAACUAACCCUCACAUGCUAUUCAUGUGCACGUGAUAUAUUUUUUUUAAUUUCUUUGUCCCUCUUCCGCUGUACAGAUGUAAUAUAGGGGGUCUAUCAGAUUCCUCCUCUUUUCAAAGCCUCCAAUCAAACUCAAUGCUAAGUUUGACUGCUCCCUUCAGAGUGACGACCCUCAUUUUCCCCCUUCCGUGGUUUGGGGAGGAUUCCUCCUCUUUUUAAAGCCCUCAAUCAAACUUGAUGCUAUGUUUAGAACGCUAAGAAUAGGUGGUCUAGUUUUGGUUAGGCCAAAAGUGAAAUUUUCCCCCAAAAGCACUAAUAGUUAGGGAACUCAACACAUUCUACUUGACUUAAUCGACUUGACUCUCUAAUUUUUAUGAGCUUUUUUCAAUGCAUAUUGCAUAUGUUUUUUUUAUAGUUGUUGAUUGUCUCACAUUUUUAUGGUUUGCAUUUACAAGCCUCUUUUUUCUUUCUUUGGUAUGAAAUAUGGUAAUAGGCCUUGCUAGAACCGGUGGGGUAAUCUCUCUAUGGUUCUACACUUAGUUUCAAAGUUUGAUUACUCCCUUCGAAGUGACAACAAGCCUCGUUUUCCCCUAUUGUGGAUCAGAGAGGAUUCCUCCUCUUUUCAAAGCCCUCAAUCAAACUCAAUGCUAAGUUUAACUGCUCCAUUCGAAGUGACAACAAGCCUUGUUUUCCCCUAUUGUGGAUCAGAGAGAAUUCCUCCUCUUUUCAAAGCCCUCAAUCAAACUCAAUUAGAGUAAAAAAGGAAAAAUUUUCAUCUCGGGCGCGUGUACCUCACACGCGUCUCUCUAGGAUUUCCAAGUUCUCUCACUCGGGUGGUGAAGGAGGCGAACGGCUGGUGAGUGCUGCGGUCAGCAAGGGAUCAAAUUCGAAGGUAAUUCGUUCGGUUUUGGCAGAUUGAAUGUGAAAACUAAUGUCAUUUGGUAUCCAUUUCGAAAUUGAUUACAAUUGAUCAAUUGAACCAUUACGAAUGAUAUUCGUUUUGAUUCGGGAGAAUUAACGUCUGUCUAGAAAUUGUUUAAAUCGAUUUCCAAGCUGAAUUGAUUUGAACUAUCUUGAAAGUAUUGCGUGUGGUACGAAUCGAUUUAUUGGCUAUCAGUUCUGGGUUUGAAGACCGUGAUUUAAUUCACUCGCUGAAGGGAUCUCGCAUGAAUCUCCUCGGUUGAAUUUCAAUUCUUUUUUAGUUCAUUCGUGUUCCCAGAUUGGGCCGAAAAGAUCAUCACGGGUGUUGGGUUGAUGUCCUAAGCAUGAAACGAUGAAGAAAUUAUCCAGUGACAUUGAGGAGGUGAAGAAACGUGUGAUGUCAAGCCUUCAACGCGUACAUGAUAUGGCGGCGAACGACCGAAGGGCGGCGACUGCAAAGGCUGACCUAAUUUCUGUGAGGAAGAAAUGGUCGGACAUGAGUGGACCCGAACCGGUUUACGUGAACCGUGAAACAUAUAAAAACUGAAAUACAGGAAAUGGACCGAGCGGAGAUGGUCCCAUGAAGAUUGUUGGCCCAAAGGCGUGUGGGCCGAUUGUUUUGAAUGAAAACGUGAUGAAGCCCAGUGAGCCGGUAAAGGGGCUGAAGCCGAAUGGUGUGGACACAUUUACGAAUGGAAUUGGUCAUGGAUUUCUGGUUGAUGGGCCAUCGUUGAAUGAUGGGCCGUCCAUCUCACACGAAACUGGGAUCUCACAGAAGGAGUGCUUACCUGCUGGUGCUUCAAGUGUUCAGCAUGUUGGGCAAAUUGCAACAGCCGAAGGAUAUGGACCUGGGCUGGAUGCUAUUGCAAGUGCCCCAAAGAUUGGGCCGGUUGAUGGGCAUUUGAAUGAUGGGCCAGCCAUUAGAGAAUCGUUUGGUAUUAAUUCAAAUGGUGGGCCGCCUGUUUCGAUUCGUGGGCAUGAGGUGCAGAAAUCUAAUAAUUCUGGAGGUGCAGGCAAAAUUCAUGGGCUUCCUUAUUUGGCUCAACAAGAGGUUUCUCUAUGACCUAUACACCUCUGACUACCGUGGGAGAGAAAAUUGUGGUGACCCCGUUUGAAGAAGUUAUUAGUCAAGGAGUUAGAGUGUGGGAGAACUCCCUCGUCAGCCAAUUAAUUGAUGCAAAAUUGCUGUAUCUAGUCAUCUAUCGUCUUAUAGAGAAGAUUUGGGGUAGAAUUGAAAUGCCAACAAUUACUCUGAUGGAGAAUGGGCUCAUCUGCUUUCAAUUCAAACAUCUGAAGUCGAUAGAGUGGAUCUUAUCCCGUGGCCCAUGGCACCUUGGAGGCAAACCUAUGCUCCUCCGCAAAUGGACUCCAGGUAUAGUUCCUGAAUCCUUUGUCUUUGAUUCAGUUCAUGUUUUGAUAAAGUUAGGGAGGAUUCCGUUGGAGCUAUGGACGGAUGCUGGUUUGGCUGUGGUAGCGAGUGCAAUAGGAAAACCUCUUUCAGUUGAUCUUGCUACUAAAGAGAGGCGUCGUCUUUCUUAUGCCCGUAUAUGUGUGGAAUUGAAUGUGGACAGUAUUAUGCCUGCCGAAGUAACAGUCAACCUUAGAGGAGAGGAAUUUAUUGUAACUGUCACUUAUGAGUGGAAACCGAAAAAAUGUAACUUGUGUCGAUCUUUUGGACACUCGCAGAACACCUGCCCUAAGAAAAGAGGCAAUGAAGAUAGUAAAAAGGAAGCUGCAAGUAAAGAGGUUCCUGUUAAAGAGGUUGUUCCUACUAAAGAGGUGGUUCCAAUUUGUGGGGAGUAUGAAGAUGUUGUGUUGGAAUCCUUCCAACACAUGGAAGAAGGAGAAAUUAUUACCCAUAAACUGCCUGAAAAGGUGGAGGUAAAUUGGGAGGAAUUUACCCCAGUUGACAGGAAAAAUAGGGGAAUGAUCUCUAUUUGGGACAGAGGGAAAAGGGCGGAAGUGAGUAUCACUAACUCCUUUAACAACCUCAUGGAGGUGGAUAAAGGAGAUAAAUGGCCUUUAUCUAUAGUGGAUGCCUCCCCUCCUCCCUUACGAGUAGAUGACUCUUCUAUGGUCCUUUUGAGUACUGCAGGUGAUGUAAUUCCUAUGGGAGAGGCGGCUCCCAUACGACCUCAUGGUUAGUUGGUGUACGUGGAACGUGCGGGGCCUUAAUAGCCCUAUAAAGUGUAGAGCGGUGAAGGACUUCUUAGCUGUGUCUACGGUGGGUUUCUGUUGCAUCCUGGAGACUAGAGUUCGAGAGGAGAACUUUGUCUCGAUAUCUAGAAGAUUUGUGAUUCGUGGGGGUUCAUUAGUAACUACAGCGAUAGUGGAGCAGGUCGAAUGUGGAUUAUGUGGAAACGUAACAGUUUUGUGUUCACGACUAACGAGGUUGUCGACCAGUUUAUUUUUGGUGUAAUAACAGAUUUGAUCUCUGGGGAGAAGGUAGAGGUUCUGUGUGUGUAUGCCUAUAAUAGUAACAUCGAGAGACGUGUUUUAUGGAGGCAAAUGGCUGAGAUCUCUGCUGGUUGGAGAGGACCGGGUAUGGUCUUGGGUGAUUUUAACACCAUCAGACUCCAGUCUGAAGCAUUCGGGGGUGCUCCGAACGUGGGGGAUAUGGAGGAGUUUGACAUGGCUAUUCGAGAGGCGGACCUUGUUGAACACGCGGUCCAGGGGAACUGGUUUACUUGGACUAGUAAGAUACAUGGGUCGGGUUUGAUGAAGAGACUUGAUCGUAUCCUAGUGAAUGAUGAGGGGCUUAGUACAUGGCCUAACAUGAGGGUUAACGUCCUCCCGUGGGGUAUUUCUGAUCAUUCUCCCAUACUUGUCUAUCCCAGUAAUCAGCGAAGCCAACAAGUGGUCUCUUUUCGUUUCUUUAACCAUUGGGUUCAAGAAGCGUCCUUUAUGGAUGUUGUGUCCUCUGCUUGGACCAAAGAUACUAGAGUUUCUCCAAUUGUGAAUAUUGUGAGGAACUUAAGAAAUCUCAAGUCGAUUCUUCGCAGACAUUUUGGUAGGCAUAUCCGGACCAUCAGUGAGGAUGUUCGUCUUGCCAAUGAUACCAUGGACCGAGCUGAAAGAGAGAUGGAGACGAACUCUCUGUCGGAGGAGGCGAGUAAUCACGCGAGCUUAGCCACGGUAAACUUUUGGAAAGCGGUUAGAGUGGAGGAAGCCGCUAUGCGUCAGAAGUCGCGAACCAGAUGGUUGAAGCUAGAUGACCAGAAUACUGCCUUUUUUCAUCGAUCUGUUCGAUCAAGGCAGAGCAGCAAUGCUUUGAGAUCAGUUAUUGACCCAGAUGGAAAUCGGUUGACUAACCAUGAUCAGGUGACUCAGGUGGUAGUGAAUUAUUUCAAAGAUAGUCUGGGUUCUCAGAAUAUUAGCUAUGGAGAGCUCUCUACUAGUAUUGAGGAGAUUGUUCAGUUUAGAUGGACUGAGGAGUGUUGUCAGGCCCUCCAGUCGCCUAUUGGCAGGGAGGAAGUGAGACGUGUUCUGUUCUCCAUGGAUGGUGGAAAGGCUCCAGGCCCUGAUGGGUAUUCAGUUGGCUUCUUCAAAGGAGCUUGGACGGUGGUUGGAGAGGGUUUCUGUGAUGUCGUCUUACACUUCUUUGAGACCAAUUACUUCCCUCAAGGGUGAAUACGACUGCUAUUACACUUAUUCCUAAAAGGAAUGGUGCUGAUCGAUUGGAGGAUUUCAGCCCUAUAUCUUGUUGCAGCGUUAUUUAUAAGUGCAUUUCAAGAAUAUUGGCAGAUAGGCUUCGUGUGUGGCUUCCUUCUUUUGUUAGUGGAAAUCAGCCAGCUUUCAUCCCUGGGAGGAGUAUUAUUGACAAUAUUCUUCUUUGUCAGGAGCUUGUAGGGGCAUACCAUUUGCACACAGGAAAACCUCGGUGCACUAUGAAGGUUGACCUCCAAAAAGCUUAUGAUUAUGUUAAUUGGGAUUUCCUCUUUGGCCUGCUGAUUGCCAUAGGUACGCCUUUAAGAUUUGUGAGUUGGGUUCGAGCGUGUGUGACCUCUCUGAUGUUCUCCAUUAUGAUUAAUGGAUCGUUGGAAGGUUUUUUCCAUGGGAGGAAAGGACUUAGACAAGGUGACCUUUUAUCCCCGUUCUUAUUUGUGAUGGUCAUGGAGGUGCUUUCUCGCAUGUUGAACAGCCUACCUCAGAAUUUUCAAUUCCACUAGUUUUGUGAGAAGGUCAGAUUAACUCAUCUUACUUUUGUAGAUGACCUGAUGAUCUUUUGUACUGCUGAUAAUCAUUCUAUGAGUUUCAUAAAAGAGACUAUUAAGAGGUUUGGUGAGCUUUCGGGACUGUUUGCUAAUCUUGCUAAAAGCUUAAUUUUUCUUGUGGGGGUUAAUAGUUCGAAAGCCUCUCGGCUUGCUGCUAACAUGGGUUUUUCCAUUGGUCAUCUCCCUGUUCGUUAUCUUGGGCUUCCUCUCCUCUCUAGAAGAUUGCGGAGCUCUGAUUGUGAUCCCCUUAUUCAGCGUAUUACCAGUCGUAUUCGGUCUUGGUCUGCUAGAGUGUUAUCUUUUGCAGGUAGACUUCAGCUUGUUCGCUCAGUCCUUAGGAGCCUUCAGGUUUAUUGGGCUAGUGUGUUCAUGCUUCCUAUGAAAGUCCACAGAGACGUUGAUAAGAUCUUGAGGGCUUAUUUGUGGAGAGGUAACGAGGAGGGAAGAGGUGGUGCUAAAGUUGCCUGGGAUGAGGUUUGUCUUCCUUUUGAUGAAGGAGGUCUUGAUAUUCGCGAUGGAUCUUCUUGGAAUAUAGCAAGCACGUUGAAGAUAUUAUGGUUGCUACUUGUUAAAUCUGGUAGUUUAUGGGUUGCUUGGGUGGAAUCUUAUAUCCUUAAAGGGAGAUCGCUCUUGGAGAUCGAUGCUGGGGUGAGUCGAUCUUGGUGCUUUAGGGAAAUCUUGCGUAAGCGGGAUAUCCUUAAAGAUCAUGUUAAGAUGGAGGUGGGCAAUGGAAGGAAGUGUAGAGUGUGGUUGGUUCCAUGGAUUCAGGGUGGGCCGAUUAUCCAGCAGUUUGGGGAGAGGGUGAUCUAUGAUGCAGGUAGUCGGUGGGAUGCGAGGCUGGUGGAUUUCAUGGGUCGGGAUGGUGAUUGAAGGUGGCCGCUUGUUUCUUUGGAUUUGAUGGACAUUUGGGAUAGGGUUCAGGGAGUGAGGCCGAGUCCGAGUGUUGAGGAUAGGUGGGUCUGGGUGCCGGGGAGUCAUGAUAGUUUUUUAUCACCAGUGCGUGGGAGACUAUUCGUCCUCAUAGUAGUAGGGUUGGUUGGUCGGGUUUACUAUGGGGUGGGGGAAAUAUUCCUAAGCACUCCUUUUGUGCUUGGUUGGCCAUCAGGGAUAGGUUGGGUACUAGAGAUAGGUUAAGUCGGUGGGAUAGGUCGAUUCCUUUAUCGCGUUUGCUUUGUGGAGGGAACUAUGAGUCUCGUGAUCAUUUGUUUUUUUCUUGUCAUUUUGGGUGGGAGGUUUGGUCGAGGAUCCUUUUGCUUAUGUCAUCUUCUCAUAGAAUCGGUUAUUGGGAAGAGUGUGAGGAGAAAACUGUGGCGCCUUCUCUGGUGUGCUACAAUUUAUUUCAUUUGGCAGGAGCGAAAUCAUCGUCUUCAUGGAGUUGCUAUUCGGGAGCCUAUGGUUGUAUUCCAGCUCAUUCGGUCGUGUAUUAAAGCGCGUGCUGCUUCUUGGUCGGAUGGUGUUCAUGGUCUUGUUUAAUGUUCUUUUCGUUUGCUUGUCCCCGGGCUGUGGGGUUUCUCUUCUCUUUAUUAACUUUGUUGUCUUUCUCUCUUCUUCUUUUCCUUUUAAUGUUUGGAACACUAGUUGGUUUCUUUUGGUUUUAGUUCUUGUUCCCGAGAUGUGGGGUUGUUUUGGGUACUUAUGGGUUGUUUUGUCUAACUACUUGUUCUAUGAGUGUUGUUCGCUCUUUUGUCUUGACCUUAGGCUGUGAGGUCCACCUUGUUGUUGUAUAAUAUUAUCAUUACCUUUUCAAAAAAAAAAAUCAAACUCAAUGCUAAGUUUGACUGCUCCCUUCGAAGUGACAACAAGCCUUGUUUUUGCCCUACUGUGGAUCGAGGAGGAUUCCUCCUCUUUUCAAAGCCCUCAAUCAAACUUGACGUUAUGUUUAAAACACUAAAAAUAGAUGGUCUAGUUUUGGUUAGGCCAAAAGCGAUGUUUUCCCCCAAAAGCUCUAAUAGCUAGGGAACUCAACAUGUUCUACUUGACCUAACCGACUUGAGUCUGUAUUUUUUAUGAGCUUUUUUUAAUGCAUAUUGCAUAUGUUUUUUUUUAUAAUUGUUGAUUGUCUCACUUUUUUAUGGUCUGCAUUUACGAGCCUCUUUUCUUUCUUUGUUAUGAACUGCGGUAACUAGGCAUUGCUAGAACCGAUGGGGUAACAUUUCUAUGGUUCUACACUUAGUUUCUAAGUGUGAUUGCUCACCUCUAAUUUUCAAAACACUUAAUUUCUAAGCACAUACAAUGCUCACCUAGAAAAAAAUGAAAAUUGUUGUAGUUAAGAUCAAAACUAAAUAAUUAUGAAAUAAGACAUAAGAGAUUUGAUUUUAACAACCUUCCCGUUGUACUUGGGAUCCACUCUGGCUUUGUGCUGGAAAAUUGGUUUGGAGCUAAUCGUAAGCUUUCGGUUGCUCUUCUAAAACCUUUAGAUACUCUUCAAAGCUAUAAGCUUUGCUUCCUGACGAAGAAUCUUCUACUAUUACAAUACAUAAGAAAAUUCUAUUUCAUAAACCCUGUAUCAUAAUUGAGGCUGAUAGAAUGAUUAUUCUAUAACCCUACCGAUAGUUUCAUUCUUAACAUUCAUAAACACGAUGCAUGGCAGCUAUCCAAUUCUAUUUCAUGUUCUCGAGAAUGGCUCGGUUUAACAAUAAUGUUAAUUUUUGUUUUCUAUUUUAAAAUAAUAACGCUGCUUACUAAUCUUUUUUUUUCCAUUUGGCAUUCUACUUUUUCUACUCAGCUUUCUUUCCCUAGUGAUAACAAAUAAUACGGGUGAUAAAAAACUUAAUCACUCACUUGUUUCAGCCACUGAAAGCCCUUCUGCUUUAGAAAUAGAAGAUGGGUUUGAGUAGGUAGAUUUACUUGCAUUGUAUGUGCUGUUCAUUGAACUCUCAAUUUCAUCGAGACCAAUUUCUCACUCAAACAUGGUCUUGCAUUCUCUAGAAACGUCCUACAAACAAAAAUGAAGAACAAAAAACUACAAUAAGGUCUAUGAAAAAGUUACAAAGGAAAAUCUCAAAAACUAAUAUGUAAGUCAUAACAACCUUAAGUCUUCUUAUCGUGGGUUAAAAUGCACGUAAGGUUUUUCCAAGAGUCCGAGCAACUAGCAUGUAAAUAAGUUAAGUCAACUAAAUUUGCUAUAAAUUUACUCGUAUUAACAUUAUCAUUGUUAUAGACUUGACAACUUCAAAUUUAUCAAUAUAAAAUAUGCUUUAACAAAACGUACCUUGAGGUUCCUCCAACCUUAUUAAAAAAGCAAAUAAUCCAACAAUUUAACAAAUUUAUAGUGCAUAUUAUGUAUAUCAAUUGAUCACAACAAAAUAAGAUCGAACAAAUACCCAUGAGUAAUAUUUAGCCACCAAAUGAAUAAUGAUGAAAACCUGAAAACAAAACCGAGAAAAAAAAAGAAACAAUUCAUCAAUAAAACAAAUUUAGGGGACUAAAAAGUUGUUUACCUUAUUACACACUUCAAAAUAUUAAGAAAAGUGGAGGGAAAAAACCAACCAAUAAUCAACAAAUAAACUUCAACACAAAUAGCCAUAAAUUUUCUUCUUUAAAGGUAUCACAAAUAAGUCCAUCAGUAAUAACAAAAUAAAAAAGGGCAAUGUGCAAUUGAAUUCUGCAGUCGUAAAGCUAUGCUAAAGGCAGUAUGAAAUCAAACUUGAGCACUAACAAGAAAAUUUGCAAAACAAAAAUUACUAGACAUCAUUAACUAAAGUACCAGCACAACAAUGAAUGUGUAACCUCCGCAAGAGCAAACCCGAAUGGAGAAGAACAUGAAGAAAUAUAUAAAUAGAAGAAACAUAAAAGACAAACAUGAAACACAUGGAAAUAUACAAAGGGGAUAAAUAAAAGUACAAUUAUAAAGUGAUGAAGCACAAAUAUAGGUAUCAACAGAACCAGAAUACAAGUCUUACCCUAUCUCGACUGUCGAGGAGUGUUAACCAACCGUCGGAAGGUUGGUUUAUUUUUUAGAAAAAAUUAAUGUUGUCUGAAUUCUUUUCCAAGCCACUAACCAGCCCCUCCUUAUCUAUGAUCGGCGAUCAACUCCUCAACCUCUAAUUACAUUUAAAAGAGUGAUGCGAACAUUGUGUGAAAUCCCAAACCUUUGAUGGAUCCCACCAUCACUCUCUUUCUAUCCCCUUCAAAACCUCAUUAUUUUCAAGAGAGGCCUCAAAGCUUCUUCCAAUUAACAUAAAAGAAGAAUGAAAGAGAAGGAGAGAAAGGGAAAGUGGUUCAAAAGCUAUGGAAAAAAAAGUAAAAGAAAAUGGUCUACUCAUUGGCACAUCUUACACAGAUGAUAAUGUUAGGGCAAGGCAAUGAGAGACAGAAUGCUUUUGGAGCCUUCUCCUCUACUUUCGAAGAUUUUAACAAACUAAAAUAUGCAAAUGUUACAAGAAAGAUCUUUGGAGAUUUGAAAUAAUCCAAAAUAAAGAAAAAGGAAAACCCCAAUAUGUACAAAUUUCAUAAUCUAAAACUUGAAAAGUGAUUGAAUGAUGAGAUAUGUUUGUACAAUCAAUUAUAGAGACAGUGAAACAUUAAAACAAAAAUGAAACGUACCAAGAUAAAAAGAAUAGCAACUAGUAUUAUGACCUUUGUAUGUCUUCAAAAUACAAACAUCAAAAUGAAUCAAGAGAUCUACCACACAAAUACUGGUAUCAACACAAAUAAAGCAAUUGUUUUAGUAACAAUAUUUGAGUACAAUUAAACUAAGCAUGCUAUUGUCCUUGACAAAUUUACAUUCUUCUAAUCGAACAAAAUCUGACCUUUAAAUAAUGAUAGAAACUGAAGAUGAAAGCAAGUUUAGCUACAACUUCAGACCGUGAUAUAUAUGAUGGAACCUAUAAAAAAAAAGAAGAGUACCUAACUAUAUAUACACAGAGGAGAUCUGAUGCUUUCUAGCACAUCAGAGGCUCAAUCAAUUUAUAUUUAAUUGAAAAACAAUCCCUAUAUUUUAAUGCAUACACAUUGAAUAGCCCCUGUUUCAAUCCAAUUUACAAAACUACCUCCAUAAAAUUACAUAAUGGGGGAAGUUCGACCGGAUGCACUGUGCUUUACCAGAACCACAUGAAAUUAUUGGAACAUAGUUCAUUCAAUUAACUUUCUAUUCAAUAAUUGAAACAAAUGGAAAGAGGAUAAUUGAAUAUUAAAUAAAGAUGGAAUUAAUUGGGAACUCACGGAGUAAUGCGAUUUGUUCGGGGGCUCACCACUGGAGUUGGAAGAGAGACAAGGAUUAGAAAGGAAAGGAAGAGGAGCGUCUGAUAAUCCAGCGGAUUCUUUGAUGAGUGGAGUACUAGUAGUAGUAGUGGAGGUUCCAAGGACAUUGAAGUCAAUCCGGUGAGACUGAGGGAAUCCAGAAGGUUGAGGUUGAAGAGAGUAGAAAUUGCAACCAAAAUCGGUGACGAUGGUGGAAUCGAAAUUGCGAGGGAAGAAGAAAAGAGCAUCACAAGUCGAAGUAGAGGAGGAAUCAACACUGGAGAAAGGAGUAAGAUGAGGAGAACCUGCCAUUAAUGGAAGAGGGAGGAAGUGAGAGAGAAAGGAGAGGGAAUUAAUUAAUUAAAGAGAAUUAGGGUUUGAGAAGAGAAAGGGAAAAUGGAGUGUACGAACAAAGAAAAAGAAGAAGAAAUGGAAAGGACGCGCUAAGAGAAGAAGAUGGAGAUGGAUCGGUGAAAUGGGUAUGAUAGGGUUUCUUCCUUAAAGAAACGGAAAUUGAGAGAUAGGCCUUAGGGUUUUGAGAAGAGAAAGGAAAAAUGGAGUGUACGAAGAAAUGGAAAGGACGCACUAAGAGAAGAAGAUGGAGAUUGGAUCCGCGACUAAGAGAAGAAGAUUGGAGACUAAGAGAGAAGAUUCAGAUGGAUCCGCGAAAUGGGUAUGAUAGGGUUUCUUCCUUACAGAAACGGAAAUUGAGAGAUAGGCCAAAGAAGACAAGAGAGCAAGAGAGAAGGGGGAGAGAGGAGGAGAGGGAGAGGGAGACUUGGCCGUUAGAGAAGAGGAGAAAGAAACUUUAAAUGAGAGAGACUGUACAUGUAGGGUUUUUAUUAGAUUUUUUUUUUUUUUUUGAAAUCUUGCUUAAUUGGAUUUAGAGAAUUUUGUGUAUUCGGUUCACCGACUCGUAUUAGCUGUCCAUUGGUCCAUUGUUUUGUCCUUUUUUUUUCAACAAACUAAAUGUUUUAAGCCAUUUACAAAUUAGAUUUCGAUAAAUCGAUAAUCAUAUUUUUUACAAUAUAGGACUAAAAAAGAUAACUAUAUAUAUAUAUAUAUACAUACAACAGUAUUUAGUUAAAUUACAAAAAAAAAUUCUUUUGAAUUUUGUAGUUUGUGUAAAAAAAUUACCUUAAACUUUGAAAUGUUAAAAAAAAUUGUUUUGAACUUUUAAAAAUUAUUCAUAAAUACAUCUACAUACGUAGGAUGAAGGUAUUGGCAUGCUUCUCUAAAAAAACUUUCCAAAAAGAUGUUGUGUGACUUUUGAAAAGAAAAAUUACAAAUGGGGUCGUUUUUAAACAAAUUAGAUAUAUCAAGUUAUAUUUCUUUAAUUUUUUUCCUUUUUUCACAUAUUAUCAAUCACAUCUUACUUUUUUCUUUUUUCUUUGGAACCCUGCAAAAAUAACAAAAACAUUUAUAAUCACAUGACUCAUGUCACUACAUUUUCUAAAUUUUAAAAGUAGUAAAUUUAAAAGUUGAUAACCCUAUGAUUAUCGUUUGAUAGUCAUCUAAUAUCACUAAUUUUGUCAUAUUCUUAAUAUCCAAAUAAGGUUUCUUGGUGAGUCUAGAGUCAAACGUGAGGACUUAUACUAAAAAUAUAUUUAUAUUUUGAAAUUAUCUUAAGGUGAUUAAUAACAUACGCCUAAGAACAUAGCGGUAUCAUCCACUUGUAAGGGGGGAGGGGAGUCAUCCACUAUAGAUAAGGUCCACUUGUCUCCCUCACCCAACUUCAUAAGGCUGCCAAAAGAGUUAGGCAUAAUCACAUCCACACGUUUACCCUUCUCUCGAACAUAAACCAACUCUCUUUUCUUCCUAAUAACGAGUAAUUUCAUCUCGAUUACCUACCUCCUUUUCCUUAAUAUGCCUAAUGGGGGAGCUAUUAGUUUUACUUUCCUCCAACUAUUUAACGUCUAACACCACAUCCACAAGACACAAUUGUCCGUUCCUCCUCUUUGUUUGAAACCACCUUGCUCACAUCCUCCUCUCGAUGAACUUUGUUUUCCACAAUCUUAGGACACUUACCACUAGAAUGCCCAAAAGACCGGCACAAAUUAUACCUUCGAGGCUUCCACUCAUAAUUCACAGUCAUAACGAAAUCCUCUCCCCUAUGGUGAAUUGUAAAUUCAGCAAGCAUAGGAGAGUCCACAUUUGAUUCAACACAUACUCAAGCAUGUGACAACCUUCGUCUUUCCUUAGUAGCUAGAUCUAAAGAUAGAGGUUUGCCUAUAGCACUAGCCACAACAGUCAAUCUGACAUCUGUCCAUAACUCCAUUGGAAUCCUACCUAGUUUAAUCCAUAUAGGAACAUAAUAAAAAACAAAGGAUUUAGGGACAAUACCUGGAGUCCAUUUACGGAGGAGCAUACUUUUGCCAGCAAGAUGUCGCGAUCAACGAGAUAGGAUCCAUUCAACAAGUUUUGGGCAUUUGAAUUGGAAACAGAUGAGUCCGUUCUCAAGAAUUGUAAUCGUUGGCAUUUUAAUUUUAUCAACAAUAACAACGAGCUAAACGAAAUCCUCUAUCCAGGACGCACUAAUGAAAACUAAAAUGUAAAAUAAGUACGAAGUAAUUAAUUAAAACAGAAGACAAAAGAAACCCAAAGUAAGUUGACAAAAUGCCCACAAUAAGCUUCAAGAUGAGUGAGAGGGAACACCAAGAGAAACAUGAAUAGCCUUGCUAACUUUUCACUACUAGCCAACUACAUAUAUUUUUACAAUACGUGUUAGGGAAAUCUUUCCCUUUGCAAAACAAACCAAUAUAUAAUCAAUCAUUGGCUCCUUAUGGGAAAAUACAGAAGCCCUAUACAUGUCUGUUUCAAGCCUGUGUUGAACAACUUUUAAUUCCCUAAGAUAAGGAGAUUUAUCUGAAGGUUCGAGAAUAAUGACAUGUCCUAAACUAACCCACCAUUUCGCAACAGUGAACCAGUUUGAUCGUUAGGGGACAACUUUUGAUAAUAAGCGCACAACCAUGCCCCAAUUCCAAUGUUGCCCAAAAGUAAAGGCCUUUCUUCACAAUGCUCCAUAAAAAAAAAGUUCGACUUUCACAUAAAGAUCUUAUUUCUUUUUUAUUGCUCCAAGAGAUCUAAUAGAUCUAUUUUCACCACGCAAAUCCCUUUUGUUAUCAUGGAAAAUGUGUUGGUUGUGCUCAAACCAAAUCUCUGCUAGCAACACUUUUAUCAAAUUAACCCAUGUUUUUUUUUAAAAAAAAGAGGAUAUGAGUUUCACUAUUAUUAAUAUUGAAAAAUGAAGAGACAAAGCUCAAUGUCAUGAGGAUUAUACAAAGAGCAAUAGGAUGGAGGAUCAACAGACGCACCUGGACAUCUCAACUAGGUUGACACCCCCUUAGCGCCCUCAUCACAUCCAAAAAGCGACAACACAAGAUCAAAACCAAAAGCCACAAAUAGAAGGCUUUUUUUGUGUUUGUUUUGCCUUUGGACAUUACUCCUUUGUUAUGGGUUUUAGCUUGGUUGGAUAUGAUGAGGGUGCUAUGGGGGUGUCAACCUAGUUGAGAUGCCAAGGUGCACCCCCUGAUCCAUGGUUACAUGUUCAUUGUAUAACUCUCUUGUACUAUGAGCUUUUGUCUAAUUAUUAUUAUUAUUUUAAUAUUAAUAAAGAGGUUGUCUCCUUUUCAAAAAAAAAAAAAAAAACAAAAAACAAAACAAAACAAAAGCCACAAAUAUAAAACCAAACAAAAUGAUAAAAUAAUAUGUCCAAAACAAAAUCAUAAAUCAUAGGUAGCAGGUCGAGAACAAAGAAGAAUAAGCCUUGAUUGAGCAAAAAAUCCCAACAAAUAUUGAAUGUUUGGAGAAGACGGAACCAACAUUUCGAUACAAAGACAUAGUCAAUUAAAAGGUGCUAAAUAUUUUUCAUGUUAUCAACACAAAUGGGGCAGACAUGAGGUGAGAGGACAUGGGAGGGAAGUUUUCUUUGAAGUACUAAAGCACAGUUUAAUUUUCCAAACAACGUAAUCCAUAUGGGGAUAUUUAUCCAAAGAGUGAGCUAAAUAGCCCAAUGAGUGAUUGUUUUAUAAAACAUCGUUUUGAAAUAAUAAGUAUUUAACAAUUAACUCUUAACAUAAAUGAAAUCAAACUCAAACAACUUAUCUCAAACUUUCCCUUUCAGUUGCUAUACCUAGAAUCGUCGAGACGAAAAACAAUAAACUAGGCAUAGAAGCCCUAUCCCGUGAUACGAUACUUACGAGAUGAAACUCUAGGCAUCAAUUGUGCCCUAUCUCGUUAUAACUACAAUGAGAUGGAAAACUAGGCAUUCGUACAGGCUCUCAUCCCUUGAGAUGGGAAACUAAGCAUCUUUAGAAGUCUUCAUCUCUUAUCUAAUACCAAUGAUGGAAAGCUAGGUAUUUACUGAAUAUCCAAAUCAAAUGACCUCUAUGCACAGAAAUAUAUCUCCCGAAGGGUUGCUAUAUAUCUUAGAAUAUUUUAGGUAUACACUAAAACAUGCUAAUAUUAUUUUCAAGCUUAAACAUUUUGAAAACUUAGCACAAUCAUGAUUGCUUAUAAUUUUCAUUAGUAAAUUCAUCAAUAAAAACAUGUUUACCAAAAUGUUUCUAAAUUCAUGCUUUGGAAAUACUUUAUAAGUCAGUAUUCUCAAAUAUUCAAACAUCAAAGCAUGCUUGAAACAUUUGAUAGUAAAUUCAUGUUUAGAAAUCAACUUUAAACUCAUUUUUGUCAUUUAUAGAGAGUAGCUUGGACCCUUGGCUUAUAAACUUGUUCGAUCUCCUUCAGAUCUAAAAUAAUGAAAAAUAAUGGGAAAUAAUUCCAUUUAAUUCCCGUUGAUCAUAAAAAUAUCAAAACUUUGCUUAAAAUUUCCAAAAACCACAAAAACAGCCCAAAGACAUUAGCUUGCGUACAAAAUAUUGUGGCAGAAGUUGGCAGGUGCGCGUAGGGCUUGCGUGUCACAAUCCAUGUCUCGUUCUAACCUCAUGUGCAGCGUGUCACAAUCACAACUUUUCAAACACGGAACAGACUAUUGUGCGACACUUGUUGUAACUCGAUGAACACGUCAGUUGUAUGAAAUUCGAUACGAUGUAGCCUCCCUAUAGGUUUUAAGAGAAAUUGGUUUUAUUAAACAUGAGAGAGAAAGGAAAGCAUUGGAAACAUGGUUAAAAAAAACUUUGAAGACUGUCCAUUGCAAAGAGAGCUUAAAUUGCAAAGAGUACCAUUAGUGUCGUUUUUAAGAAAAUUGUUUUCUUCUAGAUAUUAUAACUCUCUUUCCUUCUAGAAAUAGAAAAUGAAGUACAAGAGAAUCAUGAGAUUCUAUUAAUUUAUAAAUAAUUAAAUUAAUAUAUAUUUCAAAUCUACUGAUUAAUUAAACAUUAAUCAAUUAGUUAAUAAUUAAUGAAAUCGAAUUUAAUUAAAUAAUAUUAAACUAAACUAUUAAUUAAUUCUCCAAUUAACUAAUAACACUAAAUUAUUUAUCUUAUAUUUAACUUAAAUUAAAUUUGAAUCAUAUUCAAAUAUAAGUUUCUCUCAAUAAUUUUAAUAUGAAUCCAAUUUACAUUAAAUUAAUAUUUGAACUCAUUCAAAUAUUUUAUCUCUCAUAAAUUAAUUUUGAAUCAUCCCCAAAGUUAAAUUUAUAUAGUAAAGUUUGAUCAACAUUAUAUUAUAAUGUAUCACUAUACAUUAUACUAAUUCCCAAGUUAAAUUUAAACAUUUUAAAUUACAACCAAUACAAAUAAAUCUCAUUACCCUUUAAGAGCUAGGAAAGGGACCUAAUGGACCUACAGAUCAGAAGCUACAACGAUCUAAGAUUAAUUGGCUAAACUCAUUAAUCAAUAUUUGUUAGCUUUGUGUACACUCCACUAAAGACUCACAACUGAACUCUUCUCACUAAAAAUAUAUUUAUGUGUCCAUGGAUAUAGACCAAUAAUAGUAAGUUAGUCCUUCACGAGUGUUUGUAACACCAGUUGGACCAAUUUACCGCUUUACCCCUAUGUUACCUCUAAUCCUUAAAAAUCAGUGCUCCUCUAAUGAACAACUUGUUUAUGGUCCUACUAAUAAACAAAAACCCAUCUCAUGUCAUAGAGAGGGUACGAGCCCUUUGUUCAAGUUUUGGAGACACCAUUUAAGCUAACAUUCAUCUACUUACCCUAAAGUAGGAAAUGAGUGAAUUCCAUUUUGUGCAAUUAUAAUCCCAACUCCCCACUCAGUCUUGUCCCCAAAAUCACUACUACAAAAACAGGCUCUCUUGACGGUUGUAGUUUUCCUUUCUUGACGAUUUUUCCCAAAAACGUCAAGAAAGAUGUGAUUUCAAAUAAAAAUACGUCAAGAAUUUUUAUGAAAGGCCAAUUUUCAACUUUCUUGACGUUUAUUAAACGUCAAGUAAGAUGUACUUUUUCUUGACGUUUUUUAAACAUCAAGAAAUAUCUAAUAAUUUUUUGACGUUUUAAAAACGUCAAGAAAUUUAUAAAAAAAUUCUUGACGUUUUUAAAACGUCAAGAUAAUUCUAAAAAAUCAUUGAUGUUUUUAAAAACUUCAAGAAAUUUAAAUUUGUUUUUGAUGUUUUAAAAACGUCAAGAAAUUUCCAAAAAAUUUAUUGUGUUAAUUUUCUUUUACAAAACGCAACGUUUCAAUUAGAUCACUUCCCCUUUUCUUAAUUAAACCUAAUUCGCCGCGACUUUGUCCCUUCUCCACCCGAAAUCAAAAGCGUCGUUCACCUAACCUUCCCUUCGCGUUCAUCUGUGCAUUCAUCUGCGUUCAUCGCCGAAAAAGACUUCCCUUCGCGUUCAUCAGCGUUCACCUUCAUUCAUUUGCCUUCAUCGUCCGUCAUUGUUCGUAUGCUUUGCGUUCCCUUCACCUUCGUUGAUUUGCGUCCGUCUGUUCACCGUUUGAAAUGUGUAAACACAUUCUCUAUUCGAAAACGAGUAAACACGUUCACCGUCCUUCUGUCGCAUUCCACUUUCACUAAACCUCUAUUCGUUUACAAAUCCUUCAUGGUUACUCAUUCAUUUUCUUCCCUUUCUAAAGGUAAUAAUUUUCCUUUUUUCCUUUGUGAUUAAAAUUUGUAAUUUUGGAAUUUAAAAUUGGAAUGCAAAAUUAAAGAAGAUGAAAUAUGCCUUAGAGAAUGGAAGAAAGGUUUUGCAUUUUAGGCUUGAAAAGGGGGAUACAAGUUAUUAUAUAUUGUAAUAUAUAAUAUUUUGAACAAGGCUACCAAGCGUGCGAAUAUGAUUCAUUGGUUAGUUUAGGGAUUGGAAAGAGAAGGAUUGUGGAGUUUGUGAUAAUAUUUUGGUACACUGGAGCUUGAAACAGAGAAUAUUAAAAAACACAUACUGUUAUACACAAUAUUAUAAUAAUACGAAUCACUAGAUUUUCUUCUUCGUUUUCUUUUUCUUCUCCUUGACUUUUUGUUAUGGGUAUUGUAUUGAGUUUUGUGUUUUAGAUUGUGAUUGUGAAGUAUGGGGUAGCUAAACUCUUAAUCCUAGGGAUAGAUGUAGACAAAGUUUAUGAAUUAUUCUUUGUAAUGCAUCUGAUUAUCUGCUCUUAAUCUUUUCAUGUUUUUAUGUGAAUAAUGUUCAUAAUAUCUUAAUCACAGAUUAAUUGUUGAUUGGCCAAUGAACCUUAAUCUUUGCAUGACUAGAGUGGUUAUGAACUUGGAAAGAGCUAAUUAAGGAUCCUUGAGGAGAGUUGUUGAAAGAAGUGGACCUAAAAACUUUUGUUUGUUAAUAAAAAGAAAAAUGAACAGAGAUUCAUCUUCGUGAAGGUCUUGAUGUUUAAUUUAAUUUAAAUUGUGUAUGAAUUUUUAAUUACGAGCAUUUUAAUAUGUUGCGUUUUAAUCCUAGGGAUAGAUGUAGACAAAGAGCACUAUAGCCAAGGUAUAGAGUGAGGGAGAUAAGGUUUAUAUGUCUUAGAGAAUGGAAAGAUGGAAUUUGUGCUAAAAUCAUUAGUGUUCCAAAUACAAUUAUGAAUUGGGUAUAGUUGCAUUCCCCCUUCUGGAUUGCAUAGCACAUAAAUAUACUCUCAUGGAUUGCAUAGCACAUAAAUAUACUGUCAAAAACAAUAACAUAAAACACAAACUUGAUUUAGUUUUAUUCACACUUGUACACCAACAUGUUUCAAGGAAUGAUCAUAUAUUAAAAAUCAUUUUCAAAUUUGGUAAUAUAAAAUGGACGAAGUGAGACCUUGAGGUUUUGACCACCAAUACUAUCUAACUGAUGAGUUUAUGAUUUUUGUUUCUACUGUGUUUUUCCUUAAGCUUUAACUUGCUUUAGGGGCAAGAUGGUGAAGGUCUAGUCCACAACCUUUCCCAAGAAUUUAAUGAUGUUUGGGUUGACCCAAUUAUUGUUAUUGGACACCGUUUUAUGGUAAUUGGUUGUUAUGGUUUUUAAGUGUGUUUUGAUAUCUUGUGUUAAAAAGUAAUUGCAAAAAGUCAGAAAAGUUUGUUAAAGAUUAAGUGUUUUUAAGUUUGUCAUUCCACUUUAAUUCUCACCAGUACUUGCUGAAUGGAAGCCUCUUGUCUAAGACAAUUCGAGUGGAAUAACUCUCGUGACUACCACAACAUUUGGGAACUCACCAAAUGUAAGACUAUUCCUUUAUCCUAGCAUUUGAUCUCUCUCUAUAAUUUGGUUUGCUAUCGUAAGUUUGAUUAAAAUAAAUGCUGAUAAUUCAACUCCAAUGUUCUUAUUUUCUUAACUCUCAUUCAGUCAGUUAGAAUCAGAACUCAUUUAUUUAUCUUGUCUCCAUAAUUUGGAUUCAAAGAUUCAUCACAAUAAUCUUCUCAACAACAUUCUUGAAAAGGUAUUGAAUUUUCAACUGUGUGACCUUUAUACACAAAUUUCUUCAAAGAAAUUUACAUUCUUUAGAGUUUAGAGCUUUGAAUUCUAGUACAACUUAUGAAGCUUUUGAUACUUGUUAGACUUUUUUGCUUGGUGCGGAUAAAACCUUAUUUACAUUCUUUCUUUCCUGCAUGUUCUCUUUUGAUAUUUGUUAGACUUUUUUGCUUGGUUGUCCUUAGUGUUUUCCUCUUUAGCUGAAAUUUCUCUAUCUUGAAAAAAAUAGAGCUUUAAAAUUCAACUUCAACUUUAUUUGAUACUAUCUUAGUCCAUACUUAUUUUGGUAUUUCUUUCCUUUCUCACAAACACAUCUAAGAGGUUGCCUUCACAAUAUGGCCAAAUUAACAAUAUGGCAACCUUUUUCAUUGCAAAACAUAUUAGAGGUUGGUUACUUAGUUAGCCUUAUUGGGUAAAUAAUUGACAUUUAGGUACUUUUUAGUUUGUAUAUUUAUAGAUGCCAAAUCGAUAUGUGAAUUUUAAUUGUUGCUUAUUUGAAACAUUGCAACCAUUUGAUAAAAUGUUGCUAUGUGAAUCCAUCUUAACUUGAUAUAUUAUUUUAUUUUGGUUUAGGUUGUGGAAUCCAAGUUUGUAUUUGAAGUCAAAUUCAUCCAAGAUCAUUGAGUUUCAAAGCUUCUUUAAUUAAGAUUUUGUUUCUUGAACUAGAAUUGUAGUCUUGUGAUUUUUGGAAUAGCAUAGUUGGAUUGGUUUUGUAAUUUUGGGAUUAUCAUAUUAGGUUGGGGUUGACUGAAGUAGUGUUUUGUAUAUGACAAUAUCAAACAAACAUGUAAAGUUUUCGAAAUGUUCAUACAUAUAUGAUUAAAUGUUAAUAUAUGUUAAAGUUUUAGAAUUGUAUUCGUGCAUAUUUAUGAGAUUGUUGGGCCACACUACAAGAAUUAUAGAGACAAUACAGGAACAAAAAUAUAAAUAAAUUAUAAUUUAGAAAAAAAUGAAACAAGCUUCAUGUUUUUUAAAUGUCAUAAACAAAUACAUUCUUGACGGUUUUUCAAUGUCAUUAACAAGUAAAUUCUUGACGUUUUUUAAACGUCAUAAACAAUUGUGUUCUUGACCGUUUUUAAAUGUCAUAAAUUACAUUCUUGAUAGUUUUUAAAUGUCAUGAAUACUCAUUCACUUGACGAUUUUUAACUGUCAUGAAUAUUUGUAUACUUGACGUUUAUAAACUGUUAAGAAUCGCUAUUCUUGACGUUUUAUUAACCAUCAAGAACUUUGACUUUCUUGACGCUGACUUCAACGACGGUUUUAAAACCGUCAAGAAUAGUGAUUCUUGACAGUUUAAAAACGUCAAGAGAGUCUAUUUUUGUAGUAGUGAAUGAUAAGCUUAUUGAGUCGGCGAUCUAGCCACUCUCACUCGUACAAAUCAAAGGACAAUCUCUCGCGAACAAGAGUUCAUAAUACACUCAAGAUUAAGACUAAGUUAUAUAGGUCAUCCUAGUGAAAUAGAAACCUAACUAGUUAAUGUAGUAACACCAAGUGGUUACUAUUUCGCGAUCUGGUCAAUUGCAAUCUCAUUGCAUAGGAUACCUUCACUCGCAUGUCAACUACAUGAACACAUUGGAUCAUUGUAUUUGUAUCAAAUACAAGGUGAGUCGUAUUCAUAAUGUUACCAGGAUAAAGGUACCCAUUCUUAUCCGUAUACUAUAGACCCUUUAAGCUGAUCUCGAACAUUGAUCCUGUAUGUCUCUACAUACUAUUCAAUACUUAUUAAACAGUUUAGGAUGUUAGUUUAUUGGAUUUGAGUUAUUAAGACAAAACUAAUAAUAUAAUCAAUAACAAUUAUUACAAUAAUAACACUUUAUUAACAAUGGUCAAUGGAUUAUAUUUACAAUCUACGAGUUUUAGGACAUAAAUUCCAACAAACUCCCACUUGGACUAAAACUCUCGUCUCUUUGGGAUGUUCAUAAUAAAGUAAUCCUCUAACAUUGAAAAUGGUAAAAUGUACAAGUGUAUUACAUAGAAUGUGUAUAUACAAAUACAAUAAACUAGGGCAUCCUCAUACCCAUUACACAUCUGCCACUUUUCCUAGAUUACCUAAUGUACAUAACUCGCAGAUCUAGACUUUCUAGAAGACCCUCGAACACUUUAGCCAUGAGAGUCUUUGUAAAUGGAUUAGUAAUAUGCCCCACUAUUAUCACAAUAUAAAGUGAUGGGGCAUGUUCAUGUUUGGAACAACUUCCAAAUUAUGCAAGAACUUCCUCACAAAACUGCUUCUUUUGCUGCUUCACAAGUAGCAAUAUACUCAACUUUCAUAAUAGAGUGUGUAAUGACGCGUGGCUCAGGCUGCUUGAUCAUGCCAGGACAUGCUUCUUGCAUGUCCAAGCCUAAAUAACCUCUUUCGCUCAAAACACACGCUCAUCUCACCUUGUCAUCCUGGCAAUCAACCCACCCAUGGCCUUGUCUAGAAAUAUGAUUUUUCUACCAGAAACUUAACUCGACUUUGAAGCUUAAAUCAAUAAGAUUCCUUCUACAAACUUACUUAGAAUGUCUUCACUAGCUUACCACAAAGUGUCACUAACAAAUUCCAAGUAUUGAGUUAUGUAGCUCAAAAUACUCUACAUUGUUCAAGUUUUUUUUUUUUUUUUUUUGAAAAUGACCUUUGAGUCUUUCUUCACUUCAAUGCCUUUCUUCUUGGUAGCCUUUCUCUGAUACUACACUCAAUUUAGGAGAUUUUCGAAGUAGAGUUACCCAAUUAACACAAGUUGAUUGUUAACAUAAUUCGUCCAAAGUUGUACAUAUAGUGAUCCUUGCAUGCUCUUUGGUUGAACCUUUUUUCUCACCUCUUACGCCCAUACUUGCCACUUUCCACUCAUGCAAGACACUUAUUUGGCAAAACUUAGGUAUCUUGUAUGUUGUCCACUUGUACUCUACCGCACAUCUUACCUCAUAUUGCUUAAGUCAUCCUUGGACGCAUAUCCCUUUUUCUAUGAGGGUUCUUUAGUAAAUUCUUACUGCCAAGAAUGCCUAAGACUUUUUUUUCUCGCCUAAUCUCCCAAACAUCUCUCAAUGCCUUCAACAAACCAUGCCAUCUUGACUAGCAUUUGGUUGAAUUGCCCCAUUGGCCGCAUGACCUAUGUCCACAUAGCCCACCUCUUUGUUGCAUGACAUUCCUUAUCCACGUUCUAACUUCUUUAGAGUUUCUUGACAUUUCCUAGAUGCUUAGCUUCCUUGCCUAGCGCAUACCCUUGGUCAUAUAGCCUUGUCUUAUAGAGGUUGUCUUGACACCUUUCGGCCAUACCACAUCUCAACCUUUGGCCACCCAACAUGUCUCUUUAGAGGUUCGCUUGACACUUUUGGCCGCCUAGAGUAUGCAACAUGCCCUAGCCAACACUUAGCCAAUUUUCGAACACCCUUUAGGCCUUUCUUUGUUACGAUGACACUUUUCUUUUAUCAUCUUAAAAAUAUUAACACAUCUUCCAUAACACUUCAACUAAACUAUCCAAUCUUAAACCAUCUUUCUCCUAACAUCAACCCCUAAUGUCCUAUUGAGUUCUUUAGAUGAAUUAAGGAUUAUUGGGUAUCAGUGUUUACACGCGAGAUGUAAGUCUUCCUCCUUGGAAUUACGUAUAGUAGUGUGCGGAGGGAGAGGAAUGUGAUGCAGGUCUUCCUCCUCAACCCUAAGGAAUUCUUCUUCGCUAACAAUGCCCUUUUGAUCGGGUAAGGGCUUGUUCGGUCAGGUCGUGAGGUGAAGGAUGUUGUUAUAAUGAUGGGGGAUUUGGUGGUGAGAGGAUAAUAGACAUGCGAGAGGACUUGGGUAAGAUUGAUGAGGGGAGUUUCAAUUUUUGGAUGAGGACUGGAAUUGAAGGAUUUGGAUUUUGGAGGAGGCAAUGAGAGAGUUAGGGGUAAGAUUGCAAGAGGUUUAGGGUCGAUGGCCACGUCUAGCUUUCAACUUUUUUCCUUUUUAUACGAGUUAGACGCGUCAUCAUGGACAUUUCUCCUCUUGAGGAGUGGUGGCAGCGGAGAAGCCUCUUCUUCUUCUCUGUCAUUCCAUUCUUCUCCCUUAACUUUAUUUAAGGUUUUGAGGUGUCUCUCUUCUUCUUUAUUUUGAUGGAGUGUUAUGGUUUGGUUGAGAUUCGCCUGAGAACAUGCAUAAGGGGUGAUUGCAGAAAAGCUAAAAGCUUAGGAACCGUCGGAGGAAGGGCAGAUCAUUAAUUGUAUGUAACGCCUUCCUCUUACGUGGUGGCAGCAACUUUGAGAAUAGAUUUAGGGAUUUCCGACGUAUCAUUAAUUGCGUGGGAAUAUGUUUAGGGAUUUCUGACGUUUAACAAAUCAGGUCAUGAAUAGGGUGCUAUUCCCGACGUUUUCGUCGUGCGUCAGGAGUUCUCUGUCUUUUUUAACUCCAUUCUUUACAUAAAGGAAACAUAAAGAGAAAUAAAAUGAGAGAGGGAGAGGGAGACCGAGAGGAAGAUUGAGAAGAAGAGGGCAUUGUCAUCACCAUUGUCGUCCCUGUUGUCGUCCCGUCGUCGUCGCCAUCGGUAAGUGGUUUAGUUUAGUUAUUGUUUUGUUUUAGUUAAUUAGUUUUAGUAUUUAGAUUUCAAAUUUGUUUUAGGUGUUAGAUUUUAGAUUUCAAAUUAGUUUUAGUAUUUAGAUUUUGAAUUAGUUGUAAGUUUUAGUAAUGAAAUUUAAUUUCAAGUGUUGUUAGAAUUUUGAAUUAGUUGUAGGUUUUAGAAAUUUGAAUUUGAAGUGUUGAAGUUGAGAUUGAAGUGUUGAAGUUGAGGUUGAAGUGUUGAAGUUGAGUUUGAAUUUAAAAUUUUCAAUUUGAAUUUAGGAAUUAAAUGAAGUUAUUUUUUUUUUAAAAAAAUAGAGGAUCUCCCGACGCAUGGUUCCUAGACAUCUCUCGAUGCUAUAUUGACAACAUCUUCGACGUUCAUACAACGUCAGAAGAUGUCUAGAAACCCUCAACGCACAACAUUGUGCAUCGAGAGUUCCUCUCCCGAUACAUUUUUCCUCACUUGUGUUCCGACAUAUAUUAGUGCGUAAGAAAAGGCUUUUCUGACGCUUUUUAUAUAUCUCCCAAUGAUUUUAUGCAUCGAGAGAGUCCUCAUUUCUUGUAGUGUUAGACAAAGAGCUUGAAUGUGGUAGAGGGGAAAGGCAUGACACCUUUAGGUGCUUUCAUCAAAGGGAGGAUUGAGGUUCUGAUUAUGGCGCUAAGGUUAACUGCCAUCUUCUUCUUAAUGCAAUAAAUCAUCAUUGUGCACUCUAGUGGGAUGGUGUUGUUGUCAACCAGGCAGGCGGUUUCGUUUUCAAGUCUUAGGUCUUAAUUCUUAACAACCUUUGAGUAUUGAUGCUCUACCCCAACCCUCAUCCAAAACGAUAACUAACACAAUGGUUUGGAAGUUUUUGUGAAACAUCAUCUAUACUUUUUCUUUAAUGGUCGAUGAAAAAAAAGUCAGGAAAAUGGUAUUUCUGACCAUUUUAAGUGUUACCAAAAUAUCACAUUUGGUGUAGUAUGGUAUUGUUUUGAAUAUUUUUGUAAAAUAGUGGAUCAAGAAGUUUUACUAAGAUAAAGUUUCAUGUUGGACAAGAGGAUAGUGGAUGGGAAUUAAGUUGAAUGGUCCACUUUUUUUUUAAAUCCUUUAAGGUUUUAUGAAAACCUUUCACAAUACCUUUUCAUAAUCAUUUUGUAAAAAUAAUAUCAAAUCAUUUAAAUAUACCGAAAAAUUAUUUCAUUUCGAAUAAACCUUUCUUUAUGCUUAAAAAAUCAUUUCAUUUUGUCAAGGAUCCCGAAUCGUUCUCUACGCUUGGUCUCAUUACCUCGCGUUUAGACUACUGUAUCAACAGCAUCUGAGAACAUACAAAUUCGUCUUUGUUGCUAUACCGCUAAGCUUUAUACGCUCAUUUCAAUGCAUAAGUCAGCUUCUUAUUACCAUGUAGUUUGUACACUCCAUGGUGGCCUUCACUCUUUAUGUGCACACAAAAGUUAGCAUCAUCUCAAAGAAACAUAGUAUUGAAAUCAUAGUCAUCAAAUCAAGCUUUAAUAUUAUAAAUAAUGCUUGAAAACAUAACUUUUCGUAGAAAUCUUUCUGAAACAUUCUCAUCUGAAUUCUUCUUUCAAAUCAGUAAAGAGAAAUCGUAAUAAAGUUUCUUAACAUAAAUUCUUUUGACUGAAAAGCACUCACCAAACUUCACUAAAGAAGUCCUUCUCACAAACCAUCUUUUCGCGUGGCUAAACCAACAACACUUUAGCAUUUCAACAAAACUCUCGUCAUCCCCUCCUUAGUUACCUAAAUUCUCCUAUUUUAUAGAUCCCUUAUACUAACUUAGUCAUGCAAAUCCUUAAUAUUUAACCUAGUCAUGCUCAAAUCCUUAAUCUUACAUGUUAACCCAUGUCAAAUCAGAUUUGACAUUUUCUUUACAAACCUUGCUCCCCGCCUAACCCAAACCGUGAAUAAAUUCAACCACUUAACAUUUCUCGUGAAUAACCUUAUCGCUUGAUUAUAUUUUUAUUAUAAGAAACGUUCCACCUGAACUAACCAACUUUUACUCGCAUAAAACUCUUAUCACGAAUCUAAACUCCAAGGCUUCCUCGUAGACUUCUUCUCCACGAAACACUUGGUUCUUCUCGCGAAGACCACCCAAAACUCCUAGUCUAACACUCAAAACUUUCAUUUCUUAACUUAACGACCCAACUUUUUACCUAAGUCGAGGUCAUUAACUUUUGACAAAAGACCUUGGUUAAUUAAAAUUUAAAACCUCAAAAGAACAAAAUUUAUUUUGUUUGUUUGGGCCCCAGUUUUAAAUUACUAAAAUUCACAUGAAAAUUUAAAACUAAAAAGUUUCAAAUCUUUGAAUACUUUAAAACUUCAAAAUUUUCUAAACAGUCUCACGUUCGAAUACAAAUAAUACUAUAAAUCACUAAGCGGAAGCAAAAUUUUAAAGUGUCCCCUGUGGCGGUCACGCUUCCUUCCUGCCCCUCGCCGGUUUGCUGCCUUUAUUACCUUUGCCUGAAAAAUUAAACAUAAGGAGGGUGAGUAUAAAAAUACCCAGUAAGAGACCCUCUACUGGUCCCGUCAGGGGAAAAUAAAUUGUUAACAUUCUAUUGGGACACCCUGUACAGUCGCAGUCUUGUGAUCCCGUAGGAUGCACAUUUCAGUCUAACGCCCCGUGGGACGUACAUUUCAGUCUAGUGUUCUGCAGAAACACAUAUCAGUCUAAUGCUCCCGAAGGUCGCAUAAAAAUUGGUGAUCCCGUAGGACACCUACAAGGCAUACAUCCCAAUAAAACUAACAAUUUUUCCCCUCAAUCCAUUCUAACCAUCUUUACGGUAAUUUAUGACAUCUUUCAGUUACUUCAAAAUAUAAAGUUCUUUCACUCAACAUUCUAACAGUCAACCUAUCUCACUUAAGUUCGAAGGUCGUUGAUAACAUUUUAAUACAUCUGUCAAGUAAACAACAAAGUCACAACACCCCUCAUUUUUACCAGCGCAAACCACAGUUCAGUAUAAUCCACAUUCAACCGAAAAAUUCACUAGUUCACAUCCAAAUCUUUAUACAGCACAAUCUAUUAAUAUCAUCAUGUACACAUAAGCAUAAUUUCAGUCAUUCACAUGUAUACUUUCGGCAAUCCACAUCAAUUCACACAUCAAUGUAUUUAUAUAUAUGUUUCCAGUCAAAUACAACAUACACUAAACAUUUAGUCUGCAACCAAACGUGUACAUCUUAAUCAUCAUCCAUACAGUCCAACACAACUCAAAAACUUUAGGUGAGUCCAGUAGAAAGUCCCUUACCUCAAAGUUAGGGAAGCUCCCUUAAUCAACUAUCGUCCACGAAACAAUCCAAAUAAGGGCAAACCGAAAUCAAAAUUCACAAAUUGGUUGUGAAUUUAAGUGAUCCAAGGUUACCUUUCACACCUUCAAGAAUAAUUUAUCAAAUUAGUCAAUUAACCCAUCCGUAACGUUUGAACACCUUGAAAACAUCACAACCCAUACUUAAAUUGUUUUGAAAACGACUACAAUUUCAUAACUUCAAUCUUACCAACAAUACUUCGACGGAUCUCAGUAAAAAUAGGGGCAGCGGCAAUCGAUUCUAAACAAAAACCAUCGUGCAAACAGAUUAGAGUGUACGUCGGUUUGUGAAUCGCGGUUAGAAGAAAAAACACGUUGCUGGAAGAAGAGGAAACGCGCGGCUAGAAGGAGGCGUGCGCGCUGCCUCAAAAUCGAUCGACGAUCUGACGCGGCGACUGGGCUUCACGAACGGAAGAAGAGAGGAAAGGAAUGGACGACGGCUGGACUUGGCUUCGACGGAGACAGAGGUCACGCGGCGGGGCUGGGCAGAGGGUCACGCGGCGGUGGGCGGAGGCCAUGGAUCUGAACGGCAAGGGAAGGGGAGAAGAUGAUGGUCGGCUGGGUUAGGGUACAGGAAAGAGAAGAAGAAAAAGAUGGAGAGAGGGUGUCACACGCGUGAGAGAGGGGAGAGAGGAAAAAGAUAUUUUAAUUUCUUUUUCUUUUCCUUUUUUUUAUGCUAAUUAUAAUAAUAAUAAUAAUAUAUAUUAUUAUGAAAGACUUUUCCAACACUUUUUUUUUUCAAGACAAAACAACAAAAUGACGUCGAACAAAAAUUAAGAGUAAAAACAUCGAAUGGUCCGAUUAAAUUAAUUACCUUAGAGUUUGGGGUGUUACAUUAUCGCACAACUUCUUUCGCGAACUACCCACUUAUCGCAAAAAAGUAUACUUAACCGUAAAAGAUCUUAUCACUUAAUCUUUCCAUGGAUUUAUUUGAACACCAACUUCUUAAUUCUUAGCCGAAUUUUACUUCCUUACUCAAAUUAGAAAUGGGUCGCACAACUUCCUUCGCGAACAACCCACUGAAUCGCAAUAACGUAUACUUAACCAUAAAUUUUUUUAUCGCUUAAUCCUUUUCGUUGAUUUAUUCAAACGCCAAAUUCUUAAUACCUAGCCAAAUUUUACUUCAUUACUCAAAUUAGAAAUGGGUCUCACAUUUAGAGCCUAUCGCUUCUUUAAGAUACAUGAUCUUACCGAUUCAGAGAAAUUAACCACAGGCGUUAUUAGUUUUGAUGAUCUGGCAUUGGAUUGGUACCAAGCACAAAAGAGUUGGAAGUUUUUAAGAAUUGGGCUGACCUGAAAGAACGAAUGCUUGUACAGUUUCGAUCAAUUCGAGAAGGAACUUUGGUUGGAAGAUUUUUCUCAAUCAAACAGAAAAUGAAUGUAGAAGAAUACCGCAACCGAUUUGAUCGAUAUUUAGCUCUGGUAGCAUUUCUUCAAACGGUAGUGUUAGAGGAGACUUUGAUGAUUGGGCUUAGCCCAUGAACAAAAAUGGAAGUGGAAACCGUGGAACCGAUUGGGUUGGCCCAGAUGAUGAAAUUUGCGUUGAAGAUUGAGAAUAAGGAACUAGUGAGAAAAGAGUGUGGGUUGAGCAGUGCAUUUCAUGUAAAACUGCAACUCACCCUAUCUAUUGUGGAAAACAACAAUACAAUGAUGACUAAGGAAGAAACCAGCAAUGGAAAGUCUGCUGAUGAGAGCUAUCACCCUGAAAGGAGUUACUGAUAGAACUAAGACAUGCACAACAGAAAAAGAAUCGAAAUUCUACCCUAAUUGGGCUUAGUUAACGAGACUAAACCAAAAAAUAAGGUUUUUAGAAUACUUACAUUUGAAGCUGCGUUUUAUUCGAACAACCACUAAGUUUGACUUAGUAUCCUCUAGACUCAUAAUCGAGUUGUGGGACCCGUUGGAUGAAAGAACCAGACGAGAGAAAUAGAUGAAAAAAAUGGGCGUGGUAAAUUUUCUUUUUUUUUUAAGUAAAUAAGAAAAAGAAAUUCCAUUUGGUGUGAAAGCCCAAAUAUAAUAGCCAACCCAUCAAAUGAGUUCAAAGGCCCCAUUUAUAAGGAUUUUUCAUUCAAAAUUGUAUGUCCAUGCAAUACUAAAGUCCAACAACUCAAAGUCCACUUUCUCUAGCAAGGACUUGAUAAAAAAAGAGAAUAUGAGUUAAUAGGAAAAUGAAAGGGAAUUCCUUGGAAAGUUGGUUUGUGUGUCAUUAAAAGUCAAGGUGGAAAACAAAGUACAACAUAUGGCUAAAUGUGAGAGUAGGCGUGCAAGUAUAAUAAAUACCUACCAAGAUGUUUAUUAAUAACAUGUGUUUGAUACAUAAUUACAACACUUUGACCAAACAACCAAUGCUUAACUAUUUUCAAAACGUAUGGUCAUCUCGCUGCAAAUCCUUCAACCUUCUUCUCUACUUGGCCUAAACACCUCAUCUUGGAAGAUGAAUUUUUGAAAGAAUGUCUAAAAGACUAAGGUUUUAUGAAAUCCUUUUCGCAAUACCUUUUCAUAAACAUCAUUUCGCAUAAACAACAUCAAAUAAUUUUAUCUCGCAUAAACCUUUCUUUAUCCUUAACAUACUCAUAACAUAACAAUUUCACAUAAACACACAUUAGUUAACAUUCAUUCCUUUCACCAAGGAUUUUGAAUCGUUCUCUACACUUUGAUGUAGAACAUCUCCCUUCUUGAUGUUUCUUGAGUUUUAUCCUAGAGGAGGGGUUUGAAUUACCAUUUUUAUAGUUUAGGAUUAGUUAUUUGAAUUACCAAUUUUGUAUCUUGAGUUAGUUAUAACUAACUCAACCCCAAGUUAGUUUAACAACUCUUGUAAUCUCCAGCCUAUAAAAAAGCUUCUCAUUUUCAUUAAUAAGACAUAAAAAAAGAGGCAUUAUACAUAAAGAUUUCUAGCUUUGCAAUUACUGCAUCAAUUGGUAUCAGAGCGUGAUCCUAGCUCACUCUUCCCUAAAAAAACUUGGAUCCUACCACUCUUAUCCAUGGACGCGGAAGCCUCCUUCAACCAACGCUUGCAGUUGGUAGAACAAGCUAUUGAAGAACUUCGAAAAGGGCAGUCGAAUAUACAACAAUCGUUAGUAGAAUUAACAAACCUUUUUACCCGAUUUCAUGUCCAACCUUUAGAAGAAGCAAUUCAGCCCCCAAGAAACCCAAUUGCAGCAAACCAAGAAAGACAAGAAAAACCAAUAAACCCUGUUGUAAACCAAGAACUACUAAGAAAUCAACCUAUUCACAUCCACAAUAAUCGAUUGUAUGGAAACAACGUACUUGGAAAUUUCUUAAACGAUUCUGACUCUUCCGAUGAAGACAACUUGCUGAACAUUCAUCAAGAACCUCAACAAAGGCUUGGACUUCGACCAUACUUUCAAGAAGAUCAAGAAAUACGUAUGAAAGUGGAUCUCCCUACCUUCAAUGGUCAAAUGGACGUGGAGAAGUUUCUUGAUUGGAUCAAGAACGUAGAAAAUUUUUUCGACUAUGCCAAUACACCCGAACACAAGAAGGUUCGAUUAGUUGCUCUCAAACUUCAAGGUGGCGCAAGCGCUUGGUGGGAUCAAUUACAAAACAAUAGACGAUUAUUCGGUAAACAAUCUAAAGAUUAGCUGAAUAUCUUAUAAAAAGAUGUUGCCAUAGGCUUAGUGGUGACAGGUGAGAAAGUAAGCUGUGUCUUUUAUGACUCUUAAACGUUGAAGUCAAUCAAUGAGUUCCAAAUGCAAUAUUGGAAGUUUUCUUAAAUAUUUUGAUGCUUUUGCAUGUUGUGAAAGAACUUGGUUAGAUGUGAGAAAGGGGUUUACGAGAUUAGUUACUUACUAUUCCCUUUUUCACUGUCAUUGCUACUCAGUAGAUAUGCUAUGGGCUCGUGUUUCUGUAGAAUAUAAUUCAGAUGCUCUUUCUCUAGAAUAUAAUUUAAAUGUUCUCUCUACAAAUUUGAAGUAAUUUCUACUGUUUUUGCUAAUAAUUUAUAUAUUAUAGAGUUAAAUUUAACACAGUUAAUCAUCUUAAGCAUUUGACUCUGGUGUUCUUAAGAUAUAAAUUCAAAUCCCUAUAAUUUUAUCAUCUUGAUCUUUUCAAUCGUCUCACAUACCGUCUUCAUUUCAUAAUCUUGCCUACUAGCUGCGUAUCAUCAAUGAAAUUACCAUAGGAGUCCACAUGUGGUAAUUAUGGAUCUAGCACGAUAUACUGCGUAUCAUGUUGUUGGAGAUCAUUUUAAAUGAUUAACCAGUCUAUUGAUGGUUUGAGUCUUUCCUUUUGAAUCUAUAGGUUGUUCAAUGGUCUAAUAUUAACUAUGUUUAGAUUUAUGGUAAUUUUCAUUCUUUUACAGCCUUAAUAACCAAGGAAAGGUGUGCUUUGAUAAUCUUUUCUUUCUCUUCAGCAGGUUGGUAAUGUAGAAAGGAUACAUGUAUACUAUGCCCACGGACUAGAUAGCCCAACCUUUGUUCGCCGAUGUUAUUGGCUCCUAGAUAAGUAUGUUAUGGUUGAAAGAAAAUUGUUAAAUUGCUUGCUACCAGUUGUUUCAGUGGGGUCUAUCCCCAUCAUGCCACAAGCAAAGAAAAAUGAAAUUAGACAGUGGCAGUAUAUCGUGUUCUACUUAUAUAAUUUAUGACUUGCUUCUGCUUUUUGUUCAGGACCUUUGAACACAUUGUCCUUGUUCAUUAUCGUGAAACACAAGAGGUUAGGUUCAGCACAAUGCAUCUGCAGUUACUGAAAUAUUAUCUUGAGACAAACUUUUAUCAUUUGGACUACUACAUCUAUUUAAGAUUUGUUGAUUUUUCCUCCAUGGUUGCAAUAUUAGAACUUCAUCCAAAAUAAUGUUGUCAUGUGUGUCUUUAUGGUGAUUCAUGUGUUGAGAGUUCUCUUUCUUCUGCUAUCCAUAAAUUUAUGGAAUGGAAAGGCAAUGAUCAUGACACUAUUUUUUGUCAGAUAAACACUGGUUUCAUAUGCUUCAACUUUAUGGUGCUUCACAGCACACAGAUAAAACUUCCAAACAAUCUGCACCCAAUAUUACCAUAAUGCAUUUGGACACUUCAUUAACAACUUCUUACAAUUAGCCUUUCUAUAUUGAAAGUAAUUUGUUAUCUUAACUUCCUGUUGCUGCUAGUUUCAGAAUUUUCCAUCCACAUCGUUGAACUCAAAUUCUGGUUCUGUCUCUAACCCAUCAACUCCGUGGCUUUUAUCGGAGGAACUUGAUUCCAAGGCUACUCAUGUUUAUUCUCUUGGUGAAAAUGAAUUGUCAGGUGAUACUGGCCGAACCUGUCAAAAAUAAAUGAGUCAUAGUUUGUUUGAUCAUUCAUUUUCUAAUCUUUCUUCUUUAUAUUUAAUUAGUUGUUUAAUUUCUUAAAAAAGAAUUAUGGUUUAUUUAUAGUAUAUUUGGUAGUAUGCAUGCCUCAGCUUCUUUAAUGCAUGUCUCUUACAGUAUAUUUGGUAGUCUUUUAUAAUGUUACACCCUUUUUUUAAUUCCUAAUACCUUUUAACUUUCCAAAUUUUCAUUCUUUCUUUUAGAAAAUUAUUUUCAUUAUUUUUUUAUGGUUACAAAACCAUCCAUUAACUACAUUAAUUAGACAAUUCACUCCAAUAAUAAAUAAAUAACUUUUUUGGAUCUAAGGUCUUUUCUCAUUCUACAAAUUUAAUUUACUAUAUAAAGGUUAUUAUGCUAAUUGAAAAAUAUAUUUCUCUCAAGUAUGCAAUGACAGAAAAUUAGGUUAUAAAUAUAAAAAAAAAAAUUAGGUAUUAUAAUUUUUUUAAAAAAAUUAUAUUUUAAUUUUUUAAUAAAACCUUGCAUUUGGGGAUUCACAUGUUGUUACUUGUCGAACCAAAAAGGAUAAAUUCGCGAUGAAAACUCUUUAAAAACCCAAUUCGUGGAAGGAAAAAUUGAACUGUGGCGUUGAGUUAUUUUGUUGUUGAAGAAGAUCAGUAAAAAACCCACACCAUUAAAACUUCUUUUUGUUUCUUUAAGUAUAUUUUAGAUUGCAGCGUAUUUUCUAUUUGGGUUUAGUUAGGGUUUCUCUUGUUUAUUCCAAGAUAUGCAUGGAUAGUUCAUGUUCGACUAUUUGGAAAGAGGGAUUUAUGUAGCACGGGUAUUAUAUUCUGGUUUUGGAAGUGUCGAGAUAAAUUAAGGACUUUUUUAAUCUUCUUCAAACAAACCUAUACGAAGGUGAAGAAUAAUUUGUGCUUGUAUUUUAGUCGGAAUAAGAAGAAACAUGAAGAUAAUGCCCAGGAGGAAAAUAACCAUGAGAAAAAGUUGUGUAUUCCUCCAUCCAUAACUGAGCUCUCUAAUGUGUAUUCCUCCCUCCAUAACUGGCUUACUUUGGACUGUUUGGAUAGAAAGAAACAAUAGAAUUUUUAAGGAUAAAUCAAGGUUUAUUGUUUACUUGUGGAAAGACAUAUGUAACUUGAUCGGAGUUUGGUCUAGGCGUCAUUCAUCUUGUAACCAAUAUGAUGUUACUACCAACUCUUAACUUUAAGCUUUGUAAGAUUAGGUUGUUUCGGGCUUCCCUCUAGACUUCAACCUUGUAACUUUAACUCUAUGUUAAUAGAUAAUGACUCUUAUCCUAGGUUUAUCUUAGUUUGAAGGAUUCGGUUUCUUCUUCUUAAAAAAAAGUUGUAUUUCGACUACUAUUUGGGAGGAAAAUGUGCUUAACUAACUAAAAAUCUAAUGACACUUCCAAAACCAGUCAUUUCAAGAAAUGUUUCCUCAAUAAUAUAUUUAAUGCUCUUCCUUUAUAGAGUAAAACAGUAAAGCAACAAAACCAUUUUAAUUCAUUAUAUAUAUAUAUGUAGAUAUAUAUAUAUUUAUGUAUGUCAUUACUACAAAAAAGGCCUUUCUUGACGUUUGUUGUUUUUCUUUCUUGACAUUUUUUUUCAAAAAAACGUCAAGAAAGGAGUAGUUCCAAAGAUAAAACGUCAAGAAUUUUUACGAAAAGGCGGGGGUAGGUCAAUUUUCAGAUUUCUUGACAUUUAUUAAACAUCAACUAAUAUGUAUUUUUUCUUGGCGUUUUAAAAACGUCAAGAAAUAUCUAUAAAAAUUUUGACGUUUUUAAGAAUGUUUAUAUAUUCAACAUUCUUCAAAAUUUUCAAACGUCAAGUAAUAUGUACUUUUACUUGACAUUUUAAAAACGUCAAGAAAUAUCUUAAAAAUUCUUUAUGUUUUAAAACGUCAAGAAUUUUUAUAAAAAGCCAGAGAAGAGUUAUUUUUUAAAUUUCUUGAUGUUUUUUUAGACGUCAAGUAAGAUCGUUUUUCUUGACGUUUUGAAAACGUCAAGUGUUAUUAAAUAUAUAUAUAUAUAUAUAUAUAUAUAUAUAUAUAUAAAAGAAAAUAUUGGGUUGAAUCCUUCGUAGCCCUAGACUUGUCUCUACCGCAUUCGAAAAUGCCAAGUUCUUUCUGAGGAUCUCUAACUUCUGCCGUGUUCACCGUCCGUCCGUCCGCGUUCACCACGUCCGGGUUUAUCUAAUAUAUUUUUCCAAAUCUUAAAGAAGAACUUUUGAUUUCAUUGGAGUUUAUCAUUAGAGGCAUUACUAUAUUGGCUGCCUCUCAGUGGGCUAUAGGUUUUCCAAUGGUCAUUUGAGACUGGUUGAUAAUAGCAAAAGUUAGAGCUUGAGAAGAAGGAGCGAAGAAAGUAGUGAAGACAAAAGAAGAAAGAAAGCUGAGUGAAAAACGAAAAUUGACAAGGUAGAGAUGUGACAUGAAAAUGAUGAUGAGAAGUGAAGGAGGCACGACACAAUACUGGUACACAAUAACAAAGCCUUGAUAAUUAAAAAAAGGAUGGUGCCAAGAAAAUUUAAAUACAAAAAAAAUGAAGGUUCUUGCAAGUGUAUUGAGUGAAUGGGAGAAAGAAAGGAUAAAAAAGGUAGAAAGAGAGAAAGAGAAGUCAAGGGUAGAGAUACAUAGCUUUGUAUAUAGAAACUUUAUGUUUAUACUCCAUUAUACGUUGUGGAGAAUAUAACAUCCUGAUAUGUCUGAUUCAAUUUGAAUGAUGCAAUUAUUUAUUUUUCUGCAAUAAUUCUACUUCUAGAACCUAAAUCAUAUUGUUCACAUGAAAUGAUAAAAUAAUCAUUACACAUUUACAAGAACAAUAAAUAAAUUAUGUGAUUUUCGUGAGAAAAAUGAAGAAGAAAUAACUUCUAACAAAAGUAAAUAUAAAUUAAAGGAGAAUAUAAAAUUGUUGAAAAUAUUUAUUUUCAAUAAUUUGGAAGUUCUUUGGCUAUAUAUAAUGAAAGAGAGCCUUUCCAAGGUGUGAUGCCUGGCGUCAACAAUGACGCGCUUAGCACAGAUACGGAACCGGACACCAUCUUCUUGGUGUUUGUCUGUGCAAAAGCCUCGAGUGGCUAUGGUCUUCUUCUUCUCUGUGAGGGAAAUGGUUGAAGUUGCUAGACUAUUUCAAUUACUAUGUGAGAGGUGGCUGAAUUUUAUUGGACCUCUCUUCUUGAGCUUACUUUUUACAAUUGUUUAACAAUCUCUCUCCGAAUAUACCUUCGUCCCCUUAGCUGCUUUCCACUUUGGUAAAAUCGCCAAAGCUUUAUGUGUACAUUACAAGAGAGAGGAGCAGGGCAAAAUAAGGUUAUUGGAACAAGGCAAAAGUUAUCAUUGCUAGCUGCAACUUUCCUCAUUCUUUUCACCCUCCUUCAAACCAUAUUGUCUGCUAUGUAUGCAUUUCCUAGCUAGCCUUCCCCGGCAUAUUCUAUUUUAGCUUUUUUCCUCUACAGUUUCUGUUAUGUAUUUUUACUGAAUAUUGAUCUCCUUUUUGCUAUCAAGAUAGUAUACCAUACAUGCAUGUGUAGGACUUUAAUUUUAUCCCUUAUAUUUUAUAAUUUGUCUUACUACUGUUAUUGACUGAUAUACCAAUAUACAUGUGUAAAGUAUUGACCAUAUAAUUAAUAUUAAAUUUAUUACAUUCACUCAUCAAUUUAAGUUUUUUAGUCAAUGUAUGUUCAUGAUGUACCAUGGUCAUAUCAUAAUAGAAUAGAUCCAAGAUUAUAUAUGUUCAAACCAACUGGUGAUUUAAUUAUCAAAGAUAUUAUGAUUUUGUCCAGUUUUUUUUUUUUCAGUCACUACUAGAAAAAUGGAUUUUAAUCAAGACAUUGUGUCGUUGAAAAUAAAAGAAAAAAGAGGUGGGAUGAGGUACAUUGUGUUGUUGAAAAUAAAAAUAUGGAUUAUUUCUUAAAACAACCAUACACAAUUUAAUUUAUUUCAACACAAUUUUUGCGUCAUUAAUUAACGACAAUUUUUUUGUCAUUAAAAAAAUUUUCAAAUGAAAAAACCUCAAAUUUCAAAAAAAUUCGAAGUGGGCUACCGAGUCGUUAUGAAGAACCCUUGCCCUCCAAUUUUUUGCCACUUGCCGUCGUCGAUUCCACACUCCAACCACUGUUGUCGUUGCUCCCACAACAAGCCUUCGCCGUCAAACCCACCAAUCUAGCCACUUUCGUCGAAUAAAUUUAUUUAGAAAUAUAAGUUUUAAUGACACUUGAAAUCAAGAAAAAGGGAUAUGAGGGAAUAAAAUGUGUCGUUAAAAAUAAAAAUACAAAAUUUUUUGUGACACAAAUUGAGUUUUCUUGACAAAAUUUUGGCAUUGUAAAUAAUUGCAUAAAUUAUGUGUCAUUAAAAAUUACCCUAAUAAAAAAUCAAUGUUUUCCUUCAAUCAUACGUUUUUUGAUUUAAAACAAAUAAUUCGAAGCUUUCAUCCCACUUGUGAACAAUGACCGAAAAAAACCUUACUUCAUCCCACAUCGUCGUUGUCUUUAGCUCUCUCACAAAUGCUCUCUGGCGACGUUCCCCCCUCUCUCGCAAAUACUCUUCACGACUUUUCCUCUCUCUCAAAAUUAAGCUCUCCGCCCACCAUUUGAAGGAACUCACCAAAUUUGCAAGUAAUUGAAGAAUUCGUGGUCCAUGAGAUAGAUUAAGUCCAUUUAUGAGUUAGUUUGAUUAUAUUAUGUCACAUAUACAUGUAUUACAAUUAAGGGACACUUGCAAAAAUGGCAAAAUAAGUUAUAAUAAUUAAGUCCAUAGAACACAUACCUUAUUAUUUGAGAAAGUGACAAAAACAAAGACCAACUCACACAUCAAGAGGUAAAAUGUCAACAAAUGCCCUCGUUAUUGAUGUACAUUUGAUACACCUUAUACACGUCUGAUACACCUAAUACCUCUUGAUACAUUAAGUCCAUUUAUGAGUUAGUUUGAUUAGAUUAUGUCACAUAUACAUGUAUUACAAUUAAGUGACACUUGCGAAAAUGGCAAAAUAAGUUAUAAUAAUUAAGUCCAUAGAACACAUACUUUAUUAUUUGAGAAAAUGACAAAAACAAAGACCAACUCACACAUCAAGAGGUAAAAUGUCACAAAUGCCCUCGUUAUUGAUGUAUAUUUGAUACACCUUAUACACGUCUGAUACACCUAAUACCCCUUGAUACACUUGAUACUUCUUACUGAUACACUUGAUACAUUUGAUAAUACAAUUCAUGCACUCGGUACUCAUUGAUACACUCGAUACUUUUUGAUACACACUUGAAACAUCUUCAUACACAUAAUACUUCUCGUUCCACAUAAUACUUCUCGUUACACUUGAUUCUUCUUGAUACACUUGAUACCCCUGAGACGUUGAUACACUUGAUUAGUUUGAUACACUUAAAGACUUCACUUAUAAGUUUGAUACACGUAAUACACCACUAAUAAACUGUUUAUACUUCAUUGGUACACUUAACAAAUUUGAUAUGUUUGAUGUACAUGCACUACAAGAAAUUUACCCUUUGUCGAUGACAAAUAUCGUCAGUAAAUCUUCAAAAACUAAUCAACUUUUCUUUUGCCAACAAAAUUAAGCUGUCAACACACACCGUCACGUAGGUCUAUUGGAAGAUCCUCUAUCGAUGGCAAAAAAUAAACUGUCAGCAAAAAUAGGAACUAUUUUGAGAUAAGGUUUGUGCGUACACGUGUGUGCGUUUGUGCAUGUGUGUGUGCUUGUGUGCGUGUGGAUAGGUGUGUGUGUGAAUGCGUGCUCGUGUGCAUGUGUGUGUGCGUGGGUUCGUGCGUCUGUGGGUGUCUGUGUGUAGGUGUGCGUGUGUGUAAGUGUGCAUGUGUACGUGUGUGCGCAGUGCUUCUAUGCUUGUGUCCGAACAAGUUAAUAUUUUUUAAUGUUGAGUUUCUUCCAAUUUUAAAAUAAUAAUUUAAUUAUCUUGAUAUUUAAGGCAUUAAUGUUAUUUUGAGAUAAAGAUAGUGAACGGGUUGAUAUUUUUUAAUUUUGAAAUUCAAUUAAGGUUAUUUUAAUACAAAAUCUAUCGUUGAGACUCUCAAAUUCCGAAAAAUAAUAAUUUUGUUAUUUUGAAAUUCAAUUUUGUUAUUUUGAAAUUCAAAUUCAAUUAGGUUAUUUUGAAAUUAGUAUGAUUGAAUAAAGUUAUUAAUAUGUUGAAUUAAUUAGUUGAGUCUCGAGAUAUUAAGAAAAAUAUUAUGAUAUGAGUUGAUGUAUCUAUUUCAAGUAAAAGAUAAUUAAAAGCUGAGAAAUGCAUAACAUAAAUUAAUUACAAUGUAGAGACGAAAUAAUUACAGUUGAAGAAUAUUGAUAUUUUGGUAUUUUAUAAAAUACCAUGCACGUGCAAAAAAUGCUAGUUGCUAAAAUUCAAAGGAAAAAGUAGUUUUGUCAUUUUUCAAAAUGACCCCUAAAAACGUUGUUAUGUCUCUUAUGACAAAGAGUGUAGAUCUACUGAUCCAUAUUCGAUUUGUUUUUUGUUGGUAAAAUUGGAUAAGACCGCAUUAUAUUGAAAUAAUUACACGAAUGACACUUUUAAGCCAAUAUUGAUAGAAAUUAUAAUUUAAUCAAUGUUAUUAAGUCAAAUGAACAUGGUUUAAAACUCUUUCUAAACAUAAUUAAUGUAUUUGUUUUUUAACUUUAAUUAAUUUACACAUCUUUGUGCGUGCGUGUGCGUGCGUUGUGCACGUGUGCGCGUGUGCUUGUGUGCGAACAAGUUAAUAUUUUUUAAUUUUGAAAUUCAAUUAAAGUUAUUUUUUAUACAAAAUCUAUCGUUGAGAUUCUCAAAUUUCGAAAAAUAAUAAUUUUGUUAUUUUGAAAUUGAAAUUUAAUUAGGUUAUUUUGAAAUUAGUAAGAUUGAAUAAAAUUAAAAUCUUGAAUCAAUUAGUUGAGUCCCAAGAUAUUAAGAAAAAAGGAUGUAUCUUUUUCAGGUAAAAAAUAAUUAAAAGCUAAUAAAUGCAUAACAUAAAUUAAUUACAACGUAGAAACGAAAUAAUUACUGUUUGAGAAGGUGAAUAUUUUGGUAUUAUAAAAUAUCAUGUACACGUGUAAAAAAUUCUAUUUGCUAAAAUUUAAAAGAAAAAGUAGUUUUGCCAUUUUUCAAAAUGACCCAUAAAAACGUUGCUAUAUCUCUUAUGACAAAGAGUGUCAUCUACUGGUACAUAUUCGACUUGUUUUUUGUUCGUAAAAUUGGAUAAGACUGCAUUAUAUUGAAAUAAUUACACUAAUGACACUUUCAAACCAAUAUUGAUAGAAAUUAUAAUUUAAUUAACGUUAUUAAGUCAAAUGAACAUGGUUUAAAAGUCUUUCUAAACAUAAUUAUUGUAGUUUUUUUUAAUUUUAAUUCAUUUAUACAUCUUUGUGCAUAUGUGCGUGUGUGCGUGCGUGUGCGUGAGUGCGUACGUGUGUGUGUAUGCGCGUGUCCACGUGUGCGUGGGUGUGUGUGUCUACGUGUGCGUGGGUGUGAGUGUCCACGUGUGCGCUUUUGUGCGUGUGCGUGUGCGUGUGUGUGCGUGUGUGUGCGUAUACGCGCGUGUGCGUGUGUACGUGAGUGGGCGUGUGCGCUUUUUGUGCUUUUCUUCCAAUUUUAAAAUAAUAAUUUAAUUAUGUUGAUAUUCAAGUCAUUAAAAUUAUUUUAAGAUAAGGUUAUUUUAAUAUAAAAUCUCCGUUCUAAAUAAACACAAUCCAGAUCAGUGCCACUGAACACAGGCAUUUCAACCUUCUUGAAUUUGCUAUGAUCGUUCGAGUUUUCAUCCAUUUCAAACUUGUUUGUUUUACCUUCUACCUUGAUUUCCUUCAAUGUCUUACCUCCACCUUCGAUGAUACUCUCAAUCGUUUGUCCUUUGCUCGAUGAUCCUUCCAUUCUUCCGGAGAUUGUCGAAUUAUCCUUCUGCUAUUCAUUUGAUGCAUUUAGCAACCGUUCUUGUUUUUCUAACUAGAUGACUAGUCUUUCGAUGCUUUUUGGCAAGAAUAACAAGUUUUCUUCAAUUGCCAGCAACUUGUGUAACUGAACUUGUAUCCCUGAGAUUUCCUUAUCAGAGGUCUCCAACUUCUCUUCGAUCCGUUUUUUGUGCUGCUCUAUCGUUCUCCCAAGUAAAAUCGCUCUGAUACCAAUUUGUUAAGAUACUGUAAAUAUACGGCAAGUGCAUCUUACUUUAUUGAAUUACCUCAACGAAUUACAGUAUAGAGAAUAAAAAAUCACUCACAUCUACUUCCUAAAGGCACACUCCAGUGAGGAUCACAACAAAGAACAAGAAAAACUAAGAACAAACUGCAACCAUGAAAAUGACCAAAACAAACAAUAAAAAGAACUUGACUUGGACCCUCUACUUCUCCCGAGCAUGAAAGAGGGCAGCCUCUACUUCUUUGGAAUAUUUUGUCCCCUUUCUCCCUCCUCUUUCCUCCCUUUUUAUUUUUCUUUACUAACAAACUAAUGGGAAAGAUCUCCUCCAAUAUUCUCUCCUCCUAUAAUCUCUCAUAUAUUCUCGUGUGGGUCAAUAUUACCCUUUUUAAUUCUUCUACUGUAUUUAAAUAAUAUUGGAGACAUAUGCUUCCUAACAAGAACAAGAUCUGAAUUUAUUAUAAUGUAACUAUAAGAAAAUACAAGAUAAAACCAAGUAUAAAGCAUUAGAACCCUCCCUCUUGAGUACUCUCACCCAAGCCUUAUAUCACUCCCCAGAAUUCUCCCCACCACCCUAGUUACCACACUUACAUAAUAACUACUAGUAACCACACUUACACAAUAACUUCCUAAAUAUCUAAUUACCCUUAUACCCCAACCCUAUACAUAAUCUAGGUAUCUAACAAAUUCCAUAACAUAAUGUAUUAGGGGAAGAAGGAAAUCGAGGAUAAAAAACACUAGCUAGCCAACAAAUAUCUUUCAUUAGUGAGCUUGAGCCAUUUUACACGUAAAAUGGGAAAAGUAAGCCUGCAACCCAAAUUAGCCUAAUGGUUGUCUUAACAACCACUACCCACCAUCAUGAUAGAAACAACUGAAAAGGAAGAGCAUGAUACAAUCCAACUCAAAUAUAAGAAUUGAUUUUGAUGUUUAACUAAAAGUAAACAGGCAGUAGAAUAAGAAACUAUGCCCUUUUAGAUCUAGAAGGUUCACAACAAUUUCCAGCCUAAACACAACUACGAGCCAAUGGAAGAAUAACGGCAAAGCCCUUGUGUGCAUGGAAUCGCUAACUUUGGUGCAAAUGAGAUGAUUAUCGGUAUUCAAAGGCCAAAAGGACACAUAGAAGAGUGUUCGUCUAAGGUUGGAAGACUAACCUUGAAAAGAGAGCAAUACAAAAAUUUAGAGUUUUCCGCACUUUUCCUGUAAUGACAUGAGUGCUUGUACUCCCAUAAGCAGUGAGAGAACCACCAAGCUCCUCAAUCAUCUAAAUCAGAAAACAAAUGCACAUUAGAGCAGUCACAAUUUGGAAUAAAUAGAACUUUUUAUUGUUAGAAUCUUAGAAUAUUUACGAAAAGUUUAUGGGAAUAUUUUUCUUAAUUCCUAAAUAUUUUCCUUUUUUAUUCCUCUGUAUAUUCUAUUUAUUCUCCCUUGUACCUAUUGUAUUUUUCAUCAGAAAAUAAUAAGAAGAAAAAUAUAGUGGUUUUUCUCCUGAUACACAGGUUUCCACGUAAAGUUGUGUGUUUGUUUGUCUCCCUUUCAAUAUGGUAUCCGAGCAGGUGGUCCAAAAAGGUCUUGUCUUGUCGUUUCCUCCCUAAUUAAAAUCCAUUUCCAGUUGUUGGGCCUUUCAAAUAUUUCAAGCCCACAAGUGAGGAGAGUGUUGGUGAUAUAUAAUUGAAUUUUCUUUCUUUUUUUAAAAAAGGAUACGAGUCUCACUAUUAUUAAUAUAAAGAAAGAGACAAAGCUCAAUGUACAUGAGGAUUAUACAAAGAGCAAAAGGGGAGAGGGAAGAUCAAUAGGCGCAUCCGGACAUCUCAAACUAGGUUGACACCCCCUUAGUGCCCUCAAAACAUCCAAAAAGCGACAACACAAGAUCAAAACAAAAAGCCACAAAAACAAAGACAAACAAAAUGAUAAAAAGAAUCUUUCCAAAGAAAAAUCAUAAUCAAAGGCAGCAUGCUGAGAAAUGCAUUAUAUAGGGUAUCGUUGCCUGCAAGGAUAAAAAAUCAUCUAGUAGCUCAUGUGAGCAACUUGAAACCUUACCAUCAAGAUCCAGAUGACCAGUAGUGCAACAAUGGUGUAUGGUCAUCUAGUGACCUAAAGCAGAAAGACGAUAAAGAAAUGGAAGAAAUCGUUCCUAAGAGAGUGAGGAAGGGUAUACCCAUGAAGAGGAUACAUGAAUUCCUACUGAAGUGAAAGAACCUCCAUGCGGAAGAAACACGUUAGGAAUGUGCUGAAGGGUAUACCCAGUCGACAGGGACGCCAAUUGUUUAAGAGCGGGAGAAUGUAACAAGCAUGCUUGUCCAGGGCGCUGUUUGCUUAUGGCCGCAUGCCCAAACACCCAAAAUUUACAUUGUUUUUAUGUAUAAUCAUUUAGUUUUACUUUUUACUUUCCCUUUUAUGUCAUAAACCUUGGGUGUGAUUUGGCUUUUUCUUAUGCAAGCCUACCAGAACUAAAAAAGUCUAAAAUGUACUAUAGAUGGGACAUAGUAGUUGAAUCCCUGCCCAAGCCUUGUUGCACUCUUCGCAAUCAAAGUUUUUCUUUGCAAUUGACAAUCUUCAAUGCUUGCUUUAACGAUAUUUUCAUUGAAUUUCUUUCUCCUCACGUUUUAUAAAACAUUUUCUCAAGAACGUGAAGAGAGGCUACAUCGUAUCAUGUGUUUGUCCGUGGUUUUUGGAUUUUGAUCAGCUAACUUGUUGUCUACGUAAAACAAGUGCAACAUAAUCGCUCCUCUCGUGUUUGAAAGCUCGCGAUUGUGACACAAGAAAUGCACUAGCCAAGAAUGCACACGAGGAGGGCUACACGAAAUGCCAAGCACGCAACCAAGUGAGGUUCACAAUGUGCUUGUGUGUGAGGUUAGCACGCGGGCAUGCCCAACGCGCGUGAAAAGCCUCUUGUGAGAUUCACACACACUAGCCAGCGCCCAACCAAGGCCCUGCCGCGCACCCAUUCGUGUCAGGCAGUGUCAUAUUGCGUGUUGAGCUAUUUUUGGUAAUUUUUUGAGUUUUUUAAGUAUACUUUUGAUAUUUUCUUGGCAAAAGAUAAUUAAUUGUACUAUUUUACCAUUAUUUCAGGACAUGAGAAGAUCAUACAAAUUUAUAAACCAAGGAUUUGAGCUUGUAUCUUUGAGUGGAAAAUGUUUUAUUUAAAGUGAUUUCAAGCAUGUUCUUAAGUCAUGAUUUAUGACGGAUUUAUGCUAAAAUGUUUAAGUUAUGUUAUGAAAAGUCUUUCAAGCGUGUUAUUGUUUAAAGGUAUUUAUUCAAGCAUAUUUUUUACUCUUCAAAAUGCAUAAUAUUCAAAAUGUUUUCCCACUUUCUAGGUAGAGAUCGUGUCCUCUAAGCCUAACUUGAACCUGUCUACUAAAGGAUUUCAUUUUGUUAUCGUAUGUGUCCUGUUAUUUUGUACUAAUGGUAAAUUAGUCUUUUGUGCUAUCAGACUUACGCUUUUGGAAAGGUUUUAUAAGGUUUUGUUCUAGAUAAAUAAGAUUACGUUUUUUCUAUGUAAAACUUGUCUAAGGUUGUUAAAUGAAAAAGGUUUAGCCCAAUUGGUUUUAGUAAAACUUAUGUGUUAUGUUUCCGCUGUUGUUUAGAAUUUAAAGGUUCAGGCUAAGGGUCAGAUAGUGUCGUUCUUGACGUGGGUGCUAUCGAUUGGCUUCACGCCAUAUCUCGAGCCACGCAAGUAGGUGCUCGUGGUGGGGUGUGAUAGCCUAAGUUGGCUUAUUAACGGUUAAAAUGUAAACAUGUCCAUAACAAAAUAGUUGGGCAAGGCCCAUGUGGACCGACUGGUAAAGGUUGAAGAGCAAAUGCUCUACCUAAUGAAAGUUCCUAACUCAAUUCGCUUCUCGGAAACCCGCCUUGAAGAAAUUUUUUAGAAAGCUGAUGCUAUUAAUUAAACCACCACCCAAAAUCUUAAGCUAGUGAUUAAAAGUAAAUUUAAUUAUAUAUCACUAACAAUCCCCCACUUAUGGGUUCGAAAUAUCUAAAAGGUCCAACAAGUGAAAAUCAAUUUUAAUUGGGAAGGAAACACCAAUACAGGGACUUGAACAUAAGACCUUUUGAACCACCUGCUCUAAUACCAUAUUAAACCCCAAAUUCACCCAAAAGCUUAAGCUAGUGGUUGAAGGUAAAUUUAAUUAUAUAUUACCAAAGUAUGAGGUUUCAUCACAAUACCAAUUGGCAAUGAGAGGAGUAGCUCAUCUAUUUUAUAAAGAGUCUAAGUUUCCUUGGUUUUUCAAUUGUGGGAACAUGCCCCUUCAAGAUGGUGCCUCUUUGGUUUCACCUAUCUUGAACCAAAUAUCCGUUUAGGCUUAAUGAGCUCUAAUACCAUAUUGAAAGCAAUAUAUACGAAACCAAAGCUUAAGUGAAAACGUAAGAAUCGAAAGAAAAGCAUUGUGUUUGUAGUUUUAUUAUUUUUAUGAUAAUUACAGACGUACAAUUGGUGGUUUAAUAUAUAUCACUAACACUAUUGCUGCAAUGAUCGAUCAUCUCGAUGGAUUACCCAUUUAAGAGUUGUUGACAAGAGUUGACACUCUAGAAUCAAAAGUUGUAAGAACUAGAUGUUGUAAUAAAUGUCCUAAAACUCGUUGUAAUCAUAAUCUAUUCAUUAAAGUCGUUAUUGAUACUAUAAUCUUAAAGCCAAUAAACUAAGGACCCGAAGUUAUUAUUAAGUAAACUUGAACUUUAUGUAGAGACAUAAAAGUUGAUCAAGUUUAAGUAUAGAGCCUAAAUAGUAUAGAUUGUACGAAUACAGUUAGGCACCUUAUUCCAGGACAAUGAAUGCAGUCUGCUUUGUAUUUAGUAUAAACGAUGUGAUCCUAAAUCCUAGAGACAUGAAAGUGUGGACAUCCUAUGUAAAGAGUUUACAAAAGACUAGAACCAUGAAAUAGUCACUUUUAAGUUAUGACACCGUUAACUUUGAAAAACUUACUAUUUCAUUGAUAGAUAUCAAAUAUAACUUAAUCUUAAUACUGAGCUAACUAUAAGCUUCUGUUCUCACCAGCAUGCUUGUUUAAGGCGUUGUUUAUCUAUGGCCACAUGCCCAAAUACCCCCAAAUCACCUUUUCUUUAUGCCUUGUAUUUAGUUUAGUCUAUUGCUUUUCUUUUUAUGUCAUAGACCUAGGGUGUGAGGUGUCACACAUUUUCAUUUGCAAACCUGUCAAAGCUCAAAAAGUCUAAAUUGUACUAUAGAAGAGACCCAAUAGUUGAAUCCCCAACCAUGUCUUAUCGUAUUCUUUAUAAUCAAAUUUUUAUUUGCAAUUGAAAGUCUUCAACGCUUUCUUUAAUGAUGUUUUUAAUGAUAUUCUCUCUCACAUUUUAUAAAAUAAUUUUUUCAAGAACGGGAAGGGAGGUUAUAUCAUAUCGUGAGUUUGUUCGUGAUUUUUGGAUUUUACAUUACUGACUUAUUGACUGAGCAAAACAAGUCCUCUACAAUUGUCCGUUCCAUGUUUGAAAGAUUGUGAUUGUGGCACGCAGAGUGUCACAAGUGUGCUUGUCCAAUGCAUUAUUUGCCUAUGGUCGUAUGCUCGUAUAUCCUCAAACCACUUUAUCUUUAUGCUUUGUACUUAGUUUAGUCAACUGCUUUCCUUUUGUUGUCACCGACCUAAGGUGCGUCGUUUCGCAAUUUUCAUAUGCAAUGUUGUCAAUGCUAAAAAAGUUUAAGAUGUAUUGUAGGGGAGGCAUGGUAGUUGAAUCCCCAACUAAGCCCUAUUGUGAUUUUUGCAAAUCUAAGCUUUCUUUGCAAUUGACAAUAUUCAAUUUUUUCUUUAAGGAUGUUAUCAAUGUUUUUCUUUAUCUCUCACGUUUUAUACAACCAAUUUCUCUCAAAAGAUGAAGCGAGGCUACAUCGUACCAUGAGUUUAUCCGCAACUUUCAAAUUUCACAAGGUUGCCUUGUUCAUCAAUUUAGAACAAGUGUUGCACAAUCGCCCGUCCCGUAUUUGAAAAGUUGCAUUUUGUGACAAGUGGUAUUAAAGCUUUCUUAGCUCCUUGGCUAAGCGAGAUGCAAUUAUGUCGACAAUGAAACAACUAUCAAAGUUGCAAUCUGAGCGACUGACUGAGAUUGAAGAGGAAUUCUUGGAUAUGAAAGAAUUGUCAAAGGAAGUAAGAUUUCUCCAGACCUAACUUGAGAUGUUUAAAGAAAAAGUCAGAGAAAUAGACGCAUUGAAUGCCUAAAUAGACAAACUACCCAUAAAUGAAUUGGCGUUGAGGGUUGAUUCGUUAGAACAUAAAACCACCAAAGUAGGUAGUUUUAAACGUGGAAGUAGCUCUUCAAGUUCUAUCGCACAAAUGGAAGAGCGUGUCGAAGAGUUUGACUUUUGACAAGCUCCAACAUAAUCAGUUAUAUUUCAAGAAAGAGAAAAGUGUUUUUGCUAAAUAGCAUAUCAAUUUUCUGGGUCACAUCAUCGAAUGUAGAAAGAUUUGAAUGGAUGAACAUAAGUUGUGAGCUAUUAAGGAGUGGAGAGCCCCCACUUCCGUGAAAGAGUUACGUUUCAUCCUUCAAUAUAUUCUAAAAUAGGGUUCACCUACUAUCCUCUAGACUCAGUACCGAGAGAAAGAAAUAGAUGGAAAAAGAAAUGGGCUUGGUAAUUUUUUUUUCUAUGUAAAUAAGAAAAAGAAAUCCAAUUUGGUACAAGAGCCCAAAUUCAAUAGCCAGCCCAUCAAAUGAGGUCAACGACCCUAUUUAUAAGGAUUUUCCAUGCAAAAUUGCAUGUCCAUGGAAUACUAAAGCCCAACAACUCAAAGCUCUAUUUCUAAUAUGAAAUUCGAUGGCUAUAACACAUAUACUUGUCAGUUUCUCUCUCUUCUCCAAUUCGAACAAUUCGACUUAUUUUAUUUAUUCCAUCACACUGUUUUAAGUUUAUUCCAUAUGAGCUAGCAAGGGAAACUAAUGGACCUAUAUAUCAUGGACUCUAAUGAUUCAAGAUUAAUUGACUAAAUUCUUAUAGACUAAGUUAAUCAACAUUCGUUAACUAACGGGUCAUUCAUGUAUGUACUGGAACGAUUCAGAAUCACCUCGUUUGUACUAACUACAAAUCGGGCGACAUCCACAGUUUCUCUGAAAAAAUCUGGGUUACUACAACGUCACCACGAUGUACAAUUUUCCUGAUAAGAUGGUACUUACGUUCGAUAUGUAUUCCCCGUUUACGGCUUUUAGGUUCUCUUGAAUUUGCAACUGCACCACUGUUGUGACAGUAUAAAGUGAUUGAUAGAUGCAUAUUUGGAACGACUUUCAGAUCUGUCAAGAAUUUUCUUAGCCAUAAUGCUUCUGUUGUUGCUUCAAAAGUUGCUACGUAUUCUACCUUCAUUGUGGAAUCAACUAUACAAGUUUGUUUUAUGCUUCUCCAAACUACUACUCUUCUAUUUAGAGUGAAUACUAAUCCUGAUGUAGACUUUCUAGCAUCUUUAUCAGUUUGAAAAUCAUAAUGAGUGUAUCCACUAAGGAUCAAAUCUUUUGUACCAUACACGAAAAUGUAGUGUUUUUUUCUUCAAAUAUAUUUUAGAACAUUCUUAACGGUUGUCCAGUGAUCACAUCCAAGAUUGGACUGAUACAUACUGACCAUCCCUACUAAUUAACAAAUGUCAGAUCUAGUACACAACAUUGCAUAUAUCAAACUUCCAACAGCGGAAGAAUAGGAACAUUUUCUCAUAUCCUCAAUUUCUUGAGGUGUCUUAGGACAUUGUUCCUUUGACAAAUGAAUUUCGUAGAUGUAUAAUAGCAUACCCUUUUUGGAAUUCUACAUUUUAUAUCUAGACAACAUUUUGUCUAUAUAAGAUGCUUGAGACAUGGCUAGUGUUUUGUUCUUGCAGUUCUGUACAAUUUGGAUCUUAAGAACGUAUUGUGCAUUUCCCAGAACUUUCAUUUGAAAUUGCAUAGCUAGCCAUUUCUUGAUAUUAGUAUGAAAUCCUAUGUCCUUUUCCAAUAAGUAGAAUAUCAUCUACAUACAAGACUAAGAAUACUACAAUGGAAUUGACGACCUUUUUUGUAAACAUAAGGUUCGUCAACCUUUUGUAUCAAAGCCAUAAGAUUUGAUCAUAGUAUCAAAUCUUAUAUUCCAGGAUCUAGAUGUUUGUUUUAAUCCAUAAAUGGAUUUUUGAAUCUUACAAACCUUUUGUUAUUGAUCUUGAUCUAUAAACUCCUCUAAUUGAGUAAUAUAGAUACUCUCUUCAAGAUUGUCAUUCAAAAAAAGUUGUCUUGACAUCCAUCUGCCAAAUUUCAUAAUCAUAAAACGUGGCGAUGCAUAAGACUAUUCUAAUUGACUUUAGCAUGGCAAAGAUAGAGAAACUUUCUUCAUAGUCUAUGUUAGAAAGUGACAUGCGCAGUGGAAAAAUGGAAUACAAAAUUACCCUAAUUGCACCUAUUUAACUUGCAACCCUAAAUUAAAAGAAUUAGGGUUUAGGAAAUAUUAUACCUUUGUAUCUAUUGGAAUAUGAACGUCUAUACCUCUCACAAAAUUCCAAAAGUUUUUGAAACCAAAAUGUAACACCUUAAACUUAGGAUUUGGAAUUCGUAUCUCCAGCAUUCUCUGCAUCCCCUGCGACCUGGCAGCAUCAUCCUUACUAUUCUUAAAAACUUAUUAGAAUGAAAUUCCUCUUCACAAACCAACACGAAAUCUUUCAUCAUGCUUUUCCUCACUCACAUAUAUCCUAGGAAAAUUUCCAAGAGGUCACCCAACAUAGAAUUUCUUCAAGCUAAGCAAGCUUAACUAUGAAGUCCCUAUAAUCGAGCCACCGAAAAAAAAAGGUUCACAUUGUUGGUAUAGGUAAUAAGUUUCAAUUCUUUUAAGUCUUUCUUAACAUGACUUUCAUGUCCUCAAGGUGCACCUUGUCGGUAUACUUGUCGAUUUCUCUCUCUUCUCUCAAUUCGAACAAUUCGACUUAUUCCAUCACAAUGUUCUAAGUUUAUUCCAUAUGAACUAGCAGGGAAACCUAAUGGACUUAUAUAUCAUGGGCUCCAGCGAUUCAAGAUUAACUUGUUAAACUCUUUUAGACCGAGUUAAUCAACAUUCGUAAACUAACGGGUCAUUCCACUAAAGUCCCGCAGUUGCACUCCCCUCACUAUAGAUAUAUUCUUGUCCAUUUAAUAUAACCAUGAUCAAUAAGUUAAUCCUUCACAUGUUAUUCGUAACCUCGAAUGGAUCAAAUUACUGUUUUAUCCUUGAGACUACAUCUUAUUUCUUAAGUUUCAUUGAUCCACUAUUGAACAAUUGGUUUAAGGUCCAACCUAUAAACUUAAUCCCUCUCGGGCUAAUGUGAGGGUGGGGCCCCUUGUUCAAGACUUGGAUUCAGUGCUUAAGAGAACAACCUAUCUACUAACCCUAAACAGGUAGAAGUGAAUUUUGUCUUGCAUCCUAUGUUCCUAGCCAUUCAUCUGAUCUUACCCUUGAAAUAGGAGGCUUAUUGGGAGAACGUUGAUGAGAUACCCUCACCUAUGCAUAUGUAACCCUAAAACAAGUAGAAGUGAAUUCAGUCUUAUGUAAGUACUUUACAGUGCUUAAGAGAACAACCUAUCUACUAACCCUAAAACAGAUAGAAGUGAAUUCAGUCUUAUGUAAGUACUUUAUAGUGUUUAAGAGAACAACCUAUCUACUAACCCUAAAACAGGUAGAAGUGAAUUAUGUCUUGCAUCCUAUGUUCCCAGCCAUUCAUCCGAUCUUACCCUUGAAAUGAGAGGCUUAUUGGGAGAACGUUGAUGAGAUAUCCUCACCUAUGCAAAUGUAAGGAUAAUCUCAUGUGAACAGGAGUUCAUAGUUAGCUUAGGAUUAAGAUUAAGCUACCUAAGUCAUCAAUAAACGAAAUAGUCAGUUCUAAACAGUAAACGGUGUUAUAACGUAAAAGUGACUAUUUCAUGGAUCAGUUUUAUGUAAGUACUUUACAUAGGAUGCCCCCACUUUCAUGUCUCUACAUGAACAAUUUAGGAUCACCUCGUUUGUACUAAUUACAAAGCGGGUCACAUCCGUAGUUUCUCUAAAUAAGGCACUAUAGACUAUUUAGGCUAUACACUCGAACUUGAUCCACGUUUAUGUCUCGACAUAAAGUUCAAAUGUAUUAAAAAAUAGCAUUAAGACUUAGUUUAUUGGAUUUAAGAUUAUAAUUUUAAAUUUUUCAAUAACGAUUUUAUUGAACUGAAUAUGAUAACAAACUACGAGUUUUAGGACAUAAAAUCCCAACAUAUGUAUUUUUGCCUCUAAUAAUAAUGUUGAAAGAUGUUUGUUGUGGUUUCAUAUAGGUGAUAUCUCUUCUGGUUGGACAUAGUUAGGUUUCGUAAUGGGUGACUUUAACGAUAUCAAAAUGCAUUUUGAGGCUUUUGAUAGGUCUUCUGUUCCUAUGGAUAUGGAGGAGUUCGAUAUGGCUAUUUGCAAGGCUUAUUUAGUUGAACCUACAGUACAGGGUAACUGGUUCACCUGGACUAGAAAGGUUCAUGGGUCUGGUUUGAUAAAAUGGUUUAAUCGUAUUCUGGUUAAUGGUGUUGGAUUACUGCAUGGCCUUCGGGUAUUUCUGAUCACUCCCCUCUUAUUUUAUCCCAACUUUUAGCAGAGACAGUGGGUAGUUUCUUUUUGUUUCUUCAACCAUUGGGUUGAGGAUUCUUUGUUUAUUGAUGUUGUCUCUUUGAUUUGGAGUCGCCAUGUAGGAGUUUCUCUGAUUGUGAGUUUCGUGAGAAAUUUACAUAACCACAAGCCUACCCUCCAUAGACAGUUUGGUAAGCACAUUCAGACCUAAGUGAGGAGGUUCGUAUUGCUAAAGAGUCCAUGGAUAAAGCUCAGAGAAAGGUUGGGCAAAAUCCUAUGUCUGAUGUUUUGAGUCGCCAAGCAGGUCUUGCCAUUGAGGCCUUUUGGACGGCUGUUAGAUUGGAGGAAGCCUUCAUGUGUUAGAAGUCCAAGAGGUUUGUGAGUUGCCUUAGAACUUGUGUUACCUCCUCGAUGUUCUCCAUUAUGAUUAAUGGCUCUUUCAAGGGUUUUUUAAUGGGAGGAAAGGUUUGGGUAGAGUGAUCCUUUAUCUCCUUUCCUUUUUAUCAUGGUGAUGGAGGUCCUCUCUCGUAUGUUGAAUCGGCCUCCUCCGAGCUAUCAGUUUCACAGGCAUUGUGAGAAGGUUAGCUUAACUCAUCUAACCUUUGCUAAUGAUCUUAUGAUUUUUUGUGCUGCUGAUGAUUCCUCUCUGAGUUUUAUUAACGAGACUAUUAGAAAGUUUGGUGAUCUCUCGGGGCUAUUUACUAAUCUUAGUAAAAUUUCUAUGUUUGUUGUAGGGGUUAAUAGUGAUGAUGUUUAUCGUUUGACUACCAGUUUGGGUUUUGUUCUCAGGCAUCUCCCUGUUCGUUAUCUUGGGCUUCCUUUACUUUCUGGGAGGUUACGACCUACUGAUUGUGCUCUCUUAUUCAACGUAUUACUAGUCAGAUUCAUUCUUGGUUUGCUAGAGUUUUAUCAUUUGCAGGUAGAUUGCAACUGGUUUGAUAUGUGCUUGAUAAUCUUCAGGUUUACUAGGCUAACGUGUUUGUGCUGCCUGUGAGUGUGCAUCAUGAGGUUGAUAAAAUCUUGAGGUCUUAUCUUUGGAGGGGUAAGGAGGAAGGUAGAGGAGGUGUUAAGGUGGCGUGGGCUGAGGUGUGUUCCUUUUGAGGAGGGUGGUCUUGCUAUUCUUGAUGGGUCUUCUUAGAAUGUUGUGAGUACUAUGAAGAAUCUUUGGUUGUUGCUGACUAGUUCGAGUUUUCUAUGGGUUGCUUGGGUGGAGGCAUAUGUUCAUAAAGGAAGGUCAUUGUGGGAGGUCGAUUCUUGUGUUGGUCGGUCUUGGUGUCUUUGCGCUAUCAUGUGUAAACGAGAUAGUCUAAAAGAGCAUGUUCAGAUGGAGGUUGGGGAUGGUAGGCAUUGUAAACUGUGCCUGGAUCCGUUGUUGCAGGGUGGUCCUAUCCUUCAACAAGUUGGUGAGAGAGCGCUUUAUAAUGUAACGAGUAGAUAGGAGGCUAGGCUCUCUAAGUUUAUUGGUUCGAAAGGGGAGUGGAGGUGGUCGAGGGUGUCUUUGGAUUUGAUUAAUUUAUGGGAUAGGGUUCAAGUUGUAAGUUCGUGUCCUAAUGUUGGUGAUAGGUGGGUUUGGGUUCUUGGUCGUCAUAGUGGUUUUUUGAUUGCUAGUGCAUGGGAUACUAUUCAUCCUCGUAGUGUUAAGGUUCGUUGGACAGGUUUCUUGUGGGGUGGGGAUUGAGAGUCUCGUUAUCAUUUGUUUUUUCAUGUCCUUUUGGUUGUGAUAUUUAGUCUCGGGUCCUUUAGGUUAUGGCUUCCUCUCACAGGAUUGGGUAUUGGGGGGUUGAGUUGUUUAGGGUUUGUCAUUAGAGUAUUGGUAAGGGUGUGAGAAGGAAGUUGUGGUAUGUUCUCUGGUGUGCUACGAUUUAUUUUAUGUGAAAGGAGCAUAAUCAUUGUCUCCAUGGUGGUCAAGCUCGUGAGCUCAUUGUUCUGUUUCAGCUUAUUCCAUCUUGUAUCAGUGCUCGUGUUGUUUAUUUGCGUGAGGAUGCUCAUGGUAUUAUUUAGCUUGUUUUCUUUUGAUUUUUGUUUUAUCUGCUUGUUCUCGGGCUGUGGGGUUGUUUGGACUUUUUAUGUUUUUGUUGCUCUUAAUUUUGUUGGGUUUAUUAUUGUUCUUUCUUUUGAUACUUUGGAUUCUUCCUGUUUUUGUGAGCAUUGUCCGCUCUUGUGAGGUCAUCCUUGUUGUAUUAUGAUAUUAACUUUUCAAGAAAAAAAAAAAGAUAAUGCAAUUCAACUUUAGAUAGAAACAUGAUUCGAAUUUUCAUUUCAAGAAAAUACAAGGGGACAGAACUCAAGGAUUAUGUGGAUCACAAAACUUGAAUUACUAGAAUCUAAAUUUCCAUAUGUUAGAUAUCAUUAGAAGCAGUUAGACCAAAAGUUAAUUAUCAAUAUGUUAGUUCACAGGAACUGCAUAAUCAAGCACAUAAACAUCCACAUUGUCAUUCAUUGUAGGCAGCUUUGAUACACAAAAAAUAUGGAUAUUUUCAGAAGUUCAAGCAUACACAAAAAACAUAUCCUUGUCAGAAAAUAGCCAACUAAGAAAGAGAAGUUCAAGAUUUAUAUACAAAGUGCAGCUGCAAAAGGACAAGCAAGAUGCCAGAAUCUAUAUAUUAUGCAGUCGGAUAUUAAUUGGCAAGUACUAACAGCAAAGGUACCAAAAUAAAACCGUAUCAAUUUAUCUUGUCUAAAACUAAACAGUAUAUGUAAAUCUUGCAAACAAACAAGUUUUUUGAAUCAAAACUGCCAAAAGAUUUUGAUUCAAGUGAUAUGUGGAUUGUGAUCUUUUGUGUCACCCAUCCAUUCCUCUGUUUUAACCAUUUAAAUCAAUAAAUAAUUUUAUGUUCAAACAUAAGUUGGACAACCUUUGUUAAAGAACUGCUUCCCAAAACAAAUAGCAUUAACCACCCUUUUUUAAUUCAACACAUGGGAAUAAAGAUCGAAUCUCUGAUUUUUUGGUCUAAGGUACCUUUCCUAAACUUGUCGAAUUCCAUUUUCUACACCAACUUUAGAACGAGUAUAUACAUCAAGUAAUUUCAUGUUCAACUCAAAAUUGGACAACCAUAGUAUUACUCCAAAGCAAACAAUACUAACUGUUCCAUUAAAUAUUUUUUUAUAGCUCUUGAUUGUCUCACUUUUUUGUAUUUUGAAUUUACAAGCCUCUUUUUUCUUUCUUUGGUAUGAAAGGUGGCAACUAGGCCUUGCUAGAACGAGUGGGGUAACCUUUCUAUGGUAGUACACUUAGUUUCGAAGUUCGAAGUUUUCCUCCUACAGUGGAUCAUCGAUAUUGAUUCUUCUACUGUUAAUUCGACCUCCCAUAAUUCUCUUCUUCUAAGGAUUCACUUUUCUCUAAGGCUCUGCACUUUACUAAAAAGCCUUGAUCUUCUUCCCCCCAAUGUUUUCAUAAACUUCUUAAGACAGACCCUGACCUUGGUUAGGCUCGGAUCUCCUUGGAUUAUCACCUUAUUCCUGAUAUGUAAAUGUUAACAUCAUAUUCUUCCAAUCCACUCCAGUCGUUCCCAAGGAAUACAAUCACUGCAUUCCAAGUAUGGCAACUACCCCUCCCAACUUCAAGGGUAAAAACUCAUUCACUACCUUCUAGUCUCCCAGCAUUAACUCAACAUCUUCACAAAUUACCUUCCCUUUGACUACAGUGCCCGAGCCCAAAAUGACUCCAUAAUUCGACGUUUCUCUUGUACUCAGUUGCAACUCUUUCACUAUUUUUUCCUGAAAUGAAAUUGCGUGUGACUUCACAAUCAAUUAGUACUAUAGCCACAUUCCCUUGUAUCAUCUCUUUUACCUUCAUUUUCCCUAGGUUGGAUAAUCCCACCACAUAAUUAAUGGAUAAUUCCACCACCACCUGACUCUCCUCUACGAUCUCAGGGGCAUUCAACUCUUUCUGAUCAAUUCCUCAUUCUUCGAUAAUUUCAUACUCCUCGCCUUCUUCCUUCACAACAAUUAUUCACAAUUCCCUUUGCUCUUUCAUCUUGCAUUUGUGGUCAUGAGAAUAUUUCUCAUUACAGCGAAAGCACAAUCACUUCUUUCUAGAUUGAAAUUCAGCAUCAAAUAAGCGCUUCGCCUGUCCCUCUUUCCGUACUUCCUCUUUUGUUGUUCCUCGUCGAGUAAUAGUUCUCAUCGGCCAAUUCAUUCCUCCUUUACUUUCUUCUGUAUUCGCAAUGGUAUUAGCCUUGGUGCUAUUAUUGGAGUUUAUCACAUUUUCUCCAGAAUAUCCAGAAAUAUUUGCUUCCUGAUGUAUAUCUUCCUUGUUCUCUACCUUUUGCGCGAUUCGUAUCGUUUGUGCUAAUCCCUUCGACUCACAUAAAUCCAUCUCCGCCUAGAUCCACAGUUUCAAUCACGACAUAAAUGUCUCUUUUACCACCUUCUCUAAUAGGUCCGACAAAGGAGCUACCCACUUAUCGAAUAAAUUUUGAUAUUCCUCUAUCGUUUUCUUUUGUUGAAUUUGCAAGAACCUUACAUACAACGAUUCCUCCCUCACGGAUCGAAAUCGCACAAAUAAUCUUUCCUUCAUAUUCACCCAAUCUACAAAGUUCUCUCGUUCUUCUUGAGAACGGUAAAAGUUCAAUGCUAGUCCCUCAAAACUAAUAGUGGAUACAGUCAUUUUCUCAAAUUUAGUAAGUUUAUGAAUGUGCAAAUACCUCUCUACGUGAAACAGCCAAGAAUCGGGAUCAUCUCCAUUGAAUAUCGACAUCUCCACCUUCUUAAACUUAUUGCAGUAACUAUUACUUUCAUCAUAUAUUUUCUUUCCUUCCUUCCUUGUUUCGUUCUCCCAUCUUGGUCACCCUUCACCUUCGUCCACAUUCUUCGUCGAUAAAUUGUGCAUUGUUGUCUAUUCCAUAAUUCGUAACAUCAUCUAAAUUCUACCUCUCCAUAUUUUUGGAUAUUUUGGCCAACGUCUUUUCGAUCAUCAGUAUCUUACUAAUGUCUUUCUUAAUGUCCUGUAUUUCCUGGUCAAACGUCUCCAUCUCUUCGAUCCGAGUCUGAACCAUUUGCAUUCUUCUUGCCCGAGAUCAAUGCUCCGAUACCAAUUUGAUGGAAACCAGUCUUGGAAUGAAAUUGCUACUAUAUUAUUAAUGAUAGAAUAGGAAUGAAAUCCUAAUUACAAUAUGAAAUCCCUCUCCUGUUAUCCUCUCUCUCAAGGAAGAAUAGAAAUUCACUUUCUCAAACAAAACCUAACUUUCCCGCCCACGAUUACUUUUUAUUUAUACUAACAAUAAGGUAACUAACCCUUCCCUUUACUAACCCUCACAUGCUAUUCAUGUGCACGUGAUAUAUUUUUUUUAAUUUCUUUGUUCCUCUUCCACUGUAUAGAUGUAAUAUAGGGGGUCUAUCAGAUUCCUCCUCUUUUCAAAGCCUCCAACCAAACUCAAUGCUAAGUUUGACUGCUCCCUUCAGAGUGAAGACCCUCAUUUUCCCCCUUCCGUGGUUUGGGGAGGAUUCCUUCUCUUUUUAAAGCCCUCAAUCAAACUUGAUGCUAUGUUUAGAACGCUAAGAAUAGGUGGUCUAGUUUUGGUUAGGCCAAAAGUGAAAAUUUCCCCCAAAAGCACUAAUAGUUAGGGAACUCAACACAUUCUACUUGACUUAAUCGACUUGGCUCUCUAAUUUUUAUGAGCUUUUUUCAAUGCAUAUUGCAUAUGUUUUUUUUAUAGUUGUUGAUUGUCUCACAUUUUUAUGGUUUGCAUUUACAAGCCUCUUUUUUCUUUCUUUGGUAUGAAAUAUGGUAAUAGGCCUUGCUAGAAUCGGUGGGGUAAUCUCUCUAUGGUUCUAAGGAGCUUGGACGGUGGUUGGAGAGGGUUUCUAUGAUGUCGUCUUACACUUCUUUGAGACCAAUUACUUCCCUCAAGGGGUGAAUACGAUUGCUAUUACACUUAUUCCUAAAAGGAAUGGUGCUGAUCGAUUGGAGGAUUUCAGCCCUAUAUCUUAUUGCAGGGUUAUUUAUAAGUGCAUUUCAAGAAUAUUGGCAGAUAGGCUUCGUGUGUGGCUUCCUUCUUUUGUUAGUGGAAAUCAGCCACCUUUCAUCCCUGGGAGGAGUAUUAUUGACAAUAUUCUUCUUUGUCAGGAGCUUGUAGGGGCAUACCAUUUGCACAGAGGUAAACCUCGGUGCACUAUGAAGGUUGACCUCCAAAAAGCUUAUGAUUCUGUUAAUUGGGAUUUCCUCUUUGGCCUGCUGAUUGCCAUAGGUAGGCCUUUAAGAUUUAUGAGUUGGGUUCGAGCGUGUGUGACCUCUCCGAUGUUCUCCAUUAUGAUUAAUGGAUCGUUGGAAGGUUUUUUCCAUGGGAGGAAAGGACUUAGACAAGGUGACCCUUUAUCCCAUUCUUAUUUGUGAUGGUCAUGGAGGUGCUUUCUCGCAUGUUGAACAGGCCACCUCAGAAUUUUCAAUUCCACCAGUUUUGUGAGAAGGUCAGAUUAACUCAUCUUACUUUUGUAGAUGACCUAAUGAUCUUUUGUACUGCUGAUAAUCAUUCUAUGAGUUUCAUAAAAGAGACUAUUAAGAGGUUUGGUGAGCUUUCGGGAUUGUUUGCUAAUCUUCCUAAAAGCUCAAUUUUUCUUGUGGGGGUUAAUAGUUCGAAAGAUUCUCGGCUUGCUGCUAACAUGGGUUUUUCCAUUGGUCAUCUCCCUAUUCGUUAUCUUGGGCUUCCUCUCCUCUCUGGAAGAUUGCGGAGCUCUGAUUGUGAUCCCCUUAUUCAGCGUAUUACCAUUCGUAUUCGGUCUUGGUCUGCUAAAGUGUUAUCUUUUGCAGGUAGACUUCAGCUUGUUCGCUCAGUCCUUAGGAGCCUUCAGGUUUAUUGGGCUAGUGUGUUCAUGCUUCCUAUGAAAGUCCACAGAGACGUUGAUAAGAUCUUGAGGGCUUAUCUGUGGAGAGGUAAGGAGGAGGGAAGAAGUGGUGCUAAAGUUGCCUGGGAUGAGGUUUGUCUUCCUUUUGAUGAAGGAGGUCUUGAUAUUCGCGAUGGAUCUUCUUGGAAUAUAGCAAGCACGUUGAAGAUAUUAUGGUUGCUACUUGUUAAAUCUGGUAGUUUGUGGUUUCUUGGGUGGAAUCUUAUAUCCUUAAAGGGAGAUCGCUGUGGGAGAUCGAUGCUGGGGUGGGUCGAUCUUGGUGCUUUAGGGAAAUCUUGCGUAAGCGGGAUAUCCUUAAAGCUCAUGUUUAGAUGGAGGUGGGCAAUGGAAGGAAGUGUAGAGUGUGGUUGGUUCCAUGGAUUCAGGGUGGGCCGAUUAUCCAGCAGUUUGGGGAGAGGGUGAUCUAUGAUGCGGGUAGUCGGUGGGAUGUGAGGCUGGUGGAUUUCAUGGGUCGGGAUGGUGAUUGGAGGUGGCCGCUUGUUUCUUUGGAUUUGAUGGACAUUUGGGAUAAGGGUUCAGGGAGUGAGGCCGAGUCCGAGUGUUGAGGAUAGGUGGGUCUGGGUGCGGGGAGUCGUGAUAGUUUUUCGAUCACUAGUGCGUGGGAGACUAUUCGUCCUCAUAAGUAGGGUUGGAUGGUCGGGUUUACUAUGGGGUGGGGGAAAUAUUCCUAAGCACUCCUUCUGUGCUUGGUUGGCCAUCAGGGAUAGGUUGAGUACUAGAGAUAGGUUAAGUCGGUGGAUAGGUCGAUUCCUUUAUCGUGUUUGCUUUGUGGAGGGAACUAUGAGUCUCGUGAUCAUUUGUUUUUUUCUUGUCAUUUUGGGUGGGAGAUUUGGUCGAGGAUCCUUUUGCUUAUGUCAUCUUCUCAUAGAAUCGGUUAUUGGGGGUUGAGUUAUCUUGGAUUUAUAAUCAGGGUAUUGGGAAGAGUGUGAGGAGAAAACUGUGGCGCCUUCUCUGGUGUGCUACAAUUUAUUUCAUUUGGCAGGAGCGAAAUCAUCGUCUUCAUGGAGGUGCUGUUCGGGAGCCUAUGGUUGUAUUCCAGCUCAUUCGGUCGUGUAUUAAAGCGUGUGCUGCUUCUUGGUCGGAUGGUGUUCAUGGUCUUAUUUAAUGUUCUUUUCGUUUGCUUGUCCUCGGGCUGUGGGGUUUCUCUUCUCUUUAUUAACUUUGUUGUCUUUCUCUCUUUUCUUGUCCUUUUAAUGUUUGGAACACUAGUUGGUUUCUUUUGGUUUUAGUUCUUGUUCCCGAGAUGUGGGGUUGUUUUGGGUACUUAUGGGUUGUUUUGUCUAACUACUUGUUUUGUGAGUGUUGUUCGCUCUUUUGUCUUGACCUCAGGCUGUGAGGUCCACCUUGUUGUUGUAUAAUAUUAUCAUUAUUACCUUUUCAAAAAAAAAUCAAACUCAAUGCUAAGUUUGACUGCUCCCUUCGAAGUGACAACAAGCCUCGUUUUCGCCCUACUGUGGAUCGAGGAGGAUUCCUCCUCUUUUCAAAGCCCUCAAUCAAACUUGACGUUAUGUUUAAAACACUAAAAAUAGAUGGUCUAGUUUUGGUUAGGCCAAAAGCGAUGUUUUCCCCCAAAAUCUCUAAUAGCUAGGGAACUCAACAUGUUCUACUUGACCUAAUUGACUUGACUCUGUAUUUUUUAUGAGCUUUUUUUAAUGCAUAUUGCAUAUGUUUUUUUUUUAUAAUUGUUGAUUGUCUCACUUUUUUAUGGUCUGCAUUUACGAGCCUCUUUUCUUUCUUUGUUAUGAACUGCGGUAACUAGGCAUUGCUAGAACCGAUGGGUAACAUUUCUAUGGUUCUACACUUAGUUUCUAAGUGUGAUUGCUCACCUCUAAUUUUCAAAACACUUAAUUUCUAAGCACAUACAAUGUUCACCUAGAAAAAAAUGAAAAUUGUUGUAGUUAAGAUCAAAACUAAAUAGUUAUGAAAUAAGACAUAAGAGAUUUGAUUUUAACAACCUUCCCGUUGUACUUGGGAUCCACUCUGGCUUUGUGCUGGAAAAUUGGUUUGGAGCUGAUCGUAAGCUUUCGGUUGCUCUUCUGUAACCUUUAGAUACUCUUCAAAGCUAUAAGCUUUGCUUCCUGACGAAUAAUCUUCUACUAUUACAAUACAUAAGAAAAUUCUAUUUCAUAAACCCUGUAUCAUAAUUGAGGCUGAUAGAAUGAUUAUUCUAUAACCCUACUAUAGUUUCAUUCUUAACAUUCAUAGACACGAUGCAUGGCAGCUAUCCAAUUCUAUUUCAUGUUCUCGAGAAUGGCUCGGUUUAACAAUAAUGUUAAUUUUUGUUUUCUAUUUUAAAAUAAUAACGCUGCUUACUAAUAACUAAAUGUUUUAAGCCAUUUACAAAUUAGAUUUCAAUAAAUCGAUAAUCAUAUUUUUUUACAAUAUAGGACUAAAAAAGAUAACUAAUUUAUAUAUAUAUAUAAUAUAUAUACAUAUACAACAGUAUUUAGUUAAAUUACAAAAAAAAAUUCUUUUGAAUUUUGUAGUUUGUGUAAAAAAAUAACCUUAAACUUUGAAAUGUUAAAAAAAAUUGUUUUGAACUUUUAAAAAUUAUUCAUAAAUACAUCUAUAUACGUAGGAUGAAGGUAUUGGCAUGCUUCUCUAAAAAAACUUUCCAAAAAGAUGUUGUGUGACUUUUGAAAAGAAAAAUUACAAAUGGGGUCGUUUUUAAACAAAUUAGAUAUAUCGAGUUAUAUUUAUUUAAUUUUUUUCCUUUUUUCACAUAUUAUCAAUCACAUCUUACUUUUUUCUUUUUUCUUUGGAACCCUGCAAAAAUAACAAAAACAUUUAUAAUCACAUGACUCAUGUCACUACAUUUUCUAAAUUUUAAAAGUAGUAAAUUUAAAAGUUGAUAACCCUAUGAUUAUCGUUUGAUAGUCAUCUAAUAUCACUAAUUUUGUCAUAUUCGUAAUAUCCAAAUAAGGUUUCUUGGUGAGUCUAGAGUCAAACGUGAGGACUUAUACUAAAAAUAUAUUUAUAUUUUGAAAUUAUCUUAAGGUGAUUAAUAACAUACGCCUAAGAACAAUAGCGGUAUCAUCCACUUGUAAGGGGGGAGGGGAGUCAUCCACUAUAGAUAAGGUCCACUUGUCUCCCUCACCCAACUUCAUAAGGCUGCCAAAAGAGUUAGGCAUAAUCACAUCCACACGUUUACCCUUCUCUCGAACAUAAACCAACUCUCUUUUCUUCCUAAUAACGAGUAAUUUCAUCUCGAUUACCUACCUCCUUUUCCUUAAUAUGCCUAAUGGGGGAGCUAUUAGUCUUACUUUCCUCCAACUAUUUAAAGUCUAACACCACAUCCACAAGACACAAUUGUCCAUUCCUCCUCUUUGUUUGAAACCACCUUGCUCACAUCCUUCUCUCGAUGAACUUUGUUUUCCACAAUCUUAGGACACUUACCACUAGAAUGCCCAAAAGACCGGCACAAAUUACACCUUCGAGGCUUCCACUCAUAAUUCACAGUCAUAACGAAAUCCUCUCCCCUAAGGUGAAUUGUAAAUUCAGCAAGCAUAGGAGAGUCCACAUUUGAUUCAACACAUCUCAAGCAUGUGACAACCUUCGUCUUUCCUUAGUAGCUAGAUCUAAAGAUAGAGGUUUUCCUAUAGCACUAGCCACAACAGUCAAUCUGACAUCUAUCCAUAACUCCAUUGGAAUCCUACCUAGUUUAAUCCAUAUAGGAACAUAAUAAAAAACAAAGGAUUUAGGGACAAUACCUGGAGUCCAUUUACAGAGGAGCAUACUUUUGCCAGCAAGAUGUCGCGAUCAACGAGGUAGGAUCCAUUCAACAAGUUUUGGGCAUCUGAAUUGGAAACAUAUGAGUCCGUUCUCAAGAAUUGUAAUCGUUGGCAUUUUAAUUUUAUCAACAAUAACAACGAGCUAAACAAAUCCUCUAUCCAGGACGCACUAAUGAAAACUAAAAUGUAAAAUAAGUACGAAGUAAUUAAUUAAAACAGAAGACAAAAGAAACCCAAAGUAAGUUGACAAAAUGCCCACAAUAAGCUUCAAGAUGAGUGAGAGGGAACACCAAGAGAAACAUGAAUAGCCUUGCUAACUUUUCACUACUAGCUAACUACAUAUAUUUUUACAAUACGUGUUAGGGAAAUCUUUCCCUUUGCAAAACAGACCAAUAUAUAAUCAAUCAUUGGCUCCUUAUGGGAAAAUACAGAAGCCCUAUACAUGUCUGUUUCAAGCUUGUGUUGAACAACUUUUAAUUCCCUAAGAUAAGGAGAUUUAUCUGAAGGUUCGAGAAUAAUGGCAUGUCCUAAACUAACCCACCAUUUCGCAACAGUGAACCAGUUUGAUCGUUAGGGGACAACUUUUGAUAAUAAGCGCACAACCAUGCCCCAAUUCCAAUGUUGCCCAAAAGUAAAGGCCUUUCUUCACAAUGCUCCAUAAAAAAAAAGUUUGACUUUCACAUAAAGAUCUUAUUUCUUUUUUAUUGCUCCAAGAGAUCUAAUAGAUCUAUUUUCACCACGCAAAUCCCUUUUGUUAUCAUGGAAAAUGUGUUGGUUGUGCUCAAACCAAAUCUCUGCUUGCAACACUUUUAUCAAAUUAACCCAUGUUUUUUUUUAAAAAAAAAGAGGAUAUGAGUCUCACUAUUAUUAAUAUUGAAAAAUGAAGAGACAAAGCUCAAUGUCAUGAGGAUUAUACAAAGAGCAAUAGGAUGGAGGAUCAAUAGACGCACCUGGACAUCUCAACUAGGUUGACACCCCCUUAGCACCCUCAUCACAUCCAAAAAGCGACAACACAAGAUCAAAACCAAAAGCCACAAAUAGAAGGCUUUUUUUGUGUUUGUUUUGCCUUUGGACAUUACUCCUUUGUUAUGGGUUUUAGCUUGGUUGGAUAUGAUGAGGGUGCUAUGGGGGUGUCAACCUAGUUGAGAUGCCAAGGUGCACCCCCUGAUCCAUGGUUACAUGUUCAUUGUAUAACUCUCUUGUACUAUGAGCUUUUGUCUAAUUAUUAUUAUUAUUUUAAUAUUAAUAAAGAGGUUGUCUCCUUUUCAAAAAAAAAAAAAAAACAAAAAACAAAACAAAACAAAAGCCACAAAUAUAAAACCAAGCAAAACGAUAAAAUAAUAUGUCCAAAACAAAAUCAUAAAUCAUAGGUAGCAGGUCGAGAACAAAGAAGAAUAAGCCUUGAUUGAGCAAAAAAUCCCAACAAAUAUUGAAUGUUUGGAGAAGACGGAACCAACAUUUCGAUACAAAGACAUAGUCAAUUCAAAGGUGCUAAAUAUUUUUCAUGUUAUCAACACAAAUGGGGCAGACAUGAGGUGAGAGGACAUGGGAGGGAAGUUUUCUUUGAAGUACUAAAGCACAGUUUAAUUUUCCAAACAACGUAAUCCAUAUGGGGAUAUUUAUCCAAAGAGUGAGCUAAAUAGCCCAAUGAGUGAUUGUUUUAUAAAACAUCGUUUUGAAAUAAUAAGUAUUUAACAAUUAACUCUUAACAUAAAUGAAAUCAAACUCAAACAACUUAUCUCAAACUUUCCCUUUCAGUUGCUAUACCUAGAAUCGUCGAGACGAAAAACAAUAAACUAGGCAUAGAAGCCCUAUCCCGUGAUACGAUACUUACGAGAUGAAACUCUAGGCAUCAAUUGUGCCCUAUCUCGUUAUAACUACAAUGAGAUGGAAAACUAGGCAUUCGUACAGGCUCUCAUCCCUUGAGAUGGGAAACUAAGCAUCUUUAGAAGUCUUCAUCUCUUAUCUAAUACCAAUGAUGGAAAGCUAGGUAUUUACUGAAUAUCCAAAUCAAAUGACCUCUAUGCACAAGAAAAUAUUUCCCGAAGGGUUGCUAUAUAUCUUAGAAUAUUUUAGGUAUAGACUAAAACAUGCUAAUAUUAUUUUCAAGCUUAAACAUUUUGAAAACUUAGCACAAUCAUGAUUGCUUAUAAUUUUCAUUAGUAAAUUCAUCAAUAAAAACAUGUUUACCAAAAUGUUUCUAAAUUCAUGCUUUGGAAAUACUUUAUAAGUCAGUAUUCUCAAAUAUUCAAACAUCAAAGCAUGCUUGAAACAUUUGAUAGUAAAUUCAUGUUUAGAAAUCAACUUUAAACUCAUUUUUGUCAUUUAUAGAGAGUAGCUUGGACCCUUGGCUUAUAAACUUGUUCGAUCUCCUUCAGAUCUAAAAUAAUGAAAAAUAAUGGGAAAUAAUUCCAUUUAAUUCCCGUUGAUCAUAAAAAUAUCAAAACUUUGCUUAAAAUUUCCAAAAACCACAAAAACAGCCCAAAGACAUUAGCUUGCGUACAAAAUAUUGUGGCAGAAGUUGGCAGGUGCGCGUAGGGCUUGCCUUGCCAUGUCUCGUUCUAACCUCAUGUGCAGCGUGUCACAAUCACAACUUUUCAAACACGGAACAGACUAUUGUGCGACACUUGUUGUAACUCGAUGAACACGUCAGUUGUAUGAAAUUCGAUACGAUGUAGCCUCCCUAUAGGUUUUAAGAGAAAUUGGUUUUAUUAAACAUGAGAGAGAAAGGAAAGCAUUGGAAACAUCGUUAAAAAAAACUUUGAAGACUGUCCAUUGCAAAGAGAGCUUAAAUUGCAAAGAGUACCAUUAGUGUCGUUUUUAAGAAAAUUGUUUUCUUCUAGAUAUUAUAACUCUCUUUCCUUCUAGGAAUAGAAAAUGAAGUAGAAGAGAAUCAUGAGAUUCUAUUAAUUUAUAAAUAAUUAAAUUAAUAUAUAUUUCAAAUCUACUGAUUAAUUAAACAUUAAUCAAUUAGUUAAUAAUUAAUGAAAUCGAAUUUAAUUAAAUAAUAUUAAACUAAACUAUUAAUUAAUUCUCCAAUUAACUAAUAACACUAAAUUAUUUAUCUUAUAUUUAACUUAAAUUAAAUUUGAAUCAUAUUCAAAUAUAAGUUUCUCUCAAUAAUUUUAAUAUGAAUCCAAUUCACAUUAAAUUAAUAUUUGAACUCAUUCAAAUAUUUUAUCUCUCAUAAAUUAAUUUUGAAUCAUCCCCAAAGUUAAAUUUAUAUAGUAAAGUUUGAUAAACUUUAUAUUAUAAUGUAUCACUAUACAUUAUACUAAUUCCCAAGUUAAAUUUAAACAUUUUAAAUUACAACCAAUACAAAUAAAUCUCAUUACCCUUUACGAGCUAGGAAAGGGACCUAAUGGACCUACAGAUCAGAAGCUACAACGAUCUAAGAUUAAUUGGCUAAACUCAUUAAUCAAUAUUUGUUAGCUUUGUGUACACUCCACUAAAGACUCACAACUGAACUCUUCUCACUAAAAAUAUAUUUAUGUGUCCAUGGAUAUAGACCAAUAAUAGUAAGUUAGUCCUUCACGAGUGUUUGUAACACCAGUUGGACCAAUUUACCGCUUUACCCCUAUGUUACCUCUAAUCCUUAAAAACCAGUGCUCCUCUAAUGAACAACUUGUUUAUGGUCCUACUAAUAAACAAAAACCCAUCUCAUGUCAUAGAGAGGGUACGAGCCCUUUGUUCAAGUUUUGGAGACACCAUUUAAGCUAACAUUCAUCUACUUACCCUAAAGUAGGAAAUGAGUGAAUUCCAUUUUGUGCAAUUAUAAUCCCAACUCCCCACUCAGUCUUGUCCCCAAAAUCACUACUACAAAAACAGGCUCUCUUGACGGUUGUAGUUUUCCUUUCUUGACGUUUUUUCCCAAAAACGUCAAGAAAGAUGUGAUUUCAAAUAAAAAAACGUCAAGAAUUUUUAUGAAAGGCCAAUUUUCAACUUUCUUGACGUUUAUUAAACGUCAAGUAAGAUGUACUUUUUCUUGACGUUUUUUAAACAUCAAGAAAUAUCUAAUAAUUUUUUGACGUUUUAAAAACGUCAAGAAAUUUAUAAAAAAAUUCUUGACGUUUUUAAAACGUCAAGAUAAUUCUAAAAAAUCAUUGAUGUUUUUAAAAACUUCAAGAAAUUUUAAUUUGUUUUUGAUGUUUUAAAAACGUCAAGAAAUUUCCAAAAAAAUUAUUGUGUUAAUUUUCUUUUACAAAACGCAACGUUUCAAUUAGAUCACUUCCCCUUUUCUUAAUUAAACCUAAUUCGCCGCGACUUUGUCCCUUCUCCACCCGAAAUCAAAAGCGUCGUUCACCUAACCUUCCCUUCGCGUUCAUCUGUGCAUUCAUCUGCGUUCAUCGCCGAAAAAGACUUCCCUUCGCGUUCAUCAGCGUUCACCUUCAUUCAUUUGCCUUCAUCGUCCGUCACCGUUCGUCUGCUUUGCGUUCCCUUCACCUUCGUUGAUUUGCGUCCGUCUGUUCACCGUUUGAAAUGUGUAAACACAUUCUCUAUUCGAAAACGAGUAAACACGUUCACCGUCCUUCUGUCGCAUUCCACUUUCGCUAAACCUCUAUUCGUUUCCAAAUCCUUCAUGGUUACUCAUUCAUUUUCUUCCCUUUCUAAAGGUAAUAAUUUUCCUUUUUUCCUUUGUGAUUAAAAUUUGUAAUUUGGAAUUUAAAAUUGGAAUGCAAAAUUAAAGAAGAGGAAAUAUGCCUUAGAGAAUGGAAGAAAGGUUUUGCAUUUUAGGCUUGAAAAGGGGGGAUACAAGUUAUUAUAAUUGUAAUAUAUAAUAUUUUGAACAAGGCUACCAAGCGUGCGAAUAUGAUUCAUUGGUUAGUUUAGGGAUUGGAAAGAGAAGGAUUGUGGAGUUUGUGAUAAUAUUUUGGUACACUGGAGCUGGAAACAGAGAAUAUUAAAAAACACAUACUGUUAUACACAAUAUUAUAAUAAUACGAAUCACUAGAUUUUCUUCUUCGUUUUCUUUUUCUUCUCCUUGAAUUUUUGUUAUGGGUAUUGUAUUGAGUUUUGUGUUUUAGAUUGUGAAGUAUGGGGUAGCUAAACUCUUAAUCCUAGGGAUAGAUGUAGACAAAGUUUAUGAAUUAUUCUUUGUAAUGCAUCUGAUUAUCUGCUCUUAAUCUUUUCAUGUUUUUAUGUGAAUAAUGUUCAUAAUAUCUUAAUCACAGAUUAAUUGUUGAUUGGCCAUGAACCUUAAUCUUUGCAUGACUAGAGUGGUUAUGAACUUGGAAAGAGCUAAUUAAGGAUCCUUGAGGAGGUUGUUGAAAGAAGUGGACCUAAAAACUUUUGUUUGUUAAUAAAAAGAAAAAUGAACAGAGAUUCAUCUUCGUGAGGGGUCUUGAUGUUUAAUUUAAUUUAAAUUGUGUAUGAAUUUUUAAUUACGAGCAUUUUAAUAUGUUGCGUUUUAAUCCUAGGGAUAGAUGUAGACAAAGAGCACUAUAGCCAAGGUAUAGAGUGAGGGAGAUAAGGUUUAUAUGUCUUAGAGAAUGGAAAGAUGGAAUUUGUGCUAAAAUCAUUAGUGUUCCAAAUACAAUUAUGAAUUGGGUAUAGUUGCAUUCCCCCUUCUGGAUUGCAUAGCACAUAAAUAUACUCUCAUGGAUUGCAUAGCACAUAAAUAUACUAUCAAAAACAAUAACAUAAAACACAAACUUGAUUUAGUUUCAUUCACACUUGUACACCAACAUGUUUCAAUUAAUGAUCAUAUAUUAAAAAUCAUUUUCAAAUUUGGUAAUAUAAAAUGGAAGAAGUGAGACCUUGAGGUUUUAACCACCAAUACUAUCUAACUGAUGAGUUUAUGAUUUUUGUUUCUAUUGUGUUUUUCCUUAAGCUUUAACUUGCUUUAGGGGCAAGAUGGUGAAGGUCUAGUCCACAACCUUUCCCAAGAAUUUAAUGAUGUUUGGGUUGACCCAAUUAUUGUUAUUGGACACCGUUUUAUGGUAAUUGGUUGUUAUGGUUUUUAAGUGUGUUUUGAUAUCUUGUGUUAAAAAGUAAUUGCAAAAAGUCAGAAAAGUUUGUUAAAGAUUAAGUGUUUUUAAGUUUGUCAUUCCACUUUAAUUCUCACCAGUACUUGCUGAAUGGAAGCCUCUUGUCUAAGACAAUUCGAGUGGAAUAACUCUCGUGACUACCACAACAUUUGGGAACUCACCAAAUGUAAGACUAUUCCUUUAUCCUAGCAUUUGAUCUCUCUCUAUAAUUUGGUUUGCUAUCGUAAGUUUGAUUAAAAUAAAUGCUGAUAAUUCAACUCCAAUGUUCUUAUUUUCUUAACUCUCAUUCAGUCAGUUAGAAUCAGAACUCAUUUAUUUAUCUUGUCUCCAUAAUUUGGAUUCAAAGAUUCAUCACAAUAAUCUUCUCAACAACAUUCUUGAAAAGGUAUUGAAUUUUCAACUGUGUGACCUUUAUACACAAAUUUCUUCAAAGAAAUUUACAUUCUUUAGAGUUUAGAGCUUUGAAUUCUAGUACAACUUAUGAAGCUUUUGAUACUUGUUAGACUUUUUUGCUUGGUGCGGAUAAAACCUUAUUUACAUUCUUUCUUUCCUGCAUGUUCUCUUUUGAUAUUUGUUAGACUUUUUUGCUUGGUUGUCCUUAGUGUUUUCCUCUUUAGCUGAAAUUUCUCUAUCUUGAAAAAAAUAGAGCUUUAAAAUUCAACUUCAACUUUAUUUGAUACUAUCUUAGUCCAUACUUAUUUUGGUAUUUCUUUCCUUUCUCACAAACACAUCUAAGAGGUUGCCUUCACAAUAUGGCCAAAUUAACAAUAUGGCAACCUUUUUCAUUGCAAAACAUAUUAGAGGUUGGUUACUUAGUUAGCCUUAUUGGGUAAAUAAUUGACAUUUAGGUACUUUUUAGUUUGUAUAUUUAUAGAUGCCAAAUCGAUAUGUGAAUUUUAAUUGUUGCUUAUUUGAAACAUUGCAACCAUUUGAUAAAAUGUUGCUAUGUGAAUCCAUCUUAACUUGAUAUAUUAUUUUAUUUUGGUUUAGGUUGUGGAAUCCAAGUUUGUAUUUGAAGUCAAAUUCAUCCAAGAUCAUUGAGUUUCAAAGCUUCUUUAAUUAAGAUUUUGUUUCUUGAACUAGAAUUGUAGUCUUGUGAUUUUUGGAAUAGCAUAGUUGGAUUGGUUUUGUAAUUUUGGGAUUAUCAUAUUAGGUUGGGGUUGACUGAAGUAGUGUUUUGUAUAUGACAAUAUCGAACAAACAUGUAAAGUUUUCGAAAUGUUCAUACAUAUAUGAUUAAAUGUUAAUAUAUGUUAAAGUUUUGGAAUUGUAUUCGUGCAUAUUUAUGAGAUUGUUGGGCCACACUACAAGAAUUAUAGAGACAAUACAGGAACAAAAAUAUAAAUAAAUUAUAAUUUAGAAAAAAAAUGAAACAAGCUUCAUGUUUUUUAAAUGUCAUAAACAAAUACAUUCUUGACGGUUUUUCAAUGUCAUUAACAAGUAAAUUCUUGACGUUUUUUAAACGUCAUAAACAAUUGUGUUCUUGACCGUUUUUAAAUGUCAUAAAUUACAUUCUUGAUAGUUUUUAAAUGUCAUGAAUACUCAUUCACUUGACGAUUUUUAACUGUCAUGAAUAUUUGUAUACUUGACGUUUAUAAACUGUUAAGAAUCGCUAUUCUUGACGUUUUAUUAACCGUCAAGAACUUUGACUUUCUUGACGCUGGCUUCAACGACGGUUUUAAAACCGUCAAGAAUAGUGAUUCUUGACAGUUUAAAAACGUCAAGAGAGUCUAUUUUUGUAGUAGUGAAUGAUAAGCUUAUUGAGUCGGCGAUCUAGCCACUCUCACUCGUACAAAUCAAAGGACAAUCUCUCGCGAACAAGAGUUCAUAAUACACUCAAGAUUAAGACUAAGUUAUCUAGGUCAUCCUAGUGAAAUAGAAACCUAACUAGUUAAUGUAGUAACACCAAGUGGUUACUAUUUCACGGUCUGGUCUAUUGCAAUCUCAUUGCAUAGGAUACCUUCACUCGCAUGUCAACUACAUGAACACAUUGGAUCAUUGUAUUUGUAUCAAAUACAAGGUGAGUCGUAUUCAUAAUGUUACCAGGAUAAAGGUACCCAGUCUUAUCCCUAUACUAUAGACCCUUUAAGCUGAUCUCGAACAUUGAUCCUUGUAUGUCUCUACAUAAUAUUCAAUACUUAUUAAACAGUUUAGGAUGUUAGUUUAUUGGAUUUGAGUUAUUAAGACAAAACUAAUAAUAUAAUCAAUAACAAUUAUUACAAUAAUAACACUUUAUUAACAAUGGUCAAUGGAUUAUAUUUACAAUCUACGAGUUUUAGGACAUAAAUUCCAACAAACUCCCACUUGGACUAAAACUCUAGUCUCUUUGGGAUGUUCAUAAUAAAGUAAUCCUCUAACAUUGAAAAUGGUAAAAUGUACAAGUGUAUUACAUAGAAUGUGUAUAUACAAAUACAAUAAACUAGGGCAUCCUCAUACCCAUUACACAUCUGCCACUUUUCCUAGAUUACCUAAUGUACAUAACUCGCAGAUCUAGACUUUCUAGAAGACCCUUGAACACUUUAGCCAUGAGAGUCUUUGUAAAUGGAUUAGUAAUAUGCCCCACUAUUAUCACAAUAUAGAGUGAUGGGGUAUGUUCAUGUUUGGAACAACUUCCAAAUUAUGCAAGAACUUCCUCAGCAAAACUGCUUCUUUUGCUGCUUCACAAGUAUCAAUAUACUCAACUUUCAUAAUAGAGUGUGUAAUGACGCGUGGCUCAGGCUGCUUGAUCAUGCUAGGACAUGCUUUCUGCAUGUCCGAAGCCUAAAUAACCUUCUUUCGCUCAAAACACACGCUCAUCUCACCUUGUCAUCCUGGCAAUCAACCACCCUUGGCCUUGCUAGAAAUAUGAUUUUUCUACCAGAAACUUAACUCGACUUUGAAGCUUAAAUCAAUAAGAUUCCUUCUACAAACUUACUUAGAAUGUCUUCACUAGCUUACCACAAAGUGUCACUAACAAAUUCCAAGUAUUGAGUUAUGUAGCUCCAAAAUACUCUAACAUUGUUUAGGUUUUUUUUUUUUUUUUUUUUUUUUUUUUCUGAAAAUGACCUUUGAGUCUUUCUUCACUUCAAUGCCUUUCUUCCUGGUAGCCUUUCUCCUGAUACUACACUCAAUUUAGGAGAUUUUCGAAGUAGAGUUACCCAAUUAACACAAGUUGAUUGUUAACAUAAUUCGUCCAAAGUUGUACAUAUAGUGAUCCUUGCAUGCUCUUUGGUUGACACUUUUAUUAUCACCUCUUACGCCUAUACUUGCCACUUUCCACCUCAUGCAAGACACUUAUUUGGCAAAACUUAGGUAUCUUGUAUGUUGUCCACUUGUACUCUACCGCACAUCUUACCUCAUAUUGCUUAAGUCAUCCUUGGACGCAUAUCCCUUUUUCUAUAAGGGUUCUUUAGUAAAUUCUUACUGCCAAGAAUGCCUAAGACUUUUUUUUUCUCGCCUAAUCUCCCAAACAUCCCUCAAUGCCUUCAACAAACCAUGCCAUCUUGACUAGCAUUUUGUUGAAUUGCCCCAUUGGCCGCAUGGCCUAUGUCCACAUAGCCCACCUCUUUGUUGCAUGACAUUCCUUAUCCACGUUCUAACUUCUUUAGAGUUUCUUGACAUUUCCUAGAUGCUUAGCUUCCUUGCCUUAGCGCAUACCCUUGGUCAUAUAGCCUUGUCUUAUAGAGGUUGUCUUGACACCUUUCGGCCCAUACCACAUCUCAACCUUUGGCCACCCAACAUGUCUCUUUAAAGGUUCGCUUGACACUUUUGGCCGCCUAGAGUAUGCAACAUGCCCUAGCUAACACUUAGCCAAUUUUCGAACACCCUUUAGGCCUUUCUUUGUUACGAUGACACUUUUCUUUUGUCAUCUUAAAAAUAUUAACACAUCUUCCAUAACACUUCAACUAAACUAUCCAAUCUUAAACCAUCUUUCUCCUAACAUCAACCCCUAAUGUCCUAUUGAGUUCUUUAGAUGAAUUAAGGAUUAUUGGGUAUCAGGGUUUACAUGCGAGAUGUAAGUCUUCCUCUUUGGAAUUACGUAUAGUAGUGUGCGGAGGGAGAGGAAUGUGAUGCAGUUCUUCCUCCUCAACCCUAAGGAAUUCGUCUUCGCUAACAAUGCCCUUUUUAUCGGGUAAGGGCUUGCUCGGUCAGGUCGUGAGGUGAAGGAUGUUGUUAUAAUGAUGAGGUAUUUGGUGGUGAGAGGAUAAUAUUAAAGGUUUUGAGGUGUCUUCUUCUUCUCUCGCCAUUCUUCAUCUUAUUAAGCUUCUUCUUCUCUUUAUUCUUUAUCUUUAUUAAAGGUUUUAAGGUGUCUCUGUUCUUCUUUAUUUUGAUGGAGUGUUAUGGUUUGGUUGAGAUUCGCCUGAGAACAUGCAUAAGGGGUGAUUGGAGAAAAGCUAAAAGCUUAGGAACCGUCAGAGGAAGGGCAGAUCAUUAAUUGUAUGUUACGCCUUCCUCUGACGUGGUGGCAGCAACGUUGAGAAUAGAUUUAGGGAUUCCCGACGUAUUAUUAAUCGCGUGGGAAUAUGUUUAGGGAUUUCUGACGUUUAACAAAUUAGGUCAAGAAUAGGGUGCUAUUCUCGACGUUUUCGUUGUGCGUCAGGAGUUCUCUGUCUUUUUUAACUCCAUUCUUUACAUAAAAAAAACAUAAAGAGAAAGAAAAUGAGAGAGAGAGAGGGAGACCGAGAGGAAGAUUGAGAAGAAGAGGGCAUUGUCAUCUCCAUUGCCGUCCUCUGUUGUCGUCCUGUCGUCGUCGCCAUCUGUAAGUGGUUUAGUUUAGAUAUUGUUUUGUUUUAGUUAAUUAGUUUUAGUAUUUAGAUUUCAAAUUUGUUUUAGGUGUUAGAUUUUAGAUUUCAAAUUAGUUUUAGUAUUUAGAUUUUGAAUUAGUUGUAAGUUUUAGUAUUGAAAUUUAAUUUCAAGUGUUGUUAGAAUUUUAAAUUAGUUGUAGGUUUUAGAAAUUUGAAUUUGAAGUGUUGAAGUUGAGAUUGAAGUGUUAAAGUUGAGGUUGAAGUGUUGAAGUUGAGUUUGAAUUUAAAAUUUUCAAUUUGAAUUUAGGAAUUAAUUGAAGUUAUUUUUUUUUAAAAAAAUAGAGGAUCUCCCGACGCAUGGUUCCUAGACAUCUCUCGAUGCUAUAUUGACAACAUCUUUGACGUUCAUACAACGUCGGAAGAUGUCUAGAAACUCUCGACGCACAACAUUGUGCAUCGGGAGAGGAACUCCCGAUACAUUUUUCCUGACUUGUGUUCCGACAUAUAUUAGUGCGUCAGAAAAGCCUUUUCUGACGCUUUUUAUAUAUCUCCCAAUGAUUUUAUGCAUCGAGAGAGCCCUCAUUUCUUGUAGUGUUAGACAAAGAGCUUCAAUGUGGUAGAGGGGAAAGGCAUGACACCUUUAGGUUUCAUCAAAGAGAGGAUUGAGGUUCUGAUUACGGCGCUAAGGUUAACUGCGCCAUCUUCUUCUUAAUGCAAUAAAUCAUCAUUGUGCACUCUAGUGGGAUGGUGUUGUUGUCAACCAGGCAGGCGGUUUCGUUUUCAAGUCUUAGUUCUUAAUUCUUAACAACCUUUGAGUAUUGAUGCUCUACCCCAACCCUCAUCCAAAACGAUAACUAACACAAUGGUUUGGAAGUUUUUGUGAAAUAUCAUCUAUACUUUUUCUUUAAUGGUCGAUGAAAAAAAAAGUCAGGAAAAUGGUAUUUCUAACCAUUUUAAGUGUUACCAAAAUAUCACAUUUGGUGUAGUAUGGUAUUGUUUUGAAUAUUUUUGUAAAAUAGUGGAUCAAGAAGUUUUACUAAGAUAAAGUUUCAUGUUGGACAAGAGGAUAGUGGAUGGGAAUUAAGUUGAAUGGUCCACUUUUUUUUUAAAUCCUUUAAGGUUUUAUGAAAACCUUUCACAAUACCUUUUCAUAAUCAUUUUGUAAAAAUAAUAUCAAAUCAUUUAAAUAUACCAAAAAAUUAUUUCAUUUCAAAUAAACCUUUCUAUGCUUAAAAAAUCAUUUCAUUUUGUCAAGGAUCCCGAAUCGUUCUCUACGCUUGGUCUCAUUACCUCGCGUUUAGACUACUGUAUCAACAGCAUCUGAGAACAUACAAAUUCGUCUUUGUUGCUCAUACCGCUAAGCUUUAUACGCUCAUUUCAAUGCAUAAGUCAGCUUCUUAUUACCAUGUAGUUCGUACACUCCAUAGUGGCCUUCACUCUUUAUGUGCACACAAAAGUUAGCAUCAUCUCAAAGAAACAUAAUAUUGAAAUCAUAGUCAUCAAAUCAAGCUUUAACAUUAUAAAUAAUGCUUGAAAACAUAACUUUUCAUAGAAAUCUUUCUGAAACAUUCUCAUCUGAAUUCUUCUUUCGAAUCAGUAAAGAGAAAUCGUAAUAAAGUUUCUUAACAUAAAUUCUUUUGACUGAAAAGCACUCACCAAACUUUACUAAAGAAGUCCUUCUCACAACCAUCUUUUCGUGUGGCUAAACCAACAACACUUUAGCAUUUCAACAAAACUCUCAUCAUCCCCUCCUUAGUUACCUAAAUUCUCCUAUUUUAUAGAUCCCUUAUACUAACUUAGUCAUGCAAAUCCUUAAUAUUUAACCUAGUCAUGCUCAAAUCCUUAAUCUUACAUGUUAACCCAUGUCAAAUAAGAUUUGACAUUUUCUUUACAAACCUUGCUCCCCACCUACCCAAACCGUGAAUAAAUUCAACCACUUAACAUUUCUCGUGAAUAACCUUAUCGCUUGAUUAUAUUUUUAUUAUAAGAAACGUUCCACAUGAACUAACCAACUUUUACUCGCAUAAAACUCUUAUCACGAACUUAAACUCCAAGGCUUCCUUGUAGACUUCUUCUCCACGAAAUGCUUGAUUCUUCUCGGGAAGACCACCCAAAACUCCUAGUCUAACACUCAAAACUUUCAUUUCUUAACUUACGCAAAGACUUUUUCGCUUCUUAUCGCACAACUUCUUUCGCGAACUACACACUUAUCGCAAAAAAGUAUACUUAACCGUAAAAGAUCUUAUCACUUAAUCUUUCCAUGGAUUUAUUUGAACACCAACUUAUUAAUUCUUAGCCGAAUUUUACUUCCUUACUCAAAUUAGAAAUGGGUCGCACAACUUCCUUCGCAAACUACCCACUGAAUCGCAAUAACGUAUACUUAACCAUAAAUUUUUUUAUCGCUUAAUCCUUUUCGUGGAUUUAUUCAAACGCCAAAUUCUUAAUACCUAGCCAAAUUUACUUCAUUACUUAAAUUAGAAAUGGGUCUCACAUUUAGAGCCUAUCGCUUCUUUAAGAUACAUGAUCUUACUGAUUCAGAGAAAUUAACCACAGGCGUUAUUAGUUUUGAUGAUCUGGCAUUGGAUUGGUACCAAGCACAAGAAGAGUUGGAAGUUUUUAAGAAUUGGGCUGACCUGAAAGAACGAAUGCUUGUACAGUUUCGAUCAAUUCGAGAACGAACUUUGGUUGGAAGAUUUUUCUCAAUCAAACAGAAAAUGAAUGUAGAAGACUACCGCAACCGAUUUGAUCGAUAUUUAGCUCUAGUAGCAUUUCUUCAAACGGUAGUGUUAGAGGAGACUUUGAUGAUUGGGCUUAGCCCAUGAAUAAAAAUGGAAGUGGAAAUUGUGGGUUGAGCAGUGCAUUUCAUUGGGUUGGCCCAGAUGAUGAAAUUUGCGUUGAAGAUUGAGAAUAAGGAACUAGUGAGAAAAGAGUGUGGGUUGAGCAGUGCAUUUCAUGUAAAACUGUAACUCACCCUAUCUAUUGUGGAAAACAACAAUACAAUGAUGACUAAGGAAGAAACCAACAAUGGAAAGUCUACUGAUGAGAGCUAUCACCCUGAAGGGAGUUACUGAUAGAACUAAGACAUGCACAACAGAAAAAGAAUCGAAAUUCUACCCUAAUUGGGCUUAAUUAACGAGACUAAACCAAAAAAAUAAGGUUUUUAGAAUACUUACAUUUGAAGCUGCGUUUUAUUCGAACAACCACUAAGUUUGACUUAGUAUCCUCUAGACUCAUAAUCGAGUUGUGGGACCCGUUGGAUGAAAGAAUCGGACGAGAGAAAUAGAUGAAAAAAAUGGGCGUGGUAAAUUUUCUUUUUUUUUUUUAAGUAAAUAAGAAAAAGAAAUUCCAUUUGGUGUGAAAGCCCAAAUUUAAUAGGAAAAUGAAAGGGAAUUCCUUGGAAAGUUGGUUUGUGUGUCAUUAAAAGUCAAGGUGGAAAACAAAGUACAACAUAUGGCUAAAUGUGAGAGUAGGCGUGCAAGUAUAAUAAAUACCUACCAAGAUGUUUAUUAAUAACAUGUGUUUGAUACAUAAUUACAACACUUUGACCAAACAACCAAUGCUUAACUAUUUUCAAAACGUCUGGUCAUCUCGCUGCAAAUCCUUCAACCUUCUUCUCUACUUGGCCUAAACACCUCAUCUUGGAAGAUGAAUUUUUGAAAGAAUGUCUAAAAGACUAAGGUUUUAUGAAAUCCUUUUCGCAAUACCUUUUCAUAAACAUCAUUUCGCAUAAACAACAUCAAAUAAUUUUAUCUCGCAUAAACCUUUCUUUAUCCUUAACAUACUCAUAACAUAACAAUUUCACAUAAACACACAUUAGUUAACAUUCAUUCCUUUCACCAAUGAUUUUGAAUCGUUCUCUACACUUUGAUGUAGAACAUCUCCCUUCUUGAUGUUUCUUGAGUUUUAUCCUAGAGGAGUGGUUUGAAUUACCAUUUUUAUAGUUUAGGAUUAGUUAUUUGAAUUACCAAUUUUGUAUCUUGAGUUAGUUAUAACUAACUCAACUCCAAGUUAAACUAACUCAACCCCAAGUUAGUUUAACAACUCUCGUAAUCUCCAGCCUAUAAAAAAGCUUCUCAUUUUCAUUAAUAAGACAUAAAAAAAAAAAGAGGCAUUAUACAUAAAGAUUUCUAGCUUUGCAAUUACUGCAUCAAUUGGUAUCAGAGUGUGAUCCUAGCUCACUCUUCCCUAAAAAAACUUGGAUCCUACCACUCUUAUCCAUGGACGCAUAAGCCUCAUUCAACCAAGGCUUGCAGUUGGUAGAACAAGCUAUUGAAGAACUUCGAAAAGGGCAGUCGGAUAUACAGCAAUCGUUAGUAGAAUUAACAAACCUUUUUACCCGAUUUCAUGUCCAACCUUUAGAAGAAGCAAUUCAUCCCCCAAGAAACCUAAUUGCAGCAAACCAAGAAAGACAAGAAAGACCAAGAAACCCAAUUGCAGCAAACCAAGAAAGACAAGAAAGACCAAUAAACCCUGUUGUAAACCAAGAACUACUAAGAAAUCAACCUAUUCACAUCCACAAUAAUCGAUUGUAUGGAAACAACGUACUUGGAAAUUUCUUAAACGAUUCUGACUCUUUCGAUGAAGACAACUUGCUGAACAUUCAUCAAGAACCUCAACAAAGGUUUGGACUUCGACCAUACUUUCAAGAAGAUCAAGAAAUACGUAUGAAAGUGGAUCUCCCUACCUUCAAUGGUCGAAUGGACGUGGAGAAGUUUCUUGAUUGGAUCAAGAACGUAGAAAUUUUUUUCGACUAUGCCAAUACACCCGAACACAAGAAGGUUCGAUUAGUUGCUCUCAAACUUCAAGGUGGCGCAAGCGCUUGGUGGGAUCAAUUACAAAACAAUAGACGAUUAUUCGGUAAACAAUCUAAAGAUUAGCUGAAUAUCUUAUAAAAAGAUGUUGCCGUAGGCUUAGUGGUGACAGGUGAGAAAGUAAGCUGUAUCUUUUAUGACUCUUAAACGUUGAAGUCAAUCAAUGAGUUCCAAAUGCAAUAUUGGAAGUUUUCUUAAAUAUUUUGAUGCUUUUGCAUGUUGUGAAAGAACUUGGUUAGAUGUGAGAAAGGGGUUUAUGAGAUUAGUUACUUACUAUUCCCUUUUUCACUGUCAUUGCUACUCCGUAGACAUGCUAUGGGCUCGUGUUUCUGUAGAAUAUAAUUCAGAUGCUCUUUCUCUAGAAUAUAAUUUAUGUGCUUUCUCUACAAAUUUGAAGUAAUUUCUACUGCUUUUGCUAAUAUUCUCUAAAGCUUAUUCAAAAUGUAGUUGUUUAAUGACUGUUCAGAUUUAAAAUAUAUUAUAGAGUUAAAUUUAACACAGUUAAUCAGCUUAAGCAUUUGACUCUGGUGUUCUUAAGAUAUAAAUUCAAAUCCCUAUAAUUUUAUCAUGUUGAUCUUUUCAAUCUUCUCACAUACCGUCUUCAUUUCAUAAUCUUGCCUACUAGCUGUGUAUCAUCAAUGAAAUUACCAUAGGAGUCCACAUGUGGUAAUUAUGGAUCUAGCACGAUAUACUGCGUAUCAUGUUGUUGGAGAUCAGUUUAAAUGAUUAACCAGUCUAUUGGUGGUUUGAGUCUUUUCUUUUGAAUCUAUAGGUUGUUCAAUGGUCUAAUAUUAACUGUGUUUAGAUUUAUGGUAAUUUUCAUUCUUUUACAGCCUUAAUAACCAAGAAAAGGUGUGCUUUGAUAAUCUUUUCUUUCUCUUCAGCAUGUUGGUAAUGUAGAAAGAUUACAUGUAUACUAUGCCCAUGGACUAGAUAGCCCAACCUUUGUUCGCCGGUGUUAUUGGCUCCUAGAUAAGUAUGUUAUGGUUGAAAGAAAAUUGUUAAAUUGCUUGCUACCAGUUGUUUCAGUGGGGUCUAUCCCCAUCAUGCCACAAGCAAAGAAAAAUGAAAUUAGACAGUGGCAGUAUAUCGUGUUCUACUUAUAUAAUUUAUGACUUUCUUCUGCUUUUUGUUCAGGACCUUUGAACACAUUGUCCUUGUUCAUUACCGUGAAACACAAGAGGUUAGGUUCAACACAAUGCAUCUGCAGUUACUAAAAUAUUAUCUUGAGACAAACUUUUAUCAUUUGGACUACUACAUCUAUUUAAGAUUUGCUGAUUUUUCCUCCAUGGUUGCAAUAUUAGAACUUCAUCCAAAAUAAUGUUGUCAUGUGUGUCUUUAAAUUUUUACUGGCAGUCUGGCACCAUAUAGAUCUAGUAGUUGUGCAUGCAUGUCUUCCUCUCUAUCCUCCAUUGAAAAACUCGAUAAUUAUCUAUUUGUGUUUUAUUUUGAUGAUUUAAUCCAACAUUUAUUAUGGAUAAAGUCAGCCAUAAAAUACAUAUGUUUACUACUGCUCUUUGUACAUUUUAAAUACUAGAUUUCUUGAUGAUUGUUGUCUUUAAGUUGCUCUUAAUGUUGUUGCAUAUCGAGAAAUGCACUGUAAUUUCUGUACCAAUUUUAUCACUGCUUUUAACUAAAUCUUCAAAAAUCAAGGCACCACCUGGAUGUAGAGUGCUAUAUGGUGAUUCAAGUGUUGAGAGUUCUCUUUCUUCUGCUAUCCAUAAAUUUAUGGAAUGGAAAGGCAAUGAUCAUGACACUAUUUUUUGUCAGAUAAACACAGGUUUCAUAUGCUUCAACUCUGUGGUGCUUCACAGCACACGGAUAAAACUUCCAAACAUUCUGCACCCAAUAUUACCAUAAUGCAUUUGGACACUUCAUUAACAACUUCUUACAAUUAGCCUUUCUAUAUUGAAAAUAAUUCGUUGUCUUAACUUCAUGUUGCUGCUAGUUUCAAAAUUUUGCAUCCACAUCGUUGAACUCAAAUUCUGGUUCUGUCUCUAACCCAUCAACUCCGUGGCUUUUAUCGGAGGAACUUGAUUCCAAGGCUACUCAUGUUUAUUCUCUUGGUGAAAAUGAAUUGUUAGGUGAUACUGGCCGAACCUGUCAAAAAUAAAUGAGUCAUAGUUUGUUUGAUCAUUCAUUUUCUAAUCUUUCUUCUUUAUAUUUAAUUAGUUGUUUAAUUUCUUAAAAAAGAAUUCUGGUUUAUUUAUAGUAUAUUUGGUAGUAUGCAUGCCUCAGCUCCUUUAAUGCAUGUCUCUUACAGUAUAUUUGGUAGUCUUUUAUAAUGUUACACCCUUUUUUUUAAUUCCUAAAACCUUUUAACUUUCCAAAUUUUCAUUCAUUCUUUUAGAAAAUUAUUUUCAUUAUUUUUUUAUGGUUACAAAACCAUCCAUUAACUACAUUAAUUAGACAAUUCACUCCAAUAAUAAAUAAAUAACUUUUUUGGAUCUAAGGUCUUUUCUCAUUCUACAAAUUUAAUUUACUAUAUAAAGGUUAUUAUGCUAAUUGAAAAAUAUAUUUCUCUCAAGUAUGCAAUGACAGAAAAUUAGGUUAUAAAUAUAAAAAAAUAAUAUUUUUAGGUAUUAUAAUUUUUUUAAAAAAAUUAUAUUUUAAAUUUUUAAUAAAACCUUGCAUUUGGGGAUUCACAUGUUGUUACUUGUCGAACCAAAAAAGAUAAAUUCGUGGUGAAAACUCUUUAAAAGCCCAAUUCGUGGAAGGAAAAAUUGAAGUGUGGCGUUGAGUUAUUUUGUUGUUGAAGAAGAUCAGUAAAAAACCCACAGCAUUAAAACUUCUUUUUUGUUUCUUUAAGUAUAUUUUAGAUUGCAACGUAUUUUCUAUUUGGGUUUAGUUAGGGUUUCUCUUGUUUAUUCCAAGAUAUGCAUGGAUAGUUCAUGUUCGACUAUUUGGAAAGAGGGAUUUAUGUAGCACGGGUAUUAUAUUCUGGUUUUGGAAGUGUCGAGAUAAAUUAAGGACUUUUUUAAUCUUCUUCAAACAAACCUAUACGAAGGCGAAGAAUAAUUUGUGCUUGUAUUUUAGUCGGAAUAAGAAGAAACAUGAAGAGAAUGCCCACGAGGAAAAUGACCAUGAGAAAAAGUUGUGUAUUCCUCCAUCCAUAACUGAGCUCUCUAAUGUGUAUUUCUCCCUCCAUAACUGGCUUACUUUGGACUGUUUGGAUAGAAAGAAGAAUCCUUCGAAGCCCUAGACUUGUCUCUACCGCAUUCGGAAAUGCCAAGUUCUCUCUGAGGAUCUCUAACUUCUGCCGUGUUCACCGUCCGUCAGUCCGCAUUCCUACGUCUGCGUUCACCGCGUUCACCACGUCCGAGUUUAUCUAAUAUAUUUUUCCAAAUCUUAAAGAAGAACUUUUGAUUUCAUUGGAGUUUAUCAUUAGAGGCAUUACUAUAUUUGCUGCCUCUCAGUGGGCGAUAGGUUUUCCAAUGGUCAUUUGAGACUGGUUGAUAAUAGCAAAAGUUAGAGCUUGAGAAGAAGGAGAGAAGAAAGUAGUGAAGACAAAAGAAGAAAGAAAGCUGAGUGAAAAACGAAAAUUGACAAGGUAGAGAUGUGACAUGAAAAUGAUGAUGAGAAGUGAAGGAGGCACGACACAAUACUGGUACACAAUAACAAAGCCUUGAUAAUUAAAAAAAGGAUGGUGCCAAGAAAAUUUAAAUACAAAAAAAAUGAAGGUUCUUGCAAGUGUAUUGAGUGAAUGGGAGAAAGAAAGGAUAAAAAAGGUAGAAAGAGAGAAAGAGAAGUCAAGGGUAGAGAUACAUAGCUUUGUAUAUAGAAACUUUAUGUUUAUACUCCAUUAUACGUUGUGGAGAAUAUAACAUCCUGAUAUGUUUGAUUCAAUUUGAAUGAUGCAAUUAUUUAUUUUUCUGCAAUAAUUCUACUUCUAGAACCUAAAUUUUGAAAGCCUACUAAUUUUUCAGAAUUAAUUCGAGACCCCACUUUUGCUCCCCUUCCUACCUACGGUUACUUUUUGCUUAAACUUUAAAAGUUGUUUGAAAAUUUUUGCUGAAACUUGUAAAAUUUGUUUGAAGUUCGUAUAUCUCUCACAUAUUGCAAGGUUUCUUAAUUAUUUUAUUGAAUUUCCUACAUAAAUGCAUUCAAACAUGAGUUGACAUAAAUGCAUUUUGCUAUCAAGAGAGUAUACCAUACAUGCAUGUGUAGGACUUUUAUCCCUUAUAUUUUAUAAUUUGUCUUACUACUGUUAUUGACUGAUAUACCAAUAUACAUGUGUAAAGUAUUGAUCAUAUAUAAUUAAUAUUAAAUUUAUUACAUUCACUCAUCAAUUUAAGUUUUUUAGUCAAUGUAUGUUCAUGAUGUACCAUGGUCAUAUCAUAAUAGAAUAGAUCCAAGAUUAUAUAUGUUCAAACCAACUGGUGAUUUAAUUAUCAAAGAUAUUAUGAUUUUGUCCAGUUUUUUUUUUCAGUCACUACUAGAAAAAUGGAUUUUAAUCAAGACAUUGUGUCGUUGAAAAUAAAAGAAAAAAAGAGGUGGGAUGAGGUACAUUGUGUUGUUUGAAAAUAAAAAUAUGGAUUAUUUCUUAAAACAAUCAUAUUGACACAAUUUAAUUUAUUUCAAAACAAUUUUUGCGUCAUUAAUUAACGACAAUUUUUUUGUCAUUAAAAAAAUUUUCAAAUGAAAAAACCUCAAAUUUCAAAAAAGUUCGAAGUGGGCUACCGAGUCGUUAUGAAGAACCCUUGCCCUCCAAUUUUUUGCCACUUGCCGUCGUCGAUUCCACACUCCAACCACUGUUGUCGUUGCUCCCACAACAAGCCUUCGCCGUCAAACCCACCAAUCUAGCCACUUUCGUCGAAUAAAUUUAUUUAGAAAUAUAAGUUUUAAUGACACUUGAAAUCAAGAAAAAGGGAUAUGAGGGAAUAAAAUGUGUGUCGUUAAAAAUAAAAAUACAAAAUUUUUUGUGACACAAAUUGAGUUUUCUUGACAAAAUUUUCGCAUUGUAAAUAAUGGCAUAAAUUAUGUGUCAUUAAAAAUUACCCUAAUAAAAAAUCAAUGUUUUCCUUCAAUCAUAUGCUUUUUGAUUUAAAACAAAUAAUUCGAAGCUUUCAUCCCACUUGUGAACAAAUGACCGAAAAAAACCUUACUUCAUCCCACAUCGUCACUGUCUUUAGCUCUCUCGCAAAUGCUCUCUGGCGACGUUCCCCCCUCUCUCGCAAAUACUCUUCACGACUUUUUCUCUCUCUCAAAAUUAAGCUCUUCGCCCACCGUUUGAAGGAACUCACCAAAUUUGCAAGUAAUUGAAGAAUUUGUGGUCCAUGAGAUCGAUUAAGUCCAUUUAUGAGUUAGUUUGAUUAGAUUAUGUCACAUAUACAUGUAUUACAAUUAAGGGACACUUGCGAAAAUGGCAAAAUAAGUUAUAAUAAUUAAGUCCAUAGAACACAUACUUUAUUAUUUGAGAAAGUGACAAAAACAAAGACCAACUGUAACGACCCAACUUUUCUAGGUAAGUCGAGAGUCGUUAAUUUUUGACAAAAGACUUUGGUUGAUACAAAAUGAAAUGUAAGCCAAUUGAAAAACAACUUUAAGUCAGGCCUGAUUUUCAAAUAUUCCAAAAACUUAAAAAAAGUACUAUUUACAAAUAAAAGUUUGUAAGUUAUGUUUCAAUACAACGUCUUAAACCUAAAACAAAACAAUAAGCGGAAGCAAACUAACACAUUUCCUAUGGCAAUCACACUUCCUUGCUGCCCCUCGCCGGUUUGCCGCCUUUAUUACCUUUGCCUGAAAAUUAAACAUAAGAAGGGUGAGUAUAAAAAUACCCAGUAAGAGACCCUCUACUGGUCCCGUCAGGGGAAAAAUAAAUUGUUAACAUUCUAUUGGGACACCCUGUACAGUCGCGCAGUCUUGUGAUCCCGUAGGAUGCACAUUUCAGUCUAACGCCUCGAGGGACGUACAUUUCAGUGUAGUGUUCUGCAGAAACACAUAUCAGUCUAAUGCUCCCGAAGGUACAGAAUAAUUGGUGAUCCCGUGGGACACCUACAAGGCACACAUCCCAAUAAAAGCUAACAAUUUUUCCCCUCAAUCCAUUCGUACCAUCUUUCAGUUACUUCAAAAUAUAAAGUUCUUUCACUCAACGUUCUAACAGUCAACUUAUCUCACUUUAGCCCAAUGUCUGUCAGUAACAUACUAAUACGUCAGUCAAUCAAACUAUAUAGUCAUAACGCCUCUCAGUUCACCAGCACACAGUCAUACUUUAGUAUAACGUACACCCAGUCUAAACGACAAUCACAAAGUUCACAUCCGCAUCUCAAUACAAACACAAUCUACAAUUGUCGUCCUGUCUACAUCCACACACAUAUAUAUAUAUUCCAAGACAAUCACAAUAUGCAUUCAACAUCAAGUCUACUUCAAUUCAUGUGUAUAUAUAUAUUUUCAGUCAUCCACAGUAUACAUUCAACACCGAACCUACAUCCAUACGUAUAUAUAUAUUGUCUCAACACAUUUACUCAAUCAGAGGUGACUAACAUUACAAUUCAAAAGCAUAGGUGAGUCCAGUAGAAAAUAAAAUCCCUUACCUCACUUUUAUGCAAGUUCUUCAAUCUACUAAAUCCAAUGAAUCAAAUCCUAAACAUAAUCAAUCAUAAAAUCAACAUCUUUCUAAAUAGUUUCAACCAUUCAAAUUACCCCAUAUGUAAAUUCCACAACUUACCCAAGAAGUGGAAAAUCAAGUCCACUUCAACCUUUUGGAAAAUCAAGGAUUCGCUCACUGAAUCAAGAUGUACCUUCAAGAAUUAAGCAUUUCGCCAACAAUUAAAUCCAAUGGCAGCAUUCAACAAAAACCAAGAAACCAACAAAAACCAUAACUUGUUCUUACCCAAAUAUGAGCCCAAUGGUUCACGGCGAGGCAAAAAUGACAAUCAAGAACGAAUCAAGCGGCUGUAAAUAGAGCAACACUGAAUGCGACUCAACUGGAAAAGAAAAUCGGCUUCAAAUCGUAACUCCGUCUUACAACGAGCAGAAGAACGUCGACUUGAUAGGGGACACGUAAUUUAGGAAGAGAUCGACUUGGAUCCGUGUAUGACUUCACGAGAUGUAUGCGUCGACGGCUUCACGGAGGUGAAGACAGACGCGGUCGGAGAGUCACGCGGCAGUGCAGAAAACGGAGGAGAAAGGAACGGGCGGCGGCUGGGCUUGGCUUCGACGGAGACAGAGAUUGCGCAGCAGGGCUUCACGAACGGAGAGGAAAGGAAUGGGCACGGCGAUGCAGAUCUGGACGACUGCUGCAAGGUGACGCGUACGGCACUUCACGAACCGGCGACGGUUGCAGCGACGGAUCUGGGUUAUGGCGAACUGCAAGGGUGAAGCACAAGCGACGGCGAGGACCUGGACGGCUCGGCGAUGCAGAUCUGGAUGACGAUUUGCUUUGACGCGGGAGGCACGACGGUUGUGAGCGGAGAGGCACGGUGGUUGUGAGCGGAUGGGCGCGGCGGUUUCGAUCCGAAGGAGAAAAGGAAGACGACCGGAAAGAAGAAGAAGAAACGACCGGCAGCUUGUGUGGCCGACUGGGUGAACGGAGAAGAGAGGGAUGUGCGGCUGCUAGGGUACGGGAAGGAGAAAGGGAUGGAGGACGCACGGGAGGAAGAAGGAAGGAAAAAUUUCUUUUUUCUUUUCUUUUAUUUAAAUAAUAAAAAUAAAACUAAAAUAUAAAUAAAUAUAUAUAUAAUAAAAUUUCUUUUUCUUUUCUUUUAUUUAAACUAAAUAAUAAAACUAAAAAUAUAAAUAAAUAUAUAUAUAAUUAUAUUAUCACAUUUUCAAAUCUUCUUUCCCCCCUUCAACAUAUUUUCUUCAAAACAAUAAAUCUUGUACAAAUCGAAAAAAUCUCUUAAAAUAAAAUACCUUCGAGUUUGGGGCGUUACAUUCUUCCCUCCUUAAGGCGAAAGUUCUAAUCCUGAAAUAACUCUUGAUAACGAGUCCUCAUCUCUUCUUCUCGCUCCCAUGUCGCCUCUUCAAUUCGAUGAUUCCGCCACAAAACCUGUACUAAUGGAAUGCUUCUAUUACGAAGCAUCUUUACCUCUCUAGCCAGAAUCUCCACAGGUUGUUCUACAUAGCUCAAAUGCUCAUCAAUCUCCAAGGGUUCAUAGUCCACGACAUGAGAUGUAUCGGCCACAUACUUCCUCAACAUCGAAACAUGGAAAACAUUAUGGACUGCAGAGAGUGAUGGUGGUAAUGCCAAGCGAUACGCCACAACACCAACCCUCUCUAAGAUCUCAAAUGGUCCAACAAAACGAGGACUUAACUUCCCUUUCUUCUCAAAACGCAUAACACCCUUCAUAGGUGCUACCUUCAAGAAUACCUUUUCUCCCACAUCAAACUUAAGGUCUUUUCGCCGUACAUCUGCAUAACUCUUUUGUCUACUCUGCGCUGUUUGCAUACGUGCUCUAAUCUUUUGAAUAGCCUCAUUAGUAGACCGAACUAAUUUAGGUCCCAUCAACCUCUGUUCACCAACCUCACUCCAACAAAUAGGGGUUCUACAACAUUUACCAUACAAAGCCUCAAAUGGUGCCAUACCGAUGGUAGCCUGGAAACUGUUGUUAUAAGCAAACUCCAUCAAAUGUAGAUGAGAGUCCCAACUACCUGGAAACUCUAGAACACAAGCUCGUAGCAUAUCCUCUAAAACUUGGUUCAAACGUUCAGUUUGACCAUCAGUUUGUGGAUGAAAGGCUGUACUGAAAUCUAAUCUCGUACCCAUAGCAGUCUGAAGUCCCUUCCAAAACUUGGAAGUAAACCGUGCAUCCCUGUCAGAAACAAUCGAUACAGGCACUCCAUGCAGUCUCACAACCUCAGUUAAAUACAACUGUGCCCACUUACUAGCAGUAUAAGUGGAUUUCCCUGGUACAAAAUGUGCCGAUUUCGUAAGCCUGUCUACAACAACCAAAAUCACUGUGAAACCCUUCAGGGUCUUAGGCAGCCCUGAAAUAAAAUCCAUCGACACAUUCUCCCACUUCCACUCUGGCACACUUAAAGGUUGUAACAAACCUGCUGGUUUCUGUCUAGGUGCCUUAACCUGCUGACAUACUAGACACUUACUAACGAAUUCCGCCACUUCCCUUUUCAUAUUCCGCCACCAAUAAAAUCGUUUUAGAUCCUGAUACAUUUUCGUACUACCAGGAUGCAUGGAAAAUGAAGAAUUAUGGGCUUCAUCUAGUAAGUCAAUCUUAGCUGCACUGUUCGCUGGCACACACAAACGUCUCUCAAACAUCAAUCCACCAUCAGAGGAUAUGGAGAACUCAUCAGUCUGCUCUGUUCCAACAAGGCGACGUCUCUCCGGAGUCAAAUAAGGAUCAUUACUCUGAGCAUCAACAAUCUUCUGCCUCAGAGUCAGUUGCACCGUUAAUUGAGCUAACUGUGAGGUGACUCUCCCCACAGAUACUACAAUCUCAGCUCUCUCCAAGUCUCGAUGUAAUGGUACCUGUCUAGUAAUGAGUGCUGCCGAAUGUGAUACUUUUCUACUAAGAGCAUCAGCCACCACAUUCGCCUUACCAGGAUGGUACAAUAUCUCACAGUCAUAAUCCUUUACCAACUCGAGCCACCUUCGCUGUCUCAUAUUCAACUCCUUCUGAGUGAAGAAGUACUUCAGGCUCUUAUGGUCAGUAAAGAUUUGUAUCUUUUCACCGUACAAAUAAUGUCUCCAUAUCUUCAAUGCAAAAACCACUGCUGCCAACUCCAAAUCAUGUGUGGGGUAGUUCUGCUCGUGACUCUUCAACUGACGAGAGGCAUAAGCAACCACCUUACCUUUCUGCAUCAAAACACAACCCAGUCCUUUCUUGGAAGCAUCACUGUAAAUCACAAAACUUCCGGAUCCAUCUGGUACUGUAAGGACCGGUGCAGUAACUAACCUUUGCUUAAGGUUCUGAAAACUAUCCUCGCAAGCUGGACUCCAAACAAACGGAGUUCCCUUCCUUGUCAACUGAGUCAAGGGAGUAGCCAAACGUGAAAAAUCCUCCACAAACCUCCGGUAGUACCCUGCUAAACCCAGAAAACUACGAACCUCACUAACUGUAGAGGGUCGAGACCAACUGGUAACCGCUUCUAUCUUUGCAGGGUCUACAGAAACUCCCUCACUGGAAACCACAUGACCAAGAAAAGCCACCUGCUUCAACCAAAAUUCGCACUUAGAGAAUUUAGCAUAAAGUUUAUUGACUCGAAGAGUCUCUAACACUUUAUGUAAGUGUUCCUCAUGUUCGGCCUCAGUCUUGGAAUAAACCAAAAUAUCAUCAAUGAAGACUAUCACAAAAGUGUCUAAGAAAUCCUUAAACACCCUGUUCAUCAAAUCCAUAAAUACUGCAGGUGCAUUAGUCAAACCAAAAGACAUUACCAUGAAUUCAUAAUGUCCGUACCUCGAACGAAAAGCAGUCUUAGGAAUAUCACGGUCUCUAAUCCUCAACUGGUGAUAACCUGACCGUAAGUCAAUCUUAGAGAACACCGUGGCUCCCUGUAACUGAUCGAACAAAUCAUCGAUUCUAGGUAAAGGAUAUCUGUUCUUGAUUGUUACUUUAUUCAACUCUCUAUAGUCAAUGCAAAGACGCAUCGACCCAUCCUUCUUCUUCACAAACAAUACUGGUGCACCCCAAGGCGACACACUAGGUCGAAUAAAGCCUUUGUCAAGCAACUCCUGUAACUGUACCUUCAGUUAUUUCAACUCGACAGGAGCCAUCCUAUAAGGGGCUCUAGAAAUGGGAGUAGUGUCUGGCUCCAACUCAAUGGCAAAAUCAAUCUCUCUAUGUGGCGGUAGUCCUGGAAGAUCUUCUGGAAACACAUCUGGGUAUUCUCUUACCACAGGUUCUGAAGUUAAGGAAGUCUCAUCUUCCCUAGUAUCCACCACACUUGCCAAAAUACUCCAGGUACCCUGGUUGAGCAGUUUACUAGCUUUCAUAGCUGAGAUUACUUUAGGCAGUACUACUGUUCCUACCCCUUGAAUUUAAAGCUAGAUUCGGUAGGGGGACUGAACACAACCUCUUUACGAGAGCAAUCAAUACUAGCAUGAUUAGUAGCUAGCCAAUCCAUACCUAAAAUUACAUCAAAGUCACGCAUAUCUAAUACCAACAAGGUUACGUCCAGCACACGACCAGCUAUCUCAAUUUCACAUGCUUUAAUCUUUUCCUUAGACAACAUAAUUUCUCCAGACGGUGUAGACACUGACAAAACAUAAUCUAAGGGUUCCACCUCUAAGCAUGCAUGCGUCACAAAAAGCGAUGAAAUAAAUGAAUGAGAAGACCCCGAGUCAAACAAGGUCAAGGCAAAAUGCCCUAACACUGGUAAUGUACCUGUCACCACUGUGCAGGCCUUCUCUGCUUAUGAUCUAUUAGUGGCAAAGAUUGUACCCCGCUGUGGAGGUUUCGCUCCCUGACUGCUCUGUCCAGCCCCAGUAGAUCUCAAGGGACAUCGAUCAGCCAUGUGUCCCUCUUGCUUGCACUUAUAACAGACUCUCGUUCCCAUCAAACAACGACCCAGGUGGUGUUUCCCACACGUAUUGCAUAGUGGCUUCUCUCGAGUAGUGUCUCCUGCCCCGCCAGAACUCUGCUGGAAACUGCAAAAAGGAUCGCCUAAUCUCAAGUUCCUCUGAGGAAUUCCCACAGUUCUCUGCUCUGCUUUCCUCUUUUGACCAGACGACGAUCCCUUAUCAAAACUCCUUGCCCGAAUUUCAUCCUUCCCAAUGCUCAUAUCCACUGCCAGGCGCAGCGCUUCAGCCUGGGUAGUGGGCUUUAGUGCUCGCACAAAGCCUCUAAUCUCAUCUCUCAAUCCUUUGACGAACCUAUCAGCUCUAGCCUGCUCAUUACCAACAAGUUCAGGGGCAAAACGCGACAGCAUAUCAAACUCCUGGUCGUACUCCUCGACUGUCAUAUGUCCUUGCUUCAAUUCCAAGAAUUCCUGGCUUUUGGCGUCUCUAAGGUUAGCCGAGAAAAACUUGGUAUAGAAGCAGUCUUUAAACUGAUCCCAGGUAAUCUGUCUCACAUCUCCACCUAGCAUACGCAUCGUAGUUCUCCACCAGAUAAUACCUCUGUCCCUCAGAAGAAAAGCAGCACACUGAACUCUAUGCUCCUCUGGACAUCUCAUGUAAUUAAAUAUGGUUUCCACAGAGGACAACCACAACUCAGCUUUAGUAGGAUCCUCUAGUGACCCAUCAAACGUCUGAGGGUCAUAUUUCCUAAAGUCCCUCAAAUGUUUCGCCUCAGCAGAAAGUUGGUUCGGUAAUGUCUGCGGCUGUUGUGCAGCCAAUCCUUGCGCAGGAGGGGCUGCUGGUGCAGGUGGAGCUGCUGGUACAGGGGGAACCACAGGUGCAGGUGGAACUGCAGGUGCCUGCUGGUUCUGAGCUAUAGCCGUCAUAAGCUCCGUGAACCUCUGCUCCAUGUGAGCAGACAGUGCAGCAAACUCAACAUGAGUCACGGGUGCAGUAGGAAUUCGCUAUUCAGCUUGACCCUCAGUAGGUUGAUUACGACCUGCUCCUCUACCCGGCCUCUACGACCUCCUCUACGUACACCUCUCUUUGGCGGCAUAAUUCCUAUUAUCCACCAACAACACUCUUUAAAAAGUCUUAAUCAUAAGCAUAAGAAGUCUUUAUCGUCAUGCAAUCUAGUUUAAUUUAGGCAAAGUCAUGCAAAUAAACCAUACAUAUAAGCAUAAAGCAUACCUGACGAGAGACGAAGGGUCGCGUUAGGCAUAGGGACAUAAAACAUAGACUUACAUCGUAAGUCAGUCUACAGAACCUAAAACUUAGGCUCUGAUACCAACUGUAACGACCCAACUUUUCUAGGUAAGUCGAGGUCGUUAAUUUUUGACAAAAGACUUUGGUUGAUACAAAAUGAAAUGUAAGCCAAUUGAAAAACAACUUUAAGUCAGGCCUGAUUUUCAAAUAUUCCAAAAACUUAAAAAAAGUACUAUUUACAAAUAAAAGUUUGUAAGCUAAGUUUCAAUACAACGUCUUAAACCUAAAAAAAACAAUAAGCGGAAGCAAAAUAACACAUUUCCUAUGGCAAUCACGCUUCCUUCCUGCCCUCGCCGGUUUGCCGCCUUUAUUACCUUUGCCUGAAAAUUAAACAUAAGAAGGGUGAGUAUAAAAAUACCCAGUAAGAGACCAACUGGUGAUUUAAUUAUCAAAGAUAUUAUGAUUUUGUCCAGUUUUUUUUCAGUCAUACUAGAAAAAUGGAUUUUAAUCAAGACAUUGUGUCGUUGAAAAUAAAGAAAAAAGAGGUGGGAUGAGGUACAUUGUGUUGUUGAAAAUAAAAAUAUGGAUUAUUUCUUAAAACAAUCAUAUUGACACAAUUUAAUUUAUUUCAAAACAAUUUUUUCGUCAUUAAUUAACAAUUCUUUUGUCAUUAAAAAAAAUUUCAAAUGAAAAAACCUCAAAUUUCAAAAAAGUUCGAAGUGGGCUACCGAGUCGUUAUGAAGAACCCUUGCCCUCCAAUUUUUUGCCACUUGUCGUCGUCGAUUCCACACUCCAACCACUGUUGUCGUUGCUCCCACAACAAGCCUUCGCCGUCAAACCCACCAAUCUAGCCACUUUCGUCGAAUAAAUAGAAAUAUAAGUUUUAAUGACACUUGAAAUCAAGAAAAAAAGAUAUGAGGGAAUAAAAUGUGUCGUUAAAAAUAAAAAUACAAAUUUUUUUGUGACACAAAUUGAGUUUUCUUGACAAAAUUUUCGCAUUGUAAAUAAUGGCAUAAAUUAUGUGUCAUUAAAAAUUACCCUAAUAAAAAAUCAAUGUUUUCCUUCAAUCAUACGCUUUUUGAUUUAAAACAAAUAAUUCGAAGCUUUCAUCCCACUUGUGAACAAUGACCGAAAAAAACCUUACUUCAUCCCACAUCGUCACUGUCUUUAGCUCUCUCGCAAAUGCUCUCUGGCGACGUUCCCCCUCUCUCGCAAAUACUCUUCACGACUUUUCCUCUCUCUCAAAAUUAAGCUCUUCGCCCACCGUUUGAAGGAACUCACCAAAUUUGCAAGUAAUUGAAGAAUUUGUGGUCCAUGAGAUCGAUUAAGUCCAUUUAUGAGUUAGUUUGAUUAUUAGAUUAGAUUAUGUCACAUAUACAUGUAUUACAAUUAAGGGACUUGCGAAAAUGGCAAAAUAAGUUAUAAUAAUUAAGUCCAUAGAACACAUACUUUAUUAUUUGAGUGACAAAAACAAAGACCAACUGUAACGACCCAACUUUUCUAGGUAAGUCGAGGUCGUUAAUUUUUGACAAAAGACUUUGGUUGAUACAAAAUGAAAUGUAAGCCAAUUGAAAAACAACUUUAAGUCAAACCUGAUUUUCAAAUAUUCCAAAAACUUAAAAAAAGUACUAUUUACAAAUAAAAGUUUGUAAGCUAAGUUUCAAUACAACGUCUUAAACCUAAAAAAAACAAUAAGCGGAAGCAAAAUAACACAUUUCCUAUGGCAAUCACACUUCCUUCCUGCCCCUCGCCGGUUUGCCGCCUUUAUUACCUUUGCCUGAAAAUUAAACAUAAGAAGGGUGAGUAUAAAAAUACCCAGUAAGAGACCCUCUACUGGUCCCGUCAGGGGAAAAAUAAAUUGUUAACAUUCUAUUGGGACACCCUGUACAGUCGCAGUCUUGUGAUCCCGUAGGAUGCACAUUUCAGUCUAACGCCCGAGGGACGUACAUUUCAGUGUAGUGUUCUGCAGAAACACAUAUCAGUCUAAUGCUCCCGAAGGUGCAGAAUAAUUGGUGAUCCCGUGGGACACCUACAAGGCACACAUCCCAAUAAAAGCUAACAAUUUUUCCCCUCAAUCCAUUCGUACCAUCUUUCAGUUACUUCAAAAUAUAAAGUUCUUUCACUCAACGUUCUAACAGUCAACUUAUCUCACUUUAGCCCAAUGUCUGUCAGUAACAUACUAAUACGUCAGUCAAUCAAACUAUAUAGUCAUAACGCCUCUCAGUUCACCAGCACACAGUCAUACUUUAGUAUAACGUACACCCAGUCUAAACGACAAUCACAAGUUCACAUCCGCAUCUCAUACAAACACAAUCUACAAUUGUCGUCCUGUCUACAUCCACACACAUAUAUAUAUAUUCCAAGACAAUCACAAUAUGCAUUCAACAUCAAGUCUACUUCAAUCCAUGUGUAUAUAUAUAUUUUCAGUCAUCCACAGUAUACAUUCAACACCGAACCUACAUCCAUACGUAUAUAUAUAUGUCUCAACACAUUUACUCAAUCAGAGGUGACUAACAUUACAAUUCAAAAGCAUAGGUGAGUCCAGUAGAAAAUAAAAUCCCUUACCUCACUUUUAUGCAAGUUCUUCAAUCUACUAAAUCCAAUGAAUCAAAUCCUAAACAUAAUCAAUCAUAAAAUCAACAUCUUUCUAAAUAGUUUCAACCAUUCAAAUUACCCCAUAUGUAAAUUCCACAACUUACCCAAGAAGUGGAAAAUCAAGUCCACUUCAACCUUUUGGAAAAUCAAGGAUUCGCUCACUGAAUCAAGAUGUACCUUCAAGAAUUAAGCAUUUCGCCAACAAUUAAAUCCAAUGGCAGCAUUCAACAAAAACCAAGAAACCAACAAAAACCAUAACUUGUUCUUACCCAAAUAUGAGCCCAAUGGUUCACGGCGAGGCAAAAAUGACAAUCAAGAACGAAUCAAGCGGCUGUAAAUAGAGCAACACUGAAUGCGACUCAACUGGAAAAGAAAAUCGGCUUCAAAUCGUAACUCCGUCUUACAACGAGCAGAAGAACGUCGACUUGAUAGGGGACACGUAAUUUAGGAAGAGAUCGACUUGGAUCCGUGUAUGACUUCACGAGAUGUAUGCGUCGACGGCUUCACGGAGGUGAAGACAGACGCGGUCGGAGAGUCGCGCGCAGUGCAGAAAACGGAGGAGAAAGGAACGGGCGGCGGCUGGGCUUGGCUUCGACGGAGACAGAGAUUGCGCAGCAGGUCUUCACGAACGGAGAGGAAAGGAAUGGGCACGGCGACGCAGAUCUGGACGACUGCUGCAAGGUGACGCGUACGGCUUGCUUCACGAACCGACCGACGAUUGCAGCGACGGAUCUGGGUUACGGCGAACUGCAAGGGUGAAGCACAUGCGGCGGCGAGGACCUAGACGGCUCGGCGAUGCAGAUCUGGACGACGAUUUGCUUUCCGAGGGAGCACGACGGUUGUGAGCGGAGAGGCACGGCGGUUGUGAGCGAAUGGGCGCGGCGGUUUCGAUCCGAAGGAGAAAAGGAAGACGACCGGAAAGAAGAAGAAGAAACGACCGGCAGCUUGUGUGGCCGACUGGGUGAACGGAGAAGAGAGGGAUGUGCGGCUGCUAGGGUACG
Molecule: long non-coding RNA, 326375 nt
Filed under: Cucumis sativus (cucumber)
Lineage: Eukaryota; Viridiplantae; Streptophyta; Magnoliopsida; Cucurbitales; Cucurbitaceae
Description: long non-coding RNA (CSAT_LNC001539)
Source: RNAcentral